RNAcentral lists this long non-coding RNA (216730 nucleotides) under Citrus maxima (pomelo). Its description in RNAcentral is "long non-coding RNA (CMAX_LNC001224)". The record is from RNAcentral. Lineage: Eukaryota; Viridiplantae; Streptophyta; Magnoliopsida; Sapindales; Rutaceae.
UUUUACAAUAGAUGCAAAUCUACUGAGAAAAUGGUAAAAAAAGGUGUAUAUAAAAUGAGGCAAGUAACAGAAGUAUGAGUUAUCAGAUUAGAUUAAAAGUCACCCAAUUCAAUCUAUCAGAUUCCGUAAGGAUAUAACUGGAUGUCAUACCGCCAGUCCAUAUCCUCGAAAGUCUCUAGUCUUUGUCUCAACUCUGUCUGAGGCCAAUGUAAAUCCAAUUUGCACAAGCUCUUUAUGCACCAUAGCUCUUCUGGAAGCUUUCUCAAGUAAGCACAUGGGUUGACAAUUAAGCUUUCAAGUUUUGGCAUUGCUCUGCCCCCAUCGUCCACUCGUCUAGCCAAUACAUCGACUUCAGGUGCAAAAUCUUAAGUUCCGGAAAGCCAGCAGAGCCAACGCAGGCUAGCUUUCUUCCUAAAUACGAGUUCUGCUUCAGUUUCAGCACUUGAAGGCGUGGAAGCUUUUCCAGCAUUGGCAUGGGAUCCUCCAUUCGCUCAGUAUUUGAUAAGCUCAGUUGCAUCAUUCUUGGAGGAAAUUAGUAUUCAGACAGGACCAUCCGUGAGAGCUUGCUCUCAUUCACCAACUUCAAGCAUUCAACUUUGUGGAGUUUGCAUACGCUUUUGGAAACCCCAGAGUGAUAGCAACUCAAAUCUCCAGACACUCUAAGAGUUUGAAGAUUAGAUAGUCUGCACAAUAUAUCUGGCGUGCAACUACUAGGGUGUGAGGCUGAUAUGAAAAUAAGAUUUUUCAGAGAGCUGGAAUAAUUUUUUGGAGGUGCAGGCAGAGAGAUGGAACCAAAGUUCAGAUGCAUGAGUUUUUGCAUCUUCCAAAUAUCCUCUGGUGUUUGAUCUACGUAGCUAGAUGGCAUGUCUAGUGUUUGAAGGUUUGAAAGGGUGCAUAGCGGUGAAGGAAGACAUUUGAGCGAAGGGAUAUUCAAUUUCAAAUACUUCAAAUGGAAUAAAUUUUCUAAUCUGGGUGGAUAUUGGUCCAGGACUGCAGAACCCAUGUUCAAUACCCGAAGGUGUUUGAACAUUUUACAAAAAUUCUCGCAAUCUAUCGGAUUAAGAUGAUCGCUUUCUGAACUGUGAUUCAGAAAAAGAUUGGAGAUACAUGUCCGAAUGUUUCAAAGAAAAGAAUUCAAUCGGAUCAUCGAAAAUGAUGUACCGUUUGGCAUUUGCCAAUGAUUCAUCUUCGAAGUCAGGCGUCCGGACAAAUCCCAUCAUUGCUGCCGUCCCAAGUAACGCAGCAUAUGCAAAAGUUGGAACAUAACACGCCUUAAUUGUGCCUCCAUCUCUUCUCUUAUUUACUUGAAUGAAGCCAUGAUCGAUUAGUUCGUUCAAGUAAUGCUCGGCAGUUUCCUCACUGUUGUAUGGUAUGAAACCUUCAGCUACCCACAGCUGAUAUAAUUGCCUGGUAGAUAUCUCAAUGCCUGGAUGAAAGCUGAGGUUGUCCCUCGAUCAGUAAAUCAAACAAUUCCUCUGCCGCUUUCAAAUUCACUCUUAUCAAGCUGAAAUUGUCCCUCAAUCAAUAAGUGAGUGAAUUCGUUCCUUCGCUCUUUGAAAUCAAAACCAUUGUCUCUAGGCGGAAUUUGUUGCAACUGAUUUCUAAUAUCAAUGAUUUUACUGUGGAUUCCGACAAGAAGAGCAAUGAGUGAGAAAACAACUUGUUUGGUAACCAAAAAAGUAUUGAGAGAAAAUGUAAUGAUUCUGAGAAAUUGCUUUUAUUUCAAUUAAUCGAAUCCAGAGUAAAUGUACAGAGUUUCUUUAUAUACUAACGUAUCUACAUAGCUGAUAUUAGCUAAACUAAUUCAACCAGCUAAUCAUGCUUAACAACUUAUUAUAACUAACUAAAACUAAUAUUCACGUGUACAAGAAAUGAUGUAACCACCAGGUGCUAGCUGGCAUGCCAAGUCAUCAACUUGUAACCGUGAGCUGCAACUGUUACAAUCCUCUGCUUUGCUGACUAUCUGGCUCACAUGAGCUUCCUUAACAUCCCCUCUCAAGCUCAAGGGUCUGUUAACUACAUUGAGCUUGGAACGAAAAUAGCUAAAUUUUGGAAAAGAUAGAGGCUUAGUAAGAACAUCUGCCACUUGUUCUUCAGUAGGAAUAUAUCUAAUCUCUAACUCUUUGUUCAGAACCUUAUCUCUAAUGUAAUGAACAUCCAGCUCUAUAUGUUUGGUCUUGGAGUGGAAUAUUGGAUUUUUAGCUAGAUCACCUGCACUCUGAUUGUCACACCAGAGAAUAGGAGUUGGCAACUUGAUAAUUUUUAGCUCAGAAAACAAAGAUUGCAGCCAUGUAAGUUCAGAACUUGCUGCUGAUAAGGCUCGAUAUUCACUUUCUGUGCUAGACUUUGCCACAAUAGCUUGCUUUUUCGAAGACCAGGAAAUGAGAUUAUUACCAAGGAAAAUGUAGUAAGCUCCAAUGGAUUUCCUGUCAUCAGUGUCACAUGCCCAAUCAGCAUCUGAGUAUCCUGUCAACCCUAUUGUUUCCAAGGUUCCCUCUUGCUGAAUAUAGAGGCCAUAUGUAAUAGUUGCUUGAAGGUAUCUCAACACCUUUUUGCAGGCUAACCAAUGUUGGAGAGUUGGACCACUUAGAUACUGGCUAAGUUUAUGCACUGAGUAAGCAAUGUCUGGUCUAGUUAGAACCAAGUAUUGAAGCCCUCCAACUAUACUUCUGUAAAGAGUUGGAUUUUCAAAUUCUACACCCAAUGAGCCUUUAGCUAUUUUUUCUAAUUUGUAACCAGUGCUGAAAGGAGUUUCAGUUUCUUUACAGUUCUGCAUUGAGGCCUUGGUCAACAAAUCCUUGAUGUAUUUAGUUUGGGAGAGGUGCAUGCCAUGAUCUGUGUAGCUGACUUCUAUACCAAGGAAAUAUGAUACCAGGCCCAAGUCUUUUAAGGCAAAAGCUUUACUCAGCUUUGUGAUGAAUGCCUCCAGCAAGACUGAAUCUGGACCUGUAACUAAUAUAUCAUCUACAUAGAUCAAGACAAGGAUUAUGCCUUUAGUGUCAUGCUUGAUAAACAAUGAAGUGUCAGCCUUAGAAUUUGUGAAAUUCCAAUCUGUAAGACAGCCCUUAAGCUUAUCAUACCAGGCCCUUGGUGCCUGUUUUAAACCAUAAAGAGCUUUGUUUAGCUUACAGAUGUAUCCUCCCUCUGAAACAAAACCCUCUGGUUGUUGCAUGUACACAUCUUCAGUAAGAUCCCCAUUGAGAAAUGCAUUGUUGAUAUCUAUUUGUCUAACAUUCCAGCCUUGCAUAACUGCCAAACUCAAUAUAACUCUGACAGUUGAAGACUUGACUACAGGACUAUAAGUUUAUGAAUAGUCAACCCCAGCUGUCUGAUGGAAUCCUUUAGCAACAAGCCGAGCUUUAUGCUUAGAUACUGAGCCAUCUAAAUUAUACUUUGUUCUGAAGACCCAUUUGCAGCCAACCAGUUUAUGAGUAGGAUCCAUUGAAACUAGAUUCCAGGUUUUGUUUCUGAUAAGUGCAUCAUAUUCCAGUUGCAUUUUAUCUUUCCAUUUAGGAUCAGCUAAAGCUUCACCAACAUUAGAAGGUUCUAAACUGUUGUGUGCUGUCAAAAAUGCCUUAGGUUUGAAUAUACCAGCUUUAGCUCUGGUAGUCAUGGGAUGGACAGAGAUAGUAGGAUUGGAAAGUGAUAAAGAUGGUCUGGAAGGUGAUGUGUGUAAAGAAGCUUGAAAUGGUAUAGGAAGUUCUGGAGAAUUUUGAUGGAUGAUAGGUGAAGAUAUAGUGUUUGAAGUUGCUACUGGAGAUGUUGUGGGAAUGACAGGGGAGGUUAUGGUAUUAGUGGAUAAAAUAGAAUGAGUAGAAGAGGAAGGUAACAAGAUAUUGUGAUGAGAACUAGAAUUGUUAGAAUCAGUAUCUGCAGCAACAGCUUCAAAAGGUUUUAGAUUGCUAUUAGGAACUGAAACAUUAUAAAUAAAAACUUAUUAAAACCUAAUUUAUUUGGGAACCACAUAUUAAAACCUAAUUUAUUUGGGAACCACAUAUUAUUGGUCAGUAGUAUUUCUCAACUUAGCAAGUUAUUUCUAAUUUGUCCCUCUCUAUUAUUGGUUCUCUUAAAGCCAAUAGUGUCGCAUUUGAUAUCUUGCCAUUACCGUUGGCAUUAGCAUGUUACCUGAAAUUGGGAUUCAUUGAAAUCCUCAAUGUAAUCGGUGGAACGAAUGGAUUUCUUCUAUUCAUAAUUUGAUGAUUUUAAUUGAACUAGGAGAUAAAGUAAAAGAUAAAUGGUUGGUUUACUCCAAUUUCUGAAGUGCUUGUAUCUUUUUGGUUGAAUUCGUGCAGUUAAAUAAUCUCUACCAACAUAUGUAUGUAUGUAUGAAAUUGGAGUAACCAGACCUUUUCAAGAGUUAAAUAAUCUCUACCAACAUUGUAGAUUGCCCGAUAAAGUUAACUGUGUUACCCAGCUCCAUGCAUAUACAUUAAAUGCAUGUUUGGGUAGUUUUAUAAAAUGAUAACAGCACGUCAAAACUUGAUGAGUUAUAUUGUCAUAUUCGACAUUUUUAAAUUGAAAAAUUAGCAAGCAAUCUUCAGUGAACAUUACAAUUUUGUUCGCUCUACACCCCAUCAAUAUUUAAGCAAUCUACAGAUCAUUACUUGAGGAAAGAAACUCUUUGCGCCACUAGGCUUUUAACGAGGCUCAUUUCUAUGAAUCGGGAUAGCAUUAGAUAUCUCUCCGAAUACUGGUGGGAGUAGAUUGCAGAUCUCUGGGCUAUACUGCAAAGUGUAUGUACGUUGAUUGUCUGAUAUGAUUCAAAACAUCAGUCCAUGCAUCAUUUUAAUGAGAAAGAAUAUUCUGAGAUUAUUUAUGCAUCACCAUUUGUAGUUGUACUGACUAAUGAAAUUAAAGGUGCAAUCAGCAACUAAAAUGAAGCCAGAAAGACACGCAUGAGGCAGUUUUCCUAGAAGAUUUGAUAUUUCUUUGACUAGCAAACCAUACGAGUCCAAAGCUAGCCAAACCAUCCCUGCAAGUCCAGGGCUUAAAUGGAGUACAUCUAAGCAUAAAACAUUAAUCAAAACACAAUACGCACACACAGACCCCUACAUACAUACCAGCAAAUUCAAAAUAGAAAAAGGAGUGCAACUAUUCAAGUUUGUAGACAAUAUUGCAGCCAUGGCAUAUCAAAGCAAAUCCUUGAAAUGUGCUAAACAGAACAAUGCCCUGUCUCAUGAAUCGACGCUCAAUUACAAUUGAAAUUGAAAGUCCGGCUGGUGUUGUUUCCCUCUCCAGUUUUGCCUACAUAAGUAAAGGGAAAUAAGAAUCAUAAAUGAAAAUAUGCUUUGACAGUUCUUAUUAGAUAUAUAUAAAGGGAUCUUUCUUUGUUUCUCUGCUGCGAUGUGUGGUUAUCCCACUGUUUUUCCACUCAAGCUGAGUCUACGUUGAGACAUAAUUUUGACAUCAGAAGAUACCUCAAUUAGUUUGGCACUUUUACGAUAAACAUAAAUCUACUAAGAAAGUGCGGAAAAAAAGAAAAUGCAUAUAAAAGUAUGAUUUAUCAGAUAAGAUUAAAACUCACCCAAUUAAAUCCGUCAGAUUCCAUAAGGAUAUAACUGGAUGUCAUACCGCCGCUCCAUAUCCUCGAAAGUCCGUAGUCUUUGUCUCAGCUCUGUCUGAGGCCAAUGUAAAUCCAAUUUGCGCAAGCUCUUUAUGCACCACAGCUCUUCUGGAAGCUUUCUCAGGUAAGCACAUGGGUUGACAAUUAAGCUUUCAAGUUUUGGCAUUGCUCCUCUCCCCAUCGUCCACUCAUCUAGCCAAUACAUUGAUUUCAGGUGCAAAACCUUAAGCUUCGGAAAGCCACCAGAGCCGACACAGGCCAGCUUUCUUCCUAAAUACGAGUUCUGCUUCAGUUUCAGCACUUGAAGGUGCGGAAGCUUUUCUAGCGUUGGCAUGGGAUCCUCCAUUAGCUCAGUAUUUGAUAAGCUCAGUUGGGUCAGACUUGGAGGAAAUUGGUAUUCAGACAGGACCAUCCGUGAGAGCUUGCUUUCAUUCACCAGCUUCAAGCAUUCAAGUUUCUGCAGUUCGCAUAGGCUUUUGGAAGCCCCAAAAUGAUAGCAAGUCAAAUCUCCAGAUAUCCUUAGAGUUUGAAUAUUUGGUACUCUGCCCAAUAUAUCUGGAAUGCAACUACUAGGGUGCAAGGCUGAUAUGAAAAUGAGAUUUUUCAGGGAGCUGCAAUAAUUAUUUGGAGGUGCAGGCAGAGUGAUGGAACCGAAGUUUAGAUGCCUGAGUUUUUGCAUCAUCCAAAUAUCCUCUGAUGACUGAUCUAUGUAGCUAGAUGGCAUUUCUAGUGCUUGAAGGUUUAAAAGGGUGCAUAGCAGCGAAGGAAGGCAUUUGAGCGAAGGGAUAUUCAAUUUCAAGUACUUCAAAAAAUAUAAAUUUUCUAAUCCGGGUGGAAAUUGGUCGAGAACUGCGGAACCCAAGUUCAGUACCCGAAGGUGUUUGAACUUUUUACAAAAGUUCUCGCAAUCUAUCAGAGCGAGAUGAUCGCUUCGUGAACUGUGAAGCAGAAAAGAAUGGAUAUACUUGUCAGAAUAUUCUGGAGGAAAGAACUUAAUCAGACGAUCCAAAAUGAGAUACCGUUUGACAUUUGCCAGUGGUUCCUCUUUCAUGUCAGAUAUCCGGACAAAUUCCGUCUUGUCCGCCACCAAAUACAGUGAAAUAAAUUCAAAACUUGGAACAUAACACGCUUUGAUUGUGCCGUUGGCUCUUCUCUUACUCACUUGAAUGAAGUCGCGGUGGAUUAGUUCUUUUAACCCUCAGCUAUCCACAACUGACAUAAUUGCGUGGUAGAUAUCUCAAUGCCGGGGCGGAAGACACACAAAUAGAUGCAGCAGACUUUCAAGUAAAAAGGUAACUCCCCCACAGAACAAGUUCGACUGAAAACUGUCAAAUUUAUUUUUUCAUUCAUAUAAUUUUCUGAUGGCGCACUUCCAUAGUGUAGGACGAAAAAUUGCCAGGCCUCAUGCUCUAAUCUGAUCAAUGGUCCUUCAAUGAGCACUGAAUCAAGCCGAAUCUUCUCUCCGUUUUCCAUUUCCAACGACGUAAGGAGUUCUGGAUCAGUGAAAUAUCAAUACUCUGCUUCCAUUCCGAUUAUCAGGAAGAACUUCUUCAAGAUCAUCCCAUAUCUCAAUGUUAUCGCAGACAUCAUCAAGCACAAUAAAGUACUUCUUGUUUGUUAGGUAAUCUUGAAGAAUAGAUUUCUUCAAUUGAUAAUCUUCACCGAUAAUUACACUAACCCGAGAUGGAGGCAUCACGGACUUGAUUAUGUCAUCCAAUAUCUUGCCAAAAUCGUAGAGUGAAGAAACCCUGACCCAAGCAAAACCGUCAAAAUAGAACUUGACGUGAUUAUUAUUGUAAGUAUCUGCAGCAAAAGCAGUCUUAUCGAUGCCACGGCUGUCGAGAAUUGCAACCACUGCAAGCCGAGGAUGUCCUUCUAUCAAUAAAUCAAACAACUCCUCUCUGCCCCUUGCAAAUUCAUUGAUAUCAAGCCGAGGUUGUCCCUCACUCAAUAGGCGAAUGGUUUUGUUACAUUGUUCAGUGAUAUCAAAAUCAUUGUCGCCGGGUGGAAGUUGUUGCAUCCGAUUUCUAAUAUCAAUGAUUUCACUGUUGAGUCCAUCAAGAAGAGUCGUAUUAGUACUGCUGUCACUUUCGUUUUCACUGUUUUGCUGCUGCAUGAUUUUGAUGAAGAAUGUGUCAAUGGCUUCCUCAGAUUCACGGACAAAGUCAUUGAUGUCGUUCAGAAUUUCCAGAAUGUCUGCCCUUUUAACAUCUUCUUCAUCGCUUUUUUCUAAGUCCAACAGUUGCAAAGAAGGUAAAGAUAUUUCGGUGUCAUCGAAUUCUUCUCUAAUGAGUUGAAACAAAUCCGAGCCAUGUCAGAGUCAUAGUUUCCCAGCAGUGGUAACAAUAAUUUUGGACUCCGUAAGAAGGUUUUGAAAAAGUGGGGUUAAAUUUGUUGAAUCAGGCAGCGUUAACGGGUCUUCUUCACCUGCUAACACCCUUUUCAACCUCUCACAAAAUAGUCGGAGGUGGACGUCCAGCAUAUCUCAUUCUCUCCGUAGCACCCAGACGUAUUGUUAUUUGCUCCAACAAAUGUUAAAAGGAUUGGUUCUAUCUCAAAGUGGUUUGUGGUGUAAAAUUAAACACUAUGGGAGAAUUUGAAAGGAAGAUGCCAAGAAACCGUGUAAGUGGCUAAUUUCCACAAAUAUGACAUUAUUGCUCAUUUUUAACUCAAAAAAAUGAUAUGCGUUCAUUUAGAGAAAAGUCCAAGACGCUUGCCUUUUAAAAAGAACAGGUAUCCCUAUGCAACCUUUAUCUUAUUUAAUUACUACCAUAUGGUACUUAAAUCUAUUGUUUCUUUUUUAAUUUAAAGAAUUUUUCAUUAAAAAACUAUUUUAAUAUCAAAAUGCCUUCAAUGGCAUAGCUGCCGCAAGCCCAGUAUGAAUUAACAGGAUGAAUUAAAAAUUUUAGAAUUUUUGGGCAUGGAAAGAGUAAUAUUAAACAUUAGAAAGCUAAGCUUGUUCUGUUAAAGAAUUGAUAUUGACAUAAUUUUAUUUUGGUUUUCGGGGAAAAAAAUUAUUCGUUGACAAGCAAGAAACAUUUUUAAUUUUUAAAAUUUAUUAUGCAUAUUUUAUCAUAGUAAAGUAAUUUUAAUAAUAAAUAGAAACAUAAUAUUACAGUAAAUAAAUUAAAGUUUAAAUUAUUUUGAAUGUUAUAAAAAAUAAUUUUAAUAUUAUUAAUAGAAGACAUUUUCUUAAUUUUAAAAUCUUUUUAACCCAAAGGUUUAUUUAAAAUCUUUCUAAUAAAUACAAAUAUAAAAUUAAAAUAAAUAUCAAAAUUUGAAAUUUUUAAUAUUAAAAUUACUUUAAUGUUGUUAGUGACUGUUCGGUACAGCUUAUUUAAUGGCUAUAAGUGCUUAUUUAAUGUCAUAAUGUCAUGGGAUGAGUGUUUUGCACAGCAAAUCCAUGCGGUACUUAGACAACUUUGCCGAAUGUUGCUAAGUAAGCCUUGAGCUUCUCGAACUAGCUAAGCCUAGAGGUUUUCGAAGAGCUAGAGAGAAGAGAGCAAUGAAGCCGAAUGAAGAGAAUUGUAUUACUAACAAGAGAGAUUACAAGAGAGCUUACAAGUGUUUGAGUUGCUUGUACUAAGCUUGUUGCUCAAAUGUCUAAUGCCAUCCCAUAUUUAUAGGGGAGGCUUGCCAAGCUCUAGAGAUUCUAGAGAAUUCUACCAUUUAUAUGUGCCGGAAUUCUAUGGAGUAUUCUAGAGUAUUUACAAGCUCAAAUGCCUUUUAAAAAGAAUAUGUAUACAAUGGCAAUCCAUACUUUAUAAAAUUGAUGGUGAUUACAAAGAAAAAUUGUUUAAAAUAGAUUUAAUGCACAAAUAUGAUGACUUUUGGCAAAAAUUAGUUUCGGAAAUGUUGGGAUGAAAACCAUAUUAAUUGAGAAUUAAAAUUACUUAAUAAAAUUACUUAACUACCAUCUAAUAGAUGAAAACCAUAUCAAUUGAGACUUAAAUUAAGAUUUAAAUGUUGAAAUAUCUAGCAUUACUCACAAUAACCAAUUCAAAUUAUGACUAUCAUGUAGAAGCAAAUGUUUAUGCUUGGGUUUUUUACUUCUUGAAUUUGAUUGGAAAAUUUUCUGAGAUAGAGAAGUGUUUUGGAUAAGCUUUACGGGAUUGAAACCACAAAUUGGUAGAGGAAAUUAAUUUUGGACAAAUUUUUCUUAUAUUGUAGGACCUUCUAGUUGGAGUAGUGAUGCCUUUGUCUUCAUUUUUGGUUCCUUUUGUGUCGGCAGCCCCUUACUAUUCUCUUGACCCUGAGUUUGAGAUAGAAAUUUAUCAACCUCCAACCCCACAUCCACAAACAAGUUGAUUGAAACAAUUACUCUUUUAAUUAAGAGGACCCAAAUGAUUUAGGUUUCAGUUCUUAUCAUUUGUCUAUUAUUUCUUUGAAACAUUUAUUUUGAGCGUUACUGAUCUUAAUUAUCUGUAUUUCUCCAAUUAUUGAAGAAUUUCAAGUGGCCACUUUUUCUCCUUUUUAUAUAUGUUUAUUUUUUGGAGUGAUCAAACGGGUGCAAAAUCAAGUAUUCGCUGGUCUGUAGUUUAGCCAACGAUGGCUGAUCCACACAGUUGAUUAUAUGAUACUAUUAGCUCUCAAAAUCUUUCUUAUUUGAGAACAUAAAUUGCCCAUUGAAGUUAAACUAUGUUACCCAGCUCCAUGCACAUACAUUAAAUGUUUAGGUAGUUUUACAAAAUGAUAACAGCAUGCCAAAACUUGAUGUUGUCAUAUUCGACAUUUCAAAUUGAAAUAUAUGCAAGCAAUCUUCAGUGAACAUUACGUGUUUAUUGAAUAAUUUAAAUGGCCAGUAAAUCAACAGUCCGUGAGUUUUAAAUCUAUUAUGACUUAAUGUAUCUUUCUGUAUUUGUACACGUGUUAUAUUAUCAUAGUUUAAAAUUUUAAUAUUAUUUUAAAUGUUAAAAAUACUUUAAUGCUAUUAGUCUACUACACAGGUUAUAUUAUUUAUAUUAUAUUUGUAUUAAUUAAAACUUUUAAUGUCAAUUUUCUAAUUACUAUAUUGAAAAGGUAUUAUGGUUAAGAAAAAGUUUUGGCAUUUCUUCUUGAAAAUUUGAGGGUUUUCCAAAUUCUAAGGGUAUAGGUUUGAAAAUUUAACGAUCUUUAACUUAAUGAAACAAAAGAGGGAAAUCAAGAACUAUUCAAUUUUGUAUUUUUUGUUUGUAAUUCAAAAAAUACAUCCACCAAACAAGUUUUACGCAUUAAUGCUGUCAUAAAACGAAAAACAGUUUGCCAAAAAAUGGUACCAAACAUGUCCUUAAUGUCUCACAUGAUUUCUUAGUAAGUCCAUAUUAGAUAUAUUUAUACAUUUUAGGUAUUUUAGUUAUAAAAGAAGUUGGACCUCCCCCUGUUUAUAAAAAAUAACUUUAUUUCGAGAUUACCACUAAACUCUUACAUAGAAUUAGUGUAAUGUUAAGAGAGAGUAACACAGUUUUCCAUUACCAUCUUUGAAAAUAGAGAGAUAUGGAUGCGUGCAUUUAAGAGUUACCGUGAAAAUCAUACAAUUCAAUUUCCUGACAUAUAUAUUCAUGGACCAGCACCGAUAUUCUCACACCAAUGAGCACCACAGUUAGCACAAAACGGUUCGUUUUGUGCUAACUAUAAAAGAUUUAACUGUAGCUUGAAAACGCAGACUCAUCUUGCUCAAACGCAGACCACACACGCGCUCGAGUUUCUAAAACGCAAACGCAAACGCAAACUACACACACACUCAUCUUACUGGACCACAACACUCUCUCUCACCGUGGGUCUCUCCACAUUUGGCUUGGCUGUCAGUUGUUUCUCUCCCAACCCCGUGGAUUGCAUUCUCACGGCACUUCUGGAAUUUGAGACUUAGCUGCAGCUUCACUCUCUCGGCUGUCGGAAUUGAUUUGUGGAGGUAAUUUAUGCAAACGCAAACCACACACACACUCAUCUCAGUUGACCACAACACUCUCGCUCGCCGUGGGUCUCUCCACAUUUGGCUUGGCUGUCAGUUGUUUCUCUCUCCACCCCGUGGAUUGCAUUCUCACGACACUACUGGAAUUUGACACCUAGCUGCAGCUUCACUCUCUCGUUAUGAAUUUAUGUUAAUUUUGCUGUCUUCAGAACUGCCUGUUGUGGUCGAGUACAAGAUUGCGGAGAUGGGUUAUGUUAGAUUCUACUUGACACCAAGAUAGAAGAAGAUGAGGAUGAGACCAAGCCUCUAGCUUAAGUGUCAUUUGGUACAUAUGCUAUGGCAUUUUGUUGAAUCGAGUUACUCCUACAUUUUAAGUUUGCUUUUAGAAUAUUUCUCGUAAAUUUUCAUGUUGAAAAACCAAUCAUUUGUAGUUAAGUAGAUUGAUAAGAAUUCGUUUCUUGUGCUUGGUUUUUUAUCCUACUGUUGCACAUGGCCAGACAGCUGGUUGCACAUCAGAUUCAAGAGCUGUAAAUUUUGAGGCUGAGGAAUCUCAGCUGGGAUUUCAUGUGAUAACAUAUUAUCAGAUAGAUCCAGCAACUGCAAUGAAGUAAUGUUGCCAAUUUCCGCAGGAAGCUUGCCUUGAAAGUUGUUCUGAUACAAAAACAUUAUCUCCAAUAGCUCAAGCCUCCCAAGUUCAGCUGGAAUCUCCCCACCAAGAUUACCAACGGCCAAAUCAAGAUACUUCAGGUUGGUAAGAUUCCCAAAUUCCACUGGGAUUUCACCUUCAAAUUCAUUGUAUCCAAGAAUCAUAGUCUCCAUGGAUGAAAGUUGCCCAAGCUCUCGCGGUAUCUUGCCAGUGAGAUUAUUCCCAGAUAGAUUGAUAAGAAUUCGUUUCUUGUGCUUGGUUUUUUAUCCUACUGUUGUACAUGUAAUUGAUUCAUUUGUAAUCUUUGUUGCUUUCAAAGGUAGGCUUCAAUUGAGUUGAAACUUUAAAAAAUUUAUAAAAAAUGAACCGCAAAUAAAAGAUAGCAUCAUAUUGGGUGACAAAAUGUUCUCGAGGAUGAUCCUGAUUAAUGCUGUGUAUUUCGCAAUGUAAUUACUUGCUGAUCAAUUUAAUUGAAUUGAUUAACACAUUGGUUUGAGUUUUGAUACUGCUGCUCUGUUUUUGGGUUAUUUGAAGAUCGCAUUUUUGCAGGAACUGGUAAAUUGGACACGUUAACAAAAACUUCUCACGUAUUACUGAAAUAAUAACUGUUAUAUUUCAGCCCUUAUGCACAGAACACAAUGGUUGCAAGCAAAUCAACUCAUAACUUACACAAUGGUUGCAAGCAAAUCAAUUCAUAACUUGUAAAUAAAUAAACCCCAAAAAAUUGGGCAUUAAUUUCCAUUUUCCAGCAUAUAACAAUUUCUAGCAGCAAGUUUUAACAGCAGAUAACUUCCGACAACAACUCAUCCCAAAAUCAGCAACUCAUAACUCACAACACAAUAGCAUUUUGCUAAUUUCCAAUAGCAAGAUGCGUGAGAGAGACCCACGACGAGAGAAAGCCGAAGGAGAGAGCAGCGAGAUGCGCGAGAGGCCAGAUGAGAGAGACCCACGGUGAGAGAGAGAGCCACAGCCGAAGAGUGACCCACGCUCAAGAGAGAGAGCCACAGCCGAAUAGAGACCCACUCUUGAGAGAGAGAGAGAAAACCAAAGGAGAGAGCAAUCCCACGAUCCGUUUUGUGAGGCGAGUGUGUGAGGAGAGUGUGUUAGUUUUGAAGCUACAGUAUUUUCUUUUAGAGUUAGCACAAAACGAUGGUGCUAACUGCUAAGCGUGGUGCGUUUCUCAUUUUCCAUUCAUGGCCGUAUGCCAAAAGAAUAAAUAGACAGAAAGUAAAUUUACAGUCCUCACUUCCUCACAAUUGUUAACGUGAAGAUGCAUUACAACCGUGAACUGUCACUACUUUAGCCUUUUUUUUUUUUUCAAUUAUGGUGUGAUGGAGACAUUAAGGAUGAGCAUAAAAGUUAAAGAUGACUCAUUUUCUUUUUAAAGUGCUCUGCUGAAAGCCAAACUUCCUUUGGCUAAUUAAUUUAGAAGUAAAGCAGAGAAUAAAGUCUUAGAUGCCUUCUGAAAUUAGAAAUACAUUUUAUAUGCUUUAAUUAUGAUUAUUUGGUAGACUAAAGACCUAAAAGAUAUGUCAAAAGUAUAAAACAGAGCGAUUAAAGAAAAAAAGAAAAAAAAAAAACAGAGUAUUUGUGACGUAGAAUAACAAUUGGUAAAUAAAUCCUAAAUAUUUGAGUUGUUUAAAGCAAAUAUAACAGAGACGGUAAGAGAGAUGCAGAAACAGAAAACUAUUAGCCCUCUAUAUUCAUUUUCGAUGCUUUUCAAUCGAGAUUCUUUUAAUUCUUCUGGUGUCUGCAGCCCCGGCUCCUCUUAUAGAUCUCCAUCCCACAUCUGCACUACGAACAAGUUGAUUAAAGUUAAAUAAUGUUGGAGAUGUGGGGUGAGCCGUCAAUUUGGUAAAAAAUAUUAUGUAUAAUAUUGUUAAUAAUAUAAAAUAUAUAAUAAUAAUUACAAAGAAUCAUAAAUUAGAAAAAUUAAUUAUUUUACAAUCUAUUUCUUAAGUAAGAUAGAUCUCGUAAUAAGUUAAGUUAUAAUGUAAAAAAUAUUUUCAAUUUAUAAUCAUUUAAGAAGUCAUUUAACAAUAAAAUUUUUCUUUUUUUGAUCAAUUGGUCAUGCUACAGAGUAUCAUCUAUAUUCGUAGUGAUAUUAUUAUUACUCCGUAUUCUCAAAAAACCCGAUUUAACAUUUAGAAAAAGUUCCUACCUUUUAAAAAGAACAUGUAUGCAACAGCUACCCAUACUUUAUCUUACCACGACAAAACUAAUAGGGACUAAAUCAAAUUUCUCGAAUAAAGCAAAAUUUCUUAAAAUUAAUUUAAUAUACAAAUAUGAUGACUUUUUGCAAAAAUUAGUUUUGGAAAAUUAGUGACAGAAAAUAGUAACGAUUAUUAUUUAGAUGUGUAAAUAGCCUAAACAUGAUCCCUAGUACCAAUAUCCACGUGCAUCUUAACAUCUUUCGUCAUAUUCUUUCAUUCAUGGCCACUGGUUCAAGAUUUGAAUUUGAUCAUUAAAUCAUGUUCAAUAAUAUUAGAGAUUCCAACAAUUGAGCACCAACUUAAAUCCCAAUGCUAUGUGUCAUUAACAAAUGUUGUGUCAUUUAUAAUUAUUGAAUGAAUAAUUCGUUAAUUUAUUGAUAAACAAAAAUUUAUUAAUUUAAAGAGAGAUUUUUUUUUUUGGUUUUAAGAAGAGUUUUGCUGGUACAUGUACAUACUUAUAAAGAAAUAAACUUGUAAUUAUACUAUAUCUUUCUUUCUUUGUUUAUUUUGGUGGGAUAUUGUGAUAAAUCAUUGGAUUAAAAUGCAUUUAAAAAUAAAACUUGUUAAAAUCUAAUUUAUUUGGAAAACGCAUAUUAUUUGUCAGUCGUACUUCUCAACUUAGCAAGUUAUUUCUAACUUGUCAGUCUCUAUUGGUUCUCUAAAAGCUAAUAGUCUCGAAUCUCCCGGAUUUGAUAUCUUGCCAUUACUGUUGGCAUUAACAUGUUACCUGAGAAAUGAUAUUUUUUGUGGUGUUGAUAAAGAGGUUAAAUAUGAUUCAACAAUUUAAAAUAUGAAAACAUAUGGAAGACGGCCGCAAUUAAAUUGAUUGUAUGAAAAUAUUUCAAUGAAAUUUUAAAAAUUUGGUACUUGUUAUCUUAUCGAGAGUUUUUUUAAAUUAUAUUACUACUUGAACUUAACUGCUUUUGUAUUGAAUUCCUAGCGUUGCCAUUGCUUCUACUCAAAAGCCAUUUAAGUUUGUGUAAGCUACGUAUAGUUUGAACAACAAUUUACUCAUGAAUUGUUGUUCACAAUAGCAAGUCGGGGGUUUAAAUGGAGUACUUCUAAGCAUAAAACAUUGAUUAAAACAGAAUACACACAUACAUACCAGCAAAUUCAAAAUAGCAAAAGGAGUGCAAAAGUUCAAAUUUGUAGACAACAUUGCAACCAUGGCAUGUUUAUAGCAAAUCCUCGAAAUCUGCUAAAUAAAACAAUGCCCUGUCUCAUGAAUCAAUGCUGAAUUAAAAUUGAAACUGAAAGUCUGGCUGGCGUUGUUUCCCUCUCCAAUUUUGCCUACAUAAGUGAAAAUAAGAAUAAUAAAUGAAAAUCUGCUUUUACGGUUCUUAUUAGAUAGAUAAAAGGGGGAUCUUUCUUUGUUUCUCUGCUGCAAAGUGUGGCUAUCCCACUCUGUUUUGCCACCCAAGCUGAGUCUAUGUUGAGACAUAAUUUUGACAUCAGAAGCAAUCUCAAUUAGUUUGGCACUUUUAUGACCUCCUUGAAGGUUUUACGAUAAACAUAAAUCUACUGAGAAAGUGAGAAAAAAAAAGAAAAUGCAUAUAAAAAUAUGAGUUAUCAGAUAAGAUUAAACUUCACCCAAUUCAAUCCAUCAGAUUCCGUAAGGAUAUAACUGGAUUUCAUACCGCCACUCCAUAUCCUCGAAAGUCCGUAGUCCUUGUCUCAACUGUGUCUGGGGCCAGUGUAAGUCCAAUUUGCGCAAGCUCUUUAUGCACCACAGCUCUUCUGGAAGCUUUCUCAAGUAAGCACAUGGGUUGACAAUUAAGCUUUCAAGUUUGGGCAUUGCUCCAGCCCCCAUCGUCCACUCAUCUAGCCAAUACAUUGAUUUGAGGUGCAAAACCUUAAGUUCGGGAAAGCUACUCAAGCCAACACAAGCAAGCUUUCUUCCUAAAUACGAGUUCUGCUUCAGUUUCAGCACUCGAAGGCGUGGAAGAUUUUCCAGAAUUGGCAUGGGAUCCUCCAUUAACUCAGUAUUUGAUAAGCUCAGUUGGAUCAGACUUGGGGGAAAUUGGUAUUCAGACAGGACCAUCCGUGAGGGCUUGCUCUCAUUCACCAGCUUCAAGCAUUCAAGUUUGUGGAGUUCGCAAAGGCUUUUGGAAACCCCAGAUUGAUAGUAACUCAAAUCUCCAGAUAUCCGAAGAGUCUGAACACUAGGUAGUCUGCCCAAUAUAUCAGGAGUACAACUACUAGGGUUUAAAGCUGAUAUGAAAAUGAGAUUUUUCAGAGAGCUAGAAUAAUUUUUUGGAGGUGCGGGCAGAGUGAUAGAACCAAAGUUUAGAUGCAUGAGUUUUUGCAUCAUCCAAAUAUCCUCUGGUGACUGAUCUAUGUAGCUAGAUGGCAUUUCUAGUGUUUCAAGGUUUAAAAGGGUGCAUAGCAGUGAAGGAAGGCAUUUGAGCGAAGGGAUAUUCAAUUUCAAAUACUUCAAAAGAUAUAAAUUUUCUAAUCCGGGUGGAUAUUGGUCCAGGACUGCAGAACCCAAAUUCAAUACCCGAAGGUGUUUGAACUUUUUACAAAAAUUCUCGCAAUCUUUCGGAUUAAGAUGAUCGCUUGCCGAACUGUGAUUCAGAAAAGAUUGGAGAUACAUGUCAGAAUGUUCUAAAGAUAAAAACCCAGUCAGAUCUUCGGCAAUGACGCACCGUUUAACGUUUGCCACUGGCUCCUCUUCCCCGUCAUGCAUCAAGACAAAUUCCGUCUUCUUUGCCACAAAAUACAAUGAAGUAUAUACAAAACUUGGAACAUAACACGCUUUAAUUGUGCCUCCGGCGCUUCUCUUACUCACUUGAAUGAAGCCGCGACGGAUUAGUUCUUUCAUGUAAUGUUCGGCAGUUUCUUCACCGUUGUAUGGUAUGAAACCUUCAGCUACCCACAACUGAUAUAAUUGCUCCGUAGAUAUCUCAAUACUUGGAAGGAAGACACACAAAUAGAUGAAGCAGACUUUCAAGUGAAAAGGUAACUCCAUCACAGAAAAAAUUUGUCUCCAAACUGUCGGAAUCGCUUCGCCUUGAAGAUAAUUUUCUAAUGGCAUACUUCCAUAGUGUAGGAUGAAAAAUUGCCAGGCUUCAUGCUUUAAUCUGAUCAAUGGUCCUCCAAAGAGCACUGAAUCACGCCGAAUCUUCUCUCCGUUUUCCAUUUCUAACGACGCAAGGAGGUGUGGAUCACUGACCAACAUCAAUACUCUGCUUCCAUUCUGAUUAUCAGGAAGAACUUCUUCAAGAUCACUCCAUAUCUCACUGUCAUCGAAGACAUCAUCAAGCACAAUAAAGUACUUCCUGUUUGUUAGGUAAUCUCGAAGAAUAGAUUUCUUCAAUUGAUAAUCUUCCCCGAUAAUUACACUAACCCGAGAUGGAGGCAUCACAGACUUGAUUAUGUCAUCCAAUAUCUUGCCAAAAUCGUAGGUUAUAGAAACCCUGACCCAAGCAAGACAGUCAAAAUAGAACUUGACGUGAUCAUUAUUGUAAGUAUCUGCGGCAAAAACAGUCUUGUCGAAGCCACUGCUGUCGAGAAUUGCAACCACUGCAAGCCCAGAUGGUCCCUCAAUCAAUAGAUCAAACAACUCCUCUCUGCCCCUUUCAAAUUCACUGAUAUCAAGCCGAGGAUGUCCCGCACUCAAUAGGCGAAUGAUUUCGUUACUUUUUUCACUGAUAUCAAAACCAUUGUCGCCGGGUGGAAGUUGUUGCAUCCGAUUUCUAAUAUCAAUGAUUUCACUGUGGAGUCCAUCAAGAAGAGCCAUAUUAGUGCUGCUUUCACUUUCGUUUUCACUGUUUUGCUGCUGCAUGAUGUUGAUGAAGAAUGUGUCAAUGGCUUCCUGUGAGUCACGGACAAAGUUAUUGAUGUCCUCCAGAAUUUCAAAAAUAUCUGCUGUUUCAACGUUUUCUUCAUCGCUUUCUUCUAAGUCCAACAGUUGCAAAAAAGGCAAAGAUAUUUUGGAGUCAUCGAAAUCUUCUCUAAUGAGUUGAAACAAAUGCCGAGCCAUGUCAGCUUCAUAUUUUCCCAGCAGAGUAGUAGCAAUAAUUUCGGACUCCGUAAGAAGGUUUUGAAAAAGUGGAGUUAAAUUUGUUGAAUCUGGCAGCGGCAACGUGCCUUCUUCACCUGCUAACACCCUUCUCAACCUCUCACAAAAUAGUCGGAGGUGGACGUCCAGCAUAUCUCCUUCUCUCUGUAGCACCCAGAGGUAUUGUUUUUUGCUCCAAGAAAUAUUAAAAGGAUUGGUUCUAUCUAAAAGUGGUUACUGGUGUAAAAUUAAACGCCAUGGGAGAAUUUGAAAGGAAGAUGCCAAGGAACUGGCGAAGUGGCUAAAUUCCACAAAUACGGCAUUAUUGCUCAUUUUUAACUCAAAAAAUUGAUACGCGUUCAUUUUGCGAAAAGUCCAAGACGCUUGCCUUUUGAAAAGAAGAGGUAUCCAAUAGAUAUCCAACCUUUAUCUUAUUUUAAUUACUACCACGACAUGAUUGAUGGUGGUUAAAUCAAUUGUUUCUUUUUUAAUUUAAAGAAUUUUUCAUUAAAAAAUAUUUUAAUAUCAAAUUGCCUUCAAUAGCGUAACUGCCGCAAGCCCAGUAACAGGAUUAAUUAAUUUUUUUUGAAUUUUUGGGCAUGGAAAGAGUAGUAUUAGACUUCAGAAAGCUAAGGUUGUUAUGUUAAAGAAUUGAUAUUGACAUAAUUUUAUUUUGGCUUUCGGGGAAAAAAAUAUUUGCUGACAAGCAAGAAAAUAUUUUUGUAUUUUACAAUUUAUUAUACAUAUUUGAUCAUAUUAAAGUAAUUUUAAUAAUAAAUAGACACAUAAUAUUACAAUAAAUAAAGUAAAGUUUAAAUUAUUUUGAAUAUUAUAAAAAAAUAAUUUUAAUAUUAUUAAUAGGAAGACAUUUUGUUAAUUUUAAAAUCUUUUUAACCUAAAGGUUUAUUUAAAAUCUUUAGAAAUCUCCAUCCCACAUCUACCCUAUUAAACAAGUUGAUGGAAAUUGAACAAUUGCUUUUUAAAGUGGGACCCAUUGAGUUAUGUUCAUUACUGGUCAUUGUCUAUUCUUUCUAAGAGCCACUUGUUUUGAGCAUUAGCAAUCCUAUCUGGACUACUCCAAUUAUUGAUGUAACUCCAAUGGUUGCAUCGACAGUUGAAUAUAAGAGGAUGGUCCAUCGACAAUUUCUUUGUUUCUCCGUUGCAGCGUAUUAGUAUAAAUUUCUUUACCUAACAGUUCAUACAGUCUUCCUGUUAAUGAAUUCACUGAGGCAUUAUUGAUACAAUGUGCUUUUCGCUAAUUAAUUAUGAUUAUAUACGCUUUCAUAUAGCAAGUGGCAUUGUAGAUCUAAACUAAGUUGCUAUUUCAAUACGUUAAUUAAGUGAUUCUCCUCAUUGUCAUCAGCAUUAUACCCUCUAGGAAAAUAGCUCAAUUGUUUCUCUGCAUUGAUUUUCAUUGGUAAGUGAUUUCUUAUGAAAUUCUUUUGAGCUUUCCUUAUUAAAAAUGCUUGAGCUUUUAUCACCUAAUACGGAUAUCAAUUAACUUGUGAACGAUUUUGUAAUGAAACUAGGAGUUAAAUAAGAUUUUUACAUGAUGAUCAACUUGUUAAUUUUGUAUAUUUCAUAUUCAACAGGAUUUGGGCACGGAACGUUUGGAUUCUAAUAUUUAUAUAUUUAGUUUUAAUCAGUUUGACUUUCGUAAUCUUUCUCGCCUCAUCAUUAAGGGAUUAAGAAUUAGAGAAACAUUAGAAACAGGAAGAAAAUAACUUCAGAAAUAAGUAAGAGGGAAUCCAAUGAGAAAUAUGAUAAGAGAACGUCAAUUACUUGUCAUUUUCUAUUUUUUCUAUGAGAUAUUUAUUUUGAGCAUUAGUUAUAGCAAAUCCUUGAAAUCUACUAAACAAAACAAUGCCCUGUCUCAUGAAUCGAUGUUGAAUUACAGCUGAAAUUGAAAGUCUGGCACCAGUUAUAGCAAAUAUUGAAUUACAAUAUUUCCCUUGCCAAACCGUACCUGCAUGUGGCAACGUGCCUUCUUCACUUGCUAACACCCUUUUCAACCUCUCACAAAACAGUCGGAGGUGGAAUUCCAGCAUAUCUCCUUCUCUCCGCAGCACUCAGAGGUAUAGUUGAAAGAUUAAACACCAUGGAAGAAUUUGAAAGGAAAAUGCCAAGAAACUGUGUAAGUGGCUAAAUUCCACAAAUAUGACAUUAUUGCUCAUUUUUUAACUCAAAAAAAGGGUACGCGUUCAUUUAGAGAAAAGUCCAAGACGCGUGCUUUUUAAAAAGAACAGGUAUCCAACCUCUAUCUUAUUAAAUUACAACCAUGACAUAAUUGAUGGUGCUUAAAUCAAUUGUUUCUUUUUUAAUUUAAAGAAUUUUUCAUUAAAAAAAUAUUUUAAUAUCAAAUUGCCUUCAGUGGCGUAACUGCCUCAGGCCCAGUAACAGGACUAAUUAAAAAUUUUACAAUUUUUGGGCAUGGAAAUAGUAGUAUUAAACAUUAGAAAGGUAAGGUUGUUCUGUUAAAGAAUUGAUAUUGACAUAAUUUUAUUUUGGUUUUCGUGGAAAAAAAAUUUGUUGACAAGUAAGAAAAUAUUUUUAUUUUUAUAAAAUUUAUUAUGCAUAUUUAUCAUAUUAAAGUAAUUUUAAUAAUAAAUAGAAACAUAAUAUUACAAUAAAUAAAUCAAAGUUUAAAUUAUUUUGAAUAUUAUAAAAAAUAAUGUUAAUAUUAUUAAUAGGAAGACAUUUUGUUAAUUUUAAAAUCUUUUUAAUCCAAAGGUUUAUUUAAAAUCUCUAUAAUAAAUACAAAUAUAAGAUUAAAAUAAAAAUCAUAAUUUGAAAAUUUUAAUAUUAUUUUAAAUGUUAAAUAUACUUUAAUGUUAUUAGCCUACUACGUAAAUUUUAUUAUUUAUAUUAUAUUCGUAUUGAUUAAAAUUUUUUAAAGUCAAUUUUUUAGUUAGUACAUUCACGAGGUAUAAUAGUUAAAGAAAAAAUUUUGGUGCAACUGUUUUAAAAUUUCAGGGUAUAAAUGAUAAUUUUUUUAAAAAUUUUAAGUAGGUAUUAUUUUUCCGACAAUUUAUUUUAUUGAGGGAAACCCGAUGAGAAAUAUCAUCAGAGAACAUUAAUUUAACAUUCUUUACCUUUAUGAAAAAAGUGGAAACCAAGAACUAUUCAAUUUUUUUUUUUUUGUGUAAUUCAAAAAAUGCAUCCACCAAACAAGCUUAUCUUAAUUUUCCCACUUUAUUCAUUUUCGAUGCUUUUCAAAAGAGGUUCCUUUAAUCCAUCUAGCAUCUGCAGCCCCCACUAUUUUUACAAAUCUCCAUCCCACAUCUACACUAUCAAAAAAGUUGAUGGAAAUUGAACCCAUUAAUUAAGUUAUGUUCAUUACAGGUCAUUAUCUUUCUAUGAGCCACUUAUUUUGAGCAUUAGCGAUCUUAUAAGGAAUCAUGCCUUUUCCGGAUCGUUUUCUUUCAUUUCCUUAUUGACUUAUUGUAGUAGUUAAUUAAAUAAAGAACGAACAAGUGAACUUAAUUUGUCUAUUUCGAGGAAGAACAAGGUUUCCAAUACUAGAGGAACUUUGAAGAAAAUUAAUUGGAAGCCUUUAUUCAUCUUUGAAGAAAAUUACCACACUUUAAAUCCUGGAUUAAAAAAAAUUUAUUCAUCUUCGGACUAUGAAUUUAUAAAAUAAUAUUGCUAGGACUAAGAAAAAAAUAUUAUUUUAGAUACGUUAUUUAUUUAUUAUUGAAUGAAAAAUUUAUCAUGAUAAAUAAAAUUUCUUAAUUUAAAGAGAGAUUUUUUUUUUGGUUUUAAGAAGAGUUUUUUUGGUACAUGCACACACUAAUAAAGAAACACAAAAAGUGCUUCCUCAAGUCAAUAGUAUUUACUUUAAUCGCUAAGGUGCAUAAUAAUGUAGCUUAGUUAGGAAAUUUGUAAUUACAUUAUGGCUCCGUUUGGUAUAACUUUUUAAUUAGAACUUAUUUAAAGAGAAUUUAUAUUAGUAGAGUUUUUAUAAAUAGAGAUUUUUUUUAUAAAAAAAAUUAUAGUUAUUUAGUUAUCAAUGUCCAAAUUGAUGAAGUAUUGUUCUUUUUAUUAACAUGUGUUUGUUUUACUUAAUAAUAAAAGUUUAGUUUACAAUUACACCGGUGUCAAAUCAGCAGAGCAUCGGCAAGAGUUUUCGAUUGUUGCAAUUUGCAAUGCACGCGGUGAGAGAAAAUGAGAAUCUUGUUUAAUUGUCAAUAAUGACAAACCUAAUCCUUUCAUUAGGAGUAAAUUAAUAAUCGUUGGUUAUAAUUGAAUAUGUAUAAAGAAAGGAAAAUUAUAUUCAUAGAUUUGACUUAUUUUUUAUUUAACGUAACUAAUCAUUCAACCAUCUUCGUUUGCCUCUGGCCAAUGCCCUUGUAGAUUAGUUGAAGCGUUAAUUACAUAAUUCAGAUAAUUACAACGUCCUUUUCGCUAAUUAAUUAUGAUUAUGUACAUUUUCAUAUAGCAAGUGGCAUUGUAGAUCUAAACUACGUUGCUAUUUCAAUACGUUAAUUAAGUGAUUCUCGUCAUUGUCAUCAGCGUUAUAAACAGGAAUUAUGCAAACAGUACACAAUGCUGCAGCAAGGCGUGGUUGGCUAGAGUUUUGCAACCACCCUCGAGAUCAUGUGCUGCCAGUAGUAAAAGAAUUUUACGCCAAUUUGGUAAGCCUUGGUCAGCACAAUAUUUGGGGUAAGAAACUCACUUGUUCCAUUAGACUCUCGAGUUAUAAAUGUUUUUUAUAAUUUACCUGCUGAAAUUAAUUGUGAGUAUGCCAAGUUGCUUGACAAAUUGACCUCACAACAAUGGAACACAAUUUUCACGACACUUACAGUAGAGGGUGCAUCGUGGGCUAAUGAGGAGGGGCGUGUAAUUAACAGGAUAGAUUUAAAACUCAUUGCUAAGGUGUGGGUGAAAUUUCUGAAAUCUAGGCUUAUGCCAACCAUCCACACCAUUACUGUUUUACAGGAAAGGUUGGUGCUGUUACAUGCUAUUGUUAGAGGGCUUUCCAUAGAUGUGGGAAGUAUUAUCGAAAAAGAAAUUCGAGAUUGUACCAUGAAAAACCACAAGGUUGUUGCCUUGUUAUUUCCUUCACUCAUAACCAGCAUAUGUGUAGUAUCGGGUGUUCAUCUUGAUGCAAAGGAUAAAAUUUGUAAUUAUAUUAUGGCUCCAUUUGGUAUAACUUUUUAAUUCGAACUUAUUUAAGGAGAUUUUUAUUAGUAGAGCUUUUAUAAAUAGAGAUUUUACUAAAAAAAAAUUAUAGUUAUUUAGUUGUCAAUGUCCAAAUGGAUGAACUAUUGUUCUUUUUGUUAACAUGUGUUUGUUUUACUUAAUAAUAAAAGUUAAGUUCACAAUUACACCGGUGUCAAAUCAGCAGAGCAUUUUUGCAGGGGUAAAAUCUCAUUUAGUCCCUAUAUUUUAAGCUUAGUAUCCAUUUGGUCCCUAUAUUUUUAAAAAUACCUCAAAACAUCCCUACCGUUAAAGUAUUGAUACCCCUACCGUUAAAGUAUUGAUACCCCUACCGUUAUCUUUAAUUUAUUUUGGCUUACUUUUACAAUAUUACCCUUUUAUAAUAAUUUUUUUAGACAUGAAUAAAAAAUAAUAAUUAAAUUACCAAUUUAACCCAAAAAAAAUUAAAAAAAAAAUUAUAUUAAUUUUUUUUGCAAACACCAUUUGCACACUUGAUAGUUUGCAUACAAUUUUAGAUAAUUAAAUUUCAACACAAGACUGAGUUUUUCAUCAUUCAAACUUCUCAUGUCUAAACUUUAUUUAUUGAGGUGCUAAAAGAUAAAUAUAUUGGCAAUUGGGAAAUGAAGUCAAUGAUAAGUUUGAUACAACCGUUGAUUAAAUAUCAUUAAAAAAAAAAAAGUACCUACAACUAGAAGUUAAAAAAAAAUGUCACCAUAGCCCACGUAUAAAUCCAUUUUGUAGUGCGUCAAAACUUAUGAAUAUCCUCUUGAAGUACGUCGCUACACCUUAUGUUUCAUAUUGAAUUUUCACCAUUGCCCUUUUAUUCUUUAUAAGAAGAACGUUGGCAUAGUCAUGUAACUUUGCAUAAGAUUUUGUGUAGUCACUAUCAGCAAUUUUUAGAACCCUUUUUUUGGCCAUAUACAGCCUUUUCUUUGUAGUUGAACAAGAAAACCUCUUCCUCAAUUCAUCUGACAUGGAUUCACAACCGAUAUCAGGAUUAAAACUAAUAAAACCAUACAAUUUCUGAGCUAUCCAUCUACUAGUUACUUCAGGAUUCUUAAACAGCUCUUUGCACUUAUGUUCACCACCUUUUAAAGUUUUAAUCUGGAAUGUAACUUUGUCAACCAAUAAAGAUGCAUGGAUUCUCCAUGGACAUUCCUUUCCUUCUUUGUCCUUCCCAGCACACACGGCUGUAACUCUACAUUUGUCAUUCUUUUUCCUUUUCAAAACUCUUGACUCUUGAAUAGCAUAAUCCUUCAAUACAUUCUUAAACUCUUGAGCACAACUAAAAGUUUGCCCAACUUCCAAAACAAUAUCAUCAUCACCAUCGGGUUCUUGAACUUUUUUUUCUUAAAUCCCUUUUCAUCUUCAAUAUUAUAGCGUCAUCUUCUUCAUCACUUGUAAUAGAUACAUCUUCAUUAUCACUCUCACAAUCUGACAUGCCAUCAUCUCCAUCAAAUUCAUUAAUAUCAAACCCUAAAUCAACUUCAGGUUCACUAUCAGACUUAACAAUAUCACCAAUAUCUUCAUCAGACCAGUCAAUAGACUCAACACUGAUUGCAUCAUCACUUUCACCAUCUAAAAUACAAACAUUAACUGCAUUUGAGGCAAAAUGAUUAUCUUCAGGGCGAGUUUGAGCUAAAACGGGUGACAAGCUGGCCAAGGAUAACGCAUCCAUCUCCAAAUUAAUAGAAUUAAGACCCUUGGCUUGAAUUAAGUUAACCAAAUUCUGGAAGUCUUUAUCAUUAUUCAAUUCAAUCCCUUCAUUGGACCAUGGGACAAUGCCAGUAAGCUUAAAGCUCUCAUCAUAAUGCUUGUGCCUUCCAAAGACAUUAUUCAAGACAUCGUUGAUGAGGGAUACAAGAAUCAAGCAAUCAGGAUCAUAAGCAUCCUCCACAUCUUUGCCUAAAAAUCGAACUGAAAUGCUGAUUUGACUCAUUUUGAAUCUGCCAACAUAAAGAUGAACAAAAAAUAUCAGAAACUUAAAACUAUUACAUACGAAAUCAUAAAAUACAAAAUCGACAUUAUAGAACUUUAUAUGAUUAUGAUUUUUUUUUACAAAAAAAUACUCAAUCAAGUGAAGUUAAAAUAAUUUCUUUUCGAUUACAAAUCAAUUCCACUACCAAUAUUAAGCUACGAAACAACCAUGAAAGGGUUAAAAAAAAGAAAGAAAGAAAACAAAAACCGUUCAACUUUUAGUCUACUGCAAAACAAAAACCGUUCAACUUUUAGUCUACUUCAUAUGGAAUUUUAGUCUUGGGAAGAAAUACCCAUUCAAGUGGAAAAAAAAAUAAUUUCUUUUCAUUGAACACAUGGAAGAUUAAAAAAAUAAAUAAAUAAACAAGACCAAUGUGAGACGUACCAGAAUAGGCCAAUUUCCUUCGUUGUCGGUUUUGACAUCUACUGCAAGACUACGUUUCCAAUAGAAAAAAUUUUACAGCAAUAAAAUUGUUAUGAGUUUUAAAAAAGCAAGUCACUUAAGUUCUUAAAGCGAGGGUUUUAAAGAAUAUUAGGGUUAAAAUACGUUUUUGCGAUUAUGGAUCUAGGUUAUCGUAAUAAUUUUUUAAAAUUUUAAAUUUUACCAAGAAAAAUACAUUUUUACCCUCAUUAAUCUAGAAUUAACAGUAACGGAGGUGAUGCUAAGGGUGUUUUGAGGUAUUUUUAAAAAUACAAUGACUAAACAGACAUUAAUCUAACGCUUUUUCUCCCAUGUAAAUUCUUAAUGUCGUUUUUCCAUAGUAUAGGAUGUAAAAUUGCCAGGAUUCAUGCUUUAAUCUGAUCAAUGGUCCUCCAACGAGAACUGAGUCAGGAUGAAUCGUCUGUCCAUUUUCCAAUUCGAACGAGGAAAGGAAGGCUGGAUCAGUGACCGUUAUAAUUACUCUACUUCCAUUCUGAUUCUCAGGAAGUACUUCUUCAAGAUCAUCCAAUACGUCGUCACCCUCUUUGUAGUAAUCAUCAAGCACAAUAAAGUACUUCUUGUUUGUUAGGUAAUCUCGAAGAAUAGAUUUCUUCAAUUGAUAAUCUUCACCGAUAACUACACUAACCCGAGAUGGAGGCAUCACAGACUUGAUUAUGUCAUCCAAUAUCAUGCGAAAAUCGUAGGAUAUAGCAACCCUUGUUAGGAAAUUGAGCUUCCUCCCAAGAUCACUCCAAGCAAUUUAUCAAGCAACAAAUUAACAGAAAAAUUUAAUGGAGAAUACAUCAAUCACACAACACAAGAUUUACGUGGAAAACUCUAAAUCCGGAGAAAAACCACGGCCGUUGUCAAAAAGACAACCAGAGAAAAUAUUCACUAUAUGGAAAAUUAUUACAACCACACUCUCAAAAAUAAUUUUCUCUCACCCAAGCCCCAAAUACAUAAUCCUGAGAAAUAUCCCUUAACAAAGCAAACCCGUAAUACCCAUAUUACGGAGCCAAAUGCUCCUUCAAUAUAACUACAUGCUUAAGAACUUUUCUCUCUCUCAAUUUCUCACCAAAACUUGGAUUCCUUCUCUGGGAUUUGGAUUGCUUCUCUCAAUGGCCAACAGUUCAUGUCUAUUUUCUUUAGCAAAGCCGAAGCUCAUUGCUACUCAUUUCUCAUCAAAUGACAUUCCAAUUUAUAGCCAAACUAUCACACCAAAAAUCUAAUAAGUCGGCAACAACUUUCUUCCUUUUUUACAAAUUCAUCAUGCGGUUCAAAAUUGGCAUUUUGCUUGUCAAAGUCCAUCCACCCAUUUGAAUGCAAUCAAUGUGUUCCCAUUUCACUUUUCCUUUUUUUUUAAUCAAUUUCAACAAUCUCCACCUUGAUUAAAAAAAAAAUUCAUAACUACUGCUACAAAACACUGUCUUCACCAACAGUCAUAAUUCUUAACAUAGAGAAUUAUCAUACUCCACCAUAAAGAGUAUACCACUUAGAAACAACCAUUCUAAGAUUUUUCUCGGCACAUGUCAAAAUAUCUUGCUGAAAUUUAUGGUACAAUUCUCAUGCUUGGUUUCCCUAAGAAUUCUUCAGCCAUGACAUAACUUUUCCACUACACACCUUGCAUUUAUACCAAGCCAAUGCCCGCGUGCAAACUUGUGGACCCCGCUGAUCAUAGCAUGUUCUCUUUCAUGACAACUUGGAGAUUUACAUGCCAAAAGAACUAACCCAAUCUCCUAUCAAAAGGAAACUCACAAUCUACGAGAAUAUCAUUAUCUCCUUUACUGAUUCUGGAGUAAUUUGCCGAGCCCACUCCACCUUCUUGACAAUUUUCUUGAGGUGCCAAAAAUUGUCUCACACCUUCAAAUCUUUGUGCAUACCAGAUUGGAUACACCUUUGACUUGAAUUCUCCACAAGCCAAUAAAAUCAUUCUUCCAUUAAUUUUUUUUUUUAACAACAUCAAACUCCACCAAGUUUAAAAAACACCAGCUACUGACAUAUAUGCUUUACAUAAACAGUAUCGUAUACCCCAAGUACAAACCGUUGGCUCUGAUACCACUGUUAGGAAAUUGAGCUUCCUCCCAAGAUCACUCCAAGCAAUUUAUCAAGCAACAAAUUAACAGAAAAAUUUAAUGGAGAAUACAUCAAUCACACAACACAAGAUUUACGUGGAAAACUCUAAAUCCGGAGAAAAACCACGGCCGUUGUCAAAAAGACAACCAGAGAAAAAUAUUCACUAUAUGGAAAAUUAUUACAACCACACUCUCAAAAAUAAUUUUCUCUCACCCAAGCCCCAAAUACAUAAUCCUGAGAAAUAUCCCUUAACAAAGCAAACCCGUAAUACCCAUAUUACGGAGCCAAAUGCUCCUUCAAUAUAACUACAUGCUUAAGAACUUUUCUCUCUCUCAAUUUCUCACCAAAACUUGGAUUCCUUCUCUGGGAUUUGGAUUGCUUCUCUCAAUGGCCAACAUUUCAUGUCUAUUUUCUUUAGCAAAGCCGAAGCUCAUUGCUACUCAUUUCUCAUCAAAUGACAUUCCAAUUUAUAGCCAAACUAUCACACCAAAAAUCUAAUAAGUCGGCAACAACUUUCUUCCUUUUUGACAAAUUCAUCAUGCGGUUCAAAAUUGCCAUUUUGCUUGUCAAAGUCCAUCCACCCAUUUGAAUGCAAUCAAUGUGUUCCCAUUUCACUUUUCCUUUUUUUUUAAUCAAUUUCAACAACCCUGACCCAAGCAUGACAGUCAAAAUAGAACUUGACAUGAUUAUUGUUGUAAGUAUCAGCAGCAAAAGCAGUCUUAUCGAAGCUACUGCUGUCGAGAAUUGCAACCACUGAAAGCUGUGGUUGUCCCUCAAUCAAUAAAUCAAACAACUCCUCUCUGCCGUUUUCAAAUUCACUCUUAUCAAGCUGUGAUUGUCCCUCAAUCAAUAAGUAAGUGAAUUCGUUCCUUCGUUCUCUGAAAUCAAAACCAUUGCCUUCAGGUGGAAUUUGUUGCAACCGAUUUCUAAUAUCAAUGAUUUUACUGUGGAUUCCGACAAGAAGAGCAAUGCAAGUAGUGCUUUCACUUUCACUGCUUUGCUGCUGCGUGAUGUUGAUGAAGAAUGUGUCAAUAGCUUUCUCUGAUUCACGGACAAAGGAAUUGAUGUCUCUCAGAAGUUCCCAAAUGCCGAUAACGCGAAGGUAUUUCGUCUUCAUCGAAAUGUUCUCUAAUGAGUUGAAUCAAAACCCGAGCCAUUUCAGCUUCAUAGUUUCCCAGCAGAGUAGUGGCUAUAAUUUCGGACUCCGUAAGAAGGUUUUGAAAAAGUGGAGUUAAAUUUGUUGAAUCAGGCAAAGUUAACGUGCCUUCUUCACCUGCUAACACCAGUUUCAACCUCUCACAAAAUAGUGUGAGGUUAAUUUCCAUAUCUUUCCCUCUCUCAGUAGUACUCAGAGGUACGUAUUGUUAUUUGUUAGUGUUGAUGACGAAAGCUGAAUAACAAAACAACAGUGUACACAAUCAACAGAAGCCAAAGUAUGUUAAUUUGAGAUCAAAGGAUAUAAAUAAAGGAAAAGUUUUCGUCGAUUGAGAAUGGAUGGAUGCAAAGAAUGACUGAUAUUAAAUGAUUUCUAUAAAUGAGACAUGCAAAGAAUGAAAUUUAAAGGUAACCCCCUUUUUUUUUUUUUUAAAGUACUCUAUUGAAAGCCAAAGUUCCUUUGGCCAAUUAAUUUAGAAGUGAAGGAAAGAAUAAAGUUAGUCCUUGAUGUCUUUUGAAAUUAGAAAUACAUUUUGAAUGCUUUAAUAGAUGCAGAGCAAACUGGCUCGAUAUCUACCUAUUUUUAGUGCUAAAAUCAUUUAAUAGAAGUUGUAGCAUUAAAAAAAAAAAAAAAAAAAAACUGGCUUGAUAUCCAAUUUUGUUAUUGAAUAUGUCUCAUGUGAGAGUAAAAAAAAACUGGCUUGAUAUCCAAAAUUUAAAGGUAACUCCUUGAAUUUGAUUGAAAAAUUAUUGAGACGGACAAGGCUGGACCAUUGUUCGAGACUGAAACUACACAUCAGUCUUAGAAAAUUGUAAUUUUGUUGGCUUAUCAUGAUUUUGAUCGUCUCACAUUGAUUUUCCUAUGAUGUCUCUGUCGAGUGGCUAUGCUUACAUUUUUAGGUAUUUAAUUCUAAAAAUUAACUUAUUAAAUGGAGGGACCAAUUCUACCUAUAAAUCCAAGUGGCUUCCCUUUACUAACUCAUAUGAGAUACAACAAUAAUUUUCUUUGGACAAAACCACUGUUGGAGGGUUAUUUUCGUUCAACAUACAUGAGUUGUUCCACCACCAUAUUUUGAGGGUUUGUUUUGGAUAUGACUUGGGGGAGCUAAGGCUAAGAUUUCUAAGUAUCAACAUAAAAACCUUGCCGGAAGGACCAAUCCUACUUUAAAGUCUAAAUGACUAAUUCUUGAGGACACAACUCAACAGCCCAAUAUAAACUUUUGACGUCCCAUUUUAUUACUUUCCAGUGCUUUUACUUUUGCUGUCUAGAGCCCUACCAUGCUAUUAAGCAGAAAAUAUUUCAAGGCACUCUCGGUCCAGUAGAUAACUUUGGUAUUUAUCAUCUAUUUUCUUUCCAUUUUAUGCAUACCCCGAUCUUUACCUCUGAUUGGUUGUAGAUUCUUUUGUUGCUUUGGGGUUAGGGGGUGGUUUUCAUAACUAUUCAGUUGAUCAAUGCAGAAAAUCACCAUCAAGAAAUUAUAAAGGAUUGUUAGUUCUAUCUGACAAACAACAUUAAUAUGAAGGAUGAUGAUUGUUCUGUUCAAGAGUUUAUAAUGACAUAAUUCUACUUUGGUCUUUUAAAAAAAGUAAUUUAGAAACGAGGAGUAUGUGAGUGAUGAUUUUUACAAAAUAAAUUACAUGCGUAGUGAUGAUUUUGACACAUGAAAAUGAAAAAAGAAAUAUAACUUGUGAAUAAUAAUUGAAGUACCUGCUAUUGUUAUAUUGAGUAAUCAAGGACUUCAAUAUUCGGACGAUAUAAGCAACACAAUCAAAUAUUAGUUGGAAGGCAUAGCAAAAUUAGAAUGUAGAACAAACUGGGUAUUGAUAAAUGGAUGGUUUUGGAAGAAUUGAAAAUGAUGGCAUAAGUAAACCAAAGUUUAGAGAAAAGAGAAAGAGCAUUUGAACUUUACUUGUAAGAAAAGGCAAAUAUCUUGGUUCAAGAAAAGAUAAGAGAUAUCAAACUAGCAAUAGGAAAAAGGAGGAAGGUUAAGACAGCAUCUUAACAAAAGCUAAAGAAAAGAAAAACUUAGUUCAAGCAAAGAACAAUGUGCUAAUGUCGUGUAAUCUUGUUUAAUUUCUUUUUCUUCUCACAUUUUCCAGGGCUUAAAUAAUACAAUAUACAUUUUCAAGCAAAGAACAAUAUGCAAUUGCAGUACUUCUGAGCACACAACAACAAAUAAAUAAUACAAUAUACAUACCCACUAAAUUAAAAAAAAAAUAUUAUCCAAGUUUGUGGACUAUAGCCAUGGCGUCGUCGAAAUCUACUGACAGCUGAAACAAAGAAAGAAUGGAUGAAUGCUGGAUCACAGUUGAAAUUGAAGGUCUGGUAGGUGAUGUUUCCCUCUCUGAUUUUCCCUAAACAAAUACAAGAAAAUAAGAAUCACAAAUGAAAAUCUGCUAUUACACUGUUCUUACUUAUUAAAAUACAGAGGUUUCUUUGUUUCUCUGCAGCAAUGUCCAUGGCUAUUAGAAACAAGAACAAUUAGACCAGCAUUUGUAAGAAUCCUUUAAGGUAUUACUGCAGAUAUAAAUCGACUGAGGAAAUGGAAAAAUUGAAUACCAAAUUAGGCAAGUUAACUGAAGAUUGAGUUAAUCAUAGAAGAAUAAAACUCAUCCAAUUCAAUCCAUCAAAUUCCAUAAGGGUACAACUGGAUGUCAUACUGCUGCUCCAUAUCCUCAAGAGCCCGUAGAUUUUGCCUCAACUCUGGCUGAGGCCAAUGUAAGUCCAAUUUGCAAAAGCUCUUUAUGCACCAUAGCUCUUCAGGAAGCUUUCUCAAGUAAGCACAAGGGUUGACAAUUAUGCUUCCAAGUUUUGGCAUUGCUCCAGCCCCUAUCGUCCACUCCUCUAGCAAAUACAUUGAUUUCAGGUGCAAUACCUUGAGCUCCGGGAAACCACAAGAGCAAACACAAGCCAGUUUUCUUCCUGAAUAUGAGUUCUGGUUCAAUUUCAGCACUUGAAGGUGUGGAAGCUUGUCUAGUGUUAGCAUGGUAUCCUCCAAUAACUCAGUAUUUGAUAAGCUUAGAUGGAUCAGACUUGGAGAAGCUGGUAUUUAGACAGGGCCAUCCGAGAGAGCUACCACCUCUGGUUUCGUUCACCAGCUUCAAGCAUUCAAGUUUGUGUAGUUCGCAUAGGCUUUUGGAAACCCCAGAACGAUAAUAACUCAAAUCUCCAGAUACUAAGAGUUUGAAAAUGAGGUAGUCUGCCUGUUAAAGUAGCUCACUAUGUUGAACAAAUGAAGGAGAAAGCUAAGCUGGAGAAAAUACAGGGCAAGAGUAUUAGCUGUGCCAGCUCAACUGACAGCUCAGCAAAAUCAGUUAAAUUUUGUUACAAGCCCCCUGUGCAUUGUGCUGAAGAUUAGUUAGUUUAAUAAUGAUUAGUUUUAGAUUAGUUAAAAUGUAAUCAUGAUUAAGAUAUAUAUAUAUAUAUAUAUAGCUGCUGUACUGAUAUCAUGGAUUAAGUGUUGAGAAAUAAAAUUCAUUAAGCAUUUCCAGAACUCUUGAUUUUCUUUCUCAGUAGCCAAACAACUUCACUCUCAUUUUUUUUUUUCAACAAUGAGUUCUCAAACCACUCAGGUAUCAUUUUCAGACAUUCUUGGCCUUGUACUCACCAUCAAAAUGGGUUGGUUGAGAGAAAACAUAGGCAUAUUGUUGAAUUAGGUUUGACUCUGUUGGCUCAAGCUCAACUUCCUUUUAAAUUCUGGUGGGAUGCAUUCCAUACUGCUCUAUCAUCAAUAGAUUACCAUCUUCUGUUUUCAAACUUUCGACCCCAUAUGAGAAGAUAUUCAAGCACAAACCUGAUUAUGAUUUUCUCAAAUGUUUUGGUUGUAUUUGUUAUCCUUACUUGAGAGACUAUAACAAACAUAAGUUUGCCUAUCAUUCCAGUAACUGUAUAUUCAUUGGUUAUAGUCCUUCACAAAAGGGUUAUAAAUGCUUACAUUCUUCAGGUCAUGUCUAUGUGGCAUGACUUGUUAUCUUUGAUGAGUCAACCUUUCCUUAUGCUACUGAAUCUGUUUUUCAUAGUCACACAAAUUCUGAUUCUCAUUCUUCAAACUUAUUUACUCCACAGCAUGUCUAUUAUCUUUCUACUUUACCUGUCAUACCAGUAUUUCUAAGUAACAACACUGAUAAUCUAAACUCUACAAAACUAAAAUACCAGCUUUUUGGUGUUAGCAAUAGGAAACAACUUACCACAACCAUUAAUUAUCCAUAAUUUCAUUGUUUAUCCUCAGUUUUCUUCAUAAAUGUUACAGCAUUCUUCACGAGAAAGCGCAAGGGCAUUUCAAAAGUUCUGAAAUAAUACCUCAAUUCUAUUGCAAAAAUAAAUAAUCUCAAACAAGAACCAAUAAUCAUAUUUCGUUACUGUCAAACACAAUGCAUCUGAGCAAAACAUUGGAAGCCAACACCAGAAUACAUAUGAAUAAACAAUUAAAGAUAGAGAAAAAAGGCUUAAACCUUGGGGGAAAAAAGUGAAAAAAACAUGAAAGACAAAUUACACAUGUACAGUAAUCAUCGAACUUAUCAGUCACAGCUGCAUCCAUUACAUUGCUCCAACAACACAAUGGCAAACCACCAGUUUCAAAUUGAGGAUAGCUAUCGAGAAUGAGAAAGUGUCCAAAACGUCAUAAAUAGACAUGUUCCUAUUGUGCAUAAUUUACAUUAUAGGCAAAUAUUCUUAUACCAUCAAAGGCAACACAUGACACUAACAAUUGAUCCCCCCCCCCCCCCCCCCCAAACAACCAAAAAAAGGAAAAAGAAACAAUACAGAAAAGAUUGAAACAGAUAAGGCUACACUGAGCACAGGAUGCCAUGAAACAUAAUCCAGGAACCAAAUUAAUAAAAAAGGAGGCCAAACCAUUAUUUAACAAUCUGUUUUGUAUUUGGGAAAGUCUGAUAAAAUCUACUGAGGGAUAAUUAGAGAACCUCAACUAUUAAUCACACCUCAUAAAUGAACUAACAUUAACCAUCUACCAUCCCCACGUCACACAAACAUUCUCUAUACUUCUGAACCUAAUACUUCCAUCUUCAAUAGGGGGUUUUUUUUCUUUUUUUUGGGGGGGGGGGGAGUUAUCAAUUUUCUAAGCUUGCUUAGCUUCUGUGUAGGACUGAAAUGCUCAUUUCGAAUCACUAACAGUAAAAUUGGAAGCUCAUGAAAAAACAGUUUUAUCCCAAAAUUGCAUCUCGAUAUAAAUUCUCUUUUCAUUUCCUUCAACUUUCUAAUUAAGCUUAAAAAAUGUACCUUCAACCACAAAGGGGUUUAAAAUUUAAAAUAUAAAAAAUAAAUUCAGAUAAAAAUAAUUAAUUUAAUUAAAAAUAUAAAUAGAGUUACAGAGAAAGAGAAAAUAGAGAAAGACCUAAUGUUGAGUCCUUUGGCGCAUGUCUCUUCAUAGGUCCGAACCAUUUCUUCGGGCGUGGGUUACGGCCGAGAUUGGAUAAUGAUGGAGGAGGAGAAGAUUAGCGAUGACGACGCCGAUGAAAUGGAAGGGUUUACCAGAGGAGUGGAUGCGAAGAGUGCAGGGACGGCCGCAGAGAGAGAGCGGCGGAGAGCGGCGACGGACGGAUGGCGGUAUGGGCCAUUGCUUGCGCGUCGGUGAUUGUCUCGAGUGAGAGAGUGAAGGGUUUUGUUUAGGGUUUUGGGAAAUGAAAAAUGCAAAUGUUUGAUUUUGUUGCUAGAAACUUCUUCUGCUGCUGCCUUUUAUUGUCGCUAUAAUAAUAAUAAUUUGUUAAUCAAAUAUUUUCUUAAAAAAGAUAAAUUUCUACAACAAAAUUUAUAUUAAAUCAAAUUGUAAAAAUGUCUAAUAGGGUUAAUUUCUCCUUAAUAUUAUUAUUAGUAGAAGUAGAUUUUCAAAUUAGUCUUGAUAUAUAUCAGAGUUGUAUUAUAAAUGUAUAUGUAUCUGGAUUGCAAUUAUAUUUUAAAAAAAAUAAUUUUUUUAAUUAUUGCACAAUAAAUGUAGAAAGUGUCUAUAAAAUAAUAUUAUUGGAACUAUGAAAAGAUAUUAUUUUAGAGUAGUUAUUUAUUUAUUUUUGAAUAAAUAAUUUAUUAAUUUAUUGAUAAAUUAAAUAAAUAUUAAUUUAAACAGAGAAUUUUUUUUUUGUGGGUUUUUAAGAAGAGUUUUGUUGGUAUAUGUGCAAACUUAUAAAGAAAUACAAAAAAUGCUUCCUCAAGUCAAUAGUAUUUACUUUAAUUCAUAAUAAGAUAGUUUAAUCAAGAAACUUGUAAUUAUACUAUAUCUUUCUUUCUUUGUUCUGUUUGGUGGGAUAUUGUGAUAAAUCAUUGGAUUACAAUGCAUUUCUAAAUGAAAACUUGUUAAAACCUAAUUUAUUUGGGAACCACAUUUUAUUUGUCAGUCUUAUUUCUCAACUUAGCAAAUUAUUUCUAACUUAUCGGUCUCUAUUGGUUCUCUUAAGUACCUGUUUGGUAUAUCUUAUUUAAUGGCAAUAAGUACUUAUUUAAUCUCAUAAUUUUUUUCCCUCUCUGACAAUUGAGGUAGGGGGUCAAACUUGAAAGUAUCUUAAAAUCAGACAACAAUUUAACUAUUUUUUUUUUUUAGAUAACUGCUAAUAUGCUCUAUUAGACAAUGAUAAGUGAUUGCAUUUAUGCAUCCCCACCAAUAUUUAAGCAAUUUAAUUACAGAAACAUUUCUUGAGGAAAGAAACUCAUAUCACCACUAGGCUUUUAAUGAGGCUCAUUUUUAUGAAUCUGGAUAGCAUUAGAUAUCUCUCCGAAUAUUGGUGGGAGUAGAUCGCAGAUCUCUGGGCUAUACUACAAAGUGUAUGUACGUUGACUCUCAAUAAACACAAACGAUUCCCUGAUAUGAUUCAAAACAUCAGUGCAUGCAUCAUUUUAACGAGAGAGAAUAUUCCCAGAAAUGUACACGCAUGAGGAAUUUUUCCUAGAAGAUUGAUAUUUCUUUAACUAGCAAACCAUACAAGUCCGGGGCUUAAAUGGAGUACUUGUAAGCAUAAAACAUUAAUCAAAACACAGUAUAGACACACACACACACACACCCCUACAUACAUACCAGCAAAUUCGAAAUAGAAAAAGAAGUGCAGCUAUUCAAGUUUGUAGACAAUAUUUCAACCAUGGCAUAUUAAAGCAAAUCCUUGAAAUCAGCUAAACAAAACAAUGCCCUGUCUCAUGAAUCGAUGCUCAAUUAAAAUUGAAAUUGAAAGUCCGGCUGGUGUUGUUUCCCUCUCCAGUUUUGCCUACAUAAGUAAAGGGAAAUGAGAAUCAUAAAUGAAAAUCUGCUUUGACAGUUCUUAUUAGAUAGAUAUAAAUGGAUCUUUCUUUGUUUCUCUGCUGUAAUUUGUGGCUACCCCACUCUGUUUUGCCAGUCAAGCUGAGUCUACGUUAAGGCAUAAUUUUGACAUCAGAAGCAACCUCAAUUAGUUUGGCAUUUUCAUGACCUCCUUGAAGGUUUUACGAUAAACAUAAAUCCACUGAGAAAGUGGGAAAAAAAGAAAAUUCAUAUAAAAGUAUGAGUUAUCAGAUAAGAUUAAAACUCACCCAAUUCAAUCCAUCAGAUUCCGUAAGGAUAUAACUGGAUGUCAUACCGCCACUCCAUAUUCUUGAAAGUCCGUAGUGUUUGUCUCAACUCUGUCUGGGGCCAAUGUAAGUCCAAUUUGCGCAAGCUCUUUAUGCACCACAGCUCUUCUGGAAGCUUUCUCAAGUAAGCACAUGGGUUGACAAUUAAGCUUUCAAGUUUCGGCAUUGCUCCAGCCCCCAUCGUCCACUCAUCUAGCCAAUACAUUGAUUUCAGGUGCAAAACCUUAAGUUCGGGAAAGCUACUCAAGCCAACACAAGCAAGCUUUCUUCCUAAAUACGAGUUCUGCUUCAGUUUCAGCACUCGAAGGCGUGGAAGAUUUUCCAGAAUUGGCAUGGGAUCCUCCAUUAGCUCAGUAUUUGAUAAGCUCAGUUGGAUCAGACUUGGGGGAAAUUGGUAUUCAGACUGGACCAUCCGUGAGGGCUUGCUCUCAUUCACCAGCUUCAAGCAUUCAAGUUUGUGGAGUUCGCAAAGGCUUUUGGAAACCCCAGAUUGAUAGUAACUCAAAUCUCCAGAUAUCCGAAGAGUCUGAACACUUGGUAGUCUGCCCAAUAUAUCAGGAGUACAACUACUAGGGUUUAAAGCUGAUAUGAAAAUGAGUUUUUUCAGAGAGCUAGAAUAAUUUUUUGGAGGUGCGGGCAGAGUGAUAGAACCAAAGUUUAGAUGCAUGAGUUUUUGCAUCAUCCAAAUAUCCUCUGGUGACUGAUCUAUGUAGCUAGAUGGCAUUUCUAGUGUUUCAAGGUUUAAAAGGGUGCAUAGCAGUGAAGGAAGGCAUUUGAGCGAAGGGAUAUUCAAUUUCAAAUACUUCAAAAGAUAUAAAUUUUCUAAUGCGGGUGGAUAUUGGUCCAGGACUGCAGAACCCAUGUUCAAUACCCGAAGGUAUUUGAACCUUUUAAAAAAAUUCUCGCAAUCUUUCGGAUUAAGAUGAUUGCUUUCUGAACUGUGAUUCAGAAAUGAUUGGAGAUACAUGUCAGACUGUUGUAAAAAAAAGAACUCAAGCAGAUCUUCCAAAAUGAAGCACCGUUUAGCAUUUUCAAUUGAUUCCCCUAUCCAUGCAGGCAUUCGGACAAAUCUCGUCUUCUCUGCCACCAAACCCAAUGAAGUAAAUACAAAACUUGGAACAUAACACGCUUUAAUUGUGCCUCCGGCUCUUCUCGUACUCACUUUAAUGAAGCCGCGAUGGAUUAGUUCUUUCAAGUAAUGUUCGGCAGUUUCUUCACCGUUGUAUGGUAUGAAACCUUCAGCUACCCACAACUGAUAUAAUUGCCUCGUGGAUAUCUCGAUGCCUGGAGGGAAGACACACAAAUAGAUGCAGCAGACUUUCAAGUGAAAAGGUAACUCCAUCACAGAGAAAAUUUGUCUCCAUACUGUCGGAAUCGCUUCGCUUUGAAGAUAAUUUUCUAAUGGCAUACUUCCAUAGUGUAGGAUGAAAAAUUGCCAGGCCUCAUGCUUUAGUCUGAUCAAUGGUCCUCCAACGAGCACUGAACCAUGCCGAAUCUUCUCUCCAUUUUCCAUUUCCAACGACUCAAGGAGGUCUGGAUCAGCGGCCAAUAUUAAUACUCUGCUUCCAUUCUCAUUAUCAGGGAGAACUUCUUCGAGAUCAUCCCAUAUCUCACGGUCAUUGAAGACGUCAUCAAGCACAAUAAAGUACUUCUUGUUUGUUAGGUAAUCUCGAAGAAUAGAUUUCUUCAAUUGAUAAUCUUCACCGAUAAUUACACUAACCCGAGCUGGAGGCAUCACAGACUUGAUUAUGCCAUCCAAUAUCUUGCCAAAAUCAUAACGUAGAGAAACCCUGACCCAAGCAUGACAGUCAAAAUAGAACUUGACAUGAUUACUGUUAUAAGUAUGUGCAGCAAAAGCAGUCUUAUCGAAGCCACUGCUGUCGAGAAUUGCAACCACUGAAAGCCCAGAUGGUCCCUCAAUCAAUAGAUCAAAAAACUUCUCUCUGCCCCUUUCAAAUUCACUGAUAUCGAGCCGAGGUUGUCCCUCACUCAAUAGGCGAAUGAUUUCGUUACGUUUUUCACUGAUAUCAAAACCAUUGUCGCCGGGUGGAAGUUGUUGCGUCCGAUUUCUAAUAUCAAUGAUUUCACUGAUAUCAAAACCAUUAGUGCUGCUUUCACUUUCGUUUUCACUGUUUUGCUGCUGCAUAAUGUUGAUGAAGAAUGUGUCAAUGGCUUCCUCAGAUUCAUGGACAAAGUGAUUGAUGUCCUUAAGAAUUUCCAGAAUGUCUGAUCUUUUAACGUCUUCUUCAUCACUUUCUUCUAAGUCCAACAGUUGCAAUAAAGGCAAAGACAUAUUGGAUUCAGCGAAUUCUUGUCUGAAUAGUUGAGACAAAAUCCGAGCCAUGUCAGCUUCAUAGUUUCCCGACAGAGUAGUAGUAAUAAUUUCAGACUCCGUAAGAAGGUUUUGAAAAAGCGGGGCUAAAUUUGUUGAAUCAGUCAACGUUAACGUGCCUUCUUCACCUGCUAACACCCUUUUCAACCUCUCACAAAAUAGUCGGAGGUGGACGUCCAGCAUAUCUCCUUCUCUCUGUAGCACCCAGAGGUAUUGUUUUUUGCUCCAAGAAAUAUUAAAAGGAUUGGUUCUAUCUCAAAGUGGUUACUGGUGUAAAAUUAAACGCCAUGGGAGAAUUUGAAGGGAAGAUGCCAAGGAACUGGCGAUGUGGCUAAAUUACACAAAUACGGCAUUAUUGCUCAUUUUUAACUCAAAAAAUUGAUACCAAGACGCUUGCCUUUUGAAAAGAAGAGGUAUCCAACCUUUAUCUUAUUUAAUUACUACCAUGACAUGAUUGAUGGUGCUUAAAUCAAUUGUUUCUUUAUUAAUUUAAAGAAUUUUUCAUUAAAAAAAUUAUUUUAAUAUCAAAUACCCUUCAAUGGCAUAACUGCCGCAGGCCCAGAAACAGGAUUAAUUAAAAUUUUUUGAAUUUUUGGGCAAGGAAAGAUUUGAAAUUCUAGUUAUGCAACCCAAGAGGGAGUGAAUUAGAAUUCUAUAAAUUAUUUAAUUUAUAAAGAAAACCUUAAUGCAAAUAUAAACCAAAUUCAAAGCAAUAACAAAUAAGGUGAUCACAAUAUAAAAAGAUAAGGGAAGAGAGAUUCAAACACAUAGAUUUUUACUUGGUUCGGCCAACCUCGCCUACGUCCGCGCCUCCAAGCUUUCCGAGCUUAAAGAUUCCACUAAGCAAGCCUCCAAGGCUUCAAAUGCUUACACUUGACUUCCAAGGUGUCAAUAACCUUUACAACAAGAGAUUAUCCCAAUCUCUUUAACCCAAGUGUAUCCCAACACUUACAAUCACUCAAAACAAAAGAUUACAAAUUUGUUUUGACUCUCACAAUAUUUAAGAUUACACAAUGAUGCCCAAUAUGUCAAUAGAUGAAGCAAGAAUGUGUUCAAAGCUCUAUGAAGAUUGUAUUCUCGAGUAUAAGCUCAAUAGUCGUGUUGUGAUCAAUCUUGUUUGAAUUUGAAUGAGCUUAUUUAUAUUUGGAGCUGAAAAACUAGCCAUUACAAACUGUCGGCCCGAAAACGGUUCGCUGUUAACCAUUAACGGUUAACCGUUUAGGCUGGUCAAAAGUUACCGUUGGGCCAAAUUUCAAAUAAACGGUUUGCCGUUUAGGAUUACCCCUUCGCCGUUAAAUUCUAGAGACCUGCAAGAUGAAUAUCAGUUAUCCGUUUACAUUAAACGGUUAAAGAUUUGCAUGAAGUGACUUCUCUGGAUAUUAUCGGUUAACCGUUUGUAAUAAAUGGUUCGCCGUAUGUUUCCAGUAACCUGCAAAACAAUUUAGCCUUAUCCGAUUUUGUUAAACGGUGCCAGAAGAGUACAACCUUCAAUUCUGGAUUUUAUCGGUUAACCGUUUAAAUAAACGGUUCACCGUUAAAUUCCAGUAGCCUUCCCAGCUUUUUGUGUUUUCCAUUUUUCUUAAUCGGUUAGAGCUUAGGCAAUAUGUUGCUCUCUGGUUUUAAUCGGUUAACCGUUUGAAAGAAAACGAUUCACCGUUUAUUUCCAGAAUCACAUUUUAAACCAGAUUUUGCAGAAAGUCAUUUUCUAAUUUGAAAGUCCAUCUUUUAUGAAUAUGAUUGGAAUGAUUAUAAGGCUUUCAUUUAUUAAGGAAUAGCUCCAACAUUUUAAUCAAAAACCAUUUAAAGUUUGUUAUCAUCAAAAUCAAUAUUAUUAACAUAUUCAUGUUAACAAUAGUAGUAUUAAACAUCAGAAAGCUAAGGUUGUUCUGUUAAUGAAUUGAUAUUGACAUAAUUUUAUUUUGGUUUCCGGGGAAAAAAAAACAUUUGUUGACAAGCAAGAAAAUAUUUUUAAAUUUUACAAUUUAUUAUACAUAUUUUAUCAUAUUACAAUAAUUUUAAUAAUAAAUAGAAACAUAAUAUUACAAUAAAUAAGUUAAAGUUUAAAUUAUUUUAAAUAUUAUAAAAAAUAAUUUUAAUAUUAUUAAUAGGAAGACAUUUUGUUAAUUUUAAAACCUUUUUAACCCAAAGGUUUAUUUAAAAGCUUUAUAAUAAACAUAAAUAUAAGAUUAAAAUAAAUAUCAUAAUUUGAAAUUUUUAGUAUUAUUUUAAAUAUUAAAAAUACUUUAAUAUUAUUAGCCUACUACAUUGAUUUUAUUAUUUAUAUUAUAUUCAUAUUGAUUAAAACUUUUUAAAGUCAAUUUUUUAGUCAGUAUAUUCAAGAGGUAUCAUAGUUAAAGAAAAGAUUUUGGUGUUAUUUUUUGAAAAUUUUAAGGUUUAAAUGAUAAUUUUUUAAAAUUUUAAGGAUGUAGGUAUUAUUUUUCCGACAAUUUAUUUUAUUUUUGAGGAAUUCGAUGAGAAAUAUCAUGAGAGAAGGUUAAUUUUACAUUCUUUACCUUUAUGAAAAAAGUGGAAACCAAGAAGUAUUCAAUUUUGUAUUUUUUGUUUGUAAUUCAAAAAAUGCAUCCACCAAACAAUCUUAUCUUGAUUUUUUCACUUUAUUCAUUUUCGAUCCUUUAAUCCAUCUAGUAUCUGCAGCCCCCGCCAUUUUUACAAAUCUCCAUCCGACAUCUACCCUAUCAAACAAAGUUGAUGGAAAUUGAACAAUUGCUUUUUGAAGUGGACCCAAUAAGUGGACAUUUUAUUAAUAUUAAACAAAGUUGACGGAAAUUGAACAAUUGCUUUCUAUGAGCCACUUAUUUUUAACAUUAGCGAUCUUAUCUGGACUACUCCAAUUAUUGAUGUAACUCCAAUGGUUGCAUCAACAGUUGAAUGUAAGAUAGUGUUAGCUCUUCUUUGAGAAUAUAGAGUGAUCUUUCUUUGUUUCUCUGUUGCGACGUGCUACUAUAAAUUUCUUUACCUUGCAGUUUAUAUAGUCUUGCUGUUAAUGAAUUCGCGGAGGCAUUAUUGAUCCAAUCUCAGUGAAGUAAUUGUGGGUGGAAAAUGAAUAAAGGGUAAGAGAACGUAGCUCAAGUGCUGAAUUGGCUAUUAAAGAAGAGUGUCACUUGAUCACAAUCACAUUGAUGCACAACUCACUCGAGGCAAAUUUCAUCUAUAUAUGUACUGCAAAUUCAGCCAAACCAUACAUGCAGGAACAAAACUAAAAUGUAGUUCUAAUCAAAACUGUAAUUAAAGCUACAAAAGGCUUGCUCAAUCCAAAAACUUAAAAGGAAGAUUUUACUCAAGUUUGUCCCCAAAAGACAGCUGAAUUGAAAAAUAUUGACUAUUGAAUCAAUGCUCAAUUACAUUUGAAAUGGAAAGCUUGGCUGCAGUUACGAUGUUUUUCCCUCUGAUUUUCUUCCAAAACAAAUUCAUUUGUAAACAAUAACGGAAGUAGCAAUAAUUUAUUCAUCAAAGAAAAUAUCCAAGUUUUCAACUAACAAAUCCUUUUGUCUAAACUAAAAAAACUUAUAUUUUUAAAAUCUAUCUACAAAAUGUUGGAAAUAAAGAGUGAUCUAUCAACUCGGUAAAUAAACUCAUACAUAAUGUUUACAAUAAUGAUAAAUUACAUAAUAAUUAUUAUAAAGAAUCAUAAAUUAGAAAAAUAUUUUAAGAUCAAAUUGCCUUCAAUGCUGAAUUACAUUUGAAAUGGAAAGCAUGGCUGCAGUUACGAUGUUUCCCCCUCUGAUUUCCUCCAAAACAAAUUCAGUUGUAAACAAUAACGGAAAUAACAAUAAUUUAUUCAUUACUCAAAUUUUUUCAACUAACAAAUCCUCUUGUCUAAACUAAAAAAACUCAUAUCUCUAAAAUCUAUCUGCAAAAUGUUGGAAAUGAGGGGUGAUCUGUCAAUUCGGUAAAUAAACUCGUGCAUAAUGUUAACAAUAAUGAUAAAUUACAUAAUAAUUAUUAUAUAGAAUCAUAAAUAAGAAAUAUUAAUCAUUUCACAAUCUAUUACGUAAGUAAGAUAAAUUUCAUAAUAAGUUAAGUUAUAAUGUAAUAAAUAUUUUCAAUAUGCUAAGAUAGGAUUGGUCCUAUCUCAAAGUAGUUAGUGGUGUAAAACUGAUGGUUGUCGAAGCCAGCAAAAAUAAAUACCUACUCUAAAUAAAUUGUGUAUAGUGAUUGAGCAGGGUCGUGUCCACAGAGAUCGGUAAUUAUUUAAAUCAUUUUAAAAUGUAAAAUGCAAAAUGGGGGAAUUGUUGACAAUAAUAAAAAUCAAAUUAAAAUAACAAGAAUGUAAAUUAAAAUUGUAAUUCAAAUUGGGGAAAAAGUAGUAUUAGACUUCAGAAAGCUAAGGUUGUUAUGUUAAAGAAUUCAUAUUGACAUAAUUUUAUUUUGGCUUUCGGGGAAAAAAAUAUUUGUUGACAAGCAAGAAAAUAUUUUUGUAUUUUACAAUUUAUUAUACAUAUUUGAUCAUAUUAAAGUAAUUUUAAUAAUAAAUAGACACAUAAUAUUACAAUAAAUAAAGUAAAGUUUAAAUUAUUUUGAAUAUUAUAAAAAAUAAUUUUACAUUUGAAAUGGAAAGAGUGGUUUUAAACACCAGAAAGCAAAGAUUAUUCUGUUAGACAAUUGUUAUUGACAUAAAAAAUAAUUUGGUUUUCAAGGAAAAAAAACAUAUUUGUUGACAAGCAUGAAAUUUUUUUUUUGUAUUUUACAAUCUGUUAUUACAUAUUUUAUCAUAUUAAAGUAAUUUUAAUAAUAAAUGUAUAUGUAUCUAGAUUGUAACUAUAUUUUAAAAAAUAUAAUUUUUUUAAUUAUUGCACAGAAAAUGUAGAAAAAUGUCUAUGAAAUAAUAUUAUUAGGACUAAGAAAAAAUAUUAUUUUAGAUAAGUUAUAUAUUUAUUAUUGAAUGAAUAAUUUAUUAAUUUAUUGAUAAAUAAAUAUUUAUUAAUUUAAAGAGAGAUUUUUUUUGGUUUUAGUAAUAGUUUGUUUGUUACAUGUACACACUUAUAAAGAAACACAAAAAGUGCUUGCUCAAGUCAAUAGUAUUUGCUUUAAUCGCUACUGUUCAUAAUAAUGUAGCUAAGUUAGGAAAUUUGUAAUUAUACUAUGGUUCUGUUUUGUAACGCCCAAAUUUCUAUUAUUUUAUUUUAUUUUUAAUGGAAUUUAUAAAUGGCGUUACUGCCCUUAUAAAAAGGGUUAUUCAUGGGAUAAUUUUUAGGAAAUGGUUAUUUUUCCAAAUUCAAUAGGGUUUCUUAAGACUCCCUAUAAAUUAAUAUUUUUUUUCCCUUCGAUACUCGAAGUCCACGACGAUUCUUCUUCUUCUCUGCUGCUCAUUAUGCUCCUACCCAAACCCUAGGAUUCAAACUUUUGCUUAGGAGAGAAUCAAAGCGAUUGGUGUUGGAGGUGAUUGAGGCUCUUAGAGGCUUAGAGGUCUGUUAAUUCAAAUUCUUUUGUCGAGAUAAGUAAUUUCAUUCCUAAUAUACUGGAUAUGUAUAAGUAUUUUGAUGUUAUUAUAAGAGUUUUUAUACUUCUUAGAAGAUUAAUAGAUUUUCAUACCAAAAUCAGUUUAUGAAAAUGUUUUCAAAUCUGAAUUCUUUUGAUAAAAUAUUUUAUAAAUGCGUUUUAAUAUGUAAAUUAUUUUAUGACAUGACUGCCUUUUAUAAUUUUGUCUAUGAAAUAUUUUUGCAAGCCUAAAUUGUUGCUAUAGACUUUCAUGAAUCUAAUACGAAUGUUUUGUGCCUAUGUAUGAUUUUAAUUAUUUAUGACUGUACGGGGGCCACCUCUUGAGACUAUAUGGGGGCCACCUCUUGAGGGCCAAAGCGCCGCAAAGUGCCACAUAUAGUGCAAAGUGCCACGUAUAAGUCAUUAUGUUUUGGCUCAUUGUCCGUAGUUAUUCUGAUUCUAAUUCUGAUUGUAUUAUACGAUAUAUUUGUUCUGGACUAGUACUAGGUUUAUGUUCUAAGUGUGCACACGAUAUUCUGAUUCUGUUUCUGGUCAGGUCACCGAGACUAUAGGUGAUACUAUGUGACAUGAGCUAACUAUCUGCUUUCUGUAUACACUUUAUACGAUUUGCUUUCAUAAUUGAUUAUUCUUUUGAUACUCUGAAUUACCAUGAAUUUAUGUUAUAUAAUUGAAAUAUGUUGUUUUAUGAAGUUUAUGAGUUAUAAUAUAUGUUUUUGAAUAAAAGAAGGCUUGCAAUAUUUUUGAUAUCGAUAGGCCUAGUGUAUUAGGAAUGAUUUUACCUACCGAGUUGACAGCCCACCCCUCGUUAUUACUUUUUGCAGAUUAAGUUCCUUUUAAGAGGUAUGCGUAGCUUUGGAGUUAGAGAUUUCGUUUCCGUUUGCUAUUUGAAUAAGAAGAGGAAUAGACUCAUGUUUCUUUUUAGUUUAUUUCUGUUAUGAACUUGUAAUUUGGAGUUUGAGACUUUUGUUAUUGUUAUGUUUUGGAAGAGAUUAUUUAGUGUUAGACGUAUUAAUUUGUGGAUUUAUUUGAAUAAGAAUUUGAGGUAUUUGAGUUUGGAAUUUAUAAGUAAGGAUUACGAUUUGUAAGUAACCUCCUUCUUCAUGUGCUCCGCACGUGUUAGAUUUGGGGUGUCAUAUGUUUCGUAUAACUUUUGAAGUAGAGCUUAUUUAAAUAGAGUAUUCGUCAAUAAAGCUUCUAUAAAUAAAGAUUUUACUAAAAAAAAUUUAGUUGUUUGGUUGUCAAUGUCCAAAUUGACGAACUUUUGUUCCUUUGCUAACAUGUAUUUGUUUUAUUUAAUAAUAGAAGUUUGGUUUACAAUUACACCACCUUCAAAUCAGCUGAGCAUUUUUGCAACCGGUCACAUUAUACAUUAUACUAAUAGCAUCGGCAAGAGUUUUCGAUUGUUGCAACUUGCAAUGGACGCGAUGGGAGAAAAUGAGAAUCUUGUUUAAUUGCAAUAUUGACAAACCUAAUCCUUUCGUAGGGAGUAAUUUAAUAAUCGCUUGUUAUAAUUGAAUAUGUAUAAAGAAAGGAAAAUUCUAUUCAUAGAUUUCGACUUAUUUUUUGUUUAAAGUAAUUAAUCAUUCAACCAUCUUCAUUUGCCUCUGGCCAAUGCCCUUGUAGAUUAGUUGAACCGUUAAUUACUUAAUUCAGAUAAUUACAGUGUCCUUUUCGCUAAUUAAUUAUGAUUAUAUACGCUUUCAUAUAGCAAGUGGCUUUGUAGAUCUAAACCAAGUUGCUAUUUCAAAACGUUAAUUAAGUGAUUCUCCUCAUUGUCAUCAGCGUUAUACGCUCUAGGAAAAUAGCUCAAUUGUUUCCCUGCAUUGAUUUUCAUUGGUACGUGAUUUCUUAUGAAAUUCUUUUGAGCUUUCCUUAUUAAAAAUGCUUGAGCUUUUAUCACCCAAUACGGAUAUCAAUUAACUUGUGAACGAUUUUGUAAUGAAACUAGGAGUUAAAUAAGAUUUUUACAUGAUGAAUUUUUAUUUUUUUAAUUUUUUGAUGUAGUCAAUUUGCUAAUUUUAUGUAUUUCAUAUUCAACGGAAUUUGGGCACGGAAAGUUUGGAUUCUAAUAUUUAUAUGUUUAGCUUUAAUCAGUUUGACUUUCGUAAUCUUUUUCCCCUCAUCAUUAAGGGAUUCAGAAUUAGAGAAACGUUAGGAAGAGGAAGAAAAUAAUUUCGGAAAUAAGUAAGAGGGAAAAAAUUAUCAAAUUAGGAAUGAUUUUUUGUAGAGUAUGUUGCGUUUACUAAAAUGAAAUCGAAAUGAGCUGGAAUCAGAAUGGAUAAAAAUGCGAAUGUGCUGGAAUAAGAAUAAGUAAUGAGAAUCAGAAUAAGUUGUUUACUUGAACUGUAAGAAUCGAAAUCGAAAUGAGCUGGAUUGCAAUUACUUUGUCCUACAAUUAGAAUCAAAAUGAGUUAGAUUGUAACAAAUUACUAAAAGGUACUUAAUGAAUUAUUGUCAUAAUUAUUAUUUUAUAUUUUAAUUAUAGUGAUUAUUUAUUCUAAAUUAUUAUUAUUAAUUAUUUUCAAUAAUAUAUUAAUAUGUUAAUUAAUUUUAAAAAUUAUUAAUUAAUUUAUUAUAAUAAUAUACUAAUUAAUUAUAAUAAUUAUAUUAAUAAUUAUUAUAAAAAUAUAUUAAUUAUUAAUAAUGAAAUUACUUAUUUAAUUAUAAUAAUAUAUUAAUUAUUGUGAUUAUUUAUUCAAAAAUUAUAAUUAUUAAUAAUUAUUGUUAAUAAUGUAUCAAUAUAUUUUAUAUUAUGAAAUUGUGAUGUAUUGUAGACAAAUAAGGGAAUUUGGUACAAUAAAUUCUUAAUAUCUUAGUACAAAGUAUGGUACAAUGAUAUUUUAACUUAUUGUAGACAGAUUAAAUUUCGACACACUUAAUCCAUAAUAAAAUUAGUGGAAAAUAAUGAUAAUUUAUACAAUUAAUCUUUUGAGCAAUAAAAAAAUAAAAGAAAAAGAAGUUACUAAAUUAUGUUUACUGUUAAGAGUGAAUCCACAAUCCUAAAUAAUUUAUUUCCAUCGUUUCACUUAAAUUAAAUAGUGUGAAUUUAAAUUCUAAUUUUUUGAUAAAUUAAAAAGAAAUAAAAAAUUAAAAUUUUUCUCUAUGGAUCGACCUCGGAUUGAUCAAUUUAUUUCAUAACAACACACUUUUAUACUUGAGAGUUAUAAAUAACUUUGAAGUUGUGUUAAGUUUUUGACGCUCUUACGGGGGAAAAAUAUUUAUUUUAUUUUAUGUAUGGGUCAAACUUGAAAGUAUAUUUUAAGAUAGCUGCUAAUAUGCUCUAUUAGACAAUGAUAACGUAGUUGUUUGUGGUGUUCAUAAUGAGUUUAAUUAUGAUUCAACAAUUUAAAAUAUGAAAACAUAUGGAAGAUGGCCGUAAUUAAAUUGAUUGCAUGAAAAUAUUUCAAUGAAAUUUUAAAAAUUUGGUACUUAUUAUCUUAUCAAAAGUUUUUUAAAUUAUAUUACUACUUCAACUUAACUCCUCCUGGAUUGAUUGUAUUGAAUUUCCAGCACCGCCAUUGCUUCUACUUGAAAGCCAUUUAAGUUUGUGUAAGCUACCUAUAGUUUGAAUAACAAUUUACUCAUGAAUUGCUGUUCAUGAUAACAAUUUGAUUGAAAGUGCGGCUGCACUAAUUGUUCUCGUACGACCCCAGAAUGCUGUUAAAUCAGUUGUAUUGGAAAUUAAUCAACUGGUUACAACUCUACACCCCAUCAAUAUUUAAGCAGUCCACAGAACAUUAAUUGUGUUUUGAAAUUUUAAUGAGUCUCACGUGUUUUUCACGUGAUAUGCAGUAAAAACAAAAUUAAAAAAAUGAAAACAUUCAGCCCCAAAGCCAAAAUCCCCAACUCCUUCCAAAUUGGUUCCGCAGCCCCCAAAUCCCUUAAACCCAAAGCACUCUAAAACGACUCUCCUCAGCCAAAAAGAAAAAGGUCACCUCACCUCUCCUCUUCUUCUUCCAUGGCGAUCAACGGCGGCACAAGCACGGGCUGAUCUCCUUCGUCAGUAACGAUCAACGGCGGUACAAGCAUGGACAGAUCUUUUUUUUGGCAAUGAUGAACAGCGGCACAAGCAGAGUCGUCCUCAGGUACGGAUUUGAUGUUGGUUGUGUUGUCAAGUAGCGAUUCAUGUUUGGAAGAGAAUCCGCUCACAAGGACCUGGAGCACUUAAUCGAAGAUCUUAAGCGAGGAAUUCGCUUCCUCCUCAUUCCUAAUCGGUGCCUGAUUCAUCAGUAUGAUUAAGGAUGAAAAUUGAGAAAGAAGGACGCAUUAGGUUUGAGACAUUGGUUGAAAAACGCUACCCCGGUGGCCACGCUGGAAACAUAUGUUCCGUGGCUUCUUGCGUUGUCUGUGAGGAAUAUGUACUGCUGUAGAAGAUAAUUAUGAAUCAAUGGUAAUUGGCGUGUUGGUUUUGGUGCCGAUUUCCUCUUAUUUUCCAGAAAAGGCUUGUAAUUUGUUCACCUCAAGAUUCAAUUUUGUUAUUGAAAAUGGAUGGCUGUAAAGACCUAUUGGCCUUUCAUUAUAUUAAUGUUUUUGACAGUAAGUUUGUAAUAGUUAGUGCAGGGAACUUAUUGAUUCUUGAUUAUAUAUAACGGUGGCCCUUAUUACUUUAAAAAAAAAAAAAAAAUUGAUGAUGGGUUUCGUUUUGUAUAAGUGUUUGGAGUGUUGGAAAAUUAACAUUGUAUAUUUUAGAUAGUUGAGUUCCAUAGUAAUAAAAAGCUACGGAUUUGUUUUCUUUUUAUUGAAAUGAAAACAUUUUUCACUUGUAUAAUAGAAAAUAUACUAUAUCUUUAAUACUUUUGUCAAAUUUAUUAUUUAAAAUUUAUAUUUACUACAUAUUAUUAAUUUUUGUUUCAUAGUCAUAGCUUUUUUUCCACAGUAGCUGUAGCUUAAAAGAUACAGCACCUCAAUUCCAAACGCACUCUAAUUAAAAAUUUUAGAAUUUUUGGGCAUGGAAUUGAAAAGAGUAGUAUUAAACAUCAGAAAGCUAAGGUUGUUCUGUUAAAGAAUUGAUAUUCACAUGAUUUUAUUUUGGUUUUUGGGGAAAAAAAAAAUUGUUGACAAGCAAGAAAUUAUUUUUAUAUUUUACAAUUUAUUAUACAUAUUUUAUCGUAUUAAAGUAAUUUUAAUAAUAAAUAGAAGCAUAAUAUUAAAUAAAGUUUAAAUUAUUUUGAAUAUUAUAAAAAAUAAUUUUAAUAUUAUUAAUAGGAAGACAUUUUGUUAAUUUUAAAAUCUUUUUAACCCAAAGGUUUAUUUAAAAUGUUUAUUAUAAAUAAAGAUAUAAAAUUAAAUAUCAUAGUGUAAAAUUUUUAAUAUUAUUUUAAGUAUUAAAAAUAUUUUAAUGUUAUUAGUCUACUACAUAGAUCAUAUUACUUAUAUUAUAUUUGCAAUGAUUAAAAAAUUUUAAAAUCAAUUUUCUAGUUACUAUAUUCGCGAAAUAUUAUGGUUAAAGAAAAGACCUUGGUGUUACUUUUUACAAAUUUGAGUGCCUGCAUGAUAAUUUUUUCAAAAUUUAAGAAUGUAUGUGUCCUUUUCUCCAAUAAUUUAUUUCACUUUUGAGGGGAAUCCAAUGAGAAAUAUGAUAAGAGAAUGUCAAUUACUUGUCAUUUUCUAUUUUUUCUGUAAGCUAUUUAUUUUGAGCACUGGUGAUCUUGUCUUGACUACUCCAAUUAUUGAUGGAACUCCAAUGGCUGCAUCCACAGUUGAAUAUAUGAUAGUGUUAGCUCUUAUUUGAGAAUUCAGAGGGAUCUUUCUAUGUUUAUCAAUUGCAAUGUGCUAGUAUAAAUUUCUUUACCUUACAGUUUAUAUAGUCUUGCUGUUAAAGAACUCACUGAGGCAUUAUUGAUUCAAUUUCAGUGGAGCAAUCGCGCGUAGAGGAUAAAUAAAGGAUAACAGAACAGAGCUGAAGUGCUAAAUUGGCUAUUAAAGAAGGGUGUCACAUGAUCACAAUCACAUUGAUGCACAACUCUCUGGAGGCAAAUUUUGUCUGUAUGUUCUCUAAAUUCAGCCAAACCAUACAUGCAUGAACAAAAAUUAAACCGUAGUUCUCACCACAACAGUAAUUGAAGCUACAAAAGCCAGCAAAUCUGAACAAAAACUUAAAAGAAAGAUCUUAUUCAAAUUUGUCCCCAAAAGAGUGCUGAGAUGGAAAAUAUUGACUAAUGAAUGGGUCAAUGCUGGAUUACAUUUCAAAUGGAAAGCUUGGCAGCAGUUACAAUGUUUCUCCCUCAGCUUUUCCUCCAAAACAAAUUCAGUUGUAAACAAUAACCGAAGUAGAGAUAAUUCAUUCAUCAAAGAAAAUACCCAAGUUUUCAACUAACAAAUCCUUUUGUCUAAACUAAAAAACUCAUAUCUCUAAAAUUUAUUUGCAAAAUGUUGGAAAUGAGGAGUGAUCCGUUAUCUCCGUAAAUAAACUCAUGCAUAAUGUUAACAAUAAUGAUACAUUACAUAAUAAUUAUUAUAAAGAAAUAUAAAUUGGAAACGCUAAUCAUUCUACAAUCUAAUAAAUAAGUAAGAUAAAUCUCGUAAUAAGUUAAGUUAUAAUGUAUAAAUGUUUUUAAUAUAUAAUUAUUUAAGAAGUCAUUUAAUAAUAAAAUAUUUAUUCUAUUCAGUUGAUCAUAUAGCGUUAUCGAAACUCUUGACGAUAUUAUUAUUACACUUUUCUCAAAAAAACAUGAUUAACAUUUAGAGAAAAGUCAUGCCUUUUAGAUAGAAUAUGUACAUAAGCUAUCCAUAUUUUAUCUUACCAUGAAAAAAUUGAUGGUGAUUAAAUCUACUUUUAAAAUAGAUUUAAUGCACAAAUAUGAUGAUUUUUGGCAAAAAUUAGUUUCGGAAGAUACAAUGGUAGAAAAUAGUGAUGAUUAUUGUUUAAAUGUGUAAAUAGCCUAGGCAUAGCCCGUAAUACCAAUAUCCAUUUACCUUCAUUUAGAUUAUCACAUCUCAUGAUAUUUUUUCAUUCACGACCAUUGUUCGAGAUUUGAACUUGAUCAUAAAUUAAGCUGCAACGGAGUUACUUAUGUUUCUAAGCUUUUCAAUCGCGAUUCCUCCAUGCCUUUCUUGGAUACCAUUUUACUGACCUUGUAAUUGGUGUGUAUAAGGAGUCAUGCCCUUUCAGGAUCGUUUUCUUUUUUUUUUUUCCUGAUUGUAGUGUCAAAUAAAUAAAGAACGAACAAUUGAACUUAGUCUAUUUCGAGGAAAACCAAGGCCUGCAAUAUUAGAUGAACUUUGAACAAAAUUAAUCUACUAUUCUACAUCCCCACCAAAAUUUAAACAGUCGACAUUGUGGAAAGAAACACAUUUCGCCACUAGGCUUUUAGUGAGGCUAAUUUCUCUGAAUUUGGACAGAGUAGGUCCUCCAACGAGAACUGAAUCAGGACGAAUCGGCUCUCCAUUUUCUAAUUCGAACGAGCAAAGGAAGCCUGAAUCUGUGACCGUUAUCAAUACUCUGCUUCUAUUCUGAUUCUCAGGAAGUACUUCUUCAAGAUCAUCCAAUACAUCGUCACCCUCUUUGUACUAAUCAUCAAGCACAAUAAAGUACUUCUUGUUUGUUAGGUAAUCUCGAAGAAUAGAUUUCUUCAAUUGAUAAUCUUCACCGAUAAUUACACUAACCCGAGAUGGAGGCAUCACAGACUUGAUUAUGUCAUCCAAUACCAUGCGAAAAUCGUAGGAUAUAGAAACCCUGACCCAAGCAUGACAGUCAAAAUAGAACUUGACGUGAUUAUUGUUGUAAGUAUCAGCAGUAAAAGCAGUCUUAUCGAAGCUAUUGAUGUCUUUCAGAAGCUCCCAAAUGUCUGUUCUUUUAACAUUUUCUAAGUGCAAGAGCUGCCGAUAACGCGAAGGUAUUUCAUCUUCAUCGAAUUGUUCUCUAAUGAGUUGAAUUAAAACUCGAGCCAUGUCAGCUUCAUAGUUUCCCAGCAGAGUAGUGGCUAUAAUUUCGGACUCCGUAAGAAGGUUUUGAAAAAGUGGAGUUAAAUUUGUUGAAUCAGGCAAAGUUAACGUGCCUUCUUCACCUGCUAACACCAGUUUCAACCUCUCACAAAAUAGUGUGAGGUUAAUUUCCAUAUCUUUCCCUCUCUCAGUAGUACUCAGAGGUACGUAUUGUUAUUUGUUAGUGUUGAUGACGAAAGCUGAAUAAUCAAAACAACAGUGUACACAAUCAACAGAAGGCGAAGUAUGUUAAGUUGAGAUCAAAGGAUAUAAAUGAAGGAAAAGUUUAAGUACUCCGUUGAAAGCCAAAGUUGCUUUGGCCAAUUAAUUUAUAAGUGAAGGAAAGAAUAAAGUUAGUCCUCGAUGUCUUUUGAAAUUAGAAAUACAUUUUGAAUGCUUUAAUAGAUGCAGAGCAAGCUGGCUCGAUGUCUAACUAUUUUAAGAGCUAAAAUCAUUUAUUAGAAGUUGUGGCAUUGAAAAAAACUGGCUUGAUAUCCAAUUUUGUUAUUUAAUGUCUCACGUGAGAGUAAAUAACUGUUGUGUUACUGGCAGAUGAUUGAGACGGACAAGUUUGGAACAUUGUUCGAGACUGAAACUACACAUCAGUCUUAGAAAAUUGUAAUUUUGUUGAAAAAUUAUAGAUUGAAAAAUUAUUGAGACGGACAAGUUUGGACCAUUGUUCGAGACUGAAACUACACAUCAGUCUUAUAAAAUUGUAAUUUUGUUGACUUAUCAUGAUUUUGAUUGCCUCCCAUUGAUUUUCCUAUGAUGUCUCUGUAGAGUGGCUAUGCUUACAUUUUUAGGUAUUUAAUUCUAAAAAUUAACUUAUUAGAUGGAAGGAUCAAUUCUACCUGUAAAUCUAAGUGGCUUCCCUUUACUAACUCAUAUAAGACACAACAAUAAUUUUCUUCGAAAAAAACCACCAUCGGAGGGCUAUUUUCGUUCAACAUACAUGAGUUGUUCCGCCACCAUAUUUUGAGGGUUUGCUUCUAAUACAACUUGGGGAAGCUAGGGGUAAGAUUUCCAAGUAUCAACAUAAAAACCUUGCCGAUUGGAUAGAAGGACCAAUCUUACUUAUAAGUCUAAAUGACUAAUUUUUGAGGACACAACUCAACAGACCAAUAUAAACUUUUGGCGUCCCAUUUUAUUACUUUUCAGUGCUUUACUUUUGCUGUCUAUAGCCCUACUAUUCUAUUAAGCAGAAAAUAUUAUCUAUUUUCUUUCCAUUUUAUGUAUACCCCGAUCUUUACCUCUGAUUGGUUGUAGAUUCUUCUGUCGCUUUGGGGUUAGGGGAUGGUUUUCAUCAAGAAAUGAUAAAGGAUUGUUAGUUGUGUGACAAACAGCAUUAAUAUGAAGGAUGAUGAUUGUUCUUUUCAAGAGUUUAUAAUGACAUAAUUCUGCUUUGGUCUUUUAAAAAAAAGUAAUUUAGAAAUGAGGAGUAUGUGAGUGAUGAUUUUUACAAAUAAAUUGCAUGCGUAGUGAUGAUUUUGACACAUGAAAAUGUAAAAAGAAAUAUAACUUGUGAAUAAUAAUCGAAGUACCCUGCUAUUGUUAUAUUGAGUAAUCAAGGACUUCGAUAUUCGGACGAUACAAGCAACACAAUCAAAUAUUAGUUGGAAGGCAUAGCAAAAUUAGAAUGUAGAACAAACUGGGUAUUGAUAAAUGGAUGGUUUUGGAAGAAUUGAAAAUGAUGGCAAAAAAAAAACAAAGUUAAGAGAAAAGAGAAAGAGCAUUUGAACUUUACUUGUAAGUAAAGGCAAAUAUCUUGGUUCAAGAAAAGAUAAGAGAUAUCAAACUAGCAAUAGGAAAAAGGAGGAAGGUUAAGACAGCAUCUUAACAAAAGCUAAAGAAAAGAAAAACUUAGUUCAAGCAAAGAACAAUGUGCUAAUGUAGUGUAAUCUUGUUUAAUUUCUUUUUCUUCUCACAUUUUCCAGGGCUUAAAUAAUACAAUGUACAUUUUCAAGCAAAGAACAACAAAUAAAUAAUACAAUAUACAUACCCAGUAAAUUAAAAAAAAUAUAUUAUUCAAGUUUGUGGACAAUACUGUAGCCAUUGCGUCGUCGAAAUCUACUGACAGCUGAAACAAAGAAAGAAUGGAUGAACGCUGGAUCACAGUUGAAAUUGAAGGUCUGGUAGGUGAUGUUUCCCUCUCUGAUUUUACCUAAACAAAUACAAGAAAAUAAGAAUCACGAAUGAAAAUCUGUUAUUACACUGUUCUUACUUAUUAAAAUACAGAGGUUUCUUUGUUUCUCUGCAGCAAUGUCCAUGGCUAUUAGAAACAAGAACAAUUAGACCAGCAUUUGCAAGAAUCUUUUAAGGUAUUACUGCAGAUAUAAAUCGACUGAGGAAAUGGAAAAAUUGAAUACCAAAUUAGGCAAGUUAACUGAAGAUUCAGUUAUCAUAGAAGAAUAAAACUCAUCCAAUUCAAUCCAUCAAAUUUCAUUAAGCAUUUCCAGAACUCUUGAUUUUCUUUCUCAGUAGCCAAACAACUUCAAUCUCAUUUUUUUUUUUCAACAAUGAGUUCUCAAACCACUCUGGUAUCAUUUUAAGACAUUCUCGGCCUUGUACUCACCAUCAAAAUGGAUUGGUUGAGAGAAAACAUAGGCAUAUUGUUGAAUUAGGUUUGACUCUGUUGGCUCAAGCUCAACUUCCUUUUAAAUUCUGGUGGGAUGCAUUCCAUACUGCCCUAUAUCACAUCAAUAGAUUACCAUCUUCUGCUUUCAAACUUUCGACCCCAUGUGAGAAGAUAUCCAAGCACAAACCUGAUUAUGAUUUUCUCAAAUGUUUUGGUUGUAUUUGUUAUCCUUACUUGAGAGACUAUAACAAACAUAAGUUUGCCUAUCAUUCCAGUAAGUGUAUAUUCAUUGGUUAUAGUCCUUCACAAAAGGAUUAUAAAUGCUUACAUUCUUCAGGUCAAGUCUAUGUGGCAUGACAUGGUAUCUUUGAUGAGUCAACCUUUCCUUAUGCUACUGAAUCUGUUUUUCAUAGUCACACAAAUUCUGAUUCUCAUUCUUCAAAUUUAUUUACUCCACAGCAUGUCUAUUAUCUUUCUACUUUACCUGUCAUACCAGUAUUUCUAAAUAACAACACUGAUAAUCUAAACUCUACAAAACUAAAAUGCCAGCUGUUUGGUGUUAGCGAUAAGAAACAACUUACCACAACCAUUAAUUAUCCAUAAUUUCAUUGUUUAUCCUCAGUUUUCUUCAUAAAUGUUACAGCGUUCUUCACAACAAAGUGCAAGGGCAUCUCAAAAGUUCUGAAAUAAUACCUCAAUUCUAUUGCAAAAAUAAAUAAUCUCAAACAAGAACCAAUAAUCAUAUUUCGUUACUGUCAAACACAAUGCAUCUGAGCAAAACAUUGGAAGCCAACACCAGAAUACAUAUGAAUAAACAAUUAAAGAUAGAGAAAAAAGGCUUAAACCUUGGGGGAAAAAAGUGAAAAAACAUGAAAGACAAAUUACACAUGUGCAGUAACCAUCGAACUUAUCAGUGACAGCUGCAUCCAUUACAUUGCUCCAACAACACAAUGGCAAACCACCAGUUUCAAAUUGAGGAUAGCUAUUGAGAAUGAGAAAGUGUCCAAAACGCCAUAAAUAGACAUGUUCCUAUUAUGCAUAAUUUACAUUAUAGGCAAAUAUUCUUAUACCAUCAAAAGCAAAACAUGACACUAUAACAAUUGACUCCCCCCCCCCCCCCCCCCCCCCCGCACACAAAAAAAAAGGAAGAAACAAUACCGAAAAGAUUGAAACAGGUAAGGCUACACUGAGCACAGGAUGCCAUGAAACAUAAUCCAGGAACCAAAUUAAUAAAGAAGGAAGGCAAACCAUUAUUUAACAAUCUGUUUUGUAUUAGGGAAAGUCCGAUAAAAUCUACUUAGGGAUAAUUAGAGAACCUCAACUAUUAAUCACACCUCAUAAAUGAACUAACAUUAACCAUGUACCAUCCCCACAUCAGACAAACAUUCUCUAUACUUCUGAACCUAAUACUUCCAUCUUCAAUUGGGGUUUUUUUCUUUUGUGGGGGGGGGGAUAAGCUAUCGUUUUUCUAAGCUUGCUUACCUUCUGUGUGGGACUGAAAUACUGAUUUCGAAUCAUUAACAGUAAAAUUGGAAGCUCAUGAAAAAACAAUUUUAUCUUUUAACAAAAGUUAAAAUUACAUCUCCAUAUAAAUUCUCUUUUCAUUUCCUUCAAUUUUCUAAUUAAGCUUAAAAAAAUGUACCUUCAACCACAAAGGGGUUUAAAAUUUAAAAUAUAUAAAAAAAUAAAUUCAGAUAACAAUAAUUAAUUUAAUUAAAAAUAUAAAUAGAGAUUACAGAGAAAGAAAAAAUAGAGAAAGACCUGAUGUUGAGAGCAUCGACGGCCGGCAGUGACCGGCGGAAGAUGGCGAGAGAUGGCGGCGUGGGCCAUUGCUUGCGCAUCAGUGAGUGUCUCGAGUGAGAGAGUGAAGGUAGGGAUGGCAAUGGGGAGGGAGGGAGGGUCCAAUCUCUCUGUACCCAUCUCCCAAUUUGUCCCCGUCCCUCCCCGUCCCCAUUUGCUUAGAAUCUGUCCCCUACUCGAAUAAUAAUUCUCGAAUAAUAACAUAAAAUGCUCGAGGUUCUCGAUUUAUGAAUAAUUAAUAUAUUUUUUAUUUUAAAUUUUAAAUUAACUAUAUUAAAAUAAAAAAUUUAAAUAAAAAUAAAAUUUGAAAUAUAUUUUAUAUUAAUAUUGAUCCAUUAUAAAAAUUACAUACAAAAUAUAAAUUAUCAAAAUAAUUAUCUUUAUCAAUCUUCAUAAUCCUACAAUAAAAAGAAAAAAAAUUUACUUUUAUAUUGAUAAUAAAAUAAAUGUAGAUAAUUAAUUAAUAUUUUUAAUAAAAUAAAAUUAAAAUAAAAUAAAAUUUUUAGGCUAAUAUAAUCUACCCGACUUUUUUAAUGUGUUAAAUAAAAAUUUAAGACUUUAAUUAGUUAAUUAGGCCUAAAAGCUUAAUAAUAUAAAUAUUUUGAUAUUUAUUAUUUUUACUAAUAUUUAUAAUUUUAUAAUAUAUUCAAUUUUUAUUAUUUAUUUACUAGUAAUUUUAAAAAAUAAAAAUAAAAUUAAAAAAUAAAAUGGGGGAAAUGGGGAGGGGAUGGGGAUUCCACCUCAUCCCCGUCCCUUCCUUGUAGGGAUGGCAAAAGUUCGGGUCGGGUCGGGUCUGGGGCUGCCUGGAACUGACCCGGAUUUCACACAUAGCUGCCCGGACCCGGACCGUGCCCGGAUUUUUUCUAUGCGGGCCGGGUAUAUGGCUGGCACUAUCCGGGCACAGGUUUUUUUUGGGUUUUCUCUACCCACAUUUUCAAAACUGGCUAAAAAAAAAUUGAUAGAAAAGGCUAAAUAAGUAAACAAAAUUGCAAUUGGGCCUGGAAAUUCAUAACUUAUCCCUGAAUUAUAUAUAUAUAUAUAUAACUUCUAAUUCUUUGUUGAUACAAGUUUUUUCUAAUUCAUUAUAAAAUCACAUUAUAUAUAUUAUUUCCUCAUCAGAUAAUAAGUGACAAUUGCUCACCAGUUUAUUAACAUCUCUACGAAACCGUCUUUUAUGGCAUUAUUAUUAUUAUUGUUGUGGCUGAAACCAUGUAGUAUGUGAUUGAAGAAAUUGCAUUAAAUGUUGGAGUGGAGGUGAUGUAGGUGAGAAAGGAUUCCCUGGAGACUGUUAAACAAGACACAAGGCAUUUCCGGAAGAAAACAGAAGACAACUGGAUAAGACAAAACGGACAAAAGGGUAAGAGAGGUGGGUGGGAAAUUAAGAUAGGCAAUUUGUCCAGCAGAAACAUAAUAAUACCUCGUGGUCGUGGGUCGUGGCUGUGUUGGUGAAGUUGCAGCUGAACAAGAACAGUUGAUGCUGUCGCGUGGUGGCUGCCGUUGAGAAGAUGACCAAACGAUGAAGAGCUCUGUGACGGGAUGGUUGUGCUUUGCGAGGAGAAAUAGAGUUGACUGAGGAAGGUAAGAGGUUCGUGGAGGGAAAGGUGCGGACAACACUGCAUCAGUGCCGGUGGGUGGUGGAGAGACGGAGAGAGGUGCCGCCGAUUUGGAGAUUUCAGGGUGGGUGCUGACUGCUGCAGUGCUGCGUUGUUCUGCAAGUUGCAAUCGCGAUUUAGGGUUCAGUACCAGUUUUGGGGGCAAUUGGGCAAAGUAAAUUUUAUUUUCGCUUUUAUAUUUUCUUUUUUUUUACUUAAUAAAAAACCGGGCAUUGAAAAUCAAUGUCCGGAUCCGCUUUUUCCAUUCAUGUGGUCCGGGUAAAACCCGAACCGCACACGCCGGGUCUGGGCCGGAUCCGGUCCGGGUGGGUUUUUCUGCCACCUCUACUUCCUCGAAUAAGAAAUUUGGUAAAAAAAAUUUCCCGUCCCUUCCUCGAAUAAAAAAUCGGGUAUAAAAUUAUCUCUGUAUCCUCCCCGAAUGAGAAAAAUCCCCGAAGAUACCCAUACCUGUGGGGAUUUUUACCAUCCUUGAGUGAAGGGUUUUGUUUAGGGUUUUGGGAAAUGAAAAAUGUAAAUGUUUGAUUUUGUUGCUAGAAACUUCUUCUGCCGCUGCUUUUUAUUUUCGCUAUAAAAAUAAUAAUUUGUUAAUCAAAUAUUUUCUUAAAAAAGAUAAAUUUCUAGAACAAAAUUUAUAUUAAAUCAAAUUGUAAAAAUGUGGAAUAGGGCUAAUUUCUCCUUAAUAUUAUUAUUAGUAGAAGUAGAUUGUCGAACUAGUCUUGAUAUAUUUUAGAGUUGUAUUAUAGAUGUAUACGUAUCUAGAUUGUAAUUAUAUUUUAAAAAAUAUAAUUUUUUUUAAUUAUUGCACAAUAAAUGUAGAAAAUAUCUAUAAAAUAAUAUUAUUAGAACUAUGAUACAGCACCUCAAUUCCACAGUAGCUUAAUAUUAUUAGAACUAUGAUACAGCACCUCAAUUCCAAACGCACUCUAAUUAAAAAAUUUAGAAUUCUUGGGCAUGGAAAGAGUAGUAUUAAACAUCAGAAAGCUAAGGUUGUUCUGUAAAAGAACUGAUAUUGACAUUAUUUUAUUUUGGUUUUCGGGGAAAAAAAUAUUUGUUGACAAGCAAGAAAAUAUUUUUAUAUUUUACAAUUUAUUAUACAUAUUUUAUCAUAUUAAAGUAAUUUUAAUAAUAAAUAGAAACAUAAUAUUACAAUAAAUAAAUUAAAGUUUAAAUUAUUUUGAAUAUUAUAAAAAAUAAUUUUAAUAUUAUUAAUAGGAAGACUUUUGUUAAUUGUAAAAUCUUUUUAAUCCAAAGAUUUGUUUAAAAUUCUUAUAAUAAAUACAAAUAUAAAAUUAAAUAUCAAAAUUUAAAUUUUUUAAUAUUAUUUAAAUUUUAAAAAUACUUUAAUGUUAUUAGUCUUCUACAUAAAUUAUAUUAUUUAUAUUAUAUUUGUAUUGAUUAAAAUCUUUUAAAGUCGAUCUUCUAGUUAUUAUAUGCAAAAGGUAUUAUCAUGUUACAAUUUUUUGAAAUUUUAGGGAUGUAGGUUACGAUGAUUUAUUUCACUUUUGACAAAAUCCAAUGAGAAAUAUGAUAAGAGAAAGUCAAUUUAAUGUUCUCGACCUUUAUGAAAAAAAGUAAAAACUAAGAAUUAUUCAAUUUUAUAUUUUUUGCAUCCACCAAAUAAGUUUUGCACAUUUAUGUUAUCAUAAAACGAAAAAAAGGGUUUACCAAAAAAUGGUACCAAGCAUACCUUUAAUGUCCCACGUGAUUUCUUAUUAAGCCCAAUAUUAGAUAUAUUUAUACAUUUUACUGCAUUAAGUAUUUUAAUUAUAAAAGAAGUUGGUCCUUCCUCUAGUUACAAAAGAUAACUUUAUUUCAAGACUACCACUAAAUUCUUACGUAGAAUUAGUGCAAGGCCAAGAGAGAGUAACACAAUUUUACUUUUCCAUUACCAUUUUGAAAAUAGAAAGAUAUGGAUCCGUGUAUUUAAGAGUUAUUGUAAAAAUCAUACAAUUCAAUUUCCUGACGUGUAUUAUGUAUAUUUAGGCACAUUUGCCAAAAGCAUAAAUAGAUAGAAAGUAAAUUUACAAUCCACCCUUACUCACAAUUAUUGAAGUGAAGAUGCAUUACAACUGUCACUACUUUAACUUUAUUUAUUUAUUUGUUUUAAAUAAAAGUGUGAGAGAGACGGUGAACAUCAUGGACGAUAACAAAGGUUAAAGCCUAAAGGUGACCCAUUUUCUUUUUAAAGUGCUCUGCUGAAAGCCUAACUUCCUUUGGAUCCGCCGAAGUGGCCGAAGUGGUGGGCUGCUGCCCUCACAAGCAUUGUGAGGGCAGCGGUUCUAGCCCCCACAAAAGCAUUGUGGGGGUUAAAUGUUCUUUAUAUUUAAAAAUUUUUCUCCCUUGCGAAAUACAAGUGGAGUAUGGACAUCCCUCUCCUGUGAGGGGUUAUUUGUUUGGGCAUGUACUUCAUAGAAUUUAAUGUAAUAAUGUAAGUCCCAAUAAUGUAUAUCUGAUUGUAAAUAUCAGUAUAAUAUCUCUGCUACAAUAGCAAUUAUUGUAAAUAUUUGUGUAAUACAGUAAUCUGAUGAUUAAUCAGUAUUCAAAAAAAAAAAAACUUCAUUUGGAUCCGCCUAAGUUACUGCUUUGUAAAAUUUUAUAAAGCCCCUUAUACUCUAUAUUAUUUAUAAUUUGUUCAUAAAUAUUAUAAAACUUUCUGCAUUAUAUAAUUUUAUUGAGCCCCUUGUACUAUAUUUUAUUUCAUUGAAACCCUUAAAGUACCAAUUCGCCCUCUAUAAUUUUAAAUUACUAAAAUACCCUCCAUUUAAUUAAAAAUAUAAUGAUUAUUAAAUGAUUAUAAUUAUCUGGAGUACAAAUUCAGUAAUAAACAAUAACUAAAGUAUUAACAAUUUAUUCAUCAAAUAAAAUACUCGAGAUUUCAGCCGACAAAUCCUCUUGUCUAAACUAAAAAACUCAUAUCCCUAAAAUCUAUUUGUGAAAUGUUAGAGAUGAGUGGUGAUUUGUCAACUGGGUAAAUAAAUUUAUGCAUAAUGUUUCCGGUAUUGAUAAAUUACAUAAUAAUUAUUACAAAGAAAUCAUAAAUUGGAAACAUUAAUCAUUUUACAAUAUGUUACAUAAGUAAGAUAAAUCUCAUAGUAAGUUAAGUUAUAACGUAAUAAAUAUUUUCAACAUAUACUUAUUUAAGAAGUCAUUUAACAAUAAUAUUUUUUAUAUUUCAGUUGAUCAUGUCAUAUAGCGUUAUCUAAACUCUUGGCCAUAUUAUUAUUACUCAAUUUUCUCCCAAAAAAAAAAAAAAAAAAACAAAAACAAACAUGAUUAAUGAUUAGAGAAAAGUCAUGCCUUUUAGAAAGAAUACGUAUACAAGCUAUCCAUACUUUAUCUUACCAUGAUGGUGAUUAAAUAUAUUUUUAAAAUAGAUUUAAUGCACAAAUAUGAUGACUUUUGGCAAAAAUUAGUUUCGGAAGAUAUAGUGGUAGAAAAUAGUGAUGAUUAUUGUUUAAAUGUGUAAAUAGUCUAAGCAUAGCCCGUAAUACCAAUAUUCAUUUGCACCUUCAUUUGGAUUAUCAUAUUUUAUGAUGUUCUUUCAUUCAUAACCAUUGUUCAAAAUUUGGAUUUGAUCAUAAAACAAAACUAAAAAAUAUUAGAGAUACUAACAAUUGAGUCCCAUUUUAAGUCCCAAUACAAUGUGUUAUUUCUCAAUGUUGUGUCAUUCAUUAAUUAAGUGAUGAAUUUCAGAAUUAAUAAUUAGUUCAGACUUUAAUUAAGAUUUAAAUGUUAGAAUAUCUAGCAUCAUUCAAUCACAAUAAACAAAAUUCAAAUUGAAACGGCAAUAUUGUAUUUUCUUUAAUUAAUUUUGAUGCUGAAGCAAAUAUUUUGCUUGGGUUUUUCACUUCUUGAUUUUGAUUGGAAAAGUUUCUGAGACGAAGUAUUUUGGAUAAUUUUUUCGGGAUUGAAACCACAACUUGGUAGAGGAAAUUAGUUGGAGUAGUGAUGGCUUUGUCUUCAUUUUUGGUUCCUUUUGUGUCGGCAGCCCCUUACUAUUCUCUUGACCCUGAGUUUGAGAUAGAAAUUUAUCAACCUCCAACCCCACAUCCACAAACAAGUUGAUUGAAACAAUUGCUCUUUUAAUUAAGAGGACCCAAAUGAUUUAGGUUUCAGUUCUUAUCAUUUGUCUAUUAUUUAUUUGAAACAUUUAUUUUGAGCGUUACUGAUCUUAAUUAUCUGUAUUUCUCCAAUUAUUGAAGCAUUUCAAGUGGCCACUUUUUCUCCUUUUUAUAUAUGUUUAUUUUUUGGAGUGAUCAAACGGGGGCAAAAUCAAGUAUUCGCUGGUCUGUAGUUUAGCCAACGAUGGCUGAUCCACACAGUUGAUUAUAUGAUACUAUUAGCUCUCAAAAUCUUUCUUAUUUGAGAAUACAAGUUGCCCAAUAGAGUUGAACUAUGUUACCCAACUCCAUGCUCAUACAUUAAAUGUUUAGGUAGUUUUACAAAAUGAUAGCAGCAUGCCAAAACUUGUUGUUGUCAUUUUCGACAUUUCAAAUUGAAAAAUAUGCAAGCAAUCUUCAGUGAACAUUACGUUUUUAUUGAAUAAUUUAAAUGGCCAGUAAAUCAACAGUCCGUGAGUUUUAAAUCUAUUAUGACUUAAUGUAUCUUUCUGUAUUCGUACACAGGUUAUAUUAUCAUAGUUUAAAAUUUUAAUAUUAUUUUAAAUGUUAAAAAUACUUUAAUGCUAUUAGUCUACUACACAUGUUAUAUUAUUUAUAUUAUAUUUGUAUUAAUUAAAACUUUUAAUGUAAAUUUUCUAAUUACUAUAUUGAAAAGGUAUUAUGGUUAAGAAAAAGUUUUGGCAUUUCUUCUUGAAAAUUUGAGGGUCUGCAUGACAAUUUUUCCAAAUUCUAAGGGUAUAGGUUUGAAAAUUUAAUGUUCUUUAACUUAAUGAAACAAAAGGGGGAAACCAAGAACUAUUCAAUUUUGUAUUUUUUGUUUGUAAUUCAAAAAAUGCAUCCACCAAACCAGUUUUACGCAUUAAUGCUGUCAUAAAACAAAAAACAGUUUGCCAAAAAAUGGUACCAAACAUAUCCUUAAUGUCUCACAUGAUUUCUUAGUAAGCCCAUAUUAGAUAUAUUUAUACAUUUUAGGUAUUUUAGUUAUAAAAGAAGUUGGUCCUCCCCCUAUUUAUAAAAGAUAACUUUGUUUCGAUAUUACCACUAAACUCUUACAUAGAAUUAGUGUAAUGUUAAGAGAGAGUAAAACGGUUUUCCAUUACCAUCUUUGAAAAUAGAAAGAUAUGGAUGCGUGCAUUUAAGAGUCAUCGUGAAAAUCAUACAAUUCAAUUUCCUGACAAGAAGUUGGUCCUCCCCCCCUUUUUUUUUUUUUUUCAAUUACAGUGUGAUGGAGACAUUAAGGAUGAGCAUAAUAGUUAAAGAUGACUCAUUUCUCAUUUUCUUUUUAAAGUGCUCUGCUGAAAGCCAAACUUCCUUUGGCUAAUUAAUUUAGAAGUAAAGCAGAGAAUAAAGUCCUAGAUGCCUUCUGAAAUUAGAAAUACAUUUUAUAUGCUUUAAUUAUGAUUAUUUGGUAGACUAAAGACCUAAAAGAUAUGUCAAAAGUAUAAAACAGAGCGAUUAAAGAAAAAAGAAAAAAAAAACAGAGCAUUUGUGACGUAGAACAAUUGGUAAAUAAAUCCUAAAUAUUUGAGUUGUUAAAAGCAAAUAUAACAGAGACAGUAAGAGAGAUGCUGAAACAGAAAACUAUUAGCUUAUCUUGAUUUUCCCACUAUAUUCAUUUUCGAUGCUUUUCAAACGAGAUUCUUUUAAUUCUUCUGGUGUCUCUUAUAGAUCUCCAUCCCACAUCUGCACUACGAACAAGUUGAUUAAAAUUAAAUACUGUUGGAGAUGUGGGGUGAGCGGUCAACUUGGUAAAAAAACUAUGUGUAAUAUUGUUAAUAAUAUAAAAUAUAUAAUAAUAAUUACAAAGAAUCAUAAAUUAGAAAAAUUAUUUAUUUUACAAUCUAUUUCUUAAGUAAGAUAAAUCUCGUAAUAAGUUAAGUUAUAAUGUAAAAAAUAUUUUCAAUUUAUAAUCAUUUAAGGAGUCAUUUAACAAUAAAAUCUUUCUUUUUUUGAUCAAUUGGUCAUGGUACAGAGCAUCAUCUAUAUUCAUGGUGAUAUUAUUAUUACUCCGUAUUCUCAAAAAACACGAUUUAACAUUUAGAGAAAGUUCCUACCUUUUAAAAAGAACAUGUAUGCAACAACUACCCAUACUUUAUCUUACCACGACAAAACUAAUAGUGACUAAAUCAAUUUUCUCGAAUAAAGCAAAAUUUCUUAAAAUUAAUUUAAUAUACAAAUAUGAUGACUUUUUGCAAAAAUUAGUUUUGGAAAAUUAGUGACAGAAAAUAGUAAUGAUUAUUGUUUAGAUGUGUAAAUAGCCUAAACAUGAUCCCUAAUACCAAUAUCCACGUGCAUCUUAACACCUUUCGUCAUAUUCUUUCAUUCAUGGUCACUGGUUCAAGAUUUGAAUUUGAUCAUUAAAUAUGUUCAAUAAUAUUAGAGAUCCCAACAAUUGAGUACCAACUUAAAUCCCAAUGCUAUGUGUCAUUAACAAAUGUUGUGUCAUUUAUAAUUAUUGAAUGAAUAAUUCGUUAAUUUAUUGAUAAAUGAAAAUUUAUUAAUUUAAAGAGAGAUAUUUUUUUUUUUGGGUUUUAAGAAGAGUUUUGUUGGUACAUGUACAUACUUAUAAAGAAAUAAACUUGUAAUUAUACUAUAUCUUUCUUUCUUUAUUCAGUUUGGUGGGAUAUUGUGAUAAAUCAUUGGAUUAAAAUGCAUUUCUAAAUUAAAACUUGUUAAAAUCUAAUUUAUUUGGGAAGCGCAUAUUAUUUGUCAGUCGUACUUCUCAAGUCUCAACUUAGCAAGUUAUUUCUAACUUGUCAGUCUCUAUUGGUUCUCUAAAGCUAAUAGUCUCGAAUCUCCCGCAUUUGAUAUCUUGCCAUUAUUGUUGGCAUUAACAUGUUACCUGAGAUUGGGAUUCAUUAAAAUCCUCAAUGUAAUCGGUGGAACGAAUGGAUUUCUUCUGUUCACCAAUCCACCAAAAUUUCUGUAAUUAAAUUCAAGAGUCAAGAUCUAUGCUUAUAAUCUAUUCUAACAGCUAAUAUUCUAUUUUAUAUUUACUUAAAUAUGAAGAGCUAUGCUUGUCAUUAACUUCAAAUGUGAUCGAAGCAGCCUUACAUCUGUAUAUUACUUAUUCCCAACCUUUUUUUUUUGACUUCAUAUACUUUAUUUUCAUGUUAUUUACUCUUUUUUUCCCCUUUCUGACAAUUGAGGUAGGGGGUCAAACUUGAAAGUAUCUUAAAAUCAGACAAAUUUUUUUUUUUUUAAGAUAGCUGCUAAUAUGCUCUAUUAGACAAUGACAAGUAAUAACCUAGUUGUUUGCAUUAGAAAUGAUAUUUUUUGUGGUGCUGAUAAAGAGGUUGAUUAUGAUUCAACAAUUUAAAAUAUGAAAACAUGUGGAAGACGGCCGCAAUUAAAUUGAUUGUAUGAAAAUAUUUCAAUGAAAUUUUAAAAAUUUAGUACUUGUUAUCUUAUCGAGAGUUUUUUUAAAUUAUAUUACUACUUGAACUUGGCUGCUUUUGUAUUGAAUUCCCAGCGUUGCCAUUGCUUCUACUCAAAAGCCAUUUAAGUUUGUGUAAGCUACCUAUAGUUUGAACAACAAUUUACUCAUGAAUUGUUGUUCAUAAUAGCAAUUUGAUUGAAAGUGCGGCUGCACUAAUUUUCUAGAUGAAUUUUUUCCUACAUGCUUGUUCUCGUAUGACCCAAAAUCCUGCUACAUCAGUUGUAUUAGAAAUUAAUACUGGGUUACAAUUAUGCAUCCCCACCAAUAUUUCUUGAGGAAAGAAACUCAUAUCGCCCCUAGGCUUUUAAUGAGGCUCAUUUUUAUGAAUCUGGAUGGCAUUAGAUAUCUCUCCGAAUAUUGGUGGGAGUAUAUCGCAGAUCAAUGGGCUAUACUACAAAGUGUAUGUACGUUGACUCUCAAUAAAUACAAACGAUUCUCUGAUAUGAUUCAAAACAUCAGUGCACGCAUCAUUUUAACGAGAGAGAAUAUUCUAAGAACGAAAUUGAAGGUGCAAUCAGCAACUAAAAUGAAGCCAGAAAUGUACACGCAUGAGGAAGUUUUCCUAGAAGAUUGAUAUUUCUUUAACUAGCAAACAAUACAAGUCCAAAGCUAACCAAACCAUACCUGCAAGUCCGGGGCUUAAAUGGAGUACUUGUAAGCAUAAAACAUUAAUCAAAACACAGUAUAGACACACACACACACCCCUACAUACAUACCAGCAAAUUCGAAAUAGAAAAAGGAGUGCAACUAUUCAAGUUUGUUGACAAUAUUGCAACCAUGGCAUAUUAAAGCAAAUCCUUAAAAUCAGCUAAACGAAACAAUGCCCUGUCUCAUGAAUCGAUGCUCAACUAAAAAUUGAAAUUGAAAGUCCGGCUGGUGUUGUUAUUAGAUAGAUAUAACAAGAUCUUUCUUUGACAGUUCUUAUUAGAUAGAUAUAAAAAGAUCUGCUUUGACAGUUCUUAUUAGAUAGAUAUAAAAAGAUCUUUCUUUGUUUCUCUGCUGUAAUUUGUGGCUAUCCCACUCUGUUUUGCCAGUCAAGCUGAGUCUACGUUGAGACAUAAUUUUGACAUCAGAAGCGGCCUCAAUUAGUUUGGCAUUUUUAUAACCUCCUUGAAGGUUUUACGAUAAACAUAAAUCUACUGACAAAGUGGGCAAAAAGAAAAUGCAUGUAAAAGUAUGAGUUAUCAAAUAAGAUUAAAACUCACCCAAUUCAAUCCAUCAGAUUCCGUAAGGAUACAACUGGAUGUCAUACCGCCACUCCAUAUUCUCGAAAGUCCGUAGUCCUUGUCUCAACUGUGUCUGGGGCCAGUGUAAGUCCAUUUUUGCGCAAGCUCUUUAUGCACCACAGCUCUUCUGGAAGCUUUCUCAAGUAAGCACACGGGUUGACAAUUAAGCAUUCAAGUUUCGGCAUUGCUCCAGCCCCCAUCGUCCACUCAUCUAGCCAAUACAUUGACUUCAGGUGCAAAACCUUAAGUUCGGGAAAGCUACUCAAGCCAACACAAGCAAGCUUUCUUCCUAAAUACGAGUUCUGCUUCAGUUUCAGCACUCGAAGGCGUGGAAGAUUUUCCAGAAUUGGCAUGGGAUCCUCCAUUAGCUCAGUAUUUGAUAAGCUCAGUUGGAUCAGACUUGGGGGAAAUUGGUAUUCAGACAGGACCAUCCGUGAGGGCUUGCUCUCAUUCACCAGCUUCAAGCAUUCAAGUUUGUGGAGUUCGCAUAGGCUUUUGGAAACCCCUGAAUGAUAGCAACUCAAAUCUCCAGAUAUCCGAAGAGUUUGAACAUUAGGUAGUCUGCCCAAUAUAUCAGGAGUACAACUACUGGGGUUUAAAGUUGAUAUGAAAAUGAGAUUUUUCAGGGAGCUAGAAUAAUUUUUUGGAGGUGCGGGCAGAGUGAUAGAACCAAAGUUUAGAUGCAUGAGUUUUUGCAUCUUCCAAAUAUCCUCUGGUGACUGAUCUAUGUAGCUAGAUGGCAUUUCUAGUGUUUGAAGGUUUAAAAGGGUGCAUAGCAGUGAAGGAAGGCAUUUGAGCGAAGGGAUAUUCAAUUUCAAAUACUUCAAAAGGAAUAAAUUUUCUAAUCCGGGUGGAUAUUGGUCCAGGACUGCAGAACCCAAGUUCAGUACCCGAAGGUAUUUGAACCUUUUAAAAAAAUUCUCGCAAUCUUUCGGAUUAAGAUGAUAUCUUUUUGGACUGUGAUUGAGAAAAGAUUGGAGAUACAUGUCAGAAUGUUCUAAAGAAAGGAACUCAAUCAAAUCAUCGACAAUGAAGCACCGUUUAACAUUUGCGGGUGGUUCCUCUUCCACGUCAUGCAUCCAGACAAAUCCCGUCUUCUUUGCCACCACAAACAAUGAAGUGUAGUAUACAAUACUUGGAAAAUAACACGAUUUAAUUGUGCCUCCGGCCCUUCUUUUACUCACUUGAAUGAAGCCGCGAUGGAUUAGUUCUUUCAAGUAAUGUUCGGCAGUUUCUUCACUGUUGUAUGGUAUGAAACCUUCAGCUACCCACAAAUGAUAUAAUUGCCUCGUGGAUAUCUCAAUGCCUGGAGGGAAGACACACAAAUAGAUGCAGCAGAUUUUCAAGUGAAAAGGUAACUCCAACACAGAACAAAUUCCAAUGAAAAUUGUCGGAAUCGUUUCGCCUUGAACAUAAUUUUCUAAUGGCAUACUUCCAUAGUGUAGGAUGAAAAAUUGCCAGGCUUCAUGCUUUAAUCUGAUCAAUGGUCCUCCAAUGAGCACCGAAUCAAGCCGAAUCUUCUCUCCAUUUUCCAUUUCAAGCGACGCAAGGAGGUCUGGAUCAGUGACUGUUAUCAAUACUCUGCUUCCAUUCUGAUUAUCAGGAAGAACUUCUUCAAGAUCAUCCCAUAUGUCAAUGUUAUCGCAGACAUCAUCAAGCACAAUAAAGUACUUCUUGUUUGUUAGGUAAUCUCAAAGAAUAGAUUCCUUGAAUUGAUAAUCUUCACCGAUAAUUACACUAACCCGAGAUGGAGGCAUCACAGACUUGAUUAUGUCAUCCAAUAUCUUGCCCAAAUCGUAGAAUACAGAAACCCUGACCCAAGCAAGACAGUCAAAAUAGAACCUGACAUGAUUAUUGUUGUAAGUAUCUGCAGCAAAAGCAGUCCUAUCGAAGCCACUGCUGUCGAGAAUUGCAACCACUGCAAGCCCAGAUGGUCCCUCAAUCAAUAGAUCAAACAACUUCUCUCUGCCCCUUUCAAAUUCACUGAUAUCGAGCCGAGGUUGUCCCUCAUUCAAUAGGCGAAUGAUUUCGUUACUUUUUUCACUGAUAUCAAAACCAUUGUCGCCGGGCGGAAGUUGUUGCAUCCGAUUUCUAAUAUCAAUGAUUUCACUGUGGACAUGAAGAGCCAUAUUAGUGCUGCUUUCACUUUCGUUUUCACUGUUUUGCUGCUGCAUUAUGUUGAUGAAGAAUCUGUCAAUGGCUUCCUCAGAUUCAUGGACAAAGUCAUUGAUGUGCACCAGAAUUUCCAAAAUAUCUGGUCUUUUAACGUCUUCUUCAUCGCUUUCUUCUAAGUCCAACAGUUGCAAAAAAGGAAAAGAUAUUUCGAAGUCAUCGAAUUCUUCUAGAAUGAGUUGAAACAAAUGCCGAGCCAUGUCAGCUUCAUAGUUUCCCAGAAGAGUAGCAGCAAUAAUUUCGGACUCCGUAAGAAGGUUUUGAAAAAGUGGGGUUAAAUUUGUUGAAUCUGGCAGCGGCAACGUGCCUUCUUCACCUGCUAACACCCUUUUCAACCUCUCACAAAUCAGUCGGAGGUGGAAUUCCAGCAUUUCUCCUUCUCUCCGUAGCACUCAAUUAGAAUUAUCUUCGAAUUCUAAUUUAAUUGACUAAGUAGUUAUAGCUAUUCUAUUGAUUAGGUCUAGCUAUUAUAUUCUAAAUGAUUAAUUGAGAGGUAUAGUUGAAAGAUUAAACACCAUGGAAGAAUUUGAAAGGAAAAUGCCAAGAAACUGUGUAAGUGGCUAAAUUCCACAAAUAUGACAUUAUUGCUCAUUUUUUAACUCAAAAAAAGGGUACGCAUUCAUUUAGAGAAAAGUCCAAGACGCGUGCUUUUUAAAAAGAACAGGUAUCCAACCUCUAUCUUAUUAAAUUACAACCAUGACAUAAUUGAUGGUGCUUAAAUCAAUUGUUUCUUUUUUAAUUUAAAGAAUUUUUCAUUAAAAAAAUAUUUUAAUAUCAAAUUGCCUUCAGUGGCGUAACUGCCUCAGGCCCAGUAACAGGACUAAUUAAAAAUUUUACAAUUUUUGGGCAUGGAAAUAGUAGUAUUAAACAUUAGAAAGGUAAGGUUGUUCUGUUAAAGAAUUGAUAUUGACAUAAUUUUAUUUUGGUUUUCGUGGAAAAAAAAUUUGUUGACAAGUAAGAAAAUAUUUUUAUUUUUUAAAAUUUAUUAUGCAUAUUUUAUCAUAUUAAAGUAAUUUUAAUAAUAAAUAGAAACAUAAUAUUACAAUAAAUAAAUUAUAGUUUAAAUUAUUUUGAAUAUUAUAAAAAAUAAUGUUAAUAUUAUUAAUAGGAAGACAUUUUGUUAAUUUUAAAAUCUUUUUAAUCCAAAGGUUUAUUUAAAAUCUCUAUAAUAAAUACAAAUAUAAGAUUAAAAUAAAAAUCAUAAUUUCAAAAUUUUAAUAUUAUUUUAAAUGUUAAAUAUACUUUAAUGUUAUUAGCCUACUACGUAGAUUUUAUUAUUUAUAUUAUAUUCGUAUUGAUUAAAAUUUUUUAAAGUCAAUUUUUUAGUUAGUACAUUCAAGAGGUAUCAUAGUUAAAGAAAAGAUUUUGGUGCAACUGUUUUAAAAUUUCAGGGUAUAAAUGAUAAUUUUUUUUAAAAUUUUAAGGAAGUAGGUAUUAUUUUUCCGACAAUUUAUUUUAUUUUGAGGGAAAUCCGAUGAGAAAUAUCAUCAGAGAACAUUAAUUUAACAUUCUUUACCUUUAUGAAAAAAGUGGAAACCAAGAACUAUUCAAAUUUUUUUUUUUUGUGUAAUUCAAAAAAUGCAUCCACCAAACAAGCUUAUCAUAAUUUUCCCACUUUAUUCAUUUUCGAUGCUUUUCAAAAGAGGUUCCUUUAAUCCAUCUAGCAUCUGCAGCCCCCACUAUUUUACAAAUCUCCAUCCCACAUCUACACUAUCAAAAAAGUUGAUGGAAAUUGAACCCAUUAAGUUAUGUUCAUUACUGGUCAUUAUCUUUCUAUGAGCCACUUAUUUUGAGCAUUAGCGAUCUUCUAAGGAAUCAUGCCUUUUCAGGAUCGUUUUCUUUCAUUUCCUUAUUGUAGUAGUUAAUUAAAUAAAGAACGAACAAGUGAACUUUGUCUAUUUCGAGGAAGAACUAGGUUUCCAACACUAGAGGAACUUUGAAGAAAAUUAAUUGGAAGCCUUUAUUCAUCUUUGAAGAAAAUUACGUGCCAAUGUAACCAAGGCUUUUAUUCAUCUUCGGACUAUGAAUUUAUACAAAAACAUUAACAGAAAAUAACAAAGACACAGCUAAAUGAUAGCAACAAGUGUUGAUUUAGUGGACCACUUCUACAAGUAAAUAAAAACUAAAUAUUUAUUUAAGGAGGGCUUUUGUUAGUAGAGUUUUUAUAAAUAGAAAUUUAACAAAAAAAAAUUAUAGUUAUUUAGUUGUCAAUGUCCAAAUUGAUGAAUUAUUGUUCUUUUUGUUAACAUGUGUUUGUUUUACUUAAUAAUAAAAGUUUAGUUUACAAUUACACCGGUGUCAAAUCAGCAGAGCAUUUUUGCAGCCAGUCACAUUAUACAUUAUAUACUAAUAGCAUCGGCAAGAGUUUUCGAUUGUUGCAACUUGCAAUGCACGCGAUGCGAGAAAAUGAGAAUCUUGUUUAAUUGCAAUAAUGACAAACCUAAUCCUUUCAUUAGGAGUAAAUUAAUAAUCGUUUGUUAUUAUUGAAUAUGUAUAAAGAAAGGACAAUUCUAUUCAUAGAUUCGACUUAUUUUUUGUUUAAAGUAAUUAAUCAUUCAACCAUCUUCAUUUGCCUCUGGCCAAUGCCCUUGUAGAUUAGUUGAAGCGUUUAUUACUUAAUUCAGAUAAUUACAACGUCCUUUUCGCUAAUUAAUUAUGAUUAUGAACAUUUUCAUAUAGCAAGUGGCAUUGUAGAUCUAAACUACGUUGCUAUUUCAAUACGUUAAUUAAGUGAUUCUCCUCAUUGUCAUCAACGUUAUAAACAGGAAUUGUGCAAACAGUACACAAUGCUGCAGCAAGGCGUGGGUGGCUAGAGUUUUGCAACCACCCUUGAGAUCCUGUGCUGCCAGUAGUAAAAGAAUUUUACGCCAAUUUGGUAAGCCCUGGUCAGCACAACAUUUGGGUAAGAAACUCACUUGUUCCAUUAGACUCUCGAGUUAUAAAUGUUUUUUAUAAUUUACCUGCUGAAAUUAAUUGUGAGUAUGCCAAGUUGCUUGACAAAUUGACCCCGCAACAAUGGAACACAAUUUUCACGACACUUACGGUAGAGGGUGCAUCGUGGGCUAAUGAGGAGGGGCAUGUAAUUAACAAGAUAGAUUUAAAACCCAUUGCUAAGGUGUGGGUGAAAUUUCUAAAAUCCAGGCUUAUGCCAACCACCCACACCACUACUGUUUCACAGGAAAGGUUGGUGCUGUUAUAUGCUAUUGUUAGAGGGCUUCCCAUAGAUGUGGGAAGCAUUAUCGAAAAAGAAAUUCGAGAUUGUGCCAUGAAAAACCACAAGGCUGCUGCCUUGUUAUUUCUUUCACUCAUAACCAGCAUAUGUGUAGUAUCAGGUGUUCGUCUUGAUGCAAAGGAUGAAAUUUGUAAUUAUAUUAUGGCUCCAUUUGGUAUAACUUUUUAAUUCGAACUUAUUUAAGGAGAAUUUUUAUUAGUAGAGUUUUUAUAAAUAGAGAUUUUACUAAAAAACAAAAAUUAUAGUUAUUUAGUUGUCAAUGUCCAAAUUGAUGAACUAUUGUUCUUUUUGUUAACAUGUGUUUGCCAGUCACAUUAUACAUUUUUGCAACUUGCAAUGCAAGCGAUGAGAGAAAAUGAGAAUCUUGUUUAAUUGUCAAUAAUGACAAACCUAAUCGUUUCAUUAGGAGUAAUUUCAUAAUCGUUUGUUAUAAUUGAAUAUGUAUAAAGAAAGGAAAAUUCUAUUCGUAGAUUCGACUUAUUUUUUGUUUAAGGUAAUUAAUCAUUCAACCAUCUUCAUUUGCCCCUGGCCACUGCCCUUGUAGAUUAGUUGAAGCGUUAAUUGCUUAAUUCAGAUAAUUACAACGUCCUUUUCGCUAAUUAAUUAUGAUUAUAUACGUUUUCAUAUAGCAAGUGGCAUUGUAGAUCUAAAUUAUGUUGCUAUUUCAAUACGUUAAUUAAGUGAUUCUCCUCAUUGUCAUCAAGUGGAAAAUAGCUCAAUUGUUUCCCUGCAUCGAUUUUCAUUGGUAAGUGAUUUCUUAUGAUAUUCGUUUGAGCUUUCCUUAUUAAAAAAGCUUGAGCCUUGAUCACCUAAUACUGAUAUCAAUUAACUUGUGAACGAUUUUGUAAUGAAAUUAGGAGUUAAAUAUAUAAGAUUUUUACGUGAUGAAUUUUGAUUUUUUUAAUUUUUUGAUGUAGUCAAUUUGCUAAUUUUAUAUAUUUCAUAUUCAACGGAAUUUGGGCACGGAAAGUUUGGAUUCUAAUAUUUAUAUAUUUAGCUUUAAUCAGCUUGACUUUAGCAAUCUUUUUCCCUCAUCAUUAAGGGAUUCAGAAUUAGAGAAACGCUAGGAAGAGGAAGAAAAUAACUUUGGAAGUAAGUAAGAGGGAAAAAAUUAUGAAAUUUGGAAUUAUUUUUUGUAAAGUAUGUUGCGUUUACUAAACUGGAAUUAGAAUGAGCUGAAAUCAGAAUGAAUAGGAAUGCGAAUGUGCUGAAAUCGGAAUAGGUAAUGAGAAUAAGAAUAAGUUGUUUACUUGAACUGUAAAAAUCAAAAUCGGAAUGAGCUGAAUUGCAAUUACUUUGUCUUGGAAUCGGAAUCGGAAUCGGAAUGAGUUAGAUUAUAACAAAUUACUGAAAAGUACUUAAUGAAUUAUUGUCAUAAUUAUUAUUUUAUAUUUUAAUUAUAGUGAUUAUUUAUUCAAAAAUUAUUAUUAUUAAUUAUUUCCAAUAAUAUAUUAAUAUGUUAAUUAAUUUUAAAAAUUAUUAAUUAAUUUAUUAUAAUAAUAUACUAAUUAAUUAUAAUUAUUAUUAUAAAAAUAUAUUAAUAAUAAAAUUACUAAUUUAAUUGUAAUAAUAUAUGAAUUAAUUAUAAUAAUUAUUAUAAUAGUAUAUGAAUUAAUUAUAAUAAUUAUUAUAAUAGUAUAUUAAUUAAUAAUAAUAAUAAAAAUAUAUUAAUUAUGUGAUUAUUUAUUCAAAAAAUAUUAUUAUUAAUAAUUAUUGUUAAUAAUGUAUCAAUAUACUAAUUAAUUAUAAUAAUUAUUAUAAAAAUAUAUUAAUUAUUAAUAAUAAAAUUACUAAUUUAAUAAUAAUAAUAAAAAUAUAUUAAUUAUGUGAUUAUUUAUUCAAAAAUUAUAAUUAUUAAUAAUUAUUGUUAAUAAUGUAUCAAUAUAUUACUUAAUUAUAAUAUAUUAAUUAAUUAUAAUAAUAUAUUAAUUAAGUAUAAAUGAGGACAAAGUGGGUAUUUUUAAUUUCACGAAGGGGCAAAAUGGUCAAUUCUAGUAAUGGGAGACUCACUCCCACCCUCUCCUUUGGGAAUGAGUCUCCCAUUCCUCAUUCCCAAAUUGUGGUGGGCCCCAUGAUUUUGACUCCGAUUUCUAACUCAAUUUUGCGAAGUAAACGCUACCAAUGAUUCCGAUUUCGGAUUCUGAUUCACUUAUCUGAGAAGUAAAAGCAACAUAAAUGUGUAUGAAUAAUUGAUACCUAUGAAUAGUUUUGGGAGUUUUAGCUAGGAGUCAUCUAUUGAAGAUGUUUAGCAAUUGAAGAUCUCUGUCUCAGUAGUUUUCCCAAUCAAAAUCAAGAAGCAAAAAAACUUGCCAUUUUUCUACUUGAUAAUUAAUUGAAAUUUAAGAAAAUACAAUGGCAUUUCAAUUAGAAUUGGUAAUUGUUUAUCUUUUUUCAUUGAUCAAAUUCUAAUCGUGAUCCAAUAGUUAUGGAUGAAGGAAAUAUUAUGAGAGGCGAUAGGCCAAGUGAAGACGUACCAGCAAAUUCAAAAUAGUCGGGAGGUGGACGUCCAGCAUAUCUCCUUCUCUCUGUAGCACCCAGAUGCAUUGUUAUUUGCUCCAAGAAAUGUUAAAAGGAUUGGCCCUAUCUCAAUGUGGUUAGUGGCAAGGGCGGAGACAGCAUAUUAAUUGACUGUGGGCUUACUCAACUGCGAUAAAAAAAAUUUAAAAAAUAAUAAAUAAUAAAUUUAAAAGAUUUAUCAUACUUCAAUAUAUGUUUAUAAUUAUCCUUUACGAGUUUUCAUACAUUGAUAACGUUGUAUUACAACUUCAUUAUCAAUAUUAUUGUGGGCUGUUUAAAAAUUUGAUUAAUAUUAAUAUUUAUAGGCUUGAUUUUAUUUUGUAAAGCCCAUCUCUUUUUAUUUGUUUUAAAAACUUAGAGUGUGAGAAUUUAAGUAUAAUUAUGUAUUAGGAACUUGAAUAUAAAUUAGUGGGGGCUUAGGAAAAAUUUAUUAGAAAUUUUUGGCAAAUCAAAUUAGUUAGUAAAAGAUUUUUUUUUUUUUUUUCAGUGGGGACUUAAGUCCCCACUGGUCCCAAGCUAGAUCCGCCACUGGUUAGUGGUGAAAAAUUAAACACCAUGGAAGGAUUUGCAAGGAAUAUGCCAAGAAACUGGCUAAGUUCCACAAAUAUGGCAUUAUUGCUCUUUUUUUUUUAAAGAAAAAUUAUACACGUUAAUUUAGCAAAAAGUCUAAGACACGUGCCUUUUGAAAAGAAUAGCUAUUACCAUGACACAAUCGAUGCGGCUGAAACCAAAAUUUUCUUUUCUUAAUGUAAAGUUUUUUUUUUAAAUAGAUUUUAAUAUCAAAAUGCCCUUCGAUGUUAUUACUCUCACAAGCCCUGUAACAGGAGUAAUAAAAAAGUUUAGAAUUUUUGGGCAUGAAAAAAGUAGUAUUAAACAUCAGCAAGCAAAGGUUGUUCUGUUAAAGAAUUGAUAUUGACGUGAUUUUAUUUUGGUUAUCGAGAAAAAAAUAUAUUUGUUGACAAGUAAGAAAAUAUUAUUAUAUUUUACAAUCUAUUAUACAUAUUUUAUUAUAUUAAAUAAUACUAAAUAGAAACAUAAAAUUAGAAUAAAAUAAAUUAAAAUUAAAAUUAAAAUUAUUUUGAAUAUUAUGUAAAAAAUAAUGUUAAUAUCAUUGUUACUUGUAAAAUAUAUUUAGCCUAAAGAUUUAUUUAAAAUUUUAUAAUGAAUAAAAAUAUAAAAAUAAAUUAAAUAUCAUAGUUUAAAAUCUUAAUAUUAUUUUAAAUAUUAAAAAUACUUUAAUGUAUCUUAAUAUUAUUUUAAAUAUUAAAAAUACGUUAAUGUUAUUAUUCUACUACACAUGUUAUAUUAUUUAUAUUAUAUUUGUAUUAAUUAAAAAUUUUAAAGUCAACUUUCUAGUAACUAUAUUCAAAGGUAUUAUGGUUAAAUAAAGGUCUUAGUGUUUCUUUUUCAAAAUUUGAGGGUCUACAUGAUAAUUUUUCCAAACCCUAAGGUAUAGGAGUCCUUUUUGUCAAUAAUUUAUUUCACUUUUGAGAGAAUACGAUGAGAAAUAAGAUCAGAGAAAUGUCAAUUUAAUGUUCUCUAGCUUAAUGAAAAAAAAAUGGAAACCAAGAACUAUUCAAUUUUGUAUUUUUUGUUUGUAAUUCAAAAAAUCCAUCCGCCAAACAAGAUUCACGCAUUUAUGUUGUCAUAAAAUGAAAAAACAGUUUGUGAAAAAAUGGCACCAAACAUACCCUUAAUGUCCCACAUGAUUUCUUAUGAAGCCCAUAUUAGAUAUAUUUAUACAUUUUACUGCAUUUAGGACAUGUUUGAUAGCCUGCAUUAUAUAGGAUAAAAACAUAAUUUUGUAUUAAAUUAAUGCACACUCACGUUUGGCGCUAAAAGUAACUCCAGCCGCAUUGCAUUAAUGGGCUGCUACUGCGGCAAUUGCCGCACUAGCUUGCCUCUUUUUCUUUUUAAUUUUAUUUAUAAUAAUAAUAAUAAUAAUAAUAAUAAUAACAUAAUAUAACUUUUAUUUUAAUAUAAUAUUAAGUAUAAUUUUUAUUUUUACAUUAUAAUUAUUGAUAUAAAUUAAUAAAUUUAUUAUUUAUUAUUCAAUAAUAUUAUAUUAUUAUUUUUUUAUUUUUACAUUAUAAUUUAUUAGUAAAUUUAUAAUUUAAUAUAAUUAAUGAUAAUAGAAAAUAUCAUUACAUGUACUACAAAACUCUUACUUGGAUUAUUUAACACAAUUUAUUUUAUUCGUGAAUAUGUUAUAACAAUUGUAUCACUUUAUUGUUUUGUUAUUAUUUUGUGGUAUGUAUAAAUUUUUAUUCUAUUAUUCAAAGAUGACUUUUGAACUAAUCUUAUAGGUUUUAACUAUUUAUUUAUGUUGUUAUAUUAUUAGAGAUUAUUUGAUUAAAUUAUUUGCUUCGAUCUUUAUUUUACAGGUCAUAUAUUUAGAAAUUACUGAAAAAUAAAUGUUCUACUUCCAAAAAAUUUAAGGCUAUAAGCUCGAUCUUUAUGAAUAAUUGUGAUAUUUUUUAACAUUUACACUAAAAAAAUUGUUAAAUUUCUAAAAUUUAAGACUUCUAUAUUUAGUAUUUUUCCAAUUACUAAUAAGUAUUAUUUUCUAAAUAUAUAAUUUAAAUUAAUCACAAAAAAUUAAUACAGUACAGUGCAAUAUCAAAUAUAAUAUAAUUAAAAAUUAUACAGUACAAUGUAGCACCAAAUAUUGUACAAUAUUAUUAUAAAAUAGUACUGAUGCAAUACAAUAUAAUACAAUAUAGUGUGCCAAACGCACCCUUAGAGUGUGUUUGGAACAUGGGAUUAUAGGGUAUUAAAACACUGUUCACAUUAGCUUAAUACCAAUAUCAUGUUUGGAAAGAAAUUUUAAGGGAUUAAAGGGGGGUGAGCUAAUGCCAUAACUGCGCCAUUAGUGUCUUGGUUUUUUUUUAAAUAAUAAUAAAAAAUAUAAAUUCCUAAUUUUAUGUAAUAUUAUAUAAUAUUAAUUUUUAUUUUCUUUGAUCUUUACAUUAUAGUAAUUAAUAUAAGUUAAUAAAUUUAUAAUUUAUUAUUCAUAUUUUAAUUUUUAUUAUAUUAAAAAUAUAACUAAAUAAUUUAAUUUUAAUUAUAUAAUAAUUAAUGUAUAAAAUUGAUUAAUAUUUAAUAAGUUAAUACAACUAGUAAUAAGUGCUUAAAUAAUAUAUAAAAAUAAAAAUAUAACAUAAUAUUACAUUAUUUAAUUAUAUUACAAUAACUAAUAUAUAAAAAUUGAUUAUUAUUUAACAAUUUAAUAUAGCUAAUAAUAGAUACUUAAAUAAUAAUUUAAUAUAACUAAUAAUGAAUAUUGAUAUAUGAAUAUAUUUAAAUAAUAUUAAUACCAAUAUAUAUAAUAAUAUAAAAUAUUAUUACAUGUACUGUAGUAUUCUUACUUGGAUUAUUUAGCGCAAUUUAUUUUAUUAGUGAAUAUGUUACAACUAUUGUAUCACUUUAUUAUUUAAAUUAAUCAAAAAAAUUAAUACAGUACAAGAUAGCACUAAACAUUGUAUAACAUUAUUAAAAUACAGUGUUAAUGCAAUACAAUAUAAGACAAUACAUCUAUAUUAAAAUAAAAUAAAAUAAUUUAAUUUAAUAUAAUACAGUAUGUCAAACGCACCUCGUAUAUUUUAAUUUCAAAAGAAGUUGGUCCUUCCGUUAUUUAUAAAAGAUAACUUUAUUUUCAGAUUACCACUAAACUCUGAAGUAGAAUUGGUGUAAUGUUAAGAGAGAGUAACACAGUUUUCCAUUACCAUCUUUGAAAAUAGAAAGAUAUGGAUCAGUGUAUUUAAGAGUUAUCGUGAAAAUCAUACAGUUCAAUUCCCUGACACAUAUAUUUAUGAGCAUAUGCCAAAAGAAUAAAUAGAUAGAAAGUAAAUUUACAAUCCUCACUUCCUCACAAUUGUUAAAAUGAAGAUGCAUUACAACUGUGAACUGUCACUAUUUUAGCCUUUUUUAUUUUUUACUUUUAGUUAUAGUGCGAUGGAGACAGUGAACAUCAAGGAUGAGAAUAAAAGUUAAAGAUGACCCACCCACUUUCUUUUUAAAGUGCUCUGCUCAAAGACAAACUUCCUCUGGCUAAUUAAUUUAGAUGUGAAGAGAGAAUAAAGUCCUAGAUGCCUUCUGAAAUUAGAAAUACAUUUUAUAUGCUUUAAUUAUGAUUAUUUGGUAGACUAUAGACCUAAAAGACAUGUUAGAUUAUAAAACAGUGCGAUUAAAAAAAAAAGAGUAUUUGUGACGUCAAAUAACAAUUGGUAACUAAAAUCCAAAAUAUUUGAGUUGUUAAAAGCAAAUAAAAAAAAAGAAGGUAAGAGUGAUGCAGAAACACAAUAUUAGCUUAUCUUGAUUUUCCCACUUUAUUCAUUCUCGAUGCUUUUCAAAACAAAUUCUUCUAAUCUUUCUGGUGUCUGCAGCCCCUUGUCACGGGACGAGAGGUUUCGAGCCCGUGCGGUACUCUCGCAUCCCAUACUGCGAGAGUAAACCUAGUGGAAGUGGCACAAUAUCGACUGGUUUCACCCUGUCUUGGGCUCAUCAGGAGAACGGCUCCAGUUCCCAACCAGUGUGUGAAGAGCUUCGCCUAAACCCCUCUUCAACGUUAAGUCCUUGACUAGCGACAAGCUCCCCAAACUCAACCAGGUUGGCCUGCCUGAACUCCAAGAAAUCUAGGAUCAUUGUAUUCCCCACACGACGCCCCUGAAGCACGUCUCCUACAAUCAGCACAACCCUUAUCGAUACCAGCGUACAAACGCAUAUCUUCGGCGUCACAAUUGCAGUCCGUGACACCCUGCUCUUGUUAUAAAACUCCACCCCAAAUCUACACUACAAACAAGUUGAUUGAAAUUAAACAAUUGCUUUUUGAAGUGGACCCAUUGAGUCGUGGUCAUUACUCGUCAUUGUCUAUUUUUUCUAUGAGCCAUUUAUUUUGAGCAAUAGUGAGCUUCUCUGAACUACUCCAAUUAUUGAUGUAACUCCAGUGGCUGCAUCCAUAGUUGAAUAUAUGACAGUAUUAGCUCUUAUUUGAGAAUAUAGGGGGAUCUUUCUUUGUUUCUUUGUUGCAGUGUUCUAGUUUAUAGUCUUGCUGUUAAUGAAUUCACUGAGGCAUUAUUAAUUUAAUUUCAGUGAAGUAAUUAUGGAUGAAAAAUAAAUAAAGGAUAACAGAAUAGAGCUGAAGUGCUGAAUCGGCUAUUAAAGAAAGUGUCACGUGAUCACAAUCACACUGAUGCACAACUCUCUCUAUGUACUCCAAAUUCAGCCAAACCAUACAUGCCUCAACAAAAUUAAACCGUAGUUCUCAUCACUACAGUAAAUGAAGCCCACAAAGACAGCUGAAAUGGAAAAUAUUGACUAUUGAAUGGAUCAAUGCUGAAUUACACUUGAAAUGGGAAGCUUGGCUGCGGUUACGAUGUUUCCCCCUCUGAUUUUUCUCCAAAACAAAUUCCGUUGUAAAUAAUAUUCAAUGUAGCAACACUUUAUUCAGCAAAGAAAAUACCUAAUUUUUCAACUAACAAAUUCUCUUGUCUAAACUAAAAAAACUCACAUCUCUCCAAUCUAUCUACAAAAUAUUGGAGAUGAGAGGUGAUUUGUCAACUCGAUAAAUAAAUUCAUGCAUAAUGUUACCAAUAAUGAUAAAUUACUUAAUAAUUCUUAUAAAGAAUCAUAAAUAAGGAACAUUAACCAUUUUACAGUCUAUUACAUAAGUAAGAUUAAUCUUAUAAUAAGUUAACUUAUAACGUAAUAAAUAUUUCAAUUCAUAAUUAUUUAAGAAGUCACUUAACAAUAAAAUAUUUUUUUAUUUAAUUGAUCAUGUCAUAUAACGUUAUCUAAACUCCUGACGAUAUUAUUAUUACUCACUUUUCUCAAAAAAACAUGACUAACGUUUAGAGAAAAGUCAUGCCUUUUAGAUAGAUAGAAUAUGAUUACAAGCUAUCCAUACUUUAUCUUACCAUGACAAAAUUGAUGGUGAUUAAAUCUAUUUUUAAAAUAGAUUUAAUGCACAAACAUGAUGACUUUUGCCAAAAAUUAGUUUCAGAAGAUAACUAAAUUAAGUUGCAAAGGAGCUUACUUCAAUUUCUAAGCUUUUCAAUCAUGAUUCCUCCAUGCCUUCCUCUGAUACCAUUUUGUUACGUGCCAACGUAAUUGACCUUGUAAUUGGUUUGUAUAAGGAAUGAAGCCCUUUCAAGAUCGUUUCUUUUGUGUCCAUAUUGUAGUAGACUAGUAGUCAAGUAAAUAAAGAGUGAAUAACUGAAUUUGGUCUAUUUCGAAGAAGACUAUGGCCUCCACACUACAAGAAAAUAGGCGAUAGAUAACGGGAAAUAACCGUCAUAAAAGGUGGUGUAUGACAGACAGUUUAUUCGUCAUCUAUGUCACUGUCAUUAAUUUAUGACAGAAUAUUUUCCGUCAUGAAUUCUUGAUGUUAUUUUACAAUCAUAUAUCCAUCACACAAUAUUUUAAUGAGAAAAAAUAAUUAAAUAAAAUUUGAAUUUAUUAAAAUUUUUGCUCUAUUUUUUAAUUUUUUGGCGGAAAAUUAAAUUGUCAUUUGUAAAUUUCUUAUUCAAUUUUGGUGGAAAAUUUUUUUAUGACAGACUUUAUGAUGUGUAUUUCCCAUCAUAAAGUUAAUUUUUUUAAAUUAUAUUGUGAUUAUAGUUUAUUUCUGAAUUCCUGUUUACAAAUUUAAUUAAUUAAUAAAAAAUGAAUAUUGUCAAAAAAUAAAAAAAUAAUAGUAACUAAAAUCCAUUCAAUCCAACAAAUUAAUUUCAAAAUAAAUACAUCUAAUAUUCAAUGUCAUUACCACUAAUACAUAAUAAAACAUCCCAAAUUAAAAAAAAGAAUGUCAAAAUAUAAAACAAUAGUUAAAUUCCAAUUAAAUUCCAAGAAAUGUAAUUCAAAUUCCGGACACCGAGCCAAGCUCCCCAGCAAAACUUCCAAAGAUUAAUGGAAAUAUUCCAAUAGCAAGACUUCCAGAAGCAAUACCCUCUUCCAGUGGCAAUACAUUGACUAAUCUUUGAAGCCAUGACUCCUCAAGCCAAUGCCAAAAAUGUGUGCAAAAUUAAUGCUCUAUCCACAAAAAUUUCAGUCUAUAUUGGUAAGAAGAAACAUGAAGAAACAAUUACCUCAGCAUCAUCGUCAUUGGAAGCCAAAUCAGCUGUAAAGACCACAAAAUGUUUGGUUAGAACUAGUGGAAGUCUUACUCUAAAACUUUUAAUUUUUGAAUUUCGAAAGAUCUAGUAAUGACAAAGAUUCUCAUAUCCAGUGACCAAGUUUUGAAAAUUAGAAUACGGAAUAACGUCAACUAAAUUCACUAAUAUAGGGUGCAUUUGAGAUUGAGGUUGGACAGCUGUAGCUUAAAAGCUACAGUAGUAAAGUGUUUGGUAAACACUAGUUGCUGUAAUUUAAAAACUAUGUUGAUAUGAUUUUUCACUUGUAUAAUGGAGAAUCUAUUUUUUUAAAUAAUUAUGUCAAAAUUAUUAUUUAAAAUUUAUAUUUACUACAUAUUAUUAAUUUUUGUUUCAUAGUCACAGUUUUUUUUCCACAGCAGUUGUAAAGCUACAUCACCUCAAUCCCAAACGCACCCUAAGCUAGAGGAAUCCCUAGUUGAUAUAGCACACAUGCACACAUGAUAUGCAUGCAUCAGAAUACACAAUAAUAAAUUAUCUCAAAGUCAAUAAGAAGCCAAAACUAGAGAUAAACCUUUAGCCACUAUAAGGAAGACUGAUAUUUGCAGUGUGAUUACAAUAAACAAACAGAAACUUCACUACCCAUAAGUAAAGCAAAAUAAAUAAAGGAUAAUAACUAACCAAGAAAUGGAAAAGCUCACAUUCUCUGAACACGCACCCCAAAAAGAAAGAAAGAAAUAAAUGUUCCCAUUGGAUCUGAAGCACAAGCAAUCCACUGACAUCCUUCUAUAAUUAGGUAAUUUAAAGGGGUUAAGCUCACAUCUUUUACGGAAGCAACAAGAGAAUUAACAACAUUCCAGAGGAUUUAGGGAAAAACCACGAGGCAAGAAAAAAGAAAGAUCCUUCUUCAAUCUAGAUAUCUUGACACUGCUCACCAUCUACAGCAGUCUGGGGCUUAAAAAGCAUGAUCUCUCCCCCCCUCUGGCACCAUUUUCUCUCAUGUGAAUCUGUCAUUGCCCGUAGAAACAAACCAGAACUGCAUAAAUUCUCUUAUCUUCCAGCAGCUUCUUUUCUCCAGAAAUAGGCACAACUAUUUGACAUGGAAACAAUUUAUCUAACAUGGCCACCUUUAAAGACAAAGACAUACUAAGGACAUGGUUUUAGAUACGGAUACAAGAAACAAUCACAAAAUGUAAAAUCUAUACAUAUGAUAUUAAUUUCCAAUGGAUACAGCACUUCAUUCUUUGACUUAACUUCAUUAGAUUACUAGGUUUGAUUAGGUUAUACACACAUUUAUUCAUUUAUGGUUUUCAACCUAUAAUCUACAUGCACUUAGAAUGAGAGGUACCUAUAAAAACAAGUUACCAGAAAACAAUACAGCUAGAAAACAUUAAAACAUUAAUCUAAGCAGUUCUAUAGGUUUAACUAACUGCAGGAAAAAACCGUUGAUUUUGUCCGUCGGAUUAUUGAGAUCCUAAUUCUGGUAAAAAGAAAAUGAGAUAAUAGAAAAUCAAAAAUUAAAUAGACACAAAAUGAGAAAUCAAGAUCAUACGGCAACUAAUAUAUAGCAUGGGCUGCAGCUAACAAGCAAUAUAAGCCAUGAUAUUAUGCCAGAUACAAAAUUUUGAGAUCCAAGAGAGAUCAAGAAGCAUGAAUAUUGAAAGAAGUGAGUGCAGAAGGAUAAGAAAUCAGGUUGAUAUUCUUCAUACUUUGGGUCAACACGUAGUGAUGCAAUAAACUUGUAAUUAGCUUCAAGUGUAUAGGCUACCAUGUCAACAUUUCCGAAAACACACAAGAUUGUGCUGGAUUCAUAUAUAGUACAUAUAUAAAAAAACAAUCUGCUUCUAAACUUCAUGAGAACAUCGAAUAAUGAACUUACAAUUUGAUCCCUCAUCAUCUUCAUCGCACCAUUUGUUCCAAUCAACCUUAAUGUAAGGUGCUGGUUUCUCUUCUGACUUGAGUAGCCUUUUCCACCAACCUUUCUCUUCUUUUUGCACCGAGCAUAUUAUGUUCCUUAAGCCAACUUUAGUCUUACAUUUCUGCACCACCAGCAACAAAAUUCAAAGCAUUACAAAAGAGGUAUAUUUAGCCGCUCUUGACUCGAGUGAGAGAACAGGAUAAACAGCCUAGGUAUAUCCACAUCCAUGUUAUGAGAUUAAUUAUGCAACAACUAACUUUAAUAUAAAGUUUGUGCUCCAACAAAGACUAAAAUGUUUGUAAUUGUUAUGCUUCCGGAGCUAAAAUGUUUCGCAAACACUCACUUUUACUCUGCAGCUAAUAUCUAGCACCCAGCCACACAAAGUCCGUAGUCUUUGUCUCAACUUUGUCUGAGGCCAAUGUAAAUCCAAUUUGCACAAGCUCUCUAUGCACCACAGCUCUUCUGGAAGCUUUCUCAAGUACGCACAAGGGUUGACAAUUAAGCUUUCAAGUUUUGGUAUUGCUCCAGCCCCCAUCGUCCACUCAUCUAGCCAAUACAUUGAUUUCAGGCGCAAAACCUUAAGUUCCGGAAAGCCACCCGAGCAAGCACAGGCCAGCUUUCUUCCUAAAUACAAGCUCUGCUUCAGUUUCAGCACUUGAAGGCGUGGAAGCUUUUUGAUAAGGAAAGGGAGCCACGGAGGUCAACAAAGGUUCAUAAGCCUAACUACAGAUACGAGGGCUUUGUUUGAACAUUCGUAAGUCUCAUGCAGCCAUGCAUGCGGUCAUGCAUGUUGCAUGCAAUACCAUGCAAGACUUAUUUACGCAUGGAUUAAAGAGUAGUCUGUUUCUAGUUUUUUAUUUAAGAUUGCUCAGUUAUUUAAAUUGAUUUUAGCCGUGAAUUGUGGCUACAAAUCCUUAGUAGUGUUUGUAUUAACUACUAUAAAUAAGCUCCAGCAAUUAAUAAAAGGAUUAUGCAAAAAAUUAUCUCAAAGUACUAUUCUUGGUCGUUUUCACCGUAAGUAGAACAACGUAAACUUAGCUAUUGUUGAACGUUUUUGAUUGGGACCUAUCACUUUUCCAGCCUUGGCAUGGGAUCCUCCAUUAGCUCAGUAUUUGAUAAGCUCAGUUGGGUCAGACUUGGAGGAAAUUGGUAUUCAGACAGGACCGUCCGUGAGAGCUUGCUUUCAUUCACCAGCUUCAAGCAUUCAAGUUUCUCUAGUUCGCAUAGGCUUUUGGAAAUCCCAGAUUGAUAGUAACUCAAAUCUCCAGACACUCUAAGAGUUUGAAGAUUAGGUAGUCUGCCCAAUAUAGCUGGAGUGCAACUACUAGGGUGUAAGGCUGAUAUGAAAAUGAGAUUUUUCAGAGAGCUGGAAUAAUUUUUUGGAGGCGCAGGCAGAGUGAUGCAACCGAAGUUUAAAUGCACGAGUUUUCGCAUCAUCCAAAUAUCCUCUGGUGAAUGAUCUAUGUAGCUUGAUGGCAUUUCUAGUGUUUGAAGGUUUAAAAGAGUGCAUAGCAGUGAAGGAAGGCAUUUGAGCGAGGGGAUAUUCAAUUUCAAAUACUUCAAAUGGAAAAAGUUUCUAAUCCGGGCGGAUAUUGGUCGAGAAUUGCAGAACCCAAGUUCAAUACCCCAAGGUGUUUGAACGUUUGACGAAAAUUCUCGCAAUCUAUCAGAGCGAGAUGAUCGCUUUCUGAACUGUGAUUCAGAAAAGAUUGGAGAUAGAUGUCAGGAUGUUCUAAAGAUAAAAACUGAAUCAGAUGUUCCAAAAUGAAGCACCGUUUAACAUUUGCCAGUGGUUCCUUUUCCCUUUCAUGCAUGCAGACAAAUUCCGUCUGCGCUGCCACCAAAAACAAUGGAGUACAUAAAAAACUUGGAACAUAACACGCUUUAAUUGUGCCUCCGGCUCUUCUCUUACUCACUUGAAUGAAGCCGCAAUAGAUUAGUUCUUUCAAAUAAUGCUCGGCAGUUUCUUCACUGUUGUAUGGUAUGAAACCUUCAGCUACCCACAAAUGAUAUAAUUGCCUCGUAGAUAUUUCAAUACUUGGACGAAAGACACACAAAUAGAUGCAGCAGACUUUCAAGUGAAAAGGUAACUCCAUCAAAGAAUAACUGUGUCUCUAAAUUGUCGGAAUCGCUACGCCUUGAACAUAAUUUUCUAAUGGCAUACUUCCAUAGUGUAGGAUGAAAAAUUGCCAGGCUUUAUGCUUUAAUCUGAUCAAUGGUCCUCCACUGAGCACUGAAUCAAACCGAAUCAUCUCUCCGUUUUCCAUGUCCAACAGCGUAAGGGGGCAUGGAUCAGUGACCAAUAUCAAUACUCUGCUUCCAUUCUGAUUGUCAGGAAGAACUUGUUCAAGAUCAUCCAAUACAUCGUCACUCUCUUCACAGUAAUCAUCAAGCACAAUAAAGUACUUCUUGUUUGUUAGGAAAUCUCGAAGAAUAGAUUUCUUCAAUUGAUAAUGUUCACCGAUAAUUACACUAACCCGAGAUGGAGGCAUCACAGACUUGAUUAUGUCAUCCAAUAUCUUGCCAAAAUCGUAGAGUACAGAAAUCCUGACCCAAGCAAGGCAGUCAGAGAAUUGCAACCACUGCAAGCCGAGGAUGUCCUUCAAUCAAUAAAUCAAACAACUCCUCUCUACCACUUUCAAAUUCGUUGAUAUCAAGCCGAGGUUUUCCCUCAAUCAAUAAGUGAAUGAGUUUGUCCCUUUGUUCAGUGAUUACGAAACCAUUGUCGCCGGGUGGAAGUUGUUGCAUCCGAUUUCUAAUAUCAAUAAUUUUACUGUGGAGUCCAACAAGAAGAGCCAUAUUAGUACUGCUUUCACUUUCUUCUUCACUGUUUUGCUGCUGCAUGAUGUUGAUGAAGAAUGUGUCAAUGGCUUCCUCAGAUUCAUGGACAAAGUCAUUGAUGUCCUUCACAAUUUCCAGAAUGUCUGAUCUUUUAACGUCUUCAUCGCUUUCUUGUAAAAAAGCCAAAUAUAUUUCGGAUUCAUCGAAUUCUCCUCUAAUGAGUUGAAACAAAAGCCGAGCCAUGUCAGCUUCAUAGUUUCCCACCAGAGUAGUAGCAAUGAUUUCUGACUCCGUAAGAAGGUUCUGAAAAAGUGGAGUCAAAUUUGUUCAAUCAGGCAACGUUAACGCGCCUUCUUCACCUGCUAGCACCCUUUUCAACCUCUCACAAAAUAGUCGGAGGUUCACGUCCACCAUAUCUCCUUCCCUCCGUAGCACUCAGAGAAGAUUGGUCCUAUCUCAAAGUGGUUAGUGCUGUAAAAUUAAACACCAUGGAAGAAUUUGAAAGGAAUAUGCCAAGAAACUGGCCAAGUGGCUAAAUUCCACAAAUAUGACAUUAUUGCUCAUUUUCUCUCAGACACGUGAUACACGUUGAUUUAGAGGAAAGUUCAAGAAUUUUGCUUUAAAAAAAAAAAUUGAUGGUGCUUAAAUUAUUAUUUUUUUAAUUUAAAGAGUUUUGCUUUUAAAAAAAAAUUAAUAUCAAAAUGCCUUCAAUGUUAUUACUGCCACAAGCCCAGUAACAAAACUCAUUAAAAAUUUUAGAAUUUCUGGCCAUGGAAAGAGUAGUAUUAAACAUCAGAAAGCAAAGGUUGUUCCGUUAAAGAAUUGAUGUUGACAUAAUUUUAUUUUGGUUUUCGGGAAAAAAAAAAUAUUUGUUGGCAAGCAAAGAAAAUAAUUUUAUACUUUACAAUCUGCUAUACAUAUUUUAUCAUAUUAAAGUAAUUUUAAUAUCUAUCAAAAAAAUAAAUUUAAUAAUAAUUGGAACAUAAUAUUACAAUAAAUAAAUUAAAAUUAUUUUAAAUAUUAGGAAAAAAAUAUUAUUAAUAGGAAGAUAUUUUGUUAAUUGUAAAAUCCUUUUAUUCCAAAUAUUUUAUUUAAAUUUUUUAUAAUAAAUAAAAAUAUAAAAUUAAAAUAAAUAUCAUAAUUUAAAUUUUUUAUAUUAAAAAUAUUUUAAUGUUAUUAGUCUACUACAUAAAUUAUAUUAUUUAUAUUAUAUUCGUAUUGAUUAAAAUCUUUUAAAGUUAAUUUUAUAGUUACUAUAUCCACAGGGUAUUAUAUUAUAUUUAAGAGUAAUUUUUUCAAAUUUUAGGAUUGCAGAUGUCCUUCUUCCGAUAAUUUAUUUCACUUUUGAGAGAAUCCAAUGAGAAAUAUGAUAAGAGAUGGUCAGUUUAAUGUUCUCUGCCUUUAUGGAAAAAAAGUAAAAAGUAAAAACUAUUCAAUUUUGUACUUUUUGUGUCCACCAAAUAAAUUUUACACAUUUAUGUUGUCAUAAAACGAAAAAAAAGGGUUUGCCAAAAAAUGGUACCAAGCAUACCUUUAAUGUCCCACGUGAUUUCUUAUUAAGCCCAUAUUAUAUAUAUUUAUACAUUUUAUUGCAUUAAACAUUUUUAUUAUAAAAGAAGUUGGUCCUUCCCCUAGUGAUAAAAGAUAAAUAUGAUAAUGUUUGAGAUGGGUUUAGUCUUUUAUAUUUGCUGAGUCCAGUGGGUUAAAGAAUUAGAGUAAAGCAUCUGGGCAUUCUUUCAUGCAAAACUAAAAAUCCUGAAAAUAGUUGGCUUUAACUGAUUAAGACAAGCUUGGUCGAAUUGAGUUGAACUUCAUAUAUAAAAGCCAAAUAUAUUGCGGAUUCAUCGAAUUCUUCUCUAAUGAGUUGAAACAAAAGCCGAGCCAUGUCAGCUUCAUAGUUUCCCACCAGAGUAGUAGCAAUGAUUUCUGACUCCGUAAGAAGGUUUUGAAAAAGUGGAGUCAAAUUUGUUAAAUCAGGCAACGUUAACGCGCCUUCUUCACCUGCUAACACCCUUUUCAACCUCUCACAAAAUAGUCGGAGGUUCACGUCCAGCAUAUCUCCUUCUCUCCGAGAAACUGUGUAAGUGGCUAAAUUCCAGAAAUAUGACAUUAUUGCUAUUUUUUUAACUCAAAAAAAUGGUACGCGUUCAUUUAGAGAAAAGUUCAAGACGCGCGCCUUUUGAAAAAUGGUACCCGUUCAUGUAGAGAAAAGAACAGGUAUCCCAAUCGGUAUCCAACCUUUAUCUUCUUUAAUUACCACCACGACAUGAUUUUUUUUUUUUUUUUUUGAUGACAUGAGACUAUUGCUUAAAUUACAACUCAAAUUACAACUCAUAUUACAUGAGAGUAUAAUUGAUAUGUACAAUCAUAUAUACAUACUGAGAUCUAUUGACAUUAAUGCUGAUAUGACACUGCUCAGAUUUUUGUAACCCUCUCAAAUAUUCGAGGGACGUCAAACUCCUAUCCUGGGAGAAAGACUGCCUUCACUCGAGCUCUGUGGCUCCAAGGAAGGAAAUAUAAAUUAAACCUCUACAAUGCGACUGCGGAGGCUCGAACCCCUUCCCUCACAUAUGUGAGGGAGUGGCUCUAGCCACUUGGGCUAGCCCAAGUGGUUCCACGACAUGAUUGAUGGUGCUUAAAUCAAUUGUUUCUUUUUUAAUUUAAAGAAAUUUUCAUUAAAAAAAUAUUUUAAUAUCAAAUACCCUUCAAUGGCAUAACUGCCGCAAUCCCAGAAACAGGAUUAAAUAUUUUUUUUUUUUUGAAUUUUUGGGCAUGGAAAGAGCAGUAUUAAAAAUCAGAAAGCUAAGGUCGUUCUGUUAAAGAAUUGAUAUUGACAUAAUUUUUUUUUGGUUUUCGGGGGAAAAAAAAAAUUGUUGACAAGCAAGAAAAUAUUUUUAUAUUUUACAAUUUAUUAUACAUAUUUUUUUUUUUUGGAUCAAUAAUGGGCUCUAAAAGAGCUAAAGCACCAGUAAACGGGAGUGGGCAACCCCAGACACAUCGUUAUGAAGAAUACUCUGUAAAUUAGGAGGAGCAACAGUAAGUAACUGCAAUCCUAAAGGACAAGACAAAUUAAAUGAGGCCAGAAAAUCUGCUGCUAUGUUUGCUUCUCGAUAGAUGUGGUUCACUUUCACGACCCAGUCCCUGCUGAUCAGCUCACGAAUGGCAAGGAUAAGAGAAUGAUGCUCAUUAACAGGAGUGGUCGGAUUCUCCAAGAUUUGAGAUUUAUUAUACAUAUUUUAUCUUAUUAAAGUAAUUUUAAUAAUAAAUAGAAACAUAAUAUUACCAUAAAUAAAUUAAAGUUUAACUUAUUUUGAAUAUUAUAAAAAAUAAUUUUAAUAUUAUUAAUAGGAGGACAUUGUAUUAAUUUUAAAAUUUUUUAACCCAAAGGUUUAUUUAAAAUCUUUAUUAUAAAUACAAAUAUAAAAUUAAAUAUAAUAAUUUAAAAUUUUUAAUAUUAUUUUAAAUAUUAAAAAUAUUUUAAUGUUAUUAGUCUACUACAUAGAUCAUAUUACUUAUAUAAUAUUUGUAUUAUUAAAAAUUCUUAAAAUCAAAUUUUUAGUUAGUAUAUUUAUGAGGUAUUAUGGUUAAAAAAAAAACCUUAUUAUUACUUUUUAAAACAUUGAGGGCCUGCGUGAUAAUUUUUUCAAAAAGAAAAUGCUUGGUAUCUAGGAGGGUUAGAGAAACAGGACUACCAAAAUCUCUCACCCUUUUUUAAUUAAAAAAAAUUAAAAUAUCAAUAAAAAAAAUAAAGAAAAUAGAAUUUUAUCUGCUCCUUACUCCAUUUUUGUAACUCUCUCACCAUCUCUGUCGAGCAGCCCUCUCUUUCACUGUCUCUCACUAUUUCACAAUCUCUCUCUCACUCACACAGUCCUUUAGAAAAGCCCAAAAUAGGCCCAAUAAGCCCAUAAUUAAAAUAAUCGAAUCGAAUUAUUUCAAUUAAUCGAGUAUUUGAUUAUUUCGGUAAUUUGAUUAAUCGCGAUUAUGAUUUUAAAAUAAUCGUAAUCGAACGAUUAUGAAAAAUUUAGUAAAAAACCGAAUUGAACCGAACCGCACCCACCCCUACAUAAAAGAACAACAAUUACUUGUCAUUUUCAAUUUUUUCUAUAAGCUAUUUAUUUUGAGCAUUAGUGAUCUUGUCUGGACUACUCCAAUUAUUGACGUAACUCCAGUGGCUGCAUCCACUGGAAAAAGUGGAUGAGAACAUUUUUUUUUUUCAUAAAGGUAACUACUCCAAUUAUUGACAUAAUUGAUGGUGCUUAAAUCAAUUUUUUUUUUUAAUUUAAAGAAUUUUGCUUUAAAAAAUAAUUAAUAUCAAAAUGCCUUCAAUGUUGUUACCGCCACAAGCCCAGUUAGAGGACUCAUUAAAAAUUUUAGAAUUUUUAGGCCUGGAAAGCGUAGUAUUAAACAUCAGAAAGCAAAGGUUGUUAUGUCGAAGAAUUGAUGUCGACAAAAUUUUAUUUUAGUUUUCGGAAAAAAAAAAAAAUUUGUUGACAAGCAAGAAAAUAUUUUUUAUACUUUACAAUCUGCUAUACAUAUUUUAUCAUAUUAAAGUAAUUUUAAUAAUAUAUGGAAACAUAAUAUUAUAAUAAAUAAAUUAAAAUUACUUUGAAUUAUUGAAUAUUACAAAAAGAUAAUUUUAAUAUUAUUAAUAGGAAAACAUUUUUAAUUGUAAAAUCUUUUUAAUACAAAAAUUCAUUUAAAAUCUUUAUAAUAAAUACAAAUAUAAAAUUAAAAAAAUAUCAUAAUUUAAAUUUUUUAAAAUUAUUUAAAUAUUAAAAAUACUUUAAUAUUAUUAGUCUACUACAUAAAAUAUAUUAUUUAUAUUAUAUUCGUAUUGAUUAAAACGUUUUAAAGUCAAAUUUUUAAUUAGUGUAUUCAAAGAUACAAAAGAUUUUAGUAUUAUUUUUAAAAAAUUUCAGGAUAUGAAUGAUAAUUUUUUCAAAUUUUAAAGAUGUAAGAAUCUUUUUUUCUGAUAAUUUAUUUCACUUUUGAGAGAAUCCGAAAACGUUAAUUUAACAUUCUUUACCUUUGUGAAAAAAGUGAAAAUCAAGAACUAUUCAAUUUUGUUUUUAUUUGUAAUUCAAAAACUUUAUUCAUUUUCGAUGCUUUUCAAAAGAGACUCCUCUAAAUCCUUUUGGUGUCUGCAGCUCCUGCAAUUCUCAUAAAUCUCCAUCCCACAUCUACACUAUCAAACAAGUUGAUGGAAAUUCUUAUCAAAAAAAAAAAAAAAAACAAGUCGAUGGAAAUUGAUCAAUUACUUUUUGAAGUGGACCCAUUGAGUCAUGUUCAUUUCUGGUCAUUGUCUACUCUUUCCAUCAGCCAUUUAUUUUGACCAUUUGCGAUCUUAAAGGAUAUGAGAACGUAGCUGAAGUGCUGAAGGGGCUAUUAAAGAAGAGUGUCACUUGAUCACAAUCACAUUGAUGCACAACUCACUCGUGGCAAAUUUCGACUAUACGUUCUGCAAAUUCAGCCAAACCAUACAUGCAUGAACAAAACUAAAAUGUAGUUCUAAUCACAACUGCAGUUAUAAUGUUUACCCCUCUGAUUUUUCUCCAAAACAAAUUCAGUUCAAAACAAUAAUUAAAUAGCCACAUUUUGUUCGUCAAAAUAAAUGCCCAAAUUUUCAAUUAACAAAUCAUCUUCUCUAAACUAAAAAUCCCACAUCUCUAAAAUCAAUCUACAUAAUGUUGGAGAUGAGGGGUGAAUUGUUAACUCAGUAAAAAAAACUCAUGCAUAAUAUUACUAAUAAUAUAAAAUAUAUAUUAAUCAUUAUAAAGAAUCAUAAUUAGAAAAAUUAAUCAUUUUAUAAUUUAUUACACAAGUAAGAUAAAUCUCAUAAUAAGUUAUAACAUAAAAAAAACGUUAUCAAUAUAUAAUCAUUUAAGAAGUCAUUUAACAAUAAAAUCGUUCUUUAAUCAGUUGGUCAUGUCACAUAGUGUCAUCUAUAUUUACGGUGAUAAUAUUAUUACUCAGUAUUAUCAAAAAACAUGAUUUAACAUUUAGAGGAAAUUCUUGCCUUUUAAAAAAAACAUGUAUGCAACAACUACCCAUGCUUUAUCUUACCAUGACAAAUAUUUUCUCAAUGAAAGAAAAUUUUUUAAAAAUUGAUUUAAUGCACAAAUAUGAUGAUUUUUCCAAAAAUUAGUUUUGGAAAACAUAGUGAGAGAAAAUAGUGACGAUUAUUGUUUAGAUGUAUAAAUAGCCUAAACAUAAUCCUUAAUACCAAUAUCCUAAUGCAUCUUAUCAUCUUUCAUGAUAUUCUUUCAUUUAUGUCCAUUGGUUCAAGAUUUGAAUUUGAUCAUUAAAUCAUGUUCAAUAAUAUUAGAGAUUCUAACAAAUGAGUACCAACUUAAAUCCCAAUGUUAUGUGUCAUUGACCAAUUUUGUGUCAUUUUGUUAUUAACUAGGUGAUGAAUUUGUAGUUGAUAAAAUCACUUAAAAAUAUCUUAAAAAUCAAACAAUAGUUUGCUUAAUUUUUCCAAGUUAACUGCUCAAGAUGCUCUAUUAUAAAUAAUAACCUAAUUAUAUUCAUAAAAAAUGAUAUUUUUUUUGUGGUGUUGAUAAUGAGAUUAUCAUUCAACAUUUUAAAAUGUGAAAACAUAUGGAAGAUGGUUGUAAAUUGAUUGAAUGAAAACAUUUCAGUGAAGUCUCAAAAAUUUGGUACUUGUUGUCUUAUCGAAAGUUUUCUAAAUUAUAUUCGUGGCACAGCCACUAUCCAAACCAUACAAGUCCAAAGCUAUCCAAACCAUACCUGCAAGUCCGGGGCUUAAAUGGAGUACUUCUAAGCAAAAAAACAUUGACUAAAAUAGAAUAUAUACAUACAGACACACAUACAUACCAGCAUAUUCAAAAUAGCAAAAGGAGUGCAAAAGUUCAAGUUUGUAGACAACAUUGCAACCAUAGCAUGUUUAUAGCAAAUCCUCAAAAUCUGCUAAAUAAAACAAUGCCCUGUCUCAUGAAUCAAUGCUGAAUUAAAAUUGAAACUGAAAGUCUGGAUGGUUUUGUUUGUUGAGAAUGUCAAAUAAAACGGCAUUGAAGGAAGUUUUCAAAGGCAGAAUCCGCACUUGUCAAAGGGAUGAUCUGCACUUGUCAAAGACACUAUCCGCGCCGAACGGAUCGACACAUUUCCUUCCGUAUUCACAUAUGUAAUCUUUGAAAAAAUAUAGCUUCUGCAUCUAUAAAUAACGCUCAGUGUAUAAUGUUUUAUUCAAGAAAUAAAAACAAGUUUCUACAUGGUAUCAGAGCCAUGAAUGCGCUCAAGUUUCUUCAAGUUUCGCUGCUCUGUUUGUCACAAAAACAGAGGAAACCAAUUAAAUUCGUCCCACAACCAUUUUUUCCACCAUUUUCUUCCUUAAAAUCAUUCCUAACAUUACAGAAAUCCAUGCCGAUCAAAAAACAUGAAAGACAAAUUACACAUGUGCAGUAACCAAUGAUCAUAUUUCGUUACUGUCAAACACAAUGCAUCUGAGCAAAACAUUGGAAGCCAACACCAGAAUACAUAUGAAUAAACAAUUAAAGAUAGAGAAAAAAGGCUUAAACCUUGGGGGGAAAAAGUGAAAAAACAUGAAAGACAAAUUACACAUGUGCAGUAGCCAUCGAACUUAUCAGUGACAGCUGCAUCCAUUACAUUGCUCCAACAACACAAUGGCAAACCACCAGUUUCAAAUUGAGGAUAGCUAUCGAGAAUGAGAAAGUGUCCAAAACGUCAUAAAUAGACAUGUUCCGAUUGUGCAUAAUUUACAUUAUAGGCAAAUAUUCUUAUACCAUCAAAGGCAAAACAUGACACUAACAAUUGAUCACCCCCCCCCCCCCCCCCCCAACAACAAAAAAAAGGAAAAAAACAAUACAGAAAAGAUUGAAACAGAUAAGGCUACACUGAGCACAGGAUGCCAUGAAACAUAAUCCAGGAACCAAAUUAAUAAAAAAGGAAGCCAAACCAUUAUUUAACAAUCUGUUUUGUAUUUGGGAAAGUCUGAUAAAAUCUACUUGGGGAUAAUUAGAGAACCUCAACUAUUAAUCACACCUCAUAAAUGAACUAACAUUAAACAUCUACCAUCCCAACGUCACACAAACAUUCUCUACACUUCUGAACCUAAUACUUCCAUCUUCAAUUGGGGUUUUUUUUUCUUUUUCUUUGGGGGGGGGGGGGGGGGGGAUUGAAAUGCUGAUUUCGAAUCACUAACAGUAAAAUUGGAAGCUCAUGAAAAAAUAGUUUUAUCUCAAAAUUACAUCUCGAUAUAAAUUCUCUUUUCAUUUCCUUCAACUUUCUAAUUAAGCUUAAAAAAUGUACCUUCAACCACAAAGGGGUUUAAAAUUUAAAAUAUAAAAAAUAAAUUCAGAUAACAAUAAUUAAUUUAAUUAAAAAUAUAAAUAGAGUUACAGAGAAAGAGAAAAUAGAGAAAGACGUAAUGUUGAGUCCUUUGGCGCAAGUCUCUUCAUAGGUCCGAACCAUUUCUUCGGGCGUGGGUUUCGGGUCUUUAGGAUACUCCAUAGUGAUAAGCCAGUGAUUGUAAUCGCAACCCUCGAACAGAAUCGUGUCGGGUGUGAUCUCGUCGCCGUCCUUAUACAAGUGGUACGUCUUGUUAACCGACGGCGUAGACGAGAGGGAGAUCGUCGGGGACGAUCUGAACGGCCGAGAUUGGAUAAUGAUGGAGGAGGAGAAGAUUAGCGAUGACGACGCCGAUGAAAUGGAAGGGUUUACCAGAGGAGUGGAUGCGAAGAAUGCAGGGACGGCCGCAAAGAGAGAGCGGCGGAGAGCGGCGACGGACGGUAGUGACCAGCGGAGGCGGAAAAUGGCGGUAUGGGCCAUUGCUUGCGCGUCGGUGAGUGUCUCGAGUGAGAGAGUGAAGGGUUUUGGGAAAUGAAAAAUGCAAAUGUUUGAUUUUGUUGCUAGAAACUUCUUCUGCCGCUGCCUUUUAUUUUCGCUAUAAUAAUAAUAAUUUGUUAAUCAAAUAUUUUCUUAAAAAAGAUAAAUUUCUACAACAAAAUUUAUAUUAAAUCAAAUUGUAAAAAUGUCUAUUAGGGUUAAUUUCUCCUUAAUAUUAUUAUUAGUAGAUGUAGAUUUUCGAAUUAGUCUUGAUAUAUUUCAGAGUUGUAUUAUAAAUGUAUAUGUAUCUGGAUUGCAAUUAUAUUUUUAAAAAAUAUAAUUUUUUUAAUUAUUGCACAAUAAAUGUAAAUAGUAUCUAUAAAAUAAUAUUAUUAGGACUACGAAAAAAAUAUUAUUUUAGAGAAGUUAUUUAUUUAUUAUUGAAUGAAUAAAAAAAUUAGUUUGGCAUUUUUAUAACCUCCUUGAAGGUUUUACGAUAAACAUAAAUCUACUGAGAAAGUGGGAAAAAAAAAAGAAAAUGCAUAUAAAAGUAUGAGUUAUCAGAUAAGAUUAAAACUCACCCAAUUCAAUCCAUCAGAUUCCGUAAGGAUAUAACUGGAUGUCAUACCGCCACUCCAUAUCCUCGAAAGUCCGUAGUCCUUGUCUCAACUGUGUCUGAGGCCAGUGUAAGUCCAAUUUGCGCAAGCUCUUUAUGCACCACAGCUCUUCUGGAAGCUUUCUCAAGUAAGCACAUGGGUUGACAAUUAAGCUUUCAAGUUUCGGCAUUGCUCCAGCCCCCAUCGUCCACUCAUCUAGCCAAUACAUUGAUUUCAGGUGCAAAACCUUAAGUUCGGGAAAGCUACUCAAGCCAACACAAGCAAGCUUUCUUCCUAAAUACGAGUUCUGCUUCAGUUUCAGCACUCGAAGGCGUGGAAGAUUUUCCAGAAUUGGCAUGGGAUCCUCCAUUAGCUCAGUAUUUGAUAAGCUCAGUUGGAUCAGACUUGGGGGAAAUUGGUAUUCAGACAGGACCAUCCGUGAGGGCUUGCUCUCAUUCACCAGCUUCAAGCAUUCAAGUUUGUGGAGUUCGCAAAGGCUUUUGGAAACCCCAGAUUGAUAGUAACUCAAAUCUCCAGAUAUCCGAAGAGUCUGAACACUAGGUAGUCUGCCCAAUAUAUCAGGAGUACAACUGCUACGGUUUAAAGCUGAUAUGAAAAUGAGAUUUUUCAGAGAGCUAGAAUAAUUUUUUGGAGGUGCGGGCAGAGUGAUAGAACCAAAGUUUAGAUGCAUGAGUUUUUGCAUCAUCCAAAUAUCCUCUGGUGACUGAUCUAUGUAGCUAAAUGGCAUUUCUAGUGUUUCAAGGUUUAAAAGGGUGCAUAGCAGUGAAGGAAGACAUUUGAGCGAAGGGAUAUUCAAUUUCAAAUACUUCAAAAGAUAUAAAUUUUCUAAUCCGGGCGGAUAUUGGUCCAGGACUGCAGAACCCAUGUUCAAUACCCGAAGGUGUUUGAACUUUUUACAAAAAUUCUCGCAAUCUAUCAGAGCGAGACGAUCGCUUUCUGAACUGUGAUUCAGAAAAGAUUGGAGACGCAUGUCAGAAUAUUCUAAAGGAAAGAAGUCAAUCAGACGUUCCACAAUGAAGCACCGUUUAACAUUUGCCACUGAUUCCUCUUCCAUGUCAGGCGUCCAGACAAAUCCCGCCUUCUUUGCCAGAAAAUACAAUGAAGUGUAUACAAAACUUGGAACAUAACACGCUUUAAUUGUGCCGCCGGCGCUUCUCUUACUCACUUGAAUGAAGCCGCGAUGGAUUAGUUCUUUCAAGAAAUGGUCGGCAGUUUCUUCACCGUUGUAUGGUACGAAACCUUCAGCUACCCACAACUGAUGUAAUUGCCUCCUGGAUAUCUCAAUACUUGGAGGGAAGACACACAAAUAGAUGAAGCAGACUUUCAAAUGAAAAGGUAACUCCAUCACAGAAAAAAUUUGUCUCCAAACUGUCGGAAUCGCUUCGCCUUGAAGAUAAUUUUCUAAUGGCAUACUUCCAUAGUGUAGGAUGAAAAAUUGCCAGGCUUCAUGCUUUAAUCUGAUCAAUGGUCCUCCAAAGAGCACUGAAUCACGCCGAAUCUUCUCUCCGUUUUCCAUUUCCAACGACGCAAGGAGGUCUGGAUUAGUGACUGUUAUCAAUACUCUGCUUCCAUUCUGCUUAUCAGGAAGAACUUCUUCAAGAUCAUCCCAUAUGUCACUGUCAUUGAAGACAUCAUCAAGCACAAUAAAGUACUUCUUGUUUGUCAGGUAAUCUCGAAGAAUAGAUUUCUUCAAGCGAUAAUCUUCACUGAUAAUUACCCUAGCCCGAGAUGGAGGCAUCAAAGAAUUGAUUAUGUCAUCCAAUAUCUUGCCAAAAUCGUAGGCUAUAGAAACCCUGACCCAAGAAAGACAGUCAAAAUAGAACUUGACAUGGUUAUUAUUGUAAGUAUCUGCAGCAAAAGCAGUCUUAUCGAAGCCACUGCUGUCGAGAAUUGCAACCACUGAAAGCCCAGAUGGUCCCUCAAUCAAUAGAUCAAAAAACUUCUCUCUGCCCCUUUCAAAUUCACUGAUAUCGAGCCGAGGUUGUCCCUCAUUCAAUAGGCGAAUGAUUUCGUUACUUUUUUCACUGAUAUCAAAACCAUUGUCGCCGGGUGGAAGUUGUUGCAUCCGAUUUCUAAUAUCAAUGAUUUUAGUGUGGAGUCCAACAAGAAGAGCCAUAUCAGUACUGCUUUCACUUUCGUUUUCACUGUUUUGCUGCUGCAUUAUGUUGAUGAAGAAUCUGUCAAUGGCUUCCUCAGAUUCAUGGACAACGGGAUUGAUGUCCUCCAGAAUUUCCAAAAUAUCUGCUGUUUCAACGUCUUCUUUAUCGCUUUCUUCUAAGUCCAACAGUUGCAAAAAAGGCAAUGAUAUUUUGGAGUCAUCGAAUUCUUCUCUAAUGAGUUGAAACAAAUGCCGAGCCAUGUCAGCUUCAUAUUUUCCCAGCAGAGUAGUAGCAAUAAUUUCGGACUCCGUAAGAAGGUUUUGAAAAAGUGGAGUUAAAUUUGUUGAAUCAGGCAAAGUUAACGUGCCUUCUUCACCUGCUAACACCCUUUUCAACCUCACACAAAACAGUCGGAGGUGGAGUUCCAGCAUAUCUCCUUCUCUCCGCAGCACUCAGAGGUAUAGUUGAAAGAUUAAACACCAUGGAAGAAUUUGAAAGGAAUAUGCCAAGAAACUGUGUAAGUGGCUAAAUUCCACAAAUGCGGCAUUAUUGCUCAUUUUUAACUCAAAAAAUUGAUACGCGUUCAUUUAGAGAAAAGUCCAAGACGCGUGCCUUUUGAAAAGAACAGGUAUCCCAAUCGGUAUCCAACCUCUAUCUUAUUUAAUUACUAUCAUGACAUAAUUGAUGGUGCUUAAAUCAAUUGUUUCUUUUUUAAUUUAAAGAAUUUUUCAUUAAAAAAAUAUUUUAAUAUCAAAUUGCCUUCAGUGGCGUAACUGCCUCAAGCCCAGUAACAGGACUAAUUAAAGAUUUUACAAUUUUUGGGCAUGGAAAUAGUAGUAUUAAAUAUUAGAAAGGUGAGGUUGUUCUGUUAAAGAAUUGAUCUUGACAUAAUUUUAUUUUGGUUUUCGUGGAAAAAUAAAAUUUGUUGACAAGCAAGAAAAUAUUUUUAUAUUUUAAAAUUUAUUAUGCAUAUUUUAUCAUAUUAAAGUAGUUUUAAUAAUAAAUAGAAACAUAAUAUUACGAUAAAUAAAUUAAAAUUUAACUUAUUUUGAAUAUUAUAAAAAAAAUUUUAAUAUUAUUAAUAGGAAGACAUUGUAUUAAUUUUAAAAUUUUUUAACCCAAAGGUUUAUUUAAAAUCUUUAUUAUAAAUACAAAUAUAAAAUUAAAUAUCAUAAUUUAAAAAUUUUAAUAUUAUUUUAAGUAUUAAAAAUAUUUUAAUGUUAUUAGUCUACUACAUAGAUCAUAUUACUUAUAUAAUAUUUGUAUUAUUAAAAAUUCUUAAAAUCAAAUUUUUAGUUAGUAUAUUCAUGAGGUAUUAUGGUUAAAAAAAAAAAAGACCUUAUUAUUACUUUUUAAAAAAUUGAGGGUCUGCGUGAUAAUUUUUUCAAAAAGAAAAUGCUUGGUAUGUAGGAGGGGUAGAGAAACAGGACUCCCAAAAUCUCUCACCCUUCUUUAAUUAAAAAUAAAUAAAAUAUUAAUAAAAAAUAAUAAAGAAAAUAGAAUUUUAUCUGCUCCUUACUCCAUUUUUGUAACUCUCUCACCAUCUCUGUCGAGCAGCCCUCUCUUUCGUUGUCUCUCACUAUUUCACGAUCUCUCUCUCACUCACACAGUCCUUUAAAAAAGCCCAAAAUAGGCCCAAUAAGCCCAUAAUUAAAAUAAUCGAAUCGAAUUAUUUUAAUUAAUCGAGUAUUUGAUUAUUUCGGUAAUUUAAUUAAUCGCAAUUAUGAUUUUAAAAUAAUCGUAAUCGAACGAUUAUGAAAAAUUUAGUAAAAAAACCGAACUGAACCGAACCGCACCCACCCCUACAUAAAAGAACAUCAAUUACUUGUCAUUUUCAAUUUUUUCUAUAAGCUAUUUAUUUUGAGCAUUAGUGAUCUUGUCUGGACUACUCCAAUUAUUGACGUAACUCCAGUGGCUGCAUCCACUGGAAAAAGUGGAUGAUAACAUUUUUUUUUUUUUCAUAAAGGUAACUACUCCAAUUAUUGACAUAAUUGAUGGUGCUUAAAUCAAUUUUUUUUUUAAUUUAAAGAAUUUUGCUUUAAAAAAUAAUUAAUAUCAAAAUGCCUUCAAUGUUGUUACCGCCACAAGCCCAGUUAGAGGACUCAUUAAAACUUUUAGAAUUUUUAGGCCUGGAAAGCAUAGUAUUAAACAUCAGAAAGCAAAGGUUGUUAUGUCGAAGAAUUGAUGUCGACAAAAUUUUAUUUUAGUUUUCGGAAAAAAAAAAUUUGUUGACAAGCAAGAAAAUAUUUUUUAUACUUUACAAUCUGCUAUACAUAUUUUAUCAUAUUAAAGUAAUUUUAAUAAUAUAUGGAAACAUAAUAUUAUAAUAAAUAAAUUAAAAUUAAAAUUACUUUGAAUUAUUAAAUAUUACAAAAAGAUAAUUUUAAUAUUAUUAAUAGGAAAACAUUUUUAAUUGUAAAAUCUUUUUAAUACAAAAAUUCAUUUAAAAUCUUUAUAAUAAAUACAAAUAUAAAAUUAAAAAUAUCAUAAUUUAAAAUUUUUAAUAUUAUUUUAAUAUUAAAAAUACUUUAAUAUUAUUAGUCUACUACAUAAAAUAUAUUAUUUAUAUUAUAUUCGUAUUGAUUAAAACGUUUUAAAGUCAAAUUUUUAAUUAUUGUAUUCAAAGGUACAAAAGAUUUUAGUAUUAUUUUUUAAAAAUUUUAGGAUAUGAAUGAUAAUUUUUUCGAAUUUUAAAGAUGUAAGAAUCUUUUUUUCUAAUAAUUUAUUUCACUUUUGAGAGAAUCCGAAAACGUUAAUUUAACAUUCUUUACCUUUGUGAAAAAAGUGAAAAUCAAGAACUAUUCAAUUUUGUUUUUAUUUGUAAUUCAAAAACUUUAUUCAUUUUCGAUGCUUUUCGAAAGAGAUUCCGUUAAAUCCUUUUGGUGUCGGCAGCUCCUGCUAUUCUCAUAAAUCUCCAUUCCACAUCUACACUAUCAAACAAGUUGAUGGAAAUUCUUAUAAAAAAAAAACAAGUCGAUGGAAAUUGAUCAAUUACUUUUUGAAGUGGACCCAUUGAGUCAUGUUCAUUUCUGGUCAUUGUCUACUCUUUCCAUCAGCCAUUUAUUUUGACCAUUUGCGAUCUUAAAGGAUAUGAGAACGUAGCUGAAGUGCUGAAGGGGCUAUUAAAGAAGAGUGUCACUUGAUCACAAUCACAUUGAUGCACAACUCACUCGUGGCAAAUUUCGACUAUACGUUCUGCAAAUUCAGCCAAACCAUACGUGCAUGAACAAAACUAAAAUGUAGUUCUAAUCACAACUCCAGUUAUGAUGUUUACCCCUCUGAUUUUUCUCCAAAACAAAUUCAGUUCAAAACAAUAAUCAAAAUAGCCACAUUUUGUUCGUCAAAAUAAAUGCCCAAAUUUUCAAUUAACAAAUCAUCUUCUCUAAACUAAAAAUCCCACAUCUCUAAAAUCAAUCUACAUAAUGUUGGAGAUGAGGGGUGAAUUGUUAACUCAGUAAAAAAAACUCAUGCAUAAUAUUACUAAUAAUAUAAAAUAUAUAUUAAUCAUUAUAAAGAAUCAUAAUUAGAAAAAUUAAUCAUUUUAUAAUUUAUUACACAAGUAAGAUAAAUCUCAUAAUAAGUUAUAACAUAAAAAAAACGUUAUCAAUAUAUAAUCAUUUAAGAAGUCAUUUAACAAUAAAAUCGUUCUUUAAUCAGUUGGUCAUGUCACAUAGUGUCAUCUAUAUUUACGGUGAUAAUAUUAUUACUCAGUAUUAUCAAAAAACAUGAUUUAACAUUUAGAGGAAAUUCUUGCCUUUUAAAAAAAAACAUGUAUGCAACAGCUACCCAUGCUUUAUCUUACCAUGACAAAUAUUUUCUCAAUGAAAGAAAAUUUUUUAAAAAUUGAUUUAAUGCACAAAUAUGAUGAUUUUUCCAAAAAUUAGUUUUGGAAAACAUAGUGAGAGAAAAUAGUGACGAUUAUUGUUUAGAUGUAUAAAUAGCCUAAACAUAAUCCUUAAUACCAAUAUCCUAAUGCAUCUUAUCAUCUUUCAUGAUAUUCUUUCAUUUAUGUCCAUUGGUUCAAGAUUUGAAUUUGAUCAUUAAAUCAUGUUCAAUAAUAUUAGAGAUUCUAACAAAUGAGUACCAACUUAAAUCCCAAUGUUAUGUGUCAUUGACCAAUUUUGUGUCAUUUUGUUAUUAACUAGGUGAUGAAUUUGUAGUUGAUAAAAUCACUUAAAAAUAUCUUAAAAAUCAAACAAUAGUUUGCUUAAUUUUUCCAAGUUAACUGCUCAAGAUGCUCUAUUAUAAAUAAUAACCUAAUUAUAUUCAUAAAAAAUGAUAUUUUUUUUGUGGUGUUGAUAAUGAGAUUAUCAUUCAACAUUUUAAAAUGUGAAAACAUAUGGAAGAUGGUUGUAAAUUGAUUGAAUGAAAACAUUUCAGUGAAGUCUCAAAAAUUUGGUACUUGUUGUCUUAUCGAAAGUUUUCUAAAUUAUAUUCGUGGCACAGCCACUAUCCAAACCAUACAAGUCCAAAGCUAUCCAAACCAUACCUGCAAGUCCGGGGCUUAAAUGGAGUACUUCUAAGCAAAAAAACAUUGACUAAAAUAGAAUAUAUACAUACAGACACACAUACAUACCAGCAUAUUCAAAAUAGCAAAAGGAGUGCAAAAGUUCAAGUUUGUAGACAACAUUGCAACCAUAGCAUGUUUAUAGCAAAUCCUCAAAAUCUGCUAAAUAAAACAAUGCCCUGUCUCAUGAAUCAAUGCUGAAUUAAAAUUGAAACUGAAAGUCUGGAUGGUUUUGUUUGUUGAGAAUGUCAAAUAAAACGGCAUUGAAGGAAGUUUUCAAAGGCAGAAUCCGCACUUGUCAAAGGGAUGACCUGCACUUGUCAAAGACACGAUCCGCGCCGAACGGAUCGACACAUUUCCUUCCGUAUUCACAUAUGUAAACUUUGAAAAAAUAUAGCUUCUGCAUCUAUAAAUAACGCUCAGUGUAUAAUGUUUUAUUCAAGAAAUAAAAACAAGUUUCUACAUGGUAUCAGAGCCAUGAAUGCGCUCAAGUUUCUUCAAGUUUCGCUGCUCUGUUUGUCACAAAAACAGAGGAAACCAAUUAAAUUCGUCCCACAACCAUUUUUUCCACCAUUUUCUUCCUUAAAAUCAUUCCUAACAUUACAGAAAUCCAUGCCGAUCAAAAACAUGAAAGACAAAUUACACAUGUGCAGUAACCAAUGAUCAUAUUUUGUUACUGUCAAACACAAUGCAUCUGAGCAAAACAUUGGAAGCCAACACCAGAAUACAUAUGAAUAAACAAUUAAAGAUAGAGAAAAAAGGCUUAAACCUUGGGGGAAAAAGUGAAAAAACAUGAAAGACAAAUUACACAUGUGCAGUAACCAUCGAACUUAUCAGUGACAGCUGCAUCUAUUACAUUGCUCCAACAACACAAGGGCAAACCACCAGUUUCAAAUUGAGGAUAGCUAUCGAGAAUGAGAAAGUGUCCAAAACGUCAUAAAUAGACAUGUUCCUAUUGUGCAUAAUUUACAUUAUAGGCAAAUAUUUUUAUACCAUCAAAGGCAAAACAUGACACUAACAAUUGAUCACCCCCCCCCCCCCCCCCCCCAACAACAAAAAAAAGGAAAAAACAAUACAGAAAAGAUUGAAACAGAUAAGGCUACACUGAGCACAGGAUGCCAUGAAACAUAAUCCAGGAACCAAAUUAAUAAAAAAGGAAGCCAAACCAUUAUUUAACAAUCUGUUUUGUAUUUGGGAAAGUCUGAUAAAAUCUACUUGGGGAUAAUUAGAGAACCUCAACUAUUAAUCACACCUCAUAAAUGAACUAACAUUAAACAUCUACCAUCCCAACGUCACACAAACAUUCUCUACACUUCUGAACCUAAUACUUCCAUCUUCAAUUGGGGGUUUUUUUUUUCUUUUUCUUUGGGGGGGGGGGGGGAUUGAAAUGCUGAUUUCGAAUCACUAACAGUAAAAUUGGAAGCUCAUGAAAAAAUAGUUUUAUCUCAAAAUUACAUCUCGAUAUAAAUUCUCUUUUCAUUUCCUUCAACUUUCUAAUUAAGCUUAAAAAAUGUACCUUCAACCACAAAGGGGUUUAAAAUUUAAAAUAUAAAAAAUAAAUUCAGAUAACAAUAAUUAAUUUAAUUAAAAAUAUAAAUAGAGUUACAGAGAAAGAGAAAAUAGAGAAAGACGUAAUGUUGAGUCCUUUGGCGCAAGUCUCUUCAUAGGUCCGAACCAUUUCUUCGGGCGUGGGUUUCGGGUCUUUAGGAUACUCCAUAGUGAUAAGCCAGUGAUUGUAAUCGCAACCCUCGAACAGAAUCGUGUCGGGUGUGAUCUCGUCGCCGUCCUUAUACAAGUGGUACGUCUUGUUAACCGACGGCGUAGACGAGAGGGAGAUCGUCGGGGACGAUCUGAACGGCCGAGAUUGGAUAAUGAUGGAGGAGGAGAAGAUUAGCGAUGACGACGCCGAUGAAAUGGAAGGGUUUACCAGAGGAGUGGAUGCGAAGAAUGCAGGGACGGCCGCAAAGAGAGAGCGGCGGAGAGCGGCGACGGACGGUAGUGACCGGCGGAGAGCGGAAGAUGGCGGUAUGGGCCAUUGCUUGCGCGUCAGUGAGUGUCUCGAGUGAGGAGUGAAGGGUUUUGUACUUUUGUUUAGGGUUUUGGGAAAUGAAAAAUGCAAAUGUUUGAUUUUGUUGCUAGAAACUUCUUCUGCCGCCGCUUUUUAUUUUCGCUAAAUAAUAAUAAUAAUUUGUUAAUAAAAUACUUUCUUAGAAAAGAUAAAUUUAUAGAACAAAAUUUAUAUUAAAUCAAAUUGUAAAAAUGUGGAAUAGGGCUAAUUUCUCCUGAAUAUUAUUAUUAGUAGAAGUAGAUUUUCGAAAUAGUCUUGAUAUAUUUCAAAGUUGUAUUAUAGAUGUACAUGUAUCUGGAUUGUAAUUAUAUUUUAAAAAAUAUACAUUUUUUUUCAUUAUUGCACAAUAAAUGUAGAAAGUGUCUAUAAAAUAAUAUUAUUAGAACUAUGAAAAUAUAUUAUUUUAGAGUAGUUAUUUAUUUAUUUUUGAAUAAAUAAUUUAUUAAUUUAUUAAUUUAUUGAUAAAUUAAUAAAUAUUAAUUUAAAGAGAGAUUUUUUUUUUUGGGGGUUUUUAAGAAGAGUUUUGUUGGUAUAUGUACAAACUUAUAAAGAAAUACAAAAAAUGCUUCCUCAAGUCAAUAGUAUUUACUUUAAUUCAUAAUAGUAUAGUUUAAUCAAGAAACUUAUAAUUAUACUAUAUCUUUCUUUCUUUGUUCUAUUUGGUGGGACAUUGUGAUAAAUCAUUGGAUUAAAAUGCAUUUCUAAAUGAAAACUUGUUAAAACCUAAUUUAUUUGGGAACGACAUUUUAUUUGUCAGUCGUAUUUCUCAACUUCGUAAGUUAUUUCUAAUUUAUCGGUCUCUAUUGGUUCUCUUAAGUACCUAUUUGGCAUGACUUAUUUAAUAGUAAUAAGUGCUUAUUUAAUCUCAUAAGUUUUUUCCCUCUCUGACAAUUGAGUUAGGGGGUCAAACUUGAAAGUAUCUUAAAAUUAGACAACAAUUUAACUAUUUUUUUUUUUUUAGAUAACUGCUAAUAUGCUCUAUUAGACAAUGAUGAGUGAUAACCUAGGUGUUUGCAUUUAAAGGGAUACUUUUUGUGGUGUUGAUAAAGAGGUUAAGUAUGAUUCAACAAUUUAAAAUAUGAAAACAUAUGGAAGACGGCCGCAAUUAAAUUAAUUGUAUGAAAAUAUUUCAAUGAAAUUUUAAAAAUUUAGUAUUUGUUAUCUUAUCGAGAGUUUUUUAAAAUUAUAUUACUACUUGAACUUGACUGCUUUUGUAUUUAAUUCCUACCGUUGCCAUUGCUUCUACUCAAAAGCCAUUUAAGUUUGUGUAAGCUACGUAUAGUUUGAACAACAAUUUACUCAUGAAUUGUUGUUCAUAAUAGCAUCAGUGCAUGCAUCAUUUUAAUGAGAAAGAAUAUUCUAAGAACGAAAUUGAACGUGGGAGGUAUCGGGAAGGAAUUGGAAUGGAAUAAUAUCGAUUCAUAUAGAUACAGAAGAAAAAGUUCUCUAUUGAUUCAAAUGCUGUGCCUAUGGGAUAAGGAUAGAGAAAGAGGAAAAAACCGAAGCCAGAAAUGUACACGCAUGAGGAACUUUUCCUAGAAGAUUGAUAUUUCUUUGACUAGCAAACCAUACAAGUCCAAAGCUAGCCAAACCAUACCUGCAAGUCGGGGGUUUAAAUGGAAUACUUCUAAGCAUAAAACAUUGAUUAAAACAGAAUACACACAUACAUACCAGCAAAUUCAAAAUAGCAAAAGGAGUGCAAAAGUUCAAGUUUGUAGACAACAUUGCAACCAUGGCAUGUUUAUAGCAAAUCCUCGAAAUCUGCUAAAUAAAACAAUGCCCUGUCUCAUGAAUCAAUGCUGAAUUAAAAUUGAAACUGAAAGUCCGGCUGGCGUUGUUUCCCUCUCCAAUUUUGCCUACAUAAGUGAAAAUAAGAAUAAUAAAUGAAAAUCUGCUUUUACGGUUCUUAUUAGAUAGAUAAAAGGGGGAUCUUUCUUUGUUUCUCUGCUGCAAUGUGUGGCUAUCCCACUCUGUUUUGCCACCCAAGCUGAGUCUAUGCUGAGACAUAAUUUUGACAUCAGAAGCAAUCUCAAUUAGUUUGGCACUUUUAAGCAAUCUCAUAUUUUGCUCACUUGAAGGUUUUACGAUAAACAUAAAUCUACAGAGAAAGUGGGAAAAAAAAAAGAAAAUGCAUAUAAAUAUAUGAGUUAUCAGAUAAGAUUAAAACUCACCCAAUUCAAUCCAUCAGAUUCCGUAAGGAUAUAACUGGAUGUCAUACCGCCACUCCAUAUCCUUGAAAGUCCGUAGUGUUUGUCUCAACUCUGUCUGAGGCCAAUGUAAAUUCAAUUUGCGCAAGCUCUUUAUGCACCACAGCUCUUCUGGAAGCUUUCUCAAGUAAGCACAUGGGUUGACAAUUAAGCUUUCAAGUUUCGGCAUUGCUCCAGCCCCCAUCGUCCACUCAUCUAGCCAAUACAUUGAUUUCAGGUGCAAAACCUUAAGUUCCGGAAAGCUACUCAAGCCAACACAAGCAAGCUUUCUUCCUAAAUACGAGUUCUGCUUCAGUUUCAGCACUCGAAGGCGUGGAAGAUUUUCCAGAAUUGGCAUGGGAUCCUCCAUUAGCUCAGUAUUUGAUAAGCUCAGUUGGAUCAGACUUGGGGGAAAUUGGUAUUCAGACAGGACCAUCCGUGAGGGCUUGCUCUCAUUCACCAGCUUCAAGCAUUCAAGUUUGUGGAGUUCGCAAAGGCUUUUGGAAACCGCAGAUUGAUAGUAACUCAAAUCUCCAGAUAUCCGAAGAGUCUGAACACUAGGUAGUCUGCCCAAUAUAUCAGGAGUACAACUACUAGGGUUUAAAGCUGAUAUGAAAAUGAGAUUUUUCAGAGAGCUGGAAUAAUUUUUUGGAGGUGCGGGCAGAGUGAUAGAACCAAAGUUUAGAUGCAUGAGUUUUUGCAUCAUCCAAAUAUCCUCUGGUGACUGAUCUAUGUAGCUAGAUGGCAUUUCUAGUGUUUCAAGGUUUAAAAGGGUGCAUAGCAGCGAAGGAAGGCGUUUGAGCAAAGGGAUAUUCAAUUUCAAAUACUUCAAAAGGAAUAAAUUUUCUAAUCCGGGUGGAAAUUGGUCGAGAACUGCAGAACCGAAGUUCAGUACCCGAAGGUGUUUGAACUUUUUACAAAAAUUCUCGCAAUCUAUCACAGCGAGAUGAUCGCCUUCUAAACUUUGAUUGAUAAAAGAUUGGAGAUAGAUCUCACCAUGUUCUAAAGAAAUGAAGUCAGUCAGAUGUUCCAAAAUGAUGUAGCGUUUAACAUUUGCAAAUGGUUCCGCUUCCAUUCCAGGCAUCCAGAGAAAUUUCGUCUUGUCUGCCACCAAACCCAAUGAAGUAUAUACAAAACUUGGAACAUAGCAAGCUUUAAUUGUGCCGCCGGCUCUUCUCUUACUCACUUGAAUGAAGCCGCGAUGGAUUAGUUCUUUCAAGUAAUGUUCGGCAGUUUCUUCACCGUUGUAUGGUAUGAAACCUUCAGCUACCCACAACUGAUAUAAUUGCUCCGUAGAUAUCUCCAUACUUGGAGGGAAGACCAACAAAUAGAUGCAGCAGACCUUCAAGUGAAAAGGUAACUCCAUCACAGAAAAAAUUUGUCUCCAAACUGUCGGAAUCGCUUCGCCUUGAAGAUAAUUUUCUAAUGGCAUACUUCCAUAGUGUAGGAUGAAAAAUUGCCAGGCUUCAUGCUUUAAUCUUAUCAAUGGUCCUCCAAUGAGCACUGAAUCACGCCGAAUUUCCUCUCCAUUUUCCAUUUCCAACGACACAAGGAGGUCUGGUUCAGUGACUGUUAUCAAUACUCUGCUUCCAUUCUCAUCAUCAGGGAGAACUUCUUCCAGAUCAUCCCAUAUCUCACAGUCAUCGAAGACGUCAUCAAGCACAAUAAAAUACUUCUUGUUUGUUAGGUAAUCUCGAAGAAUAGAUUCCUUGAAUUGAUAAUCUUCACCGAUAAUUACACUAACCCGAGAUGGAGGCAUCACAGACUUGAUUAUGUCAUCCAAUAUCUUGCGAAAAUCGUAGAGUAGAGAAACCCUGACCCAAGCAAGACAGUCAAAAUAGAACUUGACAUAGUUAUUAUUGUAAGUAUCUGCAGCAAAAGCAGUCUUAUCGAAGCCACUGCUGUCGAGAAUUGCAACCACUGAAAGCCCAGAUGGUCCCUCAAUCAAUAGAUCAAACAACUCCUCUCUGCCCCUUUCAAAUUCACUGAUAUCAAGCCGAGGAUGUCCCUCAUUCAAUAGGCGAAUCAUUUCGUUACUUUUUUCACUGAUAUCAAAACCAUUGUCGCCGGGUGGAAGUUGUUGCAUCCGAUUUCUAAUAUCAAUGAUUUCACUGUGGAGUCCAUCAGGAAGAGCCAUAUUAGUGCUGCUUUCACUUUCGUUUUCACUGUUUUGCUGCUGCAUGAUGUUGAUGAAGAAUGUGUCAAUGACUUCCUCAGAGUCACGGACAAAGUUAUUGAUGUCCUUCAGAAUUUCAAAAAUAUCUGCUGUUUCAACGUCUUCUUCAUCGCUUUCUUCUAAGUCCAACAGUUGCAAAAAAGGCAAAGAUAUUUUGGAGUCAUCGAUAUCUUCUCUAAGGAGUUGAAUCAAAUGCCGAGCCAUGUCGGCUUCAUAGUUUCCCAGAAGAGUAGUAGCAAUAAUUUCGGACUCCGUAAGAAGGUUUUGAAAAAGUGGAGUUAAAUUUGUUGAAUCUGGCAGAGGCAACGUGCCUUCUUCACCUGCUAACACCCUUUUCAACCUCUCACAAAACAGUCGGAGGUGGACGUCCAGCAUAUCUCCUUCUCUCUGUAGCACCCAGAGGUAUUGUUUUUUGCUCCAAGAAAUAUUAAAAGGAUUGGUUCUAUCUAAAAGUGGUUACUGGUGUAAAAUUAAACGCCAUGGGAGAAUUUGAAAGGAAGAUGCCAAGGAACUGGCGAAGUGGCUAAAUUCCACAAAUACGGCAUUAUUGCUCAUUUUUAACUCAAAAAAUUGAUACGCCUUCAUUUAGCGAAAAGUCCAAGACGCUUGCCUUUUGAAAAGAAGAGGUAUCCAUAGAUAUCCAACAUUUAUCUUAUUUUAAUUACUACCACGACAUGAUUGAUGGUUGUUAAAUCAAUUGUUUCUUUUUUAAUUUAAAGAAAUUUUCAUUAAAAAAUAGUUUAAUAGACACAUAAUAUUACAAUAAAUAAAGUAAAGUUUAAAUUAUUUUGAAUAUUAUAAAAAAUAAUUUUAAUAUUAUUAAUAGGAAGACAUUUUGUUAAUUUUAAAAUCUUUUUAACCCAAAGGUUUAUUUAAAAUCUUUAUUAUAAAUACAAAUAUAAAAUUAAAUAUCAUAAUUUAAAAUUUUUAAUAUUAUUUUAAGUAUUAAAAAUAUUUUAAUGUUAUUAGUCUACUACAUAGAUUUUAUUAUUUAUAUUAUAUCUGUAUUGAUUAAAAUUUUUUAAAGUCAAUUUUUUAGUCAAUAUAUUCAAGAGGUAUUAUAGUUAAAGAAAAGAUUUUGGUGUUAUUUUUUGAAAAUUUUAAGGUUUAAAUGAUUUUUUUUUUAAUUUUAAGGAUGUGGGUAUUAUUUUUCCGACAAUUUAUUUUAUUUUUGGGGAAUCCGAUGAGAAAUAUCAUGAGAGAAGGUUAAUUUUACAUUCUUUACCUUUAUGAAAAAAGUGGAAACCAAGAACUAUUCAAUUUUGUAUUUUUUGUUUGUAAUUCAAAAAAUGCAUCCACCAAACAAGCUUAUCUUGAUUUUCCCACUUUAUUCAUUUUCGAUCCUUUAAUCCAUCUAGCAUCUGCAGCCCCCGCUAUUUUCACAAAGAGUAAUGAUACAGCCACAAAUUCUUGUACAAAUUUAUUUUGUAUAAACUGACGUGGCAUGAUAAGAUUGGUUGAAUUAAAUAUCACUUGGCCCACAUGAUUUGUUUUUAUUAUUUUAUAUUUUUAUUCAACCAAUGAAUUAAUGCCACGUCAGUUUGUACAAAAUAAAUUUGUACAAGAGUUUGUGGCUGUAUCAUUACUCUGUCAAGAAUCUCCAUCCCACAGCUACACUAUCAAACAAGUUGAUGGAAAUUGAACAAUUGCUUUUUGAAGUGGACCCAUUAGGUUAUGUUCAUUACUGGUCAUUGUCUAUUCUUUCUAAGAGCCACUUAUUUUGAGCAUUAGCGAUCCUAUCUGGACUACUCCAAUUAUUGAUGUAACUCCAAUGGUUGCAUCAACAGUUGAAUGUAAGAUAGUGUCAGUUCUUUUUUGAGAAUAUAGAGGGAUCUUUAUUUGUUUCUCCGUUGCAGCGUAUUAGUAUAAAUUUCUUGACCUUACAGUUCCUACAGUCUUCCUGUUAAUGAAUUCGCUGAGGCAUUAUUGAUCCAAUCUCAGUGAAGUAAUUGUGGGUGAAAAAAAAAUAAAGGAUAAGAGAACGUAGCUCAAGUGCUGAAUUGACUAUUAAAGAAGAGCGUCACCUGAUCACAAUCACAUUGAUGCACAACUCACUCGAGGCAAAUUUCAUCUAUAUAUACUGCAAAUUCAGCCAAGCCAUGCAUGCAUGAACAAAACUAAAAUGAAGUUCAUAAUCACAACUGUAAUUAGAGCUACAAAAGGUGGCAAACCAUACAUGCAUGAACAAAAUUAGACAUAAAUUGAAGCCACAACAUUAAUUGAAGCCACAAAAGCCAGCAAAUCCAAAUGAAAACUUAAAAGGAAGAUCUUAUCGAAGUUUGUCCCCAAAAGACAGCGGAAAUGAAAAAUAUUGACUAUCGAGUGGAUCAAUGCUGAAUUACAUUUGACCUGGAAAGCUUGGCUGCAGUUGCGAUGUUCCCCCUCUGAUUUUCCCUAAAACAAAUUCAGUUGUAAACAAUAACUGGAGUAGCAACAAUUUAUUCAUUAUAGAAAAUACCUAAAUUUUCAACUAUCAAAUCCUCUUGUCUAAACUAAAAAACUCAUAUCUCUAAAAUCUAUAUACAAAAUGUCAUAAAUGAGGGUGAUCUCUCAAUUCGGUAAACAAAUUCAUGCAUAAUAUUACCAAUAAUGAUAAAUUACAUAAUAAUUAUUAUAAAGAAUCAUAAAUUGGAAACAUUAAUCAUUUUAAAAUCUAUUACAUAAUAAAAAUAAAUCUUAUAAUAAGUUACGUUAGAACAUAACAAAUAUUUAAAAUGAUAUAUAUAAUUAUUUAAGAAGUCUUUUAACAAUAAUUUUUUUUUUCUUUUUCAGUUGAUCAUGUCAUAGCGUUAUCUAAAAUGCUAGCGAUAUCAUUAUUCCCCACUUUUCUCAAAAAAAAGAAAAAGAUAAAGAAAAAAGAAAUAUGAUUAACGUUUGGAGAAAAGUCAUGCCUUUUAAAAAGAAUAUGUAUACAAUACCAAUUCAUACUUUAUCUUACCAUAAAAAAAUUGUUUAAAAUAGAUUUAAUGCACAAAUAUGAUGACUUUUGGCAGAAAUGAGUUUCGGAAAUAUUGGGAUGAAAACCAUAUUGGUUCAGACUUAAAAUUACUUAAUAAAAUUACUUAACUACCAUUUAAUAAAUAAAAAUCAUAUUAGUUGAAAGUUAAAUUAAGAUUUAAAUGUUGAGAUAUCUAACGUUACUCAAUCAGAAUAAACAAUAAUCAAUUCAAAUUAUGACUAUCAUGUAGAAGCAAAUGUUUAUGCUUGGGUCUUUUACUUCUUGAAUUUGAUUGGAAAAAUUUCUGAGACAGGGAAGUGAGUGUUUUGGAUAAUAUUUUUCGGGAUUGAAACCACAAGUUGGUCGAGGAAAAUAAUUUUGGACAAAUUUUUAUUAUAUUGUAGAACCUUUUUGGUUCCUUUUGUGUCGGCAGCCCCUCACUAUUCUCUUAACCCUGAGUUUUGAGAUAGAAAUUUCCCGAACUCCAACCCCACAUCCACAGACAAGUUGAUUGAAACAAUUGCUCUUGUAAUUAAGAGGAUGAGUUAGGGUUCAGUUCUUAUCAUUGUCUGUUAUUUCUUUGAAUCAUUAUCUUAGUUAAUUACAUCAAUUGUUUCUUUUCUUAAUUUAAAGAAUUUUUCUUUUAAAAAAAUAUUUUAAUAUCAAAAUGCGUUAAAUGGUAUUACUGCCGCAAUCCCAGUAACAGGAUUAAUUAAAAAAAUAUUCUUAGGAAGAUAUUUUGUUUAUUGUAAAAUCUUUUUAACCCAAAGGUUUAUUUAAAAUCGUUAUAAUAAAUAAAAAUAUAAAAAAAAAUAAAUAUCAUAAUUUAAAAUUUUAAUAUUAUUUUAAAUAUUAAAAAUACUUUAAUGCUAUUAGUCUACUACACAGGUUAUAUUACUUAUAUUAUAUUUGUAUAAAUUAAAACUUUUAAAGUUAAAUUUUUAAUUACUAUAUUGAAAAGGUAUUAUGGUUAAAAAAAGUUUUGGCAUUUGUUUUUUGAAAAUUUGAGGGUCUGCAUGACAAUUUGUCCAAAUCCUAGAGGUAUAGGUGUCUUUUUUUUUCGAUAAUUCAUUUUACUUUUGAGGGAAUCCGAUGAGAAAUAAGAUAAGAGAAACGUCAAUUUAACGUUCUCUAGGGAAAACCAAGAACUAUUCAAUUUUGUAUUUUUUGUUUGUAAAACAAAAAACAGUUUGCCAAAAAAGGUACCAAACAUAUCCUUAAUGUCUCACAUGAUUUCUUAUUAAGUCCAUACUCGAUAUAUUUAUACAUUUUAGGUAUUUUAGUUAUAAAAGAAGUUGGUCCUCCCUCUGUUUAUAAAAGGUAACUUUAUUUCGAGAUUACCACUAAAGUCUUACAAAGAAUUAGUGUAAUGUUAAGAGAGACUAACACAGUUUUCCAUUACCAUUUUGAAAAUAGAAAGAUAUGGAUGUGUGCAUUUAAUGGUGCGUUUACUUGCCGGAUUGGGGAAUCAGAAUCUGGAAUCAGAAUGAUUGAUGGUGUUUACUUCACAAAUAUGGAGCAGGAAUCGGAAUUGGAAUGGUGGGGCCCACCACUAUUUGGGAAUGGGAGAUUGAUUCCCAUGGGGGAAGGUGGGAAUGAGUCUCUCAUUCCCUGGAUUGACCAUUUUGCCCUCCCUCAAAAUUAAAAAUGCCUACUUUGUCCUCUUUUAUAAUUAAUUAAUAUAAUAUUAUAAUUAAUUAAUUAAUAUAUAAAUAUUUUAUUAACUAUAAUUAUUAAAAAUUAUAGUUCUUGAAUAAAUAAUCACAAUAAUUAAUUUAUUAUUAUUAUUGUUAAUGAAUUAAUAUAAUUAUUACUAUUAAUUAAUAUAUUAAUAUAUUAUUAACAAUAAUAUAUUAAUAAUUAUUGUUCGUGAAUAAAUAAUCACAAUAAUUAAUAUAUUAUUAUUGAAAUUAAUUAAUUAAUAUACUAUUAUAAUAAUUAUUAUAAUUAAUUCAUAUAUUAUUAUUAAUUAAUUAAUAAAAUUAAAAUUAUUAAUUAAAUAAAUAAUAUAAUUAUUACUACUAAUUAAUAUAUUAAUAUAUUAUUAAAAAUAAUUAUUAAUAAUUAUAAUUUUUGAAUAAAUAAUCACAAUAAUUAAUAUAUUAUUUUAAUUAAGUAAUUAAUAUUAAUAUUAUUAGUUAAUAUAUUUUUAUAAUAAUUUUUGAUAUAGUUAUUAUAAUUAAUUAAAAUUUUUUACAAUUAAUUAAUAUAUUAGUUAAUAAUAAUUAUGACAAUAAUUCAUUAAGUACUUUUUAGUAAUUUGUUACAAUCUAAUUCAUUCCGAUUCCGAUUUCAAGACAAAGUAAACACAUUAAUGGCAAUCUAGCUCAUUCCGAUUUCGAUUCUUACAGUUCAAGUAAACAACUUAUUUUGAUUCCCAUUACCUAUUCCCAUUCCAGCCCAUUCUCAUUUCUGCCCAUUUCAAUUCCAGCUCAUUCCGAUUCCAGUUUAGUAAACGCAGCAUAAGAGUUAUCAUGAAAAUCAUACAAUUUAAUUUCCUGAAAUAUAUAUUUUAUUCACAUGUGCCAAAAGAAUAAAUAGAUAGAAAGUAAAUUUACAAUCCUCACUCCCUCAUAAUUGUUAAAGUGAAUAUGCAUUACAACUGUGAACUGUCACUACUUUAGCCCUUUAUUUGUUUUUUCAAUUAUAGUGUGAUGGAGACAGUGAACAUUAAGGAUAAAGUGCUCUGCUGAAAGCCAAACUUCCUUUGGCUAAUUAAUUUAGAAGUAAAGCAGAGAAUAAAGUCCUUGAUGCCUUCUGAAAUUAGAAAUACAUUUUAUAUGCUUUAAUUAUGAUUAUUUGGUAGACUAUUGACCAAAAGACAUGUUAAAGUAUAAAACAGAGCGAUUAAAGAAAAAAAAAAGGAGCGUUUGUGACGUAGAAUAACAAUUUGUAAGCAAAGUCCUAAUUUGAGUUGUCAAAAAGCAAACAUAACAGAGAAGGUAAGAGAGAUGCAAAAACAGAAAACUAUUAGCUUAUCUUGAUUUUCCCACUAUAUUCAUUUUCGAUGCUUUUCAAACGAGAUUCUUUUAAUCCUUCUGGCGUCUGCAGCCCCUGCUCUUCUUAUAAAUCUCCUUCCCACAUCUGCACUACGAACAAGUUGACUAAAAUUAAAUAAUGUUGGAGACGAGGGGUGAGCCGUCAACUUAUUAAAAAAAACUCAUGUAUAAUAUUAUCAAUAAUAUAAAAUAUAUAAUAAUUAUUAUAAAGAAUCAUAAAUUAGAAAAAUUAAUUAUUUUACAAUUUAUUUCUUAAGUAAGAUAAAUCUCGUAAUAAGUUAAGUUUAAUGUAAAAAAUAUUUUCAAUUUAUAAUCAUUUAAGAAGUCAUUUAACAAUAAAAUCUUUUUUUUGAUCAGGUGGCCAUGCCAUAGAGUAUCAUCUAUAUUCGUGGUGAUAUUAUUAUUACUCAAUAUCCUCAAAAGACACUAUUUAACAUUUAGAGAAAAUUUCUGCCUUUUAAAAAGAACAUGUAUGCAAUAGCUAGCCACACUUUAUUUUACCACGACAAAAUUGAUAGUGAUUAAAUCAAUUUUCUCAAUUAAAGAAAUUUUUUUUAAAUUGAUUUAAUGCACAAAUAUGAUGAGUUUUUGCAAAAAUUAGUUUUGGAAAAUAUAGUGAGAGAGAAUGGUGACGAUUAUUUUUCAGAUGUGCAAAUAGCCUAAACAUAAUCUCUAAUACCAAUAUCCUUGUGCAUCUUAACACCUUUCAUGAUAUUCUUUCAUUCAUAACCAUUUGUUCAAUAUUUGAAUUUGAUUAUUAAAUUAUGUUCAAUAAUGUUAGAGACCCCAACAAUUGGGUACCAACUUAAAUCCCAAUGCUAUGUGUCAAUGUAACAUAGCAAAAUCCCAUUAACAAAUGUUGUGUCAUUUAUCAUUAUUGAAUGAAUAAUUCGUUAAUUUAUUGAUAAAUGAAAAUUUAUUAAUUUAAAGAGAGAUUUUUUUUUUUGGUUUUAAGAAGAGUUUUGUUGGUACAUGUACAUACUUAUAAAGGAAAAACUUGUAAUUAUACUAUAUCUUUCUUUCUUUGUUCAGUUUGGUGGGAUAUUGUGAUAAAUCAUUGGAUUAAAAUGCAUUUCUAAAUUGAAACUUGUUAAAAUCUAAUUUAUUUGGGAAACGCAUAUUAUUUGUCAGUCGUACUUCUCAACUUAGCAAGUUAUUUCUAACUUGUCGGUCUCUAUUGGUUCUCUUAAAACUAAUAGUCUCGUAUCUCCCGCAUUUGAUAUCUUGCCAUUACUGUUGGCAUUAACAUGUUACCUGAGAUUGGGAUUCAUUAAAAUCCUCAAUGUAAUCGGUGGAACGAAUGGAUUUCUUCUGUUCACCAAUCCACCAAAAUUUCUGUAAUUAAAUUCAAAAGUCAAGAUCUAUGCUUAUAAUCUAUUCAACAGCUAAUAUUCUAUUUUAUAUUUACUUAAAUAUGAAGAGCUAUGCUUGUAGUUAACUUCAAAUGUGAUCGAAGCAGCCUUACAUCUAUAUAUUACUUAUGCCCAACCUUUUUUUUUGACUUCAUAUACAUUCUUUUCAUGUUAUUUACUCUUUUUUCCCCCUCUCUGACAAUUGAGGUAGGGGGUCAAACUUGAAAGUAUCUUAAAAUCAGACAAUAAUUUUUUUUUUUUAAAGAUAGCUACUAAUAUGCUCUAUUAGACAAUGAUAAGUAAUAACCUAGUUGUUUGCAUUAGAAAUGAUAUUUUUUGUGGUGCUGAUAAAGAGGUUGAUUAUGAUUCAACAAUUUAAAAUAUGAAAACAUGUGGAAGACGGCCGCAAUUAAAUUGAUUGUAUGAAAAUAUUUCAAUGAAAUUUUAAAAGUUUAGUACUUGUUAUCUUAUCGAGAGUUUUUUUAAAUUAUAUUACUACUUGAACUUGACUGCUUUUGUAUUGAAUUCCUACCGUUGCCAUUGCUUCUACUCAAAAGCCAUUUAAGUUUGUGUAAGCUACCUAUAGUUUGAACAACAAUUUACUCAUGAAUUGUUGUUCAUAUUAGCAAUUUGAUUGAAAGUGCGGCUGCACUAAUUUUCUAGAUGAAUUUUUUCCUACAUGCUUGUUCUCGUAUGACCCAAAAUCCUACUACAUCAGUUGUAUUAGAAAUUAAUCAACUGGGUUACAAUUAUGCAUCCCCACCAAUAUUUAAGCAAUUUAAUUACAGAAAUAUUUCUUGAGGAAAGAAACUCAUAUCGCCACUAGGCUUGUAAUGAGGCUCAUUUUUAUGAAUCUGGAUGGCAUUAGAUAUCUCUACGAAUAUUGGUGGGAGUAGAUCGCAGAUCUCUGGGCUAUACUACAAAGUUUAUGUACGUUGACUCUCAAUAAAUACAAACGAUUCUCUGAUAUGAUUCAAACAUCAGUGCAUGCAUCAUUUUAAUGAGAAAGAAUAUUCUAAGAACGAAAUUGAAGGUGCAAUCAGCAGCUAAAAUGAAGCCAGAAAUGUACAUGCAUGAGGAAUUUUUCCUAGAAGAUUGAUAUUUCUUUGACUAGCAAACCAUACAAGUCCAAAGCUAGCCAAACCAUACCUGCAAGGUGGGGGUUUAAAUGGAAUACUUCUAAGCAUAAAACAUUGAUUAAAACAGAAUACACACAUACAUACCAGCAAAUUCAAAAUAGCAAGAGGAGUGCAAAAGUUCAAGUUUGUAGACAACAUUGCAACCAUGGCAAGUUUAUAGCAAAUCCUCGAAAUCUGCUAAAUAAAACAAUGCCCUGUCUCAUGAAUCAAUGCUUAAUUAAAAUUGAAACUGAAAGUCUGGCUGACGUUGUUUCCCUCUCCAAUUUUGCCUACAUAAGUGAAAAUAAGAAUAAUAAAUGAAAAUCUGCUUUUACAGUUCUUAUUAGAUAGAUAUAAAUGGAUCUUUCUUUGUUUCUCUGCUGUAUUUUGUGGCUAUCCCACUCUGUUUUGCCAGUCAAGCUGAGUCUAUGUUGAGACAUAAUUUUGACAUCAGAAGCAAUCUCAAUUAGUUUGGCACUUUUAUGACCUCCUUAAAGGUUUUACAAUAAACAUAAAUCUACUGAGAAAGUGGGAAAAAAAAGAAAAUGCAUAUAAAAAUAUGAGUUAUCAGAUAAGAUUAAAACUCACCCAAUUCAAUCCAUCAGAUUCCGUAAGGAUAUAACUGGAUGUCAUACCGCCACUCCAUAUCCUUGAAAGUCCGUAGUGUUUGUCUCAACUCUGUCUGAGGCCAAUGUAAAUUCAAUUUGCGCAAGCUCUUUAUGCACCACAGCUCUUCUGGAAGCUUUCUCAAGUAAGCACAUGGGUUGACGAUUAAGCUUUCAAGUUUCGGCAUUGCUCCAGCCCCCAUCGUCCACUCAUCUAGCCAAUACAUUGAUUUCAGGUGCAAAACCUUAAGUUCGGGAAAGCUACUCAAGCCAACACAAGCAAGCUUUCUUCCUAAAUACGAGUUCUGCUUCAGUUUCAGCACUCGAAGGCGUGGAAGAUUUUCCAGAAUUGGCAUGGGAUCCUCCAUUAGCUCAGUAUUUGAUAAGCUCAGUUGGAUCAGACUUGGGGGAAAUUGGUAUUCAGACAGGACCAUCCGUGAGGGCUUGCUCUCAUUCACCAGCUUCAAGCAUUCAAGUUUGUGGACUUCGCAAAGGCUUUUGGAAACCCCAGAUUGAUAGUAACUCAAAUCUCCAGAUAUCCGAAGAGUCUGAACACUAGGUAGUCUGCCCAAUAUUUCAGGAGUACAACUACUAGGGUUUAAAGCUGAUAUAAAAAUGAGUUUUUUCAGAGAGCUAGAAUAAUUUUUUGGAGGUGCGGGUAGAGUGAUAGAACCAAAGUUUAGAUGUAUGAGUUUUUGCAUCAUCCAAAUAUCCUCUGGUGACUGAUCUAUGUAGCUAGAUGGCAUUUCUAGUGUUUCAAGGUUUAAAAGGGUGCAUAGCAGUGGAGGAAGGCAUUUGAGCGAAGGGAUAUUCAUUUUCAAAUACUUCAAAAGAUAUAAAUUUUCUAAUCCAGGUGGAAAUUGGUCGAGAACUGCAGAACCGAAGUUCAGUACCCGAAGGUGUUUGAACUUUUUACAAAAAUUCUCGCAAUCUAUCACAGCGAGAUGAUCGCCUUCUGAACUUUGAUUGAUAAAAGAUUGGAGAUAGAUCUCACCAUGUUCUAAAGAAAUGAACUCAGUCAGAUGCUCCAAAAUGAUGUACCGUUUAACAUUUGCAAAUGGUUCCGCUUCCCUGUCAGGCAUCCAGAGAAAUUUCGUCUUGUCUGCCAUCAAACCCAAUGAAGUAUAUACAAAACUUGGAACAUAGCAAGCUGUAAUUGUGCCGCCGGCUCUUCUCUUACUCACAUGAAUGAAGCCGCGAUGGAUUAGCUCUUUUAAGUAAUGUUCGGCAGUUUCCUCACCGUUGUAUGGAAUAAAGCCUUCAGCUAUCCACAACUGACAUAAUUGCCUGGUAGAUAUCUCAAUGCCUGGACGGAAGACACACAAAUAAAGGCAGCAGACUUUCAAGUGAAAAGGUAACUCCAACACAGAACAAAUUCGACUCAAGAGUGUCAAAACCACUUUUUCAUCCAUAUAAUUUACUAAUGGGGCACUUCCAUAGUGUAGGAUGAAAAAUUUCCAGGCUUCAUGCUUUAAUCUGAUCAAUGGUCCUCCAACAGGCACUGAAUAAAGCGGAAUGAUCCCUCCAUGCUCCAAUUCAAAAAAGGUAAGGAGGAAUGGAUCAGUGACCAAUAUCAAUACUCUGCUUCCAUUCUGCUUAUCAGGAAGAACUUCUUCAAGAUCAUCCCAUAUGUCACUGUCAUUGAAGACAUCAUCAAGCACAAUAAAGUACUUCUUGUUUGUCAGGUAAUCUCGAAGAAUAGAUUUCUUCAAGUGAUAAUCUUCACCGAUAAUUACCCUAGCCCGAGAUGGAGGCAUUAAAGAAUUGAUUAUGUCAUCCAAUAUCUUGCCAAAAUAGUAGCCUAUAGAAACCCUUACCCAAGCAAGACAGUCAAAAUAGAACUUGACAUGAUUAUUAUUGUAAAUAUCUGCAGCAAAAACAGUCUUAUGGAAGCCAUUGCUGUCGAGAAUUGCAAUCACUGAAAGCCCAGAUGGUCCCUCAAUCAAUAGAUCAAACAACUCCUCUCUGCCCCUUUCAAAUUCACUGACAUCAAGCCAGUGUUGUCCCUUACUCAAUAGGCGAAUGAUUUUGUUACUUUGUUCAGUGAUAUCAAAACCAUUGUCGCUGGGUGGAAGUUGUUGCAUUCGAUCUCUAAUAUCAAUGAUUUUACUGUGGAGUCCAACAAGAAGAGCCAUAUUAGUACUGCUUUCACUUUCGUUUUCACUGUUUUGCUGCUGCAUGAUGUUGAUGAAGAAUGUGUCAAUCGCUUCAUCAGAUUCAUGGACAAAGUGAUUGAUGUCGUCCAGAAUUUCCAAAAUGUCCCGUCUUUUUACGUCUUCAUCAGUGUCUUCUAAGUCUAACAGUUGCAGACAAAGCCAAGCCAUUUCAGCUCCAUUGAGUUGUUCUCUAAUGAUGCGUCGAAUCACACGACGAGUCAUGUCACCUUCAUAGUUCCCGAGCAGAGUAGUAAUAAUUUCAGUCUCCGUAAAAAGGUUUUGAAAAAGCGGGGCUAAGUUUGUUGAAUCAGGCAACGUUAACGUGCCUUCUUCACCUGCUACCACCCUUUUCAACCUCUCACAAAAUAGUCGGAGGUGGACGUCCAGCAUAUCUCCUUCUCUCUGUGGCACCCAGAGGUAUUGUUAUUUGCUCCAAGAAAUGUUAAAAGGAUUGGUCCUAUCUCAAAGAGGUUAGUGGUGUAAAGUUAAACACAAUGGAAGAAUUUGAAAGGAAUAUACCAAGAAACUGUGUAAGUGGCUAAAUUCCACAAAUAUGGCAUUGUUGCUCAUUUUUAACUCAAAAAAAUACACGUUAAUUUAGCGAAAAGUCCAAGACACGUGCUUUUUGAAAAGAACAGGUAUCCCAAUAGGUAUCCAACCUUUAUCUUAAUCAAUUACUACCAUGACAUACUUGAUGGUGCUUAAAUCAAUUUUUCUUUUCUUAAUGUAAAGAUUUUAUUUUUUUAAAACAGAUUUUAAUAUCAAGAAAAAAUAUCACUCGUAUAUCCUUAAAUGACACUUGUAUCAAACGUACUACAACACUUUUAACAUGUAUCACUUGUAUACCUUAAGUUGACAAAUUGUGUCUACCAUCCACCAAACCGUUAGUUGCCGUUUGCAAGCGCUGACAUCAUAAAGGUAAUCUAGUCUUUUCAAAUGGAAGAAACUUUGAUUAAAAAAACGACAUGUCAUCCCAUUUACCUCGUAAAAAAUGACAUAUCAUAUGAUAUAUAUUGACAAAAAAUGACAUGUCAUCCCAUUUAUCGGAAGAUGAUGUCAUCUAUGUGAAACAACGUUGUUUCAACGGGACUAAAAAAAAAAUGAUACUCCACAACCGAAUCGACUCCUCCAAACUUUAACUUGAAUAUUUGAAGAUCUACUCAUCCAAGCUCCAACUGGAAUUUUUUAUGGUAUAAUAUGUUGUUAAUAAUUUUUUAUGGUAUAAUAUGGAUUAUUUUUUAUGGAUAAUUGUUAAUAAUACGUACCAUUAAUAAUUCAUUUUUUAAUAAAAAAUGUAUUGUUAAUAAAAAAUAAAAAAUAUAUUGAAAAUUUACGUUAAUUUUUUGGGCAAAUAUGUAUUUUUACCUUAUUUUGAGUUUCAAGGGCGAAAUAGUCAAUUUGUCAUAAUUCUGUUAACUUUCUAAUGGUAGCUAACAGUUUGGUGGACAGCAGACACAUUUUGUCAACUUAGGGUGUACGAGUAAUACAUGUUAAAAGUGCUGCAAUACGUUUGAUACAAGUGUCAUUUAAAGGUAUAUGAGUGAUACAUGUUAAAAGAGUUGUAGUACAUUUGAUACAAGUGUCAUUUAAGGGGAUAUAAGUGAUAUUUUCCCUAAUAUCAAAUUGCCUUCGAUGUUUUUACAGCUACAAGCUCAGUAACAGGAUUAAUUAAAAAGUUUAGAAUUGUUGGGCGUGCAAAGAGUAGUUUUAAACACCAGAAAGCAAAGGUUGUUAUUGACAUAAUUUUAUUUUUGUUUUCGAGGGAAUUUGUUUUUUUUGUUGACAAGAAAAUAGUAUUAUAUUUUACAAUCUAUUAUACAUAUUUUAUCAUAUUAAAGUAAUUUUAAUAUUAAAUGGAAACAUUAAAUUUAAAUUAAUUAAUUAAAAAUUGAAUUAUUUUGAAUAUUAUGUAAAAAAUUAUUUUAAUAUCAUUAAUAAGGAGAUAUUUUGUUAAUUGUAAAAUAUUUUUAACCCAAAUAUAUAUUAAAUUUUUUAUAAUAAAUACAAAUACAAAUAUAAAAAUAAAAUAAAUAUCAUAGUUUAAAAUUUUAAUGUUAUUUUAAAUAUUAAAAAUAAUUUAAUGCUAUUAGUCUAUUACACAGGUUAUAUUAUAUUUGCAUUAAUUAAAAGUUUUAAAGUCAAUUUUCCAGUUUCUAUAUUCAAAGGUAUAAUGGUUAAAAGAAAGUUCUUGGUGUUUCUUUUUAAAAAUUUGAGGGUCUUAAUGAUAAUUUUUCUAAAUCGUAAGGGUAUAGGUGUCUUUUUUUCCGAUAAUUUAUUUCACGGGUAUCCAAUAAGAAACAUGGUAAGAGAACGUCAAUUACUUAUCAUUUUCUAUUUUUUCUAUGAGUCAUUUAUUUUGAGCAUUAGUGAUCUUAUCUGGACUACUCCAACUAUUGAUGCAACUCCAGUGGCUGCAUCCACAGUUAAAUAUAUGAUAGUGUUAGCUCUUAUUUGAGAAUUUAGAGGGAUCUUUCUUUGUUUCUCUGUUGCAAUGUGCUAGUAUAAAUUUCUUUACCUUAAAAUUUAUAUAGUCUUGCAGUUAAAGAAUUCACUGAGGCAUUGUUGAUUCAAUUUCAGUGAAGCAAUUGUGGGUGAAAGAUAAAUGAAGGAAAAGAGAACAGAGCUGAAGUGCUAAAUUGGCUAUUGAAGAAGGAUGUCACAUGAUCACAAUCACAUUGAUGCACAACUCUCUGGAGGCAAAGUUUGUCUAUAUGUACUCUGAAUUCAGCCAAGCCAUACAUGCAUGAACAAAAAUUAAACCGUAGUUCUAAUCACAACAGUAAUUGAAGCUACAAAAGCCAGCAAAUCUGAACGAAGACUUAAAAGAAAGAUCUUAUUCAAGUUUGUCCCCAAAAGACAGCUGAAAUGAAAAAUAUUGACUGUUGAAUGGGCCAAUGCUGAAUUACAUUUCAAAUGGAAAGCUUGGCAGCAGUUACAAUGUUUCCCCCUCUGAUUUUCCUCCAAAACAAAUUCAGUUGUAAACAAUAACCGAAGUAGUAAUAAUUUAUUCAUCAAAGAAAAUGCCCCCAAGUUUUCAAUUAAAAAAUCCUCUUGUCCAAACUAAAAGAACUCAUAUCUCUAAAAUUUAUUUGCAAAAUGUUGGAAAUGAGGAGUGAUCCGUUAACUCUGUAAAUAAACUCAUGCAUAAUGUUAACAAUAAUGAUAAAUUACAUAAUAAUUAUUAUAGAGAAUCAUAAAUUGGAAACGCUAAUCAUUCUACUAUUAUAUAAGUAAGAUAAAUAUCAUAAUAAGUUAAGUUAUAAUGUAAUAAAUAUUUGCAAUAUAUAAUUAUUUAAGAAGUCAUUUAACAAUAAAAUAUUUUUUUAUCCAGUUGAUCAUAUAGCGUUAUCUAAACUCUUGACAAUAUUAUUAUUACUCACUUUUCUCAAAAAAACAUGAUUAACUUUUAGAGAAAGUCAUGUCUUUGAGAAAGAAUAUGUAUACAAGCUAUCCAUACUUUAUCUUACUGUGACAAAAUUGAUGGUGAUUAAUUGUAUUUUUUAAAAUAGAUUUAACGCACAAAUAAGAUGACUUUUGGCAAAAAUUAUUUUCGGAAGAUAUAGUGAUAGAAAAUAGUGAUGAUAAUUAUUGUUUAAAUGUGUAAAUAGCCUAAGCAUAGCCCGUAAUACCAAUAUUCAUUUGCACCUUGAAAGAAACUUAGUUCUAUAUUGUUUGGCAAGCAAGAAAGUAAAGGAAAAUGAAAGAGAACUCUAAAGAACCUUUUUUAUUAUACUCAGAUAUCUCAACUUAAUGAAUACUGAUUGACAUUUAUACUAAGCUACAAUCUUCACUACACACACGAGUUUGUAACAUCACAUAACCAUUUGCUGCAUAACUAACUUUACACAUCAGCUCAACCAGCUAACUAACUUUGACAGGUCAGCUCAGUGAGUUGAUCUGCUACAACCAGCUACACAGCAACAGCAUGCUCUGCUCCAGCUAUACAGCAACAUCAUGCUCUGUUCCAGCUUUAUCCGCUCUGCUUUGCUCUGCUCCAGCUUUGACAGGUCAGCUCAGUGAGUUGAUCUGCUACAACCAGCUACACAGCAACAACAUGCUCUGCUCCAGCUAUACAGCAACAUCAUGCUCUGCUCCAGCUUUAUCCAAUUCACUAACAUCCCCCCUCAAGCUAAAAUGUUUAGGAUGAACAUUCAGCUUGCUUCUGAAGUAACUGAAUUGUUUGAAAGUAAGAGCCUUAGUUAACACAUCUGCUGUUUGAUCUGGACUAGGCACAUAGCAUACUGCAACCUCUUUAGCAGUGACCUUAUCUCGGAUAAAAUGUAUAUCCAAUUCAACAUGCUUAGUCUUAGCAUGAUAAACUGGAUUAUAAGCUAAAGCAAUUGCUCCUUGAUUAUCACACCACAUUAUAGGAGUGGAGCUUAAUGUGAUACUAAGUUCACCAAGUAAGGAUUUAAUCCAGGUAACCUCUGAAGCAGCAUGGGCAAGAGAUCUAUACUCAGCUUCUGUGCUGGAUCUGGAAACAACAACUUGUUUCUUUGACGACCAGGAAACAAGAUUAGGACCUAGAUAAACAGCAAAGCCAGCCACUGACUUCCUAUCAUCAUGAUCACAAGCCCAAUCAGAAUCUGAAAAACAAUGUAAUUGCAGAGCUCCUUGAUUGUAGAAAUGCAGCCCCAGAUGGAUAGUGCCUUUUAAGUACCUCAAUAACCUUUUACAUGCUUCCCAAUGUUGAGUUCUAGGACUGGAAAGGAACUGACUUAACUUGUUUACAGAGAAGGCAAUGUCAGGUCUGGUAAGAGUAACAUAUUGAAGAGCUCCUAUAACACUUCGAUAUUGAGAAACAUUUUCAAGUGGCUCUCCUGAGUCUUUGGUGAGAUAAAAGCCUGUAGACAUUGGAGUUGGCACAGGACUGCAGUCUGUCAUGCCAUGUUUAUCCAGAAUAUUAGCAAUGUACUUUGCUUGUGUCAAGGAAACCCCUUGUGAAGAUUUGCUGACUUCAAUCCCCAGAAAAUAGUGAAGUUCCCCCAGGUCUUUUAAAGCAAAAGCUUGAUGCAUAUGCUGGAUAACUUGUUGAAUUAUGGAUGGACUGGAACCAGUGAUGAUAAUAUCAUCAACAUAGACCAAAACAACAGUUAGAUGACCACUGUUCCAGGCAUAAAAGAGAGAGUUAUCAGACCUGGAAUGCUGAAAAUGCCACUUGGAGAUCAUUGCAUCCUUAAACCUAUCAAACCAGGCUCUAGGAGCUUGUUUUAAGCCAUACAAAGCCUUAUUUAGCUUGCAGAUAUGAUUAGGUUUAGUUGAAUCAACAAAACCUUGAGGUUGAGCCAUGUACACAUCUUCAAUUAAAAUGCCAUUUAGAAAGGCAUUGUUAACAUCCACCUGCCUUACAACCCAGUGACUCAAUACUGCUAAGCUAAGAAUAACUCUAACAGUGGAGGACUUAACCACUGGACUGAAGGUUUCUGUGUAGUCAAUCCCAUGUGUCUGAUGAAACCCUUUAGCCACAAGCCUGGCUUUAUACCUUGAAACUGAACCAUCUGAGUUAUACUUUACUCGAAAUACCCACUUGUUGCCAACUAUCUUCACUGGAGUAGCAGGUAAGACUAAAUCCCAGGUGUGAUUGGUUUUAAGAGCUAGAUACUCUUCUUGCAUAGCUUUAUACCACAUAGGAUCAGAAAGUGCUUUGGAAACAGAGGUUGGUUCUGACUUCUGAGCUAGUAAAGCUGACAAGUAGAUCUUGGGCUUGAAGAUACCUGCUUUUGACCUGGUUAUCAUUGGAUGACCAGAUGAUGCAGGUUGUGACAAGGUAUGUGGAGGUGAAUGAUGGGAUGGUGAAGAAGGAGAAGAAGAAGUGGAAUUGAAAUUAUCAGAAAAGUAAACUGGAGUAGAAUUUGGGAAGGAAAUAGAAGCAUGUGACUGAGAAUCAUUAAGAAGAUAUUCUGAUGAUGCUGCUAAAGGUGCUUGUAACUGAGUAACAAAAGGAGUAGAAGAAUUAAAAGAAGACUCAGAAUGAGUUGAUGACUGACAGUUUGAAGAAACUGAAGAAAAAUCUGUUCCUGACUCAUAAGGAAAAGAACGUUCAUAAAAGGUUACAUGAUUUGAAAUAUAGACCCUCCCAGAAGAGUGAAGACACUGAUAUCCCUUGUGUUGUGAACUGUAGCCAAUGAAUAUACAUCUAGCUGUUCUGAAAUCAAACUUAUGUCUAUUGUAUGGUCUGAGUGUUGGAUAACAAGCACAGCCGAAAAUUUUAAGUGUUGAAUAAUCUGGUUGGGAAUGAAACAACUUUUGAAAAGGAGAAAUGCUGUUUAGAACUGGAGUUGGAAGUCUGUUUAUCAAGUAGACAGCUGUAUGGAAUGCAUUCCACCAAAAUUUGAGUGGUAAAUGUGCUUGAGCUAAUAAAGUCAGUCCUACAUCAACUAUGUGUCUAUGUUUCCUCUCAAUUUUUCCAUUUUGAUGAUGAAUGUGGGGGCAAGGAUGUCGAAAAUGGAUGCCAGAAGUGGUGAGUAAUGAUGAAAAUGUUCUGAACUCCCCUCCCCAGUCAGUUUGGACAGUUUUGAUGGAAAGUUGAAGAUGCUUCUCAAUGAAUAUUUUGAAAUUGGUAAAAACUUCAAGAGCAUCAGAUUUUGCUGAUAAGGGAAAAAUCCAGGUAAACCUACUGUAAUCAUCUAGGAUUGACAAGUAGUAAUUAUAUCCUUGGGUAGAACAAACAUGAGAAGGGCCCCAAAGAUCUGCAUAUAUCAGUUGUAAAGGUGCUGAAGUUUUUGUUUCUACUGAAUCAAAAUGCAGCAUGUGAUUUUUACCAUAUUGGCAUGCUGAACAAAAUUUCAAACUGUCAACUUUAUUAAAAGCAGUAGAGUUGUUACAAGCUUUGAGAAUGGUUUUGAGAGUAUAAGAUGCUGGGUGUCAUAAUCUUCUAUGAAGAAGAUUUACAUCAAUAGAACCCUUUACAACAACUGACAGACAUGACUUUUUAUUCAACUCAUAAGAGCUAACAGUAGAGAGCUGAGCAGAAUUAAAAACAGGAGAACAAGCAAAAAGAGACUGAAUUUUGUUUUGACCAACUGAACUGAGAAAGACUGAAUGAACAGCAGCAUGAGAAGAGACUUUAUACAAGCUGUUGUGCAAAUUUUAAUGUACUCGCAAGCGCACGAAUCUAUUAUAGUAUAGAUCAAUGGUGACGAGUGUCGAUCCCACGAGGAGGUAGAUUUUAAUUGUGUAUAGAAUUAAUUUUGCAAAUGGUUGAUUGGAUUUGUAGUGGAAAUGAUUAGGAAUAUGCUAAAACUUAAAUUAAAAUGGCGAGAAUAAAUUCUAAAAUUGGAAUUGCAAUGGCGAGAAUAAAUUGAAGAGAAAUGUAUUGAAAUGACGUACUUGGGUAUCUGGAUCCGUAUCAACAUGCAUCAUGGGCUAAAUAAUCCGUAUUAAUGCCAAUUAAAUCAUGAGGGGGGAAUCCACACCUCAUGAACCACGCUCUAAUCAAUAUGGUGCUAAGGGCUUAUCGUGCCAAAUAAUAAUAACCUUAUACUAGAGAGCCGGUGUAACCAAGGCGGUAUCUAGACAAGAUCAGUAUUAUUUGUCGACGAUAAGUCAAAUCAUCCACAAAAACUAGAGGGGAAAAGAAAAUAAAUUUACCAAAUAAAGCCCAUGACACAUGUUGAGACUUCACCUUCAACCCAAGCUUGAAAGGAAAUUAGCUACUCAUAAUUGAACUAGGGGCAAAAUGGGAAUUUAUUAAAAUACAAAGAAAAUACAAGAUGGAGAGGGAAUUACAGAAAAUGGAUCCCAAAAAUGGAUUCAGAGAUAUCAAAUUAGGGGGGGAGGCCCAUUUUUUAUAGAUACAUGGAGUAAAUCAUGGCCAUCGGAUUAAAAACAGUUUGGACGCUCAGGAUUGCGCCACGUCAUCAGUCAACAGUCAACGGUUUGACCACGCGGAUGAACAGUAACAUGGUUUGGUUGAAAAUAAUCCUGUGUGAUGCAUACACCGUACGCGAGAUUUUUCGUCCACUGAUAUGCUGCCACGUCACCAUCAACAGUACAUAAGAAUUUUAGUCCAACAGGAUCGUGACACCUCAUCAGUCAAUGCCACAUCAUCGGUCAAUGCCACGUCAUCGAUCCGUCUAUGUGAACAGUGUCGUGAACAGUAACGUAGACAGUACCGUAUACGUGAAUAGUACCGUACAUGUGAAUAGUGCCAUUUUUCCUUUUAUGCUCCUCCUAAGGUUUUCGACCGUCCUGAGUUCAAAAGUGAUGUCCGUUUUGCCGUCUGAUCUCUCCUUUAUUGUGAAAUGACUAUAAUGCCCCUAAAAUACAUAAAAUACUUAAUUAAAAUAACACACACGUAAUUACAUCACAAGAGGGUUAAAUACAUAAAAGUAAGGGUUGUUAGUAAGACUUGAAACGUAAAAUGACGGUUUUCUCCUUUAUAAAUAUGCAUUUUCUAACACUCAACACAAGCCACCUUUAGCAACACCUUCAAGUAAAAUUUUCCCUGUGUUCCUGGCCUUUAUAAAACACAAAUUACCAAGAAAUUCAACAGUAACUGGAUUGUCAGCCAACAAUUUUGAGAUGCUAAGCAAAUUCUUAGUAAUAAAAGGGACAUGAAGAACAUGGUUAAGAAAUAAGGAUUGAGAAGCUGAAGUAUUUAGCACAACUGACCCUACAUGUGUAAUAGCUAAUGCAUUUCCAUCUCCAACAAAUAACCUUUCAGUACCAGUGUAAACUUUUGAAUCCAGAAGCUUACCUAGAUCAUUGGUAAUAUGAUUUGUUGCUCCACUAUCAAUAUACCAGGAAGGAUCUUCAAUGUGUUCAGGUGGGAGUGAAGAAGACAUAGCAGAGGAGGAGGAAGCACUUGACUGUUCCAGAUUAUUAUGUCCUAGACAGAAACAAAAUUAGAUGAUCCAGGGUUGAAUGAGAAAUAAGCAGAUGGGUUGCUUUCUGGAUAUACUAUAUUUCCUUGAUAGCCAAAACCCCUGGGGGCAUUACCAAAACCAACAUUUUGUCCAAAACCAGCAUUUGAACCAAAACCUCCAAAACCUCUUCCACUAUUACCAUUAAAGGCUCUUCCUCGACCAUAUUGCCCUUGAUUAAAACCUCUGCCACCAUUCAUAUUACCUCUACCAUGGUUCCUCUGUGGAACAAAAGAUGAGUUGUACCUAUUUCUGCAUUUAUAGGCUGCAUGACCAGGUAUGAAGCAAAUUUGGCAAACAACUUCAGAGAAAUUACUAUUAUUAUUAAACUGACCAUAUCCAUAUCCAGAAUUAUUACCACCUCCAGAGUUAUUUCCAUACUGUUUCUGAAAAUUUCCAUUAUUCUUUCCAGCAUAUGAGUUCUUCUGAACAAUAUUUGCUGUCAUGUUAUGCAUCACAUCACCAGCAAUUUUUCCUUUCUUUUGCUCAACUCUAUUUUCAUGAUUCAACAGCAAAGAAUAUAGUUCAUCUAAUGUUAUCUUUUCACCUCGAGCUAACACAGCAGUGACUAAAGAUUCAUAAUCUGAUGAAUCAAGACCAGUUAAUACAUGCAUCACAAGAUCAUUUAACUCAACAGGUUUUCCAGCUAGAGCUAAAGUAUCAGCUAUACGUUUUACUUUUACAAAGUAAUCAGACAUAUGCAUUGCACCUUUCUUAAUAGUUUGAAUCUGCAUUCUAAGUGUUUGAAUUCUAGCUUGUGAUUGAGAGAUAAACAUACUAGCAAGAGUCUCCCAAAGCUGUUUUGAGGUUGUUGAGUCAAUCACAGUAGCAAGCAGAUUUUGUUGUAUCAAUGACAUCAUCCAACUCAGCAGAAGUUGAUCAGCCUUCAUCCAAGCUACGAACUCUGGAUUAACAGAUCUGGAUCCAGAUUCAGUAACAGAUCUGGAUCCAGAUUCAAUUAAGAUUUCAGCUCCAUUGUUGUUGCCAGAAGAAAGAAACUGCUCAGGACAUUCUCGAUCACCAUUGAUAAAACCUUCCAAACCAUUUCCUUUGAUCGAAGCUAGAAUUUGUGUGCGCCACAAAAUAUAGUUGUUUUGAUCUAGCUUUACAGGCGUAACAAAACUAAAAGAGUUGUUGUUUUGAACUGUAUUUGCCAUUUAUGGCUCUGAUACCAUGAAAGAAACUUAGUUCUAUAUUGUUUGGCAAGCAAGAAAGUAAAGGAAAAUGAAAGAGAACUCUAAAGAACCUUUUUUAUUAUACUCAGAUAUCUCAACUUAAUGAAUAUUGAUUGACAUUUAUACUAAGCUACAAUCUUCACUACACACACGAGUUUGUUACAUCACAUAACCAUUUGCUGCAUAACUAACUUUACACAUCAGCUCAACCAGCUAACUAACUUUGAUAGGUCAGCUCAGUGAGUUGAUCUGCUACAACCAGCUACACAGCAACAGCAUGCUCUGCUCCAGCUAUACAGCAACAUCAUGCUCUGCUCCAGCUUUAUCCGCUCUGCUCUGCUCUGCUCCAGCUUUGACAGGUCAGCUCAGUGAGUUGAUCUGCUACAACCAGCUACACAGCAACAGCAUGCUCUGCUCCAGCUAUACAGCAACAUCAUGCUCUGCUCCGGCUUUAUCCAAUUCACUAACACACCUUCAUUUGUGUUAUCACAUUUCAUGAUAUUCUUUCAUUUAUGACCAUUGUUCAAGAUUUUAAUUUGAUUAUAAACUAAGUUGCAAGGGAGCUUACUUCAGUUUCUAAGCUUUUCAAUCGUGAUUCCUGCAUGCCAAACGUAACUGACCUUAUAAUUGGUCUGUAUAAGAAAUCAAGCCCUUUCAGGAUCGUUUUCUUUUUCUCCCUAUUGUAGUAGUCAACUAAAUAAAGAAUGAACAACUAAACUUGGUCUAUUUCGAGGAAGACUAAGGCUUCCAAUACUAGAUGAACUUUGAAGAAAAUUAAUCCGUUGUUUUUAUUCAUCUUUGGACUAUGAAUUUAUACAAAGACUUUAACAGAAAAUAACAAAGACACAGCUAAAUGAUAGCAAUAAGUGCUGACUUGGUGGACCACUUCUGCAAGUAAAUAAAAACUAAAUAUUUAUUUUGACUAUAACAACAACUACGCUGAUGAAUAGGAUUUCACAGCAGCCACGUGACAACUAAUUUCUCCUUAAUAUUAUUAUUAGUAGAAGUAGAUUUUAAAACUAGUCUUGAUAUAUUUCAAAGUUGUAUUAUCAAUGUAUAUGUGUCUAGAUUGUAACUAUAUUUUAAAAAAUAUAAAAUUUUUAAUUAUUGCACAGUAUAUGUAGCAAAAUAUCUAUAGAAUGAUAUUAUUAGGACUAAGAUUUUUUUUUAUUUUAGAUAAGUUAUUUAUUUAUUAUCGAAUGAAUAAUUUAUUAAUUUACUGAUAAAUGAAUAUUUAUUAAUUUAAAGAGAGAUUUUUUUGGUUUUAACAAGAGUUUGUUUGGUAAAUGUACACACUUAUAAAGAAACAUAAAAAGUGGUUCCUCAAGUCAAUAGUAUUUGCUUCAAUCGCAAUGGUUCAUAAUAAUAUAGCAUAGUUAGGAAAUUUGUAAUUAUAUUAUGGCUCUGUUUGGUAGUAAAACUCAUUUAAGUAGAGUUGUUGUUAAUAGAGCUUUUAUAAAUAAAGCUUUUACUAAAAAAAAUUUAGUUGUUUGCUUGUCAAUGUCCAAAUUGAUAAACUUUUGUUCUUUUGUUAAGAUAUGUUUGUUUUACUUAAUAAUAGCAUCGGCAAGAGUUUUCGAUUGUUGCAACUUGCAAUGCACGCGGUGAGAGAAAAUGAGAAUCUUGUUUAAUUGUCAAUAUAUAAUGACAAACCUAAUCCUUUCAUUAGGAGUAAUUUAAUAAUCGUUUGUUAUAACUGAAUAUGUAUAAAGAAAGGAAAAUUCUAUUCAUAAAUUUCGACUUAUUUUUUGUUUAAAGUAAUUAAUCAUUCAACCAUCUUCAUUUGCCUCUGGCCAAUGCCCUUGUAGAUUAGUUUACUUAAUUAUGAUUAUAUACAUUUUCAUAUAGCAAGUGGCAUUGUAGAUCUAAACUAAGUUGCUAUUUCAAUACCAGCAAAUUCAAAAUAGAAAAGGAGUGCAACUAUUCAACUUUGUAGACAAUAUUGCAACCAUGGCAUAUUUAUAGCAAAUCAUUGAAAUCUGCUAAAGAAAACAAUGCCCUGUCUCAUGAAUCGAUGCUCAAUUAAAAUUUAAAUUGAAAGUCCGGCUGGUGUUGUUUUCCUCUCCAGCGAAAUAAGAAUCAUAAGUGAAAAUAGGCUUUGACAGGUCUUAUUUCUUUGUUUCUCUGCUGCAAUGUGUGGUUAUCCCACUCUGUUUUGCCACUCAAGCUGAGUCUACGUUGAGACAUUAUUUCAGUAUUGAGGUAACAAUAAUUUCGGACUCCGUAAGAAGGUUUUGAAAAAGUGGAGUCACAUUUGUUGAAUCAGGCAACGUCAACGUGCCUUCUUCACCUGCUAACACCCUUUUCAACCUCUCACAAAAUAGUCGGAGGUGGACGUCCAGCAUAUCUCAUUCACAUUUGUUGAAUUUGCAUGGAAUUUGCAAGGAGUAUGCCAAAGAAUUUGCAAGGAAUAUGCCAAGAAUUUGCAAGGAAUAUGCCAAGAAACUGGCCAACCCGCUUAGCUUAAUUCCACAAAUAUGACGUUAUUGCUCAUUUUUCUCUCAAGCACAUAAUACACGUUCUUCGAGACGCGUGCCUUCUGAAAAGGACAGGUAUCCAACCUCAUCUUAAUUACUACCAUGACAUAAUUGAUGGUUGCUUAAAUCAAUUUUUUCUUCUUUUUUUUUUUUAAUUUAAAGAAUUUUCCCUUAAAAAAAAUUUAAUAUCAAAAUGCCUUCAAUGUUAUUACUGCCGAAAGCCAAACUUCCUUUGGGUAAUUAAUUUAGAAGUGAAGCAGAGAAUAAAGUCCUAGAUGCCUUUUGAAAUUAGAAAUACAUUUUAUAUGCUUUAAUUAAUCAAUUCACUGAGGCAUUAUUGAUCCAAUCCCAGUGAAGUAAUUGUGGGUGAAAAAAAAAUAAAGUGCUGAAUUGGCUACUAAGAAAGAGUGUCACUUGAUCACAAUCACAUUGAUCCACAACUCACUCGAGGCAAAUUUCAUCUAUGUGUACUGCAAAUUUAGCCAAACCAUACAUGCAUGAACAAAAUUAGGCCGUAGUCCUCAUCACAACAUUAAUUGAAGCCACAAAAGCCAGCAAAUCCAAACAAAAACUUAAAAGAAAAUGCUUGGUAUAGAGAAGCACGAGAGAAAGACGAGAAAAACAAUGAAGAAAGUGGUAGAGAGAGAGUGAGUGGGUAGAGAGAGAGCAAAAUUCUCUCGUCUUUCUCUCGUGCUUCUCUCUCUCUAUCACUACUCAAACUUAAAAGGAAGAUCUUAUUCAAGUUUGUCCCCAAAAGACAGCUGAAAUGAAAAAUAUUGACUAUUGAGUGGGUCGAUGCUGAAUUACAUUUGACAUGGAAAGCUUGGCUGCAGUUGCGAUGUUCCCCCUUCUGAUUUUCCUCCAAAACAAAUUCAUUUGUAAACAAUAACGGAAGUAGCAACAAUUUAUUCAUUAUAGAAAAUACCUAAAUUUUCAACUAUCAAAUCCUCUUGUCUAAACUAAAAAACUCAUAUCUCUAAAAUCUAUAUACAAAAUGUCAAAAACGGGUGAUCUCUCAAUUCGAUAAAUAAAUUCAUGCAUAAUGUUACUAGUAAUGAUAAAUUACAUAAUAAUUAUUAUAAAGAAUCAUAAAUUGGAAACAUUAAUCAUUUUACAAUAUAUUACAUAAUAAAGAUAAAUUUUAUAACAAGUUAAGUUAGAACAUAUCAAAUAUUUUCAAUAUAUAUAAUUAUUUAAGAAGUCUUUUAACAAUAAUUUUUUUCUUUUUCAGUUAAUCAUGUCAUAUACCGUUAUCUAAAAUGCUGGCGAUAUUAUUAUUCCUCACUUUUCUCAAACAAAAAAGAAAAGAAAAAAGAAACAUGAUUAACGUUUAGAGAAAAGUCACGCCUUUUAAAAACAAUAUGUAUACAAUAGCAAUCCAUACUUUAUAAAAUUGAUGGUGAUUACAAAGAAAAAUUGUUUAAAAUAGAUUUAAUGCACAAAUAUGAUGACUUUUGGCAAAAAUUAGUUUCGGAAAUGUUGGGAUGAAAACCAUAUUAAUUGAGAAUUAAAAUUACUUAAUAAAAUUACUUAACUACCAUCUAAUAGAUGAAAACCAUAUCAAUUGGGACUUAAAUUAAGAUUUAAAUGUUGAAAUAUCUAGCAUUACUCACAAUAACCAAUUCAAAUUAUGACUAUCAUGUAGAAGCAAAUGUUUAUGCUUGGGUUUUUUACUUCUUGAAUUUGAUUGGAAAAAUUUCUGAGAUAGAGAAGUGUUUUGGAUAAUUUUUUCGGGAUUGAAACCACAAAUUGGUAGAGGAAAUUAAUUUUGGACAAAUUUUUCUUAUAUUGUAGGACCUUCUAGUUGGAGUAGUGAUGGCUUUGUCUUCAUUUUUGGUUCCUUUUGUGUCAGCAACCCCUUACUAUUCUCUUGACCCUGAGUUUGAGAUAGAAAUUUAUCAACCUCCAACCCCACAUCCACAAACAAGUUGAUUGAAACAAUUACUCUUUUAAUUAAGAGGACCCAAAUGAUUUAGGUUUCAGUUCUUAUCAUUUGUCUAUUAUUUCUUUGAAACAUUUAUUUUGAGCGUUACUGAUCUUAAUUAUCUGUAUUUCUCCAAUUAUUGAAGAAUUUCAAGUGGCCACUUUUUCUCCUUUUUAUAUAUGUUUAUUUUUUGGAGUGAUCAAACGGGUGAAAAAUCAAGUAUUCGCUGGUCUGUAGUUUAGCCAACGAUGGCUGAUCCACACAGUUGAUUAUAUGAUACUAUUAGCUCUCAAAAUCUUUCUUAUUUGAGAACAUAAAUUGCCCAUUGAAGUUAAACUAUGUUACCCAGCUCCAUGCACAUACAUUAAAUGUUUAGGUAGUUUUACAAAAUGAUAACAGCAUGCCAAAACUUGAUGUUGUCAUAUUCGACAUUUCAAAUUGAAAAAUAUGCAAGCAAUCUUCAGUGACCAUUACGUUUUUAUUGAAUAAUUUAAAUGGCCAGUAAAUCAACAGUCCGUGAGUUUUAAAUCUGUUAUGACUUAAUGUAUCUUUCUGUAUUCGUACACAGGUUAUAUUAUCAUAGUUUAAAAUUUUAAUAUUAUUUUAAAUGUUAUAAAUACUUUAAUGCUAUUAGUCUACUACACAGGUUAUAUUAUUUAUAUUAUAUUUGUAUUAAUUAAAACUUUUAAUGUCAACUUUCUAAUUACUAUAUUGAAAAGGUAUUAUGGUUAAGAAAAAGUUUUGGCAUUUCUUCUAAAAAAUUUGAGGGUAUGCAUGACAACACUACAAGAAAAAUGACCUACCAUGACAGUCCUCUGUGUGACAGUUUUUGGUCUGCAGAGCUACUACGAUAGAUGGAUGAUAAAUUUUUUUUCUAUCAUUCAUUUAUGACAUACUUGUGAUAGAAAUUUCAUCUAUCAAGCACUUAUGAUAGACUGAUGAUAAAUUAUUUGGUUAUCAAGAAGUAAUGACAAGUUUGUGAUAUAAUUUAGAUCAUCAAGUAGCUUUUUUAUUUUGACUUUAUUUCACAAGGUUGACUGAAAAUUUUAAAAUGAAUGAAAAAAAUAAAUAAAGAAUAAACGGUACCGUUUGGAUUAAAAGUUUCUCUUUGGACAAGAAACGACACCGUUUAGAUUGAAGCUAAAUAAAAACAAAACCCUCUUCAGUUUUCACUAAUCGAAUUUUUUUUCCCUAAGUGUCGGCACUCUCACUCACUCUCGUCUCUCGCUCAGUCAUUCUCGUCAAUCUCACACUCACAAAGCCCUUUUCACCCGAAAUCCUUGCAUGGGCACUGAACCACUGCCGCCAUUCUCUUGUAUUUGACUAUCAAUUUUGGCUCUCACCGAGAACUAUAUGGAAUACCCACCAAACGCAUGUGCUUCUACUAUUGAAUUUCAAUACCCUAACUGAGAGCCCACGCUCACCCACUAUUGUAACCGUUCGAUCAAUACAGGUAAAUAAUAUUUCUAGUGUUGUGUUCCAUUUCAAUUUUAAUGUUCUUGUCAAACUCGAACCCUAUAUAUGUAAACUUAAAAACCCUAGAUGUGUUCUUGUCAAAUUCGAACCCUACACACCUAAAUCUUGUAAAACCUAGAUGUUUUCUUGUCAAAUUUGAACCCUGUACGUGUAAAACUUGAAAAUCCUAGGUGUGCUCUUGUUAAAUUUGGAUCUAUUUGAUUGGUCUUCUAUGUUUCUUUAUUUAUGGAAUUUUAAACAUUUAUUUGAUUUUUUUGGAAUUUAAUUAUUAUAGUUUUAUUGUUAAAUUAAUUUGAUUUAGGCUGUAAAGAUCCUUGCCAAUUUAAUCGUGAUGGGUGUUGGGAUAUUGUCUAGGCUGCUUUAUCUUUGGGGUUUUCUAAUAACUAAUUUUUUUUUUUCACUUUUUUGUGGAUGCAUGGAACUAUAUAUAUAGAUAAUUCUCAAAUUCGUUCACUGUGAUGCAAAGUCUUUUUUUUUUCAAUUUCAUUGGUUAAAUUCACUAAUUCGUUGAAAUUAGUGGUGAUUGUGGGCCGAGUCGCAUGUGCAGGAAGUGGUGUCAGGUCUGGGCGCACAUUGAGUCAUGCACUUGGUGGGCAAUUGGUAUUGUUUCUAUUGUGUGUGUUGGAAAUAAUGUCAAUAUCAUCCAACCAAUGUGUGUUUCUAGUGGCUGUUUUUGCACCGAGCAGAUAAUUUAUUAUUACAUCAGAGUUCCCCAUCCCUUGUUUCUCUUUUGGGUAAUGCAGGUAUUGACUAGUUCAUUUCCAUUUUCAUUUGUCUUGAGGGAAUGUUAUCAAUUUUUCGAUCUUACAAGAUAUUGAUUGAUACAUAUGUGUACAAUACAUUAAAAAUCAUUAAACAUUUUGCUCUUAGUUACAAUUUUGAAUGAAUGUCACAUGGAAAGAUCCUCUAAGAAUAUCAAUAGUAUUGUGGUUUCUACUCAAUUUCCACUCUCCGCACUCAUAUGAGCAUGGUUUGAAUCUCAAGCCUUUUGUACCAUUCAAAAAUUUAUACCAAUUAACAACAUAGCUUGCUAGCACCACAAAUUGUUUCAACUCCAAGGCAGAGAAUUCCUAGAAGAUAUAUACAUAUUGAUAUAUACUUGCAUGUAGCCGUAUGCUCACUACCUUCGAAUUGGGGAUAUAGUCACUAUUUUUGUAUUCCCUCCAAGUGUUUGAUAAAAAGCAUGAAUGAAUCUUGGCUCUUUAAUUGUUGCAGGCCAUUUCUACCUAUGAGGAGCAAAGGAAUAUGAAGCUUAUUAUAUUCAUUCACAAAGCAAAGCUGAUAUAAUUCAUGGCAAAGCUUGAUGAGGUGUUGUAUUUAAUCUUGCUCAUGAGAUCAAUUACCUAUCUUGUUGGACUUUAUUCUUGUAAUUAAGGUCCAUCCAAAGUUGAUGGCUUGUUUGUCAGAAAGAUAAUCUGAAGGCUAUGAUUGAUUACUUGCGGGCCGAUGGAAAUGUCUCCAUGAUUGGUUUAUGAGGUUGUUAAAUUACUAAAUAGGUAUAUUUACUUUUCAUGAGCUUUAUCUUCGUUUUUCCAUUAUGGAAAUGUCUCUAUGAUUGUAACUUUUAACACGUGGAACUCUUGAACCCUAUGUUUAGUUAUAUACUUAUAUUGGGACUUGUAUAAAUUAAUAUGAUGGUUUUAUUAUUAUUAUUAUUAGUAGUAGUAGUAGUAGUAGUAGCAGCUACAAAAGAUCAAAAGAACUUAAAGGUGUGGCUUGUGGCUUUCUUGCUGUUUGGGCUUUAACUGCUGCCUCACUUGUCAUUGUUGCUAAUCUGGUGUGCCACGUCCAUUUCAGUGUAAUUACAUAAGUUAGUUUGCUUGAUUAAUUAAUUAAUUAGUUAGCGGAUUGAAUAGCCAGAGUACUACAUUUUGCAUAGGUCUGAUGCUGGAUGAAUUUUCAUGUCUUGGCUUUGGGGCUGCUGGAUUUUGCUGCUGGAAGACUAGAUUUUGCAAUUUUGUUGCUGGAAGACUACAUUUUGUGUAGGUUUGUUGCUGGAUGUUGCUGAAUGCGGAGUACUUUGCUUGGUUUUGGAUUGGCCUUUGUUGUCUAUUGGCUCGACUUUGGAAUAUGGAUUAACUAAUGUAAUGUACUUUGGAUAUUUUUAUGGUUAAUAAAGUUCACUAAUUUAGUUCAUUAGUUUUGGAUUUAAUUGCAUUUAGUAAUUUAUUUUCUUUCAUAUAAUUUUAAUAAUUUUAAUAAUUUUAAUUUUUAAAUUUCAUAAUUUUUAUUUUAAAUUAAUAAAUAAAAUAAAUAAUCAAUUUUUUCAAAAAAAAUGUGAUAGAAAAUACUAGUCAUACACACAAUUGAUAUCCCAAAAAAAAAUACAAUCCAAAAAUUUCUAAAAAAAUGAAAAUAUAAAAUAAAAAAAUAAUUUCCCUCUUCUAAGUAGUAUGACAUAAUUAUGAUAGGUAAAAUCUAUCACAACUUGUGACGCGAUUUUAUCUGUCAUCUUUUCUUGACGCUGACUAUAAUGACAGUAAGGAUAACCGUCAUCUACCCCCUAAGAUGACAGUUUUUACCUAUCAUAAUAGGUCAUUUUUCUUGUAGUGCAAUUUUUCCAAUUCUAAGGGUAUAGGUUUGAAAAUUUAACGUUAUUUAACUUAAUGAAACAAAAGGGGAAACCAAGAACUAUUCAAUUUUGUAUUUUUUGUUUGUAAUUCAAAAAAUACAUCCACCAAACAAGUUUUACACAUUAAUGCUGUCAUAAAACGAAAAACAGUUUGCCAAAAAAUGGUACCGUCACAUGAUUUCUUAGUAAGUCCAUAUUAGAUAUAUUUAUACAUUUUAGGUAUUUUAGUUAUAAAAGAAGUUGGUCCUCCCCCUAUUUAUAAAAGAUAACUUUGUUUCGAUAUUACCACUAAACUCUUACAUAGAAUUAGUGUAAUGUUAAGAGAGAGUAAUGCGGUUUUCCAUUACCAUCUUUGAAAAUAGAAAGAUAUGGAUGCGUGCAUUUAAGAGUCAUCGUGAAAAUCAUACAAUUCAAUUUCCUGACAUAUAUAUUUAUGCACGUAUGCCAAAAGAAUAAAUAGACAGAAAGUAAAUUUAUAGUCCUCACUUCCUCACAAUUGUUAACGUGGAGAUGCAUUACAACUGUGAACUGUCACUACUUUAGCCUUUUUUUUUUUUAAUUAUAGUGUGAUGGAGACAUUAAGGAUGAGCAUAAUAGUUAAAGAUGACUCAUUUCUCAUUUUCUUUUUAAAGUGCUCUGCUGAAAGCCAAACUUCCUUUGGCUAAUUAAUUUAGAAGUAAAGCAGAGAAUAAAGUCCUAGAUGCCUUCUGAAAUUAGAAAUACAUUUUAUAUGCUUUAAUUAUGAUUAUUUGGUAGACUAAAGACCUAAAAGAUAUGUCAAAAGUAUAAAACAGAGCGAUUAAAGAAAAAAGAAAAAAAAAACAGAGUAUUUGUGACGUAGAAUAACAAUUGGUAAAUAAAUCCUAAAUAUUUGAGUUGUUAAAAGCAAAUAUAACAGAGACGGUAAGAGAGAUGCUGAAACAGAAAACUAUUAGCUUAUCUUGAUUUUCCCACUAUAUUCAUUUUCGAUGCUUUUCAAACGAGAUUCUUUUAAUUCUUCUGGUGUCUCUUAUAGAUCUCCAUCCCACAUCUGCACUACGAACAAGUUGAUUAAAAUUAAAUACUGUUGGAGAUGUGGGGUGAGCGGUCAACUUGGUAAAAAAACUAUGUAUAAUAUUGUUAAUAAUAUAAAAUAUAAAAUAAUAAUUACAAAGAAUCAUAAAUUAGAAAAAUUAUUUAUUUUACAAUCUAUUUCUUAAGUAAGAUAAAUCUCGUAAUAAGUUAAGUUAUAAUGUAAAAAAUAUUUUCAAUUUAUAAUCAUUUAAGGAGUCAUUUAACAAUAAAAUCUUUCUUUUUUUGAUCAAUUGGUCAUGCUACAGAGCAUCAUCUAUUCGUGGUGAUAUUAUUAUUACUCCGUAUUCUCAAAAAACACGAUUUAACAUUUAGAGAAAGUUCCUACCUUUUAAAAAGAACAUGUAUGCAACAACUACCCAUACUUUAUCUUACCACGACAAAACUAAUAGUGACUAAAUCAAUUUUCUCGAAUAAAGAAAAAUUUCUUAAAAUUAAUUUAAUAUACAAAUAUGAUGACUUUUUGCAAAAAUUAGUUUUGGAAAAUUAGUGACAGAAAAUAGUAACGAUUAUUGUUUAGAUGUGUAAAUAGCCUAAACAUGAUCCCUAAUACCAAUAUCCACGUGCAUCUUAACACCUUUCGUCAUAUUCUUUCAUUCAUGGUCACUGGUUCAAGAUUUGAAUUUGAUCAUUAAAUCAUGUUCAAUAAUAUUAGAGAUCCCAACAAUUGAGUACCAACUUAAAUCCCAAUGCUAUGUGUCAUUAACAAAUGUUGUGUCAUUUAUAAUUAUUGAAUGAAUAAUUCGUUAAUUUAUUGAUAAAUGAAAAUUUAUUAAUUUAAAGAGAGAUAUUUUUUUUUUGGGUUUUAAGAAGAGUUUUGUUGGUACAUGUACAUACUUAUAAAGAAAUAAACUUGUAAUUAUACUAUAUCUUUCUUUCUUUAUUCAGUUUGGUGGGAUAUUGUGAUAAAUCAUUGGAUUAAAAUGCAUUUCUAAAUUAAAACUUGUUAAAAUCUAAUUUAUUUGGGAAGCGCAUAUUAUUUGUCAGUCGUACUUCUCAAGUCUCAACUUAGCAAGUUAUUUCUAACUUGUCAGUCUCUAUUUGUUCUCUAAAAGCUAAUAGUCUCGAAUCUCCCGCAUUUGAUAUCUUGCCAUUAUUGUUGGCAUUAACAUGUUACCUGAGAUUGGGAUUCAUUAAAAUCCUCAAUGUAAUCGGUGGAACGAAUGGAUUUCUUCUGUUCACCAAUCCACCAAAAUUUCUGUAAUUAAAUUCAAGAGUCAAGAUCUAUGCUUAUAAUCUAUUCUAACAGCUAAUAUUCUAUUUUAUAUUUACUUAAAUAUGAAGAGCUAUGCUUGUCAUUAACUUCAAAUGUGAUCGAAGCAGCCAUACAUCUGUAUAUUACUUAUUCCCAACCUUUUUUUUUGACUUCAUAUACUUUCUUUUCAUGUUAUUUACUCUUUUUUUCCCCUCUCUGACAAUUGAGGUAGGGGGUCAAACUUGAAAGUAUCUUAAAAUCAGACAAUUUUUUUUUUUUUUAAGAUAGCUGCUAAUAUGCUCUAUUAGACAAUGAUAAGUAAUAACCUAGUUGUUUGCAUUAGAAAUGAUAUUUUUUGUGGUGCUGAUAAAGAGGUUGAUUAUGAUUCAACAAUUUAAAAUAUGAAAACAUGUGGAAGACGGCCGCAAUUAAAUUGAUUGUAUGAAAAUAUUUCAAUGAAAUUUUAAAAAUUUAGUACUUGUUAUCUUAUCGAGAGUUUUUUUAAAUUAUAUUACUACUUGAACUUGGGUACUUGUUAUCUUAUCGAGAGUUUUUUUAAAUUAUAUUACUACUUGAACUUGGCUGCUUUUGUAUUGAAUUCCUAGCGUUGCCAUUGCUUCUACUCAAAAGCCAUUUAAGUUUGUGUAAGCUACCUAUAGUUUGAACAACAAUUUACUCAUGAAUUGUUGUUCAUAAUAGCAAUUUGAUUGAAAGUGCGGCUGCACUAAUUUUCUAGAUGAAUUUUUUCCUACAUGCUUGUUCUCGUAUGACCCAAAAUCCUGCUACAUCAGUUGUAUUAGAAAUUAAUACUGGGUUACAAUUAUGCAUCCCCACCAAUAUUUAAGCAAUUUAAUUACAGGAACAUUUCUUGAGGAAAGAAACUCAUAUCGCCCCUAGGCUUUUAAUGAGGCUCAUUUUUAUGAAUCUGGAUGGCAUUAGAUAUCUCUCCGAAUAUUGGUGGGAGUAUAUCGCAGAUCUCUGGGCUAUACUACAAAGUGUAUGUACGUUGACUCUCAAUAAAUACAAACGAUUCUCUGAUAUGAUUCAAAACAUCAGUGCACGCAUCAUUUUAACGAGAGAGAAUAUUCUAAGAACGAAAUUGAAGGUGCAAUCAACAACUAAAAUGAAGCCAGAAAUGUACACGCAUGAGGAAGUUUUCCUAGAAGAUUGAUAUUUCUUUAACUAGCAAACAAUACAAGUCCAAAGCUAACCAAACCAUACCUGCAAGUCCGGGGCUUAAAUGGAGUACUUGUAAGCAUAAAACAUUAAUCAAAACACAGUAUAGACACACACACACACCCCUACAUACAUACCAGCAAAUUCGAAAUAGAAAAAGGAGUGCAACUAUUCAAGUUUGUUGACAAUAUUGCAACCAUGGCAUAUUAAAGCAAAUCCUUAAAAUCAGCUAAACGAAACAAUUCCCUGUCUCAUGAAUCGAUGCUCAAUUAAAAUUGAAAUUGAAAGUCCGGCUGGUGUUGUUUCCCUCUCCAGGUUUGCCUACAUAAGUAAAGGGAAAUGAGAAUCAUAAAUGAAAAUCUGCUUCGAUCACUGUUCACAAAUCACUGUUCACAAAUCCCUAAUUCAAAAAUUACUGUUGAUUAUCGUUUUACAGCAGCGCCUCAGCUCCAGCCUUCACCCCGCAACGCAAGCAGCAGCCAGCGCGAACCAGUCGCGCCCAACGCAAGCCCCAGCAACCCAGAUUGUUAGCUCCAGCCGCGCGCAACGUAGCUGAGCAGCAGCAGACCAGCAGCGCGAACCAGCUCUCGCGCGCAACACAACGCGAACGCAGCAGUGCGUAGAUGCAGCCCAGCAACGCAGCGCGAACCAGCAAUGCAGCCUCACCAGCGCGCAACGCAAGCCCCCGCACGCGCAGCACCAGCAUCCCGUUUCUCGCAGCGCAGCAGCGCGCAACGCAGCGCAGCACCCGCAAAGCAAGCCUCACCAGCGCGCAACGCAAGCCCGCAACGCAGCAACGAGCACGCCCUGCAACGCAACCAGCUUACGCCUUGUAUUCCAGCCGGGUAAAUCGAAAUCCGUGAGUACAAUUAUUGUAACAAUGCCGAAGAGGAAAGCAUCCACUUCCAAGUCAUCGAAAAAGACACCCAUCGCAAAGAAAUCUAAGAUUGCCGCUCCCACUACGGUUCCAUGGAACACAAUUUCAGAUUCACGCCAAGCCGUGAGACAAAGAUCGAAGCAUGGAAAAGGCAUGAGUAUUUUGCCACUUGCGGAAUCCAAUCUCGAAGGGUGCCUUGCAUUCGCGACUCAACAAGAGAAAGAGAGGUACAAAGAUAUUUCCACGGGCAAAAUACUUCCAGCUAAGAAUUUUUGGAUAUGUCUAUGUUUGAAAGAACAUGUGUGGUUGAAUUCAAGGAGGGGAGAUUUCAGUUUACUGAACCAGGACCCACUCAACUUCCGAAGAAGCUUUAUGCUAGGAGUGGUGCUACCUCUGAUGACGAGUUUGACGACGACACUGCUGCCCCGCCAACUAUUCCUUCUACAUCCGCACCACCUUUGAGCAUUCAAUUAGAGAAAAUGGAGCACAAGCUGAACAAGAUGGAGCAGAAUUUGGCCGCAUACUUCGAGAGUGUGGGAUUUACCCCACCAUUUCCGCCAAGCCCAUAGACGUUAUGUGGAUCAAAGCUCACAAUUCAGGGAAGUUUCUUUUUGCCCUUAAUCCUUUAUCCUUACGCUUUAAUUUUUAUGUGAGCUUUGAUUAUCUUACAUUGGGGACAAUGUAAGUUCUUGGUGUGGGGGAGGGAUUUUUGCAUUAUUGAUGUCUGGAAUUAUUGUUUUCACUCUACUUAUUUUUUUUUUUCACUCUACUCAUCCUUAAAUGAUUUUGGAGUUAGUAUGCUUUAUAUAUUAUUAUUUUUUCUUUUCUUUUAUUUCUCACAACUUUUUUUUUCCCAUCUAUCUCAAAUUAUUUACAUCUAUUUUUAUUCUAUCAUACUGUUUCAUCGCUCACAUUUUAUCUUUCACUUUUCAUCUUUCUCACUUCUUAUCAUUUUUACCUUUCCUUUUAUAUAUCACCCAUACCUUCUUCUCAUUCUACACCACUAUUGAUGGUUGAUUCAUUUGAAGAGUGUACAUGAUUUGAUGGCAAAUUUACCAACUUUGUGAGGAUUUGAGCCUAUGAGCAACCACUUUGCUCUAAUAUUUUUGUUAUGUGAAUAUCAAUCUUAGUUUGUUUAUUCUAGAACUUGCUUUGUUAUGCAUGUUGAAGCCGCAUUACGGGAUUUUAUGCACUAAAAUGAUAAGGGCAAACCCUUUUCCAUUUUUCUAUUCUCGCAUUUUUUUUCUCUACCCGAAGAUCUUUAUUUGCUAUCUUUGUUUGAGCCUUAACAAUUACCCAUCUAAUUCUCUCCGUCUACUUAACCAUUUUUCUUCUUUUUUUUGAGCCUCAAUUUAAGGAGAUUUUUGGACUCAUUGUGUGGAUAUAUUUUGUUGCUUUUUCUACCUUGUAAUAAAGUUUCUCAAUUAGAUCAACAAGCAUUAUGCUUGAAUUAAAUUGUGCAAGGUUCGUUUCUUUUGUUUGAUUCAAAAACAAAAACAAAAAAAAAAAAACAAAAAACAAAAAAAAAAAAGAAAAAAAAAGAAAAAAAAAAAGAAAAAGAAAAAUCACAAAAAAAAAACAAAAAAAAAUGUUUACAUUCUUGGUGACUUAAGUAGAAAUAAGCAUUUUGAUAUCAUAAGUUCAUUCAAUGAGUUCAUUUUUCUCGUUUUAAUCUCUUUUUCUUUCGUAAACCUUUCUUUUUCAUUUAACCCAUUUAACCCCAUUACAACCCUCUUAAGACCCUUAGAUUUUUGCAUUUUAUUCAUGUUUUGUGGAUUGAGAUGUGAUAUAUGAGCAAGCUUAUGGUAAUAGCAUUCUUUGAUUUGAUUUGAGUGGAUAAAUGACACCCUAAAAACUUUGAGUGCAUGGAGUGAAGUUAUUGAGAGGGCUAUUAAAUCUUGUUGCACUUGAAUUUUGAAUGGAUCUCCUUGGUGGUUGAAUGUUCUUAUUCUAUCUUAUGAAAUUCUAUGCUUUAAAAUCCUUGUCUCUCGAAUGUUAAUCGACUUAAUUUCUUGAGGUAUGCUUUCUUAAAAUUGUUUUUGGAUGAGUUGAGAUGAGAAUUGAGUGGAGAUUUGAGAUUAAUCUUGAGUUAUAUGCUUGAGGACAAGCAUCAUCUUGGUGUGGGGGAAUUUGUUAGAGUGCAAUUUAUGCACUAGUUUUGCAUUGUUUACUUCCCUUAAUAUCGAUGUUUUACACUUAAUAAUAAUGUUUUACUUGUGUUUUACUUUUGUAGGUGCAAUUCUAUUGAUUGGUGAUAAAAUUGAGCUAAAAGAUGAUGUUUAAGGAGGAUUGUUCUCUUGGAGAAAUUAUGAGCGUCGAAAGAACUUUGUUGAUAAGGCGUGGGCGCGUGCUGUCAACUGCGGACCUGCAGUUUUUAGUUUAACGUGUUUUGUAUUUUUGGUUAUUUUUGUAAUUACGAAUUUAAUAUUUCAGAUAUUAGUAUUUUAUUUUAAAUAGAAUUCUAAAAGAGAAGAGAGAGAGAGUAUUUAAGGGAGGAAUCUAUUGUGAAAAGGGGGAUUUGGAUUGGAGAAAAAGAAAGAAACCCUAGAUCUAAUUUUUCUCUUCUCUCUAUGAAGAACUAAACCUAUUUUUCUGGUUGAAGGAUAAUGACGCUUUGAUUCAUCACUACUGUGAGAUUUUUCUUAUGCUUUAAUUGUUUUAUUACUUUUUGGGUAUUUGUUUAUUCUCUGAAUUAGUUUCAUGAUUAUGUUUGUUAAUUAGGUAAUUGUCCACUAUUUAAUUAUCAACUUAAUCUAUUGUCAAUUAAAGGAUUCAUCGUAUGAAGAAUUUAAUGUUUGUGACAAAUAACAUAGCAGAGAGUUGUGUUGUGAGAAUAAACAAUCUAAUUUAAAUGAAUCAUCAUAUGUGUUGAUUAGGAUUUGGGUCUCUCUGGUUUUUCAGGCUGUCAAUUGAUUAAAUCCUAUGAUCGUAUCAAGGGUUGUCUAUUGAUUAGGGAAAUAUCCAACGGUCGUACCUUGGUUAUCGACUAGUUAAGGAGAGAUUGGCUAUUAGAGGGUCUCAAUAGCUAUAACCGGUCUAUUCAUAAGUAAUAAUAAUAUAUAUUUGAAUCAAUGAUCAGUAGUCGAAUCAAGCUGAGUUAAUUCCUUCAACCAGAGCUUUCUCCAAUUUGAAUUACAACUUUAAUUUGCAUUUUGUAUUUAAUUUGAUUUUUAUUAUUGUCUACAAUUCCCCCAUUUUAUGUUUUACGUUUCAAAAGGAUUUAAAUAAUUACCGAUCUCUGUGGACACGACCCUGCUCAAUCACUAUACACAAUUUAUUUAGAGUAGGAAUUUAUUUUUGUUGGCUUCGACACCCAUCAGUUGAUUUGUGUUGUUUAUUGCUAGAUUUCGCAUAAUUGUUUGCUGAUUACUAGAACUGGCUCUGUUUGGAUCUGAUACCAUGUUUAAAAACAUAAAAAAUCACUGAUCAGUUUGUUUGGUUGCUAAGAAAAUUUGCUCUGUUUGCUGAGAAAGUUUCAAAGAAGAUUCUCGAUUUUUUUUAUUUCAUCUUUCUUACUUCACGAAUGAUUACAAACACACCUUUUAUACACAACUCAACUAGCUAACAGAAAGAAAGCUACAAAACAGAAUCUCAGUAAGCUUAACUAAUUUUGCUGAGCUGGCAUUACACACUUAACUAACUUCGGCUAACUAAAUUCUCACAUGUGCUAAGCAUGAGCAGACUGUUUGUACACAUUAUGUGCUUCUUUAACACAAUGGAGUUUUAAAAAUUUGGUACUUGUUAUCUUAUCGAAAGUUUUCAAAAUUAUAUGAAUGUUCAAACUUAGCCCCUCCCGGCACUGCCACUGCUUCUACGUGAAAGUCAUUUAAGUUUGUGUUAGCUGCCUAUAGAUUGAAUAACAAUUUUACUCCGGAUUUUUUGUCCAUUAUGAAAAUUUGAUUGAAAGUGCGGCUGCACUAAUUUUCUAGAUGAACUUCCCUACAUGUUUUUUCUCAUAUGACCCAGAAUACUGCUAUAACAAUUGUAUUGGAAACUAUUCAACUGGGUUACUAUUCUACAUCCCCACCAAAAUUUAAACAGUCGACAUUGUGGAAAGAAACUCAUUUCGCCACUAGGCUUUUAGUGAGGCUAAUUUCUCUGAAUUUGGACAGAGUAGAUUUCUAAGCUAAUGCUUGGAAGAUCUCUGGCGAUAUUACAAAGUGCAUGUACAUUGAGUCUUAAUAAAUAUAAACGAUUCUCUAAUAUGAUUCAAAACAUCACUACAUGCAUAAGUUAAUAAGAGAAAAAAUUAUAAGAUUAUUUAUGCAUCACCAUUUAUAGUUGCACCCUCUCUAAUGAAAUUGAAGGUGCAGCCAGCAAUUAAAAUGAAGCAGAAAUGUACAUUGACCCUUAAUAAAUAGAAACUAAGGCGUUAUCGAUUCAACUUCAGUUGAUCAAUUGCGGGUGAAAGAUAAAUAAAGGAUAAGAGAAUAGAGCUGGAGUGCUAAAUUGGCUAUUGAAGAAGGGUGUCACAUGAUCACAAUCACAUUGACGCACAACUCUUUGGAGGCAAAUUUUGUCUAUGUGUACUCUAAAUUCAGCCAAACCAUACAUGUAUGAACAGAAUUUAAACCGUAGUUCUCAUCACAAUAGUAAUUGAAGCUACAAAAGCCAGAAAAUCUGAACAAAAACUUAAAAGGAAGAUUUUAUUCAAGUUUGCCCCCAAAAGACAGUUGAAAUGAAAAAUAUUGACUAUUGAAUGGGUCAAUGCUGAAUUACAUUUCAAAUGGAAAGCUUGGCAACAGUUACAAUGUUUCCCCUCUGAUUUUCCUCCAAAACAAAUUCAGUUAUAAACAAUAACUGAAGUAGGAAUAAUUUAUUCAUCAAAGAAAAUACCCUAGUUUUCAACUAACAAAUCCUGCUAUCCAAAUUAAAAAAACUCGCAUCUCUAAAAUUUAUUUGUAAACUGUUGGAAAUGAGGAGUGAUCUGUCAACUCCGUAAAUAAACUCAGGCAUAAUAUUAAUAAUAAUUAUAAAUUACAUAAUAAUUAUUAUAAAGAAUCAUAAAUUGGAAACGCUAAUCAUUCUACAAUCUAUUAUAUAAGUAAGAUAAGUCUCAUAAUAAGUUAAGUUAUAAUGUAAUAAAUACUUUCAAUAUAUAAUUAUUUAAGAAGGCAUUUAACAAUAAAAUAUUUUUUUUUCUAUUCGGUUGAUCAUAUAGUGUUAUCUAAACUCUUGACGAUAUUAUUAUUACUCACUUUUCUAAAAAAAAAACAUGAUUAACGUUUAGAGAAAAGUCAUGCCCCUUAAAAAUAAUAUGUAUACAAGCUAUCCAUACUUUAUCUUACCAUGACAAAAUUGAUGGUGAUUAAAUCUACUUUUAAAAUAGAUUUAAUGCACAGAUAUUAUGACUUCUGGCAAAAAUUAGUUUUGGAAGACAUAAUGGUAGAAAAUAGUGAUGAUCAUUAUUUAAAUGUGUAAAUAGCCUAGGCAUAGCCUGUAAUACCAAUAUCCAUUUGCCUUUAUUUGGAUUAUCACAUUUCAUGAUAUUCUUAUAUUUAUGACCAUUGUUCGAGAUUUGAACUUGAUCAUAAAUUAAGCUGCAAGAGAUUUUACUUCAGUUUCUAAGCUUUUCAAUCGUGAUUCAUCCAUGCCUUUCUUGGAUACCAUUAUGUUACGUGCCAAUGUAACUGACCUUGUAAUUGGUGUGUAUAAGGAAACAUGCCCUUUCAAGAUUGUUUUCUUUUGUUUCCUUAUUGUAGUAGUCAAAUAAAUAAAGAACGAACAAUUGAACUUGGUCUACUUCGAGGAAAACCAAGGCCUGCAAUAUUAGAUGAACUUUGAACAAAAUUAAUCUACUGCUUUUAUUCAUCUUUGGACUAUGAAUUUAUACAAAGACUUUAACAAAAAAUAACAAAGACACAACUGAAUGAUAGCAACAAGUGCUGACUUAGCGGACUACUGCAACAACUAAAUAAAAACUAAAUAUUUAUUUUGACUGUAACAACAAUUGCCCUGAUGAAUAGGACUCCACAGCAGCCACGUGACAACUAAUUUCUCCUUAAUAUUAUUAUUAGUAGAAGUAGAUUUUCAAACUAGUCUUGAUAUAUUUCGAAGUUGUAUUAUUAUCAAUGUAUAUGUAUCUAGAUUGUAACUAUAUUUUAAAAAAUAUAAUUUUUUUAAUUAUUGCACAGUAAAUGUAGAAAAAUAUCUAUAAAAUAAUAUUAUUAGGACUAAGAAAAAAAUAUUAUUUUAUAUAAGUUAUUUAUUUAUUAUUGAAUGAAUAAUUUAUUAAUUUAUUGAUAAACGAAUAUUUAUUAAUUUAAAGAGAGAUUAUUUUGGUUUUAAGAAGAGUUUGUUUGGUACAUGUACACACUUAUAAAGAAACACAAAAGGUGCUUCCUCAAGUUAAUAGUAUUUGCUUUAAUCGCUAUAGUUCACAAUAAUAUAGCAUAGUUUGGAAAAUUGUAAUUAUACUAUGUCUACGUUUGGUACAAUUUUUCAAGAAGAACUUAUUUAAAUAGAGUUUUUGUUAGUAGAACAUUUAUAAAUAAAAUUUUUACUGAAAAAAUUUAAGUUAUUUGGUUGUCAUUGUCAAAAUUGAUGAACUUUUGAUCUUUUGUUAACAUGUGUUUUUUUUACUAAAUAAUAAAUGUUAGGUUACAAUUAUUUUCAAUAGUUUUUGAAGGAAUCAAGUUAUGAAAUUUUUAUCAAUGAACUUUCAAUAUGUCAGCAUAUGGUCUGUAAAAUUUGAGAGUUUUCCAAUGAGGGAAUAAUUUAUUAAAAAUAAGAGAAUAUGGAUUGUUCUGUUUUAAGGGCCGAUUAUUGAGGACAUUUGAGGUUGAGCUUAGGAGAUGUUUAAAUUGAGAUAUUUGAGGACAUUAUGUUAGCCUAAAGGGCUACACAUAAUGUAAUUUUGAUGAUAACAAACAUGUGUCUUAAGUAAAAAUAAUAAAUAUUGUAUUUCACAUUUUCACUAGUUUUUGAAGGAUAAUAUUUAUGCAAGUGAAUCAAGUGAAAUCAAGAUUGAAGAUACUCAACGGACAACGGCGACAUCAAGAAUAUAGUUUAGAGCUCAAUGAACAAAUUAGUGCGAUAAAUUCUUGUAAAGCCGGUAUGAUUUAAUUGAUGCAUGAUUUAGCAUUUGAGAAGCUCAAGAGAUUAAUUUAAUUAAAUACUUUUCAUAAACUAAAAGGUUUUAUUUUUAUAAAGUAAAGUAUUUUGUGGAUUUGAGUAAUUUGGACUUAAAUGCUAAGAUUUGAAAUCUUUGAUUUUAAUAAGUAUUAAAUUUCGGAGUUGGACGUUUUGAUAAACAUUUGAAAUGUUUUGGGUCAUACUAUAAUUUAUAAAUAUUUUGGACUAAAGUGAAAGGUUUUGAGAACUUUGAAAAAUAUGGGUAUUAUGUUGAAAAGGACCUUUGUGCGAACUAAAAAUUUCUUUGGGGCCAUAUCAUAAUUUCAGAAAGUUUGGGAAGACAACUACUCUUAGGAAGUUCUGAAAUUGGACCUAUUUGCAAAGUUUUAUGACAUUUUGAGCCAUAGUAUAAUUAUAGAAAGUUUUGAGCCAAAGUAUAAUUUUAGUGAACAGUGUUACUAUAGCAAUUCAAAAAUAACGGUAAUAUCACUGUUCCUGAGCGGCUAGCCGGAUAAAUCAAGCGGCUAACUGCUUGGGCGAGGGAAUUUGCCUAUAACGGCUAGUUUUCAGGCUUUAACUAUAAAAACUCAGCUCAAACUUCAUUCUAAGUACUAAUGCAUGCAAAUAUAAGAUCAUACAACAUAUAUUGAGCUUCCAAAAUGCAAAUCAUCAUUGAUUGAAUCAUUGUUGAGCUAUUAGUUGCAUAUCCACUCUUAAAGAGAGUUUUUGUUGUAAUUUUCAUUUCUUAUCAAAUUGUGAGUGUGUGAGUGUGUAAGUGUGGGAAACACUUGGGGUGAAGAGAUUGGGGAGAUAAUCUCUUGGUUGUAAAGGUUCAUUGACACCUUGGAAGUCAAUUGUAAAAACUUGAACCCUUGAGAGGCUUGGAUAGUGAAAUCCUCGAGCAUGGUUGGCUUGGAGGCGUGGACGUAAGCAGGGAUUGCCGAACCACGUAAAAAUCCGCGUGUUUGUUUCUCUCUUCCCUUGCUCUUUUAUUUUUACGCUUGUUUGAAUUUAUUGUUCUCUAUUUCAUUAAGGCGUUAGAUUGAUUUAUUGUGCGAAUUGUAUUGCAUUAUUUUUAAAAACUCAAUUCACCCUCCCUCUUGGGUUGCAUUACUUGCAUUUACAUUAGAGUUUAUGAUUGAGACUCGAUUAUAUCUUAUGAGAAAUUUAUUGAUGAUUUUAGGUUGAUGAUAACAGUACGCAUUUGUUACAUGAGGAUGCCAAGAGGUAAGUAAACUAGACUUAAAAACGAAUCACAAUAAACAAUAUAUAUGUUUGACUUGUAUGAAAAGUCUAUUUUGAUAUGUACGAAUAUAGAUUUAUAUGUCUCUACUCAUGUGUUUAUGUGAUGUGUUGUUAUGUAUUGGGCGUGAUUAUGUACAUAGGCAUAUGUAUGUGUGAUGGUUCAUUGUCAUGAGCACGAAAAUGCAUUGAGUUUUCUAUGAAUGAAAAGUGGAUUUUAGCAAAUGAGAUUUCUCUUUUAUGAGAUUUUGCAUUGGGGGCCACCUCUUGAGGGCCAGAGUGCCGCAAAGUACCACGCACAACACAAAGUGCCACAUUGCAGGAUACGUAUUUUAUUGAAAGGAAAUAUGAAAGUUUGAAAGCGACAGAAAGAGAUUUUUAUGAAUUUGUUUUACAGUAUUUCCAAAAGAUCAUGGCAUAGCAUCCAUCUACAUUAUGUAUAAGUAUGCAUGUUUGCUUAUUGAGUUUUGUACUCAUUAUAGUUUAUUAUGAUUCAGUUUCCAGAAGUCAGGAUUGAUUCGUGAUGAGUGAGAAGAUGAAUUUAAAUUGAGGAUGGUAGAUGGUUUGGCUAAAUUUUUAAGUUAUUCCGCUGGCUUUUGUAUUCGAGGCUCGAAUUUUAUCGGUUGUAAAGAGUUAUUUAAAUUCAUAUGUGAGUUGUAGUCAGAUUUGCCCUCGGAGUUCGGGUUGGGGCGUUACAGAUGCAGAAACAGAAAACUAUUAGCUUAUCUUGAUUUUCCCACUAUAUUCAUUUUCGAUGCUUUUCAAACGAGAUUCUUUUAAUCCUUCUGGCGUAUGCAGCCCUUGCUCUUCUUAUAAAUCUCCAUCCGACAUCUGCACUAGGAACAAGUUGAUUGAAAUUAAAUAACAUUAGAGAUGACGGACGGUUGAGCCGUUAACUCGGUAAAAAAACUCAUAUAUAAUAUUACUAAUAAAAAAAAAUAUAAUAAUCAUUACUAAGAAUCAUAAAUUAGAAAAAUUAAUUAUUUUACAAUCUAUUUCGCAAGUAAGAUAAAUCUCAUAAUAAGUUAAGUUAUAACGUAAAAAACAUUUUCAAUUUAUAAUCGUUUAAGAAGUCAUUUAACAAUAAAAUCUUUCUUUUGGUCAGUUGGCCAUGCCACAGAGUAUCAUCUAUAUUCGUGGUGAUAUUAUUAUUACUCCGUAUUCUCAAAAAACUUGAUUUAACAUUUAGAGAAAAUUCCUACCAUUUAAAAAGAACAUGUAUGCAGCAGCUACCCAUACUUUAUCUUACCCCGACAAAAUUAAUGGUGACUAAAUCAAUUUUCUCGAUUAAAGCAAAAUUUUCUUAAAAACGAUUUAAUGCACAAAUAUGAUGACUUUUUGCAAAAAUUAGUUUUGGAAAAUAUAGUGAGAGAAAAUAGUGACGAUUAUUGUUUAGAUGUGUAAAUAGCCUAAACAUAAUUGCUAAUACCAACAUCCACGUGCAUCUUAACACCUUUCGUGAUAAUCUUUCAUUCAUGGUCACUGGUUCAAGAUUUGAAUUUGAUCAUUAAAUCAUGUUCAAGAAUAUUAGAGAUCCCAACAAUUGAGUUCCAACUUAAAUCCUAAUGCUAUGUGUCAUUGACCAAUAUUGUGUCAUUUUUUGUUAACUGGGUGAUGAAUUUCUAGUUGAUAAAAUUACUUAAAAAUAUCUUAAAAAUCAGAUAAUAGUUAGCUUAAUUUUUUGAAGCUAACUGCUCAAGAUGCUCUAUUAGAAAUGAUAACCUAAUUAUAUAAAAAAAAAAAUGAUGUAUUUUUUUCGGUGUUGAUAGUGAGAUUAUCAUUCAACAUGUUAAAAUAUGAAAACAUAUGGAAGAAGGUUGUAAAUUGAUUGAAUGAAAAUAUUUCAGUGAAGUCUAAAAAAUUUGGUACUUGUUAUCUUAUCGAAAGUUUUCUAAAUUACAUUCGUGGCACUGCCACUGCUUCCAUGUGAAGGUCAUUAAAAUUUGUGUUAGUUACCUAUAUGUUGAAUAAUAAUUUUAUUCAUGAAUUGUUGCUCAAUAUAGCAGUUUCUAGAUGAAUUUUCCUACAUGUUUGUCCUCAUAUGACCUAGAAUGCUGCCAUAUCAAUUGUAUUGGAAAUUAUUCAAGUGGGUUUGUGCUCUAUACCCCCACCAAAAUUUAAGCAAUCUACAGAACAUUCCUUGUGGAAAGAAACUUAUUUCGCUACUAGGUGGGAGUAGAUUUCUAAGCUAAUGCUCGGCAGAUCUCUAGGCUAUACUAAAAAGUGUAUGCACUUUGACUCUCAAUAUAUACGAGUGAUUCUAUGAUAUGACUGAAAACAUCAGUACAUGCAUGAUUUUAUAAGAAAGAAUAUUCUAAAAUUAUUUAUGUAUCACCAUUUGAAGUUGUACCCUCUCGAAUGAAGGUGCAAUCAGCAACUAAAAUGAAGCCCGAAAUGUACACGCGUGAAGCAGUUUUUCUAGAAGAUUGAUAUUUCUCAAACUAGCAAACCGUACAAGUCCAAAGCUAGAAAAAGGAGUGCUUCUAAGCAGAAAACAUUGAUUAAAACAGAAUGCACACAAACAUACCAGCAAAUUCAAAAUAGAAAAAGGAGUGCAACUGUUCAAGUUUGUGGACAAUAUUGCAACCGUGGCAUAUUUAUAGCAAAUCCUUGAAAUCUGCUAAAUAAACAAUGCCCUGUCUCAUGAAUCAAAGCCGAAUUAAAAUUGAAAUUGAAAGUCCGGCUGGUGUUGUUUCCCUCUCCAGUUUUGCCCACAUAAGUGAAGGGAAAUGAGAAUCAUAAACUAAAAUCUGCUUUUACAGUUCUUAUUAGAUAGAUAUAAAGGGAUCUUUCUUUGUUUCUCUGCUGCAAUUUGUGGCUAUCCCACUCUGUUUUGCCACUCAAGCUUAGUCUACGUUGAGACACAAUUUUGACAUCAGAAGCAACCUCAAUUAGUUUGGCAUUUUUAUGACCUCCUUGUACGUUUUACGAUAAACAUAAAUCUACUGAGAAAGUGGGAAAAAAAGAAAAUGCAUAUAAAAGUAUGAGUUAUCAGACAUGAUUAAAACUCACCCAAUUCAAUCCAUUAGAUUCCGUAAGGAUAUAACUGGAUGUCAUACCGCCAUUCCAUAUCCUCGAAAGUCCGUAGCCUCUGUCUCAACUCUGUCUGAGGCCAAUGUAAAUCCAAUAUGCGCAAGCUCUUUAUGCACCACAGCUCUUCUGGAAGCUUUCUCAAGUAAGCACAAGGGUUGACAAUUAAGCUUUCAAGUUUUGGCAUUGCUCCAGCCCCCAUCGUCCACUCAUCUAGCCAAAACAUUGAUUUCAGGUGCAAAACCUUACGUUCCGGAAAGCAACCAGGGCCAACGCAGGCCAGCUUUCUUCCUAAAUACGAGUUUUGCUUCAGUUUCAGCACUUGAAGGCGUGGAAGCUUUUCCAGCAUUGGCAUGGGAUCCUCCAUUAGCUCAGUAUUCGAUAAGCUCAGAUGGCUCAGACUUGGAGGAAAUUGGUAUUCAGACAGGAUAAUCCGUGAGGGCUUGCUCUCAUUCACCAGCUUCAAGCAUUCAAGUUUGUGCAGUUCGCAUAGGCUUUUGGAAACCCCGGAUUGAUAGUAACUCAAAUCUCCAGAUAUUCUUAGACUUUGGACAAGAUAUUCUUAGACUUUGGACAUUUGGUAGUCUGCCCAAUAUAGCUGGACUGCAACUACUAGGAUGUAAGGCUGAUAAGAAAAUGAGAUUUUUCAGAGAGCUUCAAUAAUUUUUUGGAGGUGCGGGCAGAGUGAUGCAACCGAAGUUUAGAUGCAUGAGUUUUUGCAUCAUCCAAAUAUCCUCUGGUGAAUGAUCUAUGUAGCUAGAUGGCAUUUCUAGCGUUUGAAGGUUUAAAAGGGAGCAUAGCAGUGAAGGAAUGCAUUUGAGCGAAGGGAUAUUCAAUUUCAAAUACUUCAAAAGGAAUAAAUUUUCUAAUCCGGCUGGAUAUUGGUCGAGAACUGCAGAACCCAAGUUCAAUACCCGAAGGUAUUUGAACUUGUCGCAAUCUAUCAGAGCGAGAUGAUCGCUUGCCGAACUGUUAUUCAGAAAAGAUUGGAGAUACAUGUCAGAAUGUCCUAAAGAUAAAAACCCAGUCAGAUCUUGGGCAAUGACGCACCGUUUAACAUUUGCCACUGGCUCCUCUUCCCUGUCACGCAUCCAUACAAAUUCCGUCUUCUCUGCCACCGAGCACAGUAAAGUAAAUUCAAAACCUGGAACAUAAAACGCUUUAAUUGUGCCGCCGGCUCCUCUUACUCACUUGAAUGAAGCCGCAAUGGAUUAGUUCUUUCAAGUAAUGUUCUGCCGUCUCCUCACUGUUGUAUGGUAUGAAACCUUCAGCUACCCACAACUGAUAUAAUUGUCUCGUAGAUAUCUCAAUGUCUGGACGGAAGACAAACAAAUAGGUGUAGCAGACUUUCAAGUGAAAAGGUAACUCCAUCACAGAAUAAAUUUGUCUCCAAAUUGUCCGAAUCGCUUAGGCUUGAAGAUAAUUUUCUAAUGGCAUACUUCCAUAGUGUAGGAUGAAAAAUUGCCAGGCCUCAUACUUUAAUCUGAUCAAUGGUCCUCCAACGAGCACAGAAUCAGGCCGAAUCUUCUCUCCAUUUUCCAUUUCCAACGACACAAGGAGUUCUGGAUCAGUGACUGUUAUCAAUACUCUGCUUCCAUUCUCAUUAUCAGGGAGACCUUCUUCGAGAUCAUCCCAUAUCUCACUGUUAUCGAAGACAUCAUCAAGCACAAUAAAGUACUUCUUGUUUGUUAGGUAAUCUCGAAGAAUAGAUUUCUUCAAUUGAUAAUUGAAAGAGUUUGUAUAUAGUGUUUGGUUUAAGAGAAACUAACAAGAAAAUAAAAGAAAAUCAUAAAGAACCAGAUCUGAAAAUGAUCAUAUUCUCAUUUUUUGACUAAUGAUUACAACUUGUUAUUUAUAGUAAAGAUCAGAGGCGUCACGUAGCUUGUCAGUUUGUUGGAUCUAAUAUGCAUGCAGUACAGUUCGUUAUCUUUGCUGCUGAGCUGGAUAACUAACUCAACACACGUAAGCAUCAGCAGCUCCAUUUAAUCAGAUGCUCUCAUCUAUACCAUAUUAUCAUACUCUAUAACAUCCUCCCUCAAGCUGAACUGACCUGGAUGGACAUUCAGCUUGCUUCUUAGAUAGUGAAACUGAUUGAAGGUUAGUGCCUUGGUAAGAACAUCGGCAUUUUGGUCUUCACUGGGAAUGAACUGAACUGUAAUUUGCUUAGCUGUUACUUUGUCUCUGAUGAAGUGAAUAUCAAGCUCAACAUGCUUAGUUUUAGCAUGAUAAACAGGAUUGUGAGCUAAAGCUAUGGCACUUUGAUUAUCACACCACAUUAUGGGGGCUGUGACAAGAUGAAUAUGUAGCUCUUUCAGUAAGGACUGAAUCCAAGUAACCUCAGCUGUAGCUUGAGCCAAAGCUCUGUAUUCAGCUUCAGUGCUUGAUCUGGAAACUACUGCCUGUUUCUUAGACGACCAAGAAACCAAAUUUGAACCAAGAUAAACAGCAUAACCAGCCACUGAUUUGCGAUCAUCCUUAUCACAUGCCCAAUCUGAGUCACUAAAACAAUUUAUCUGCAUAGUGCCGUAAUGAUAAAAAUGUAAUCCAAAAUGAAUUGUUCCUUUCAAAUAUCUAAGAAGCCUCUUACAAGCCUCCCAGUGCUCUGCUGUUGGUGAAGCUAAAAACUGACUAAGUUUGUUUACAGAGAAAGCUAUUUCUGGCCUAGUGAGAGUCACAUAUUGUAAAGCUCCAACUGCACUUCUAUAUUGAGAACUAUUUGAAAUAACACUUCCUGACCCCUUUGUAAGAUAAUGACCAGUGGCCAUGGGAGUAGGAACUGGACUGCAGUCAGCCAUAUUGUGUUUGGCUAGAAUAUCAGCUAUGUAUUUAGAUUGAGAGAGAUAAAUUCCAGAUGCUGUUUUGGUAACUUCUAUCCCAAGAAAAUAACUCAAUUUGCCCAGAUCCUUCAAAGCAAAAGCAUUUUGCAUAUUGGUAAUCACUUGCUGCACCAUUUGAUCACUUGAGCCUGUUAUGAUUAUAUCAUCCACAUAGACAAGAACAAAAAUUACUUGAUCACCUAUCCACUUGUAGAAAAGGGAGUUGUCUGACCUUGAAUUUUGGAAACCCCAUUUCACAACCAUAGCAUCUUUCAGUCUCUCAAACCAUGCCCUGGGGGCUUGUUUUAAACCGUAGAGAGCCUUUUUCAACUUACAGACAUGAAGAGGUCGAGAUGGAUCAAUGAAGCCCUCUGGCUGCCCCAUGUACACAUCUUCAACUAAUAUGCCAUUCAAAAAGGCAUUAUUCACAUCCACUUGUCUGAGCUCCCAUUUAUUCAUAACUGCCAAACUUAAAAUAACUCUGACUGUGGAUGCUUUAACAACUGGACUGAAUGUUUCUGUGUAAUCAACUCCUUGUGUCUGAUGAAACCCCUUAGCCACUAACCUGGCUUUGUAUCUAGAAAUGGUUCCAUCAGCAUGAUAUUUUAUCUUGAAUAUCCAUUUGUUACCAACUACCUUAACUGGUUCACUUGGCAAAACCAGAUCCCAUGUAUGAUUAUUCUGAAGUGCUUGAAAUUCUUCUUGCAUUGCCUUAAACCAUUUUGGAUUAGAUAAAGCAGCUGAAACAGAAGUAGGUUCUGAAGGUAUGGCUAGUAAAGCAGCUAAAUAAGAUUUAGGCUUAAAUAUACCAGCCUUGGAUCUGGUUAUCAUGGGAUGACCUAUAGGUGGUGCAGCAGGUAAUAUAUGAGGAGGAGAUUGUGUAUGAUGUAUAGGAUGUGUAUGUGAUGUCAAAGUAGAAGAUGAAGAGGAGGUUGAAGAAGGAGAGAAUACCUGUGGAGUGUCAGCAGGUAGGUAAUCACUUGCUAGAGAUUGUUGCAGGGGGGAUUGUACUUGUGGGAUUGGAACAAGAGUAACUUUGGACUCUGAAGAAAUAUCUGAGGGACUGCAAGACUGAGCAAUGGAAGAGAAGUCUAAUCCAGAUACAUAUGGAAAAGAUUGUUCAUCAAAGAUGACAUGAUUGGACACAUACACACGACCAGAUGAAUGAAGACACUGAUACCCUUUAUGAGAAGAGCUAUACCCAAUAAAAACACAUCUGUUUGAUCUAAAACUGAGCUUGUGUCUGUUAUAAGGUCUGAGAUAAGGAAAGCAAGCACAACCAAAGACCCUAAGAGAGACAUAAUCUGGUACUUGCUGAAAAAGUUUUUGGUAAGGUGAAAUGUAUUCAAAGUUGGUGUGGGUAGUCUGUUAAUAAGGAAUACAACAGUAUGAAAGGCAUUCCACCAGAACUUAAGUGGUAAAUUAGCUUGAGCUAACAGAGUGAGGCCAAUGUCCACUAUGUGUCUAUGUUUUCUCUCAAUUCUUCCAUUUUGAUGAUGGAUAUGUGGACAAGGAUGCCUGAACUGAAUUCCAAACUGAGUGAGAUAUGAUGCAAAGGUUCUAAACUCCCCUCCCCAAUCUGUUUGAACUGUUUUGAUGUGUUGUUGUAAGUGUUUUUCAAUAAAAGAUUUGAAUUCUGUGAAAACUUGGAGUGCAUCUGAUUUGGCAGUCAAAGGAAAAAUCCAUGUGAAUCUGCUAAAAUCAUCUAAAAUGGACAAAUAAUAUAUAUAGCCUUGAGUGGAUGCAACAUGUGAUGGUCCCCACAAAUCAGCAUAUAUAAGUUGUAAUGGUGCUGUUGUUUUUGUUGGAAUAGAUCCAAAAUGUAAAAGGUGACUUUUACCAUGUUGACAGGCAUUGCAAAAGUUUGGAGUUUUAUUGAGUACAUUGAAACUAUUACAAGCUUUCAAUACAGAUUUGAGUGUGUGUAAGGCAGGAUGUCCUAGCCUUUUAUGGAAAACAUUGACAUCGACUGAGCUAGUAUUGACAGCCAAGGCUGAUUUACACAGCAAAUGAUGAGACAAAGUACUCUUACUUAUUUCAGGAGAAAUAUCACUAGACAAAGGAGAAUGAAAAGCAAACAAAGACUGAGGUUUAUUGGAAGAAAGUUGACAAGACAAGGCUGAGCUAGUUUCAGAGACUUGAGCUGCAGAUUGGACUUGAUACAAUCCCCCUGUUGCAAUUCCUCUAAGCAAAGUGAUCCCUGAGUUCCUGGCCUUGACAACACAGACAUUUGCAAAAAACUCAAGUGUCACAUUAUUAUCUACUAAGAGCUUUGAAACACUGAGUAAAUUUUUCUUAAUAUUUGGAACAUGAAGAACAUGGUUUAAACACAAGGGUUUAUUUGCAGUAGUAGCUAGCAAUACUGAUCCAAUAUGCUGAAUAUGCAAUGCAGAACCAUUCCCAACAAGCAAUUUGUCAGUUCCAACAUAUGGCUUGAGAUCCAGUAAUUUACCUGGGUCAUUUGUGAUGUGGUUAGUAGCACCACUGUCAAUGUACCAAGCUGGAUCUUCAAUCAUCUCAGGUGCAUGAGCUGGAACAGGGACUGAAGGAGAUCCAGAGUAAUCUCCAGUAGGAGCAAAAGCAUGAGCAGGAGAGUAACCACCAUGAGAAUUAGAUGGUUGAUAAACAUUGAAAGCAGCUGGAUCUGAAUACAUCAAAUGGCCUUGAUAACCAGGUGCUCUUGGUAUGUUGAAAUUACCAAACUGAGAGUUACCAAUUCCAGCACCAUAUUGAGGAUUAAGAUUUCUACCAAAAUUACCAAAAUUUCCAUAAGCCAUAGAAGACCUAUUGCCAUUAGCAUAGCCAAAACCUCUACCAUACUGCCUCUGACCAGGCCUAAAAUUUCCAUUAAAACCACCUCUUCCUUGAUUUCUUGAAGGAACAAAAGCUGAGUUAAACCUAUUCCUGCAUUUAUUGGCACCAUGACCAGGAAUGAAAUAGAUCUGACAUACAAUUUGUGAGAAGUUACCAUCACUAGAUCCAGCUCCAGAAUUAUAACUUCCUCCAUACGAUCCAAUGUUAAACUUCUGAUUACCACUAGUGUUUUUACUAGGAUUGAACUGCUUUUGAGCAACAUUAGCUGACAAGUUAUGUGUAACAUCACUUGCAAUUUUUCCUCUCUUUUGUUCCACAUGAUUUUCAUGACUCAAUAACAAUGAAUAAAACUCAUCAAGACUGAUAUUAUCUCCUCUAGCUAACACAGUAGUAACUAGUGAUUCAUAAUCAGAGGAAUCCAAUCCAGUCAAAACAUGUUGAACGAAAUCAUUCACUUCAACAGGUUUUCCAGCUAAAGCCAAGCUAUCAGAUAUCCUUUUCAUUUUUGCAAAAUAAUCAGUUAUGGACAUCGAGCCUUUUUUAAGAGUUUGGAUUUGCAUUUUUAGAGGCAUUAUUCUAGCUUGUGACUGGGAAACAAACAUACUUGUAAGUGUAUCCAGCAGCUCCUUUGCAGUUGAGCAGUGGAUCACAGUUGUCAACAGAUUCGGCUGAAUAGAUGAGAGCAUCCAGCUCAGAAUCAAUUGAUCCGUCUUUAUCCACAUUGUGUAAGCUGGAUUGAUCUCUUGAUUCUCUGUUCCAGUUGAGAAACCAGCAGCAGAGCUUAUAGCAGAGAAAAAUUUUCCCGGACAGACUUGAUUUCCAUUGAUGAAAUCUUCUAAACCAUUUCCUUUAAUGGAUAUGAGAAUCUGAGUUCGCCAAACAAUGAAGUUAUUAUGAUCUAGUUUUAUCGGAGUAAUAAAACUAUAGGAUCCAGAAUUUUGAUUCGAAUUUGCCAUUUGUUAGCUCUGAUACCAUGAAAGAGUUUGUAUAUAGUGUUUGGUUUAAGAGAAACUAACAAGAAAAUAAAAGAAAAUCAUAAAGAACCAGAUCUGAAAAUGAUCAUAUUCUCAUUUUUUGACUAAUGAUUACAACUUGUUAUUUAUAGUAAAUAUCAGAGGCGUCACGUAGCUUGUCAGUUUGUUGGAUCUAAUAUGCAUGCAAUACAGUUCGUUAUCUUUGCUGCUGAGCUGGAUAACUAACUCAACACACGUAAGCAUCAGCAGCUCCAUUUAAUCAGAUGCUCUCAUCUGUACCAUAUUAUCAUACUCUAUAACAUCCUCCCUCAAGCUGAACUGACCUGGAUGGACAUUCAGCUUGCUUCUUAGAUAGUGAAACUGAUUGAAGGUUAGUGCCUUGGUAAGAACAUCGGCAUUUUGGUCUUCACUGGGAAUGAACUGAACUGUAAUUUGCUUAGCUGUUACUUUGUCUCUGAUGAAGUGAAUAUCAAGCUCAACAUGCUUAGUUUUAGCAUGAUAAACAGGAUUGUGAGCUAAAGCUAUGGCACUUUGAUUAUCACACCACAUUAUGGGGGCUGUGACAAGAUGAAUAUGUAGCUCUUUCAGUAAGGACUGAAUCCAAGUAACCUCAGCUGUAGCUUGAGCCAAAGCUCUGUAUUCAGCUUCAGUGCUUGAUCUGGAAACUACUGCCUGUUUCUUAGACGACCAAGAAACCAAAUUUGAACCAAGAUAAACAGCAUAACCAGCCACUGAUUUGCGAUCAUCCUUAUCACAUGCCCAAUCUGAGUCACUAAAACAAUUUAUCUGCAUAGUGCCGUAAUGAUAAAAAUGUAAUCCAAAAUGAAUUGUUCCUUUCAAAUAUCUAAGAAGCCUCUUACAAGCCUCCCAGUGCUCUGCUGUUGGUGAAGCUAAAAACUGACUAAGUUUGUUUACAGAGAAAGCUAUUUCUGGCCUAGUGAGAGUCACAUAUUGUAAAGCUCCAACUGCACUUCUAUAUUGAGAACUAUUUGAAAUAACACUUCCUGACCCCUUUGUAAGAUAAUGACCAGUGGCCAUGGGAGUAGGAACUGGACUGCAGUCAGCCAUAUUGUGUUUGGCUAGAAUAUCAGCUAUGUAUUUAGAUUGAGAGAGAUAAAUUCCAGAUGCUGUUUUGGUAACUUCUAUCCCAAGAAAAUAACUCAAUUUGCCCAGAUCCUUCAAAGCAAAAGCAUUUUGCAUAUUGGUAAUCACUUGCUGCACCAUUUGAUCACUUGAGCCUGUUAUGAUUAUAUCAUCCACAUAGACAAGAACAAAAAUUACUUGAUCACCUAUCCACUUGUAGAAAAGGGAGUUGUCUGACCUUGAAUUUUGGAAACCCCAUUUCACAACCAUAGCAUCUUUCAGUCUCUCAAACCAUGCCCUGGGGGCUUGUUUUAAACCGUAGAGAGCCUUUUUCAACUUACAGACAUGAAGAGGUCGAGAUGGAUCAAUGAAGCCCUCUGGCUGCCCCAUGUACACAUCUUCAACUAAUAUGCCAUUCAAAAAGGCAUUAUUCACAUCCACUUGUCUGAGCUCCCAUUUAUUCAUAACUGCCAAACUUAAAAUAACUCUGACUGUGGAUGCUUUAACAACUGGACUGAAUGUUUCUGUGUAAUCAACUCCUUGUGUCUGAUGAAACCCCUUAGCCACUAACCUGGCUUUGUAUCUAGAAAUGGUUCCAUCAGCAUGAUAUUUUAUCUUGAAUAUCCAUUUGUUACCAACUACCUUAACUGGUUCACUUGGCAAAACCAGAUCCCAUGUAUGAUUAUUCUGAAGUGCUUGAAAUUCUUCUUGCAUUGCCUUAAACCAUUUUGGAUCAGAUAAAGCAGUUGAAACAGAAGUAGGUUCUGAAGGUAUGGCUAGUAAAGCAGCUAAAUAAGAUUUAGGCUUAAAUAUACCAGUCUUGGAUCUGGUUAUCAUGGGAUGACCUAUAGGUGGUGCAGCAGGUAAUAUAUGAGGAGGAGAUUGUGUACACACUGAUCCAUGUACAACACAUCUCUUGAUUAUCUGUGUGUGUGCUGCUCAUCAAUGAUUAACAAGAUACAGUAGUUUUGUGAAGUCUCAUGUCUUGUGUUACAAAAUUUUGUGAUGGAAAGAAGGAAUAAUUCAACUAAAAAAAAAAAACACACGCGCGCAGCACACACACAGAGGGCCGCAACUAGCCCUUGAACCCCUAUUGAACUCGCACAAGAUACUAUUGAACUAAAUUCAAAAACAGCUGUUAAUAGCAUCUUAAAAUAUGGGUUCUAUCCAUACUCCCACCUGAAUCAUUUCUUGCGGCAUGACUCAAAAAUAACAAUAAGCCUGUCGCACCGAUAACUCAUUAGUGCAAUUUUUUUAACUCAAAAAAUUGAUACGCGUUCAUUUAGCGAAAAGUCCAAGACGCUUGCCUUUUGAAAAGAAGAGGUAUCCAAUAGAUAUCCAACCUUUAUCUUAUUUAAUUACUACCACGACAUGAUUGAUGGUGCUUAAAUCGAUUGUUUCUUUUUUAAUUUAAAGAAUUUUUCAUUAAAAAAUAUUUUAAUAUCAAAUUGCCUUCAAUAGCGUAACUGCCGCAGGCCCAGUAACAAGAUUAAUUAAAAUUUUUUGAAUUUUUGGGCAUGGAAAGAGUAGUAUUAGACUUCAGAAAGCUUAAGGUUGUUAUGUUAAAGAAUUGAUAUUGACAUAAUUUUAUUUUGGUUUUCGGGAAACAAAUUAUUUGUUGACAAGCAAGAAAAUAUUUUUGUAUUUUACAAUUUAUUAUACAUAUUUUAUCAUAUUAAAGUAAUUUUAAUAAUAAAUAGACACAUAAUAUUACAACAAAUAAAGUAAAGUUUAAAUUAUUUUGAAUAUUAUAAAAAUAAUUUUAAUAUUAUUAAUAGGAAGACAUUUUGUUAAUUUUAAAAUCUUUUUAACCUAAAGGUUUAUUUAAAAUCUUUAGAAAUCUCCAUCCCACAUCUACCCUAUUAAACAAGUUGAUGGAAAUUGAACAAUUGCUUUUUGAAGUGGACCCAUUGAGUUAUGUUCAUUACUGGUCAUUGUCUAUUCUUUCUAAGAGCCACUUGUUUUGAGCAUUAGCAAUCCUAUCUGGACUACUCCAAUUAUUGAUGUAACUCCAAUGGUUGCAUCAACAGUUGAAUGUAAGAUAGUGUUAGUUCUUUUUUGAGAAUAUAGAGGGAUCUUUAUUUGUUUCUCCGUUGUAGCGUAUUAGUAUAAAUUUCUUUACCUUACAGUUCCUACAGUCUUCCUGUUAAUGAAUUCGCUGAGGCAUUAUUGAUCCAAUCUCAGUGAAGUAAUUGUGGGUGAAAAAAAAAAAUAAAGGAUAAGAGAACGUAGCUGAAGUGCUGAAUUGACUAUUAAAGAAGAGCGUCACCUGAUCACAAUCACAUUGAUGCACAACUCACUCAGAUCAUUACAACGUCCUUUUCGCUAAUUAAUUAUGAUUAUAUACAUUUUCAUAUGGCAAGUGGCAUUGUAGAUCUAAACUACGUUGCUAUUUCAUUACGUUAAUUAAGUGAUUCUCCUCAUUGUCAUCAGCGCUUUUUGGGCAUGGAAAGAGUAGUAUUAAACAUUAGAAAGCAAAGGUUGUUCUGUCAAAGAAUUGAUAUUGGCAUAAUUUUAUUUUUGCUUUCGAGUAAAAAAAAAAAAAUUGUUGACAAGCAAGAUACUGUUUUUAUAUUUUACAGUCAGUUAUACAUAUUUUAUCAUAUUAAAGUAAUUUUAAUAAUAAAUGGAAACAUAACAUUACAAUAAAUCAAUUAAAGUUUAAAUUAUUUUGAAUAUUAUAAAAAAUAAUUUUAAUAUUAUUAAUAGGAAGAUAUUUUGUUUAUUGUAAAAUCUUUUUAACCCAAAGGUUUAUUUAAAAUCGUUAUAAUAAAUAAAAAUAUAAAAACAAAAUAAAUAUCAUAAUUUAAAAUUUUAAUAUUAUUUUAAAUAUUAAAAAUACUUUAAUGCUAUUAGUCUACUACCCAGGUUAUAUUACGUAUAUUAUAUUUGUAUAAAUUAAAACUUUUAAAGUUAAAUUUUUAAUUACUAUAUUGAAAAGUUAUUAUGGUUAAAAAAAGUUUUGGCAUUUCUUUUUGAAAAUUUGAGGGUCUGCAUGACAAUUUGUCCAAAUCCUAGAGGUAUAGGUGUCUUUUUUUUUUUUCGAUAAUCAUUUUACUUUUGAGGGAAUCCGAUGAGAAAUAAGAUAAGAGAAACGUCAAUUUAAGGUUCUCUAGGGAAAACCAAGAACUAUUCAAUUUUGUAUUUUUUGUUUGUAAAACGAAAAACAGUUUGCCAAAAAAGGUACCAAACAUAUCCUUAAUGUCUCACAUGAUUUCUUAUUAAGUCCAUACUCGAUAUAUUUAUACAUUUUAGGUAUUUUAGUUAUAAAAGAAGUUGGUCCUCCCUUUGUUUAUAAAAGGUAACUUUAUUUCGAGAUUACCACUAAAGUCUUGCAAAGAAUUAGUGUAAUGUUAAGAGAGAAUAACACAGUUUUCCAUUACCAUUUUGAAAAUAGAAAGAUGUGGAUGUGUGCAUUUAAUAUUGCGUUUACUUGCUGGAUUGAGGAAUCGGAAUCUAGAAUCGGAAUGAUUGAUGGUGUUUACUUUGCAAAUAUGGAGCAGGAAUCGGAAUUGGAAUGGUGGGGGCCACCACUAUUUGGGAAUGGGAGAUUGAUUCUCAUGGGGGAAGGUGGGAAUGAGUCUCCCAUUCCCUGGAUUGACCAUUUUGCCCUCCCUCAAAAUUAAAAAUGCCUACUUUGUCCUCUUUUAUAAUUAAUUAAUAUAAUAUUAUAAUUACUUAAUUAAUAUAUAAAUAUUUUAUUAACUAUAAUUAUUAAAAAUUAUAGUUCUUGAAUAAAUAAUCACAAUAAUUAAUUUAUUAUUAUUAUUGUUAUUUUAAUUAAUUAAUUAAUAUACUAUUAUAAUAAUUAUUAAUAUAAUUAAUUUAUAUAUUAUUAUUAUUAUUAAUGAAUUAAUAUAAUUAUUACUAUUAAUUAAUAUAUUAAUAUAUUAUUAACAAUAAUAUAUUAAUAAUUAUUGUUCGUGAAUAAAUAAUCACAAUAAUUAAUAUAUUAUUAUUGUAAUUAAUUAAUUAAUAUACUAUUAUAAUAAUUAUUAAUAUAAUUAUUAUAAUUAAUUCAUAUAUUAUUAUUAAUUAAAUUAAUAUUAUUAAAUAAAUAAAUAAUAUAAUUAUUACUACUAAUUAAUAUAUUAAUAUAUUAUUAAAAAAUAUUAAUAAUUAUAAUUUUUGAAUAAAUAAUCACAAUAAUUAAUAUAUUAUUUUAAUUAAGUAAUUAAUAUUAAUAUUAAUAUUAUUAGUUAAUAUAUUUUUAUAAUAAUUUUUAAUAUAGUUAUUAUAAUUAAUUAAUUUUUUUUACAAUUAAUUAAUAUAUUAGUUAAUAAUAAUUAUGACAAUAAUCCAUUAAGUACUUUUUAGUAAUUUGUUACAAUCUAAUUCAUUCCGAUUCCGAUUUCAAGACAAAGUAAACACAUUAAUGGCAAUUUAGCUCAUUCUGAUUUUGAUUCCUACAGUUCAAGUAAACAACUUAUUUUGAUUCCUAUUACAUAUUCCCAUUCCAACCCAUUCUCAUUUCUGUCCAUUCUCAUUUCUGCCCAUUCCGAUUUUAGCUCAUUCCGAUUUCAGUUUAGUAAACGCAGUAUAAGAGUUAUCAUGAAAAUCAUACAAUUCAAUUUCCUGAAAUAUAUAUUUUAUUCACAUGUGCCAAAAGAAUAAAUAGAUAGAAAGUAAAUUUACAAUCCUCACUCCCUCACAAUUGUUAAAGUGAAUAUGCAUUACAACUGUGAACUGUCACUACUUUAGCCCUUUUUUUUUUUUCAAUUAUAGUGUGAUGGAGACAGUGAACAUUAAGGAUAAAGUGCUCUGCUGAAAGCCAAACUUCCUUUGGCUAAUUAAUUUAGAAGUAAAGCAGAGAAUAAAGUCCUAGAUGCCUUCUGAAAUUAGAAAUACAUUUUAUAUGCUUUAAUUAUGAUUAUUUGGCAGACUAAAGACCUAAAAGAUAUGUCAAAAGUAUGAAACAGAGAGAUUAAAGAAAAAAGAAAAAAAAAAAAAAACAGAGUAUUUGUGACGUAGAAUAACAAUUGGUAAAUAAAUCCUAAAUAUUUGAGUUGUUAAAAGCAAAUAUAACAGAGACGGUAAGAGAGAUGCAGAAACAGAAAACUAUUAGCUUAUCUUGAUUUUCCCACUAUAUUCAUUUUCGAUGCUUUUCAAUCGAGAUUCUUUUAAUUCUUCUGGUGUCUGCAGCCCCGGCUCUUCUUAUAAAUCUCCAUCCCACAUCUGCACUACGAACAAGUUGACUGAAAUUAAAUAAUGUUGGAGAUGAGGGGUGAGCCGUCAACUUGUUAAAAAAAACUCAUGUAUAAUAUUAUCAAUAAUAUAAAAUAUAUAAUAAUUGUUACAAAGAAUCAUAAAUUAGAAAAAUUAAUUAUUUUACAAUCUAUUUCUUAAGUAAGAUAAAUCUUGUAAUAAGUUAAGUUAUAACGUAAAAAAUAUUUUCAAUUUAUAAUCAUUUAAGAAGUCAUUUAACAAUAAAAUCUUUCUUUUGAUCAUGUGGGCAUGCCAUAGAGUAUCAUCUAUAUUCGUGAUGAUAUUAUUAUUACUCAGUAUCCUAAAAAAAACACGAUUUAACAUUUAGAGAAAAUUCCUGCCUUUUAAAAAGAACAUGUAUGCAAUAGCUAGCCAUACUUUAUUUUACCACAACAAAAUUGAUGGUGAUUAAAUCAAUUUUCUCAAUUAAAGCAAAAUUUUAAAAAUUGAUUUAAUGCACAAAUAUGAUGAGUUUUUGUAAAAAUUAGUUUUGGAAAAUAUAGUGAGAGAAAAUGGUGACGAUUAUUUUCAGAUGUGCAAAUAGCCUAAACAUAAUCUCUAAUACCAAUAUCCAUGUGCAUCUUAAUACCUUUCAUGAUAUUCUUUCAUUCAUGGCCAUUUGUUCAAGAUUUGAAUUUGAUUAUUAAAUCAUGUUCAAUAAUGUUAGAGAUCCCAACAAUUGAAUACCAACUUAAAUCCCAAUGCUAUGUGUCAUUAACAAAUGUUGUGUCAUUUAUAAUUAUUGAAUGAAUAAUUCGUUAAUUUAUUGAUAAAUAAAAAUUUAUUAAUUUAAAGAGAGAUACUUCUUCUUUUUUUGUUUUAAGAAGAGUUUUGUUGGUACAUGUACAUACUUAUAAAGAAAUAAACUUGUAAUUAUACUAUAUCUUUCUUUCUUUGUUCAGUUUGGUGGGAUAUUGUGAUAAAUCAUUGGAUUAAAAUACAUUUCUAAAUUAAAACUUGUUAAAAUCUAAUUUAUUUGGGAAACGCAUAUUAUUUGUCAGUUGUACUUCUCAACUUAGCAAGUUAUUUCUAACUUGUCAGUCUCUAUUGGUUCUCUAAAAGCUAAUAGUCUCGAAUCUCCCGCAUUUGAUAUCUUGCCAUUACUGUUGGCAUUUGUUAAGUAUAGCUGAAGCUGGUGACGUGUAUAAGCUGCUGAUGAAGCUGCUGAGUUGGCUGGCUGGUGAUGUGUAUAAACUGAAGGUGCUGAGCUGGAUUGGGUUGUUGUUCACACCAACUAAAGAUGUAACAGAUUAUCCAGCUGGCUUGUUAUGAUUGGAAGUUAGAUUAGUUUGUUAAUACAGCAAACAAUGAGCUCUGUUUUGGUAGUUAGUUUUGAGUGUAACUAUAAAUACUGGCUAACAUGUUUUCAGUGUUAAGCUUGAGUUUUAAUCAAUAAAAAUCAAUUCAGUUAAAGUUUCUUUGUUAACUUUCUUUCACUUUCUCACUUGCCAAACAACCUAUUAAUUCUAAAAUGGUAUCAGAGCUUGCACCUAUGUCAGGAUCUAAUCAUAUAGCUUCCUCAUCACUUUCAUUCAAUUUUGUUCAACCUAUAAAACUCGAUAGAUCAAACUACUUGGUGUGGAAAGCUCAAGUUAGAACAUCGAUCAUUGCUAAUGGACUUGAGAGCUUCAUCAAUGGUGAGAGUGUAUGUCCAAAAUGUUAUCUCAUUGAUUCUAUUCAAGAACUUCAAAGAUCUGGAGCUGAAACAUCACAGAAGCAGGAAAAUCCAGAGUAUAUCUUAUGGAUGAAAACUGACAAACUUCUGCAGAGCUGGAUGCUUUCGUCAAUGGUGGACAAUGUAUUAAUCAUGGUGAUCAAUUGUGAAACAUCACUUGAACUUUCGGAGAUGCUUGCUAGAAUCUUCAUGUCACAAUCCAAAGCGAGAUAUCUGCCUUUGAAGAUGCAGAUUCAAUCAACAAAUAAAGGAUCUCUCUCCAUCAGUGAUUACUUCAAAAGGAUGAAGAAAAUUGCUGAUAGCUUGGCCAUUGGAGGUAAUCCAAUUACUUCGAAUGAACUGAUUAUUCACUUGCUUACUAGAUUGGAUGAAAACUAUGAAUCCAUAGUCACAAAUAUACUUACUAGACUGGAAAAAGAGAGACUUACUGCUGAAGAGGUGUACUCUAUGUUACUUAGUCAUGAAACUAGGUUGGAAAUGAGCAAAGGAAAAUCACAUAAUGAACCUCUGCAUGAUAUGACAUCAAAUUUUGCUCAGAAAGGCCAAGGUUAUAAUACUGGUCCUGGAAGAGAUGUUGUGUGUCAAAUCUGUUACAUUCCAGGCCAUGGAGCUUAUAAGUGUAAACAUAGAUUCAAUCAAGGGUUUAUUCCUAGAAACAAAGGCUUUGGUGGUUUCAGGCCAAGAGGUGGAGGUCAGAAUUAUAGAGGAUUCCCUAGAAAUAAUCAGAAUUAUUUUGGUAGAGGUUCUGGAUACAAUAGUUCUGCUUUUGGAUCUGGAUUCAGACCUAACUUUCCCAGGCAAGCCGGACCUACUGGACCUUUCUUUGGCUAUGUUGCCUAUCAGAAUCCAGGAUUCAUGAAUCCUCAAGGUGCCUUUGACUUUCCAAGUGCAAAUGGUGAUUAUACUGGUGUUCCAACAGCAAACAUGUAUGUUGGAAAUUAUGGCAUUCCUCAUAAUGUCUCUCCCUCUGCACAAUUGGCAAACUUCAGCAAUGUAGCUGAUUCAGCCUGGUACCUUGACUCUAGAGCAACAAAUCACAUUGCUCAAGAUGCAGGUAUACUUUCUAAGUGCUCAACUUACCAUGGCCUUGAAAAACUACAUGUAGGAAAUGGUAUGGGGCUGCCUGUUCAUAAUGUUGGUUUUGUUGCUGUUAAAACCUUGACUACAACACCUAUAUACCUAAAUCAUGUUCUGCAUGUCCCUAAAAUUACUAAAAACCUUAUCAGUGUUUCCAAAUUGCUUGCUGAUAACAAUGUUUUUAUUGAGUUUUACAACCAUGUUUGUUUUGUUAAGGACAAGAAUUCAAGAAUCACAUUGCUCAAGGGGAUUGUUAGAGGAGGUCUUUAUCAAGUUUCAAGCUUAAAUACAGUCUGUGAUAACUCCAGUUCAGUGUUCCCAGUGUCAACCACUUCUGAGUUUGUUUUUACUUCAAUAAGUACAUUCCCAGCAACUCCAGUGUCUAUGUUUACUCAACUAAGUUCAUUUGAUACUAAGUUUCACUCUUGUAUGCUUGUAAAUAAUUCUCAAAUCAAUAAGAAUGUCCCUGUGGCUCACUUUGCUUCAUAUAACAAGCCUAUUGAUUAUAGUUUACUGCACAAAAGAAUGGGUCAUCCAACUACUCAUGCUUUAAAACAGAUCAUGAAAUGCCUGAACUCAAAUUUUAUUCUUCCCAAAGAUUUCACAACACAGUUCUGUGAUGCCUGUCAACUAGGCAAGUGCCAUACGCAGCAUUUUCCCUCCAUAGAAACUUCAACCACUCAGCCCCUUGAAUUACUACAUGCUGACCUUUGGGGACCAGCUCCCAUUACCUCUUCACAAGGUUACACCUACUAUCUAUCUAUCUUAGAUGACUACACUCGAUACACUUGGAUUUUUCCUCUCAUUGCCAAAUCCAAAACCUUGUCAGCCUUUAUUGAAUUCAAAAACAUGAUUGAAAACUGCCUGAACUUGAAAAUUAAAUGUUUACAAACUGAUUGGGGUGGAGAAUUCAGGCCUUUUGUGUCAUAUCUUUCUAACCAGGGUAUACAAUUUUGACAUCCCUGCCCUUAUAUCCAUCAUCAACAUAUUACCUGAGAUUGGGAUUCAUUAAAAUCCUCAAUGUAAUCGGUGGAACGAAUGGAUUUCUUCUGUUCACCAAUCCACCAAAAUUUCUGUAAUUAAAUUCAAGAGUCAAGAUCUAUGCUUAUAAUCUAUUCAACAGCUAAUAUUCUAUUUUAUAUUUACUUAAAUAUGAAGAGCUAUGCUUGUCAUUAACUUCAAAUGUGAUCGAAGCAGCCUUACAUCUGUAUAUUACGUAUUCCCAACUUUUUUUUGACUUCAUUUACUUUCUUUUCAUGUUAUUUACUCUUUUUUCCCCCUCUCUGACAAUUGAGGUAGGGGGUCAAACUUGAAAGUAUCUUAAAAUCAAACAAUUUUUUUUUUAAGAUAGCUGCUAAUAUGCUCUAUUAGACAAUGAUAAGUAAUAACCUAGUUGUUUGCAUUAGAAAUGAUAUUUUUUGUGGUGCUGAUAAAGAGGUUGAUUAUGAUUCAACAAUUUAAAAUAUGAAAACAUGUGGAAGACGGCCGCAAUUAAAUUGAUUGUAUGAAAAUAUUUCAAUGAAAUUUUAAAAAUUUAGUACUUGUUAUCUUAUCGAGAGUUUUUUAAAUUUUUCUACUUGAACUUGACUGCUUUUGUAUUGAAUUCCUAGCGUUGCCAUUGCUUCUACUCAAAAGCCAUUUAGUUACUCAUGAAUUGUUGUUCAUAAUAGCAAUUUGAUUGAAAGUGCGGCUGCACUAAUUUUCUAGAUGAAUUUUUUCCUACAUGCUUGUUCUCGUAUGACCCAAAAUCCUGCUACAUCAGUUGUAUUAGAAAUUAAUCAACUGGGUUACAAUUAUGCAUCCCCACCAAUAUUUAAGCAAUUUAAUUACAGAAACAUUUCUUGAGGAAAGAAACUCAUAUCGCCACUAGGCUUUUAAUGAGGCUCAUUUUUAUGAAUCUGGAUGGCAUUAGAUAUCUCUCCGAAUAUUGGUGGGAGUAGAUAUGCUACAAAGUGUAUGUACGUUGACUCUCAAUAAAUACAAACGAUUCUCUGAUCUGAUUCAAAACAUCAGUACAUGCAUCAUUUUAAUGAGAAAGAAUAUUCUAAGAACGAAAUUGAAGGUGCAAUCAGCAGCUAAAAUGAAGCCAGAAAUGUACACGCAUGAGGAAGUUUUCCAAGAAGAUUGAUAUUUCUUUGACUAGCAAACCAUACAAGUCCAAAGCUAGCUAAACCAUACCUGCAAGUCGGGGGUUUAAAUGGAGUACUUCUAAGCAUAAAACAUUGAUUAAAACAGAAUACACACAUACAUACCAGCAAAUUCAAUAUAGCAAAAGGAGUGCAAAAGUUCAAGUUUGUAGACAACAUUGCAACCAUGGCAUGUUUAUAGCAAAUCCUCGAAAUCUGCUAAAUAAAACAAUGCCCUGUCUCAUGAAUCAAUGCUGAAUUAAAAUUGAAACUGAAAGUCUGGCUGGCGGUGUUUCCCUCUCCAAUUUUGCCUACAUAAGUGAAAAUAAGAAUAAUAAAUGGAAAUCUGCUUUUACAGUUCUUAUUAGAUAGAUAUAAAGGGAUCUUUCUUUGUUUCUCUGCUGUAAUUUGUGGCUAUGCCACUCUGUUUUUCCAGUCAAGCUGAGUCUACGUUGAGACAUAAUUUUGACAUCAGAAGCAACCUCAAUUAGUUUGGCAUUUUCAUGACCUCCUUGAAGGUUUUAUGAUAAACAUAAAUCCACUGAGAAAGUGGGAAAAAAAGAAAAUGCAUAUAAAAGUAUGAGUUAUCAGAUAAGAUUAAAACUCACCCAAUUCAAUCCAUCAGAUUCCGUAAGGAUAUAACUGGAUGUCAUACCGCCACUCCAUAUCCUCGAAAGUCCGUAGUCCUUGUCUCAACUGUGUCUGGGGCCAGUGUAAGUCCAAUUUGCGCAAGCUCUUUAUGCACCACAGCUCUUCUGGAAGCUUUCUCAAGUAAGCACAUGGGUUGACAAUUAAGCUUUCAAGUUUCGGCAUUGCUCCAGCCGCCAUCGUCCACUCAUCUAGCCAAUACAUUGAUUUCAGGUGCAAAACCUUAAGUUCGGGAAAGCUACUCAAGCCAACACAAGCAAGCUUUCUUCCUAAAUACGAGUUCUGCUUCAGUUUCAGCACUCGAAGGCGUGGAAGAUUUUCCAGAAUUGGCAUGGGAUCCUCCAUUAGCUCAGUAUUUGAUAAGCUCAGUUGGAUCAGACUUGGGGGAAAUUGGUAUUCAGACAGGACCAUCCGUGAGGGCUUGCUCUCAUUCACCAGCUUCAAGCAUUCAAGUUUGUGGAGUUCGCAAAGGCUUUUGGAAACCCCAGAUUGAUAGUAACUCAAAUCUCCAGAUAUCCGAAGAGUCCGAACACUAGGUAGUCUGCCCAAUAUAUCAGGAGUACAACUACUAGGGUUUAAAGCUGAUAUGAAAAUGAGAUUUUUCAGAGAGCUAGAAUAAUUUUUUGGAGGUGCGGGCAGAGUGAUGCAACCGAAGUUUAGAUGCAUGAGUUUUUGCAUCAUCCAAAUAUCCUCUGGUGACUGAUCUAUGUAGCUAGAUGGCAUUUCUAGUGUUUCAAGGUUUAAAAGGGUGCAUAGCAGUGAAGGAAGGCAUUUGAGCGAAGGGAUAUUCAAUUUCAAAUACUUCAAAAGAUAUAAAUUUUCUAAUCCGGGUGGAUAUUGGUCCAGGACUGCAGAACCCAUGUUCAAUACCCGAAGGUAUUUGAACCUUUUAAAAAAAUUCUCGCAAUCUUUCGGAUUAAGAUGAUUGCUUUUUGAACUGUGAUUCAGAAAAGAUUGGAGACACAUGUCAGAAUGUUCUAAAGAAAAGAACUCAAUCAGAUCAUCGUCAAUGACGCACCGUUUAACAUUUGCCACUGAUUCCUCUUCCACGUCAUGCAUCCAGACAAAUCCCGUCUUCAUUGCCACAAUAUACAAUGAAGUGUAUACAAAACUUGGAACAUAACACGCUUUAAUUGUGCCUCUGGCUCUUCUCUUACUCACUUGAAUGAAGCCGCGAUGGAUUAGUUCUUUCAAGUAAUGUUCGGCAGUUUCUUCACCGUUGUAUGGUAUGAAACCUUCAGCUACCCACAACUGAUAUAAUUGCUCCGUAGAUAUCUCAAUACUUGGAGGGAAGACAUACAAAUAGAUGCAGCAGACUUUCAAGUGAAAAGGCAACUCCAUCACAGAAAAAAUUUGUCUCCAAACUGUCAGAACCACUUCGCCUUGAAGAUAAUUUUCUAAUGGCAUACUUCCAUAGUGUAGGAUGAAAAAUUGCCAGGCCUCAUGCUUUAAUCUGAUCAAUGGUCCUCCAAAGAGCACUGAAUCACGCCGAAUCUUCUCUUCAUUUUCCAUUUCCAACGACGCAAUGAGGCCCGGAUCAGUGACUGUUAUCAAUACUCUGCUUCCAUUCUCAUCACCAGGAAGAAGUUCUUCGAGAUCACUCCAUAUCUCACUGUUAUCGAAGACAUCAUCAAGCAAAAUAAAGUACUUCUUGUUUGUUAGGUAAUCUCGAAGAAUAGAUUUCUUCAAUUGAUAAUCUUCACCGAUAAUUACACUAACCCGAGAUGGAGGCAUCACAGACUUGAUUAUGUCAUCCAACAUCUUGCCAAAAUCAUAGAAUAUAGAAACCCUGACCCAAGCAAGACAGUCAAAAUAGAACUUGACAUGGUUAUUAUUGUAAGUAUCUUCUGCAAAAGCAGUCUUAUCGAAGCCACUGCUGUCGAGAAUUGUAACCACUGCAAGCCGAGGGCGUCCUUCAAUCAAUAAAUCAAACAACUCCUCCCUGCCCCUUUCAAAUUCAUUGAUAUCAAGCCGAGGUUGUCCCUCACUCAAUAGGUGAAUGAUUUCGUUACUUUUUUUACUGAUAUCAAAACCAUUGUCGCCGGGUGGAAGUUGUUGCAUCCGAUUACUAAUAUCAAUGAUUUUACUGUGGAGACCAGCAAGAAGAGCCAUAUUAGUACUGCUUUCACUUUCGUUUUCACUGUUUUGCUGCUGCAUAAUGUUGAUGAAGAAUGUGUCAAUGGCUUCCUCAGAUUCAUGGACAAAGUCAUUGAUGUCCUUCACAAUGCCCAAAAGGUCCGCUCUUUCAACUUCUUCUUCAUCGCUUUCUUCUAAGUCCAACAGUUGCAAAAAAGGCAAAGAUAUUUUGGAGUCAUCGAAUUCUUCUCUAAUGAGUUGAAAGAAAUGCCGAGCCAUGUCAGCUUCAUAUUUUCCCAGCAGGGUAGUAGCAAUAAUUUCGGACUCCGUAAGAAGGUUUUGAAAAAGUGGGGUUAAAUUUGUUGAAUCAGGCAGCGUUAACGGGCCUUCUUCACCUGCUAACACCCUUUUCAACCUCUCACAAAACAGUCGGAGGUGGAAUUCCAGCAUAUCUCCUUCUCUCCGUAGCACUCAGAGGUAUAGCUGAAAGAUUAAACACCAUGGAAGAAUUUGAAAGGAAAAUGCCAAGACAUUAUUGCUCAUUUUUUAACUCAAAAGAUUGAUACGCGUUCAUUUAGAGAAAAGUCCAAGACGCGUGCCUUUUGAAAAGAACAGGUAUCCCAAUCGGUAUCCGACCGAUAUCUUAUUAAAUUACAACCAUGACAUAAUUGAUGGUGCUUAAAUCAAUUGUUUCUUUUUUAAUUUAAAGAAUUUUUCAUUAAAAAAAUAUUUUAAUAUCAAAUUGCUUUCAGUGGCGUAACUGCCUCAAGCCCAGUAACAGGACUAAUUAAAAAUUUUACAAUUUUUGGGCAUGGAAAUAGUAGUAUUAAACAUUAGAAAGGUAAGGUCGUUCUGUUAAAGAAUUGAUAUUGACAUAAUUUUUUUUGGUUUUCGGGGGAAAAAAAAUUGUUGACAAGCAAGAAAAUAUUUUUAUAUUUUAUAAUUUAUUAUACAUAUUUUAUCUUAUUAAAGUAAUUUUAAUAAUAAAUAGAAACAUAAUAUUACGAUAAAUAAAUUAAAGUUGAACUUAUUUUGAAUAUUAUAAAAAAUAAUUUUAAUAUUAUUAAUAGGAAGACAUUGUAUUAAUUUUAAACUUUUUUAACCCAAAGGUUUAUUUAAAAUCUUUAUUAGAAAUACAAAUAUAAAAUUAAAUAUCAUAAUUUAAAAUUUUUAAUAUUAUUUUAAGUAUUAAAAAUAUUUUAAUGUUAUUAGUCUACUACAUAGAUCAUAUUACUUAUAUAAUAUUUGUAUUAUUAAAAAUUGUUAAAAUCAAAUUUUUAGUUAGUAUAUUCAUGAGCUAUUAUGGUUAAAAAAAAAAAGACCUUAUUAUUACUUUUUUAAAAAUUGAGGGCCUGCGUGAUAAUUUUUUCAAAAAGAAAAUGCUUGGUAUGUAGGAGGGGUACAGAAACAGGACUCCCAAAAUCUCUCACCCUUUUUUAAUUAAAAAAAAAAAUUAAAAUAUCAAUAAAAAGUAAUAAAGAAAAUAGAAUUUUAUCUGCUCCUUACUCCAUUUUUGCAACUCUCUCACCAUCCCUAUCGAGCAGCCCUCUCUCUCACUGUCUCACUCACACAGUCCUUUUCACGAUUUGAAAUUCUUUGGCCCUCUGCAUUACAAGAAAUUAACGCUUUGGUUCUCCCAAGGGUAGAUUGGUUUUAUUGGGAAGCUAUUAAUUUUUUUUUUUUUUGAAUACUGAUUAAUCAUCAGAUUACUGCAUUACACAGAUAUUUACAACAACUGCUAUUGUAGCAGAGAUAUUAUACUGAUAUUUACAAUCAGAUAUACAUAAUUGGGACUUAUAUUAUGACAUUGAAUUCUAUGAAGUACAUGCCCAAACAAAUAACCCCUCACAGGAGAGGGAUGUCCAUACUCCACUCGCAUUUCGCAAGGGAGAAUGAUUUUUUGGAAGUAUAAAGAACAUUUAGCCCCCACAAUACUUUUGUGGGGGCUAGAACCGCUGCAGCAUUGUGAGGGCAGCAGCCCACCACUUCGGCCUUGGCCGAAGUGGCGGGAAGCUAUUAAUUAGAAGGAGGAAAAAGGACUAUAUUUAGAAUAUGAUUUGUUGGAGAAUCUCAGAGUUAGUCAAUUUUCAAGCCACACUUUCAAUAGCCAAUUGAUUUAGUAACCAUUAAUUACUUUAAUUUCCAUAAAUUGUAAUGACAGUGCAAAUGCAUCUGGUUGUGAUAGCUAAGGGUUAGCUUGAAGAAUUAAAUUUCAUAAGAUAUUACUGGAAAAUGCUUUGCAGAUAACGUGCUGCUUCCUUUGCUAGACUACAAUUUCAAAAAUCUCACGAGUUUUCCAUUGUUGUCACAAACCGAGAAAUUAUAAAAUACAUGGCCUGGUUCUUUGGCAAUGACCAUCUCAUCGUCGGCGGUCGUGUCGUCAUUGUCACUGUUCUUGCUCGACCGAGACAGUGAGAGAGAGGUUUGUUAGAUGGAGUUAGUGAGAGAGAGUUGUAAAGAUGGAAUGAUGAUAAAAGGAUUCUAUUUGUUUUUAUUGUUUUUUAUUAAUAUUUUAAUUUUUUAAAUUAAAAUGUGCUGCCGUUUCUCUAGCCUUUUUAGCUGCUUAACUUAACAGUAUUCUUUUCAAAAUUUAAGAAUGUAGUAGGUGUCCUUUUCUCUAAUAAUUUAUUUCAUUUUUAGGGAAUCCAAUGAGAAAUAUGAUAAAAGAACGUCAAUUACUUGUCGUUUUCAAUUUUUUCUAUAAGCUAUUUAUUUUGAGCAUUAGUGAUCUUGUCUGGACUACCCCAAUUAUUGACGUAACUCCAGUGGCUGCAUCCACUGGAAAAAGUGGAUGAGACCAUUUUUUUUUUCAUAAAGGUAACUACUCCAAUUAUUGACAUAAUUGAUGGUGCUUAAAUCAAUUUUUUCUUUCUUUUUUUUAAUUUAAAGAAUUUUGCUUUAAAAAAUAAUUAAUAUCAAAAUGCCUUCAAUGUUGUUACCGCCACAAGCCCAGUUAGAGGACUCAUUAAAAAUUUUAGAAUUUUUAGGCCUGGAAAGCAUAGUAUUAAACAUCAGAAAGCAAAGGUUGUUAUGUCGAAGAAUUGAUGUCGACAAAAUUUUAAUUUUGUUUUCGGAAAAAAAAAAAAAUUUUGUUGACAAGCAAGAAAAUAUUUUUUAUACUUUACAAUCUGCUAUACAUAUUUUAUCAUAUUAAAGUAAUUUUAAUAAUAUAUGGAAACAUAAUAUUAUAAUAAAUAAAUUAAAAUUACUUUGUAUUAUUGAAUAUUACAAAAAGAUAAUUUUAAUAUUAUUAAUAGGAAAACAUUUUUUAAUUGUAAAAUCUUUUUAAUACAAAAAUUCGUUUAAAAUCUUUAUAAUAAAUACAAAUAUAAAAUUAAAAAAUAUCAUAAUUUAAAAUUUUUAAUAUUAUUUAAAUAUUAAAAAUACUUUAAUGUUAUUAGUCUACUACAUAAAAUAUAUUAUUUAUAUUAUAUUCGUAUUGAUUAAAACGUUUUAAAGUCAAAUUUUUAAUUAGUGUAUUCAAAGGUACAAAAGAUUUAAGUAUUAUUUUUUAAAAAUUUCAAGAUACGAAUGAUAAUUUUUUCAAAUUUUAAAGAUGUAAAAAUCUUUUUUUCUGAUAAUUUAUUUCACUUUUGAGAGAAUCCGAAAACGUUAAUUUAACAUUCUUUACCUUUGUAAAAAAAGUGAAAAUCAAGAACUAUUCAAUUUUGUUUUUAUUUGUAAUUCAAAAACUUUAUUCAUUUUCGAUGCUUUUCAAAAGAGAUUCCUUUAAAUGUCUGCAGCUCCUGCUUUUCUCAUAAAUCUCCAUCCCACAUCUACACUAUCAAGUAUCAAACAAGUUGAUGGAAAUUCUUAUAAAAAAAAAAAAAAAAUUGAUGGAAAUUGAUCAAUUGCUUUUUGAAGUGGACCCAUUGAGUCAUGUUCAUUUCUGGUCAUUGUCUACUCUUUCUAUCAGCCAUUUAUUUUGACCAUUUGCGAUCUUAUCUGGACCUACUCCAAUUAUUGUUGUAACUCCGAUGGUUGUAUCUACAGUGGAAUGUAAGAUAGUGAAAGCUCUUUCUUUGAGAAAAUAGAGGGACCUUUCUCUGUUUCUCCGUUGCAACGUGCUCGUAUAAAUUUCUCUACCUUACAGUUUAUACGGUCUUGCUGUUAAUGAAUUCGCUGAGGCAUUAUUGAUCCAAUCUGAGUGAAGUAAUUGUGGGUGAAAAAUAAAUAAAGGAUAUGAGAACGUAGCUGAAGUGCUGAAGGGGCUAUUAAAGAAGAGUGUCACUUGAUCACAAUCACAUUGAUGCACAACUCACUCGUGGCAAAUUUCGACUAUACGUUCUGCAAAUUCAGCCAAACCAUACAUGCAUGAACAAAACUAAAAUGUAGUUCUAAUCACAACUGCAGUUAUGAUGUUUACCUCUCUGAUUUUUCUCCAAAACAAAUUCAGUUCAAAACAAUAAUCAAAAUAGCCACAUUUUGUUCGUCAAAAUAAAUGCCCAAAUUUUCAAUUAACAAAUCAUCUUCUCUAAACUAAAAAGCCCACAUCUCUAAAAUCAAUCUACAUAAUGUUGGAGAUGAGGGUUGAAUUGUUAACUCAGUAAAAAAAAAAAAACUCAUGCAUAAGAUUACUAAUAAUAUAAAUUAUAUAUUAAUCAUUAUAAAGAAUCAUAAAUUAGAAAAAUUAAUCAUUUUAUAAUUUAUUACACAAGUAAGAUAAAUCUCAUAAUAAGUUAUAACAUAAAAAACGUUAUCAAUAUAUAAUCAUUUAAGAAGUCAUUUAACAAUAAAAUCGUUCUUUGAUCAGUUGGCCAUGUCACAUAGUAUCAUCUAUAUUUAUGGUGAUACUAUUAUUACUCAGUAUUCUCAAAAAACAUGAUUUAACAUUUAGAGGAAAUUCUUGCCUUAAAAAAAAAACAUGUAUGCAACAGCUACCCAUGCUUUAUCUUACCAUGACAAAUAUUUUCUCAAUGAAAGAAAUUUUUUAAAAAAUUGAUUUAAUGCACAAAUAUGAUGAUUUUUGCAAAAAUUAGUUUUGGAAAACAUAGUGAGAGAAAAUAGUGACGAUUAUUGUUUAAAUGUAUAAAUAGCCUAAACAUAAUCCUUAAUACCAAUAUCCAUAUGCAUCUUAUCAUCUUUCAUGAUAUUCUUUCAUUUAUGUCCAUUGGUUCAAGAUUUGAAUUUGAUCAUUAAAUCAUGUUCAAUAAUAUUAGAGAUUCCAACAAUUGAGUACCAACUUAAAUCCCAAUGUUAUGUGUCAUUGACCAAUUUUGUGUCAUUGACCAAUUUUGUUAUUAACUAGGUGAUGAAUUUCUAGUUGAUAAAAUCACUUAAAAAUAUCUUAAAAAUUAGACAAUAGUUUGCUUAAUUUUUCCAAGUUAACUGCUCAAGAUGCUCUAUUAGAAAUGAUAACCUAAUUAUAUACAUAAAAAAUGAUGGAAAUUGAACAAUUGCUUUUUGAAGUGGACCCAUUGAGUUAUGUUCAUUACUGGUCAUUGUCUAUUCUUUCUAAGAGCCACUUGUUUUGAGCAUUAGCAAUCCUAUCUGGACUACUCCAAUUAGGAUAGUGUUAGUUCUUUUUUGAGAAUUUCUUUAUUUGUUUCUCCGUUGCAGCGUAUUAGUAUAAAUUUCUUUACCUUACAGUUCCUACAGUCUUCCUGUUAAUGAAUUCGCUGAGGCAUUAUUGAUCCAAUCUCGGUGAAGUAAUUGUGGGUGAAAAAAAAAAAAAAGGAUAAGAGAACGUAGCUCAAGUGCUGAAUUGACUAUUAAAGAAGAGCGUCACCUGAUCACAAUCACAUUGAUGCACAACUCACUCGAGGCAAAUUUCAUCUAUAAAUAAAAGAUCCCUUACUAUUCUCUUAACCCUGAGUUUUGAGAUAGAAAUUUCCCGAACUCCAACCCCACAUCCACAGACAAGUUGAUUGAAACAAUUGCUCUUGUAAUUAAGAGGAUGGGUUAGGGUUCAGUUCUUAUCAUUGUCUGUUAUUUCUUUGAAUCAUUAUCUUAAUUAAUUACAUCAAUUGUUUCUUUUUUUUAAUUUAAAGAAUUUUUCUUUAAAAAAAUAUAUUUUAAUAUCAAAAUGCCUUAAAUGGUAUUACUGCCGCAAUCCCAGUAACAGGAUUAAUUAAAAAUUUUAGAAUUUUUGGGCAUGGAAAGAGUAGUAUUAAAUAUCAGAAAGCUAAGGUUGUUCUGUCAAAGAAUUCAUAUUGGCAUAAUUUUAUUUUUGCUUUCGAGUAAAAAAAUAUAUAUAUAUAUAUUUGUUGACAAGCAAAAUACUGUUUUUAUAUUUUACAAUCAGUUAUACAUAUUUUAUCAUAUUAAAGUAAUUUUAAUAAUAAAUGGAAACAUAACAUUACAAUAAAUCAAUUAAAGUUUAAAUUAUUUGGAAAAUUAUAAAAAAUAAUUUUAAUAUUAUUUAUAGGAAGAUAUUUUGUUUAUUGUAAAAUCUUUUUAACCCAAAGGUUUAUUUAAAAUUGUUAUAAUAAAUAAAAUAUAAAAACAAAAUAAAUAUCAUAAUUUAAAAUUUUAAUAUUAUUUUAAAUAUUAAAAAUACUUUAAUGCUAUUAGUCUACUACAAAGGUUAUAUUACUUAUAUUAUAUUUGUAUAAAUUAAAACUUUUAAAGUUAAAUUUUUAAUUACUAUAUUGAAAAGGUAUUAUGGUUAAAAUAUGUUUUGGCAUUUCUUUUUAAAAAUUUGAGGGUCUGCAUGACAAUUUGUCCAAAUCCUAGAGGUAUAGGUGUCUUUUUUUUUCGAUAAUUCAUUUUACUUUUGAGGGAAUCCGAUGAGAAAUAAGAUAAGAGAAACGUCAAUUUAACGUUCUCUAUGGAAAACCAAGAACUAUUCAAUUUUGUAUUUUUUGUUUGUAAAACGAAAAACAGUUUGCCAAAAAAGGUACCAAACAUAUCCUUAAUGUCUCACAUGAUUUCUUAUUAAGUCCAUACUCGAUAUAUUUAUACAUUUUAGGUAUUUUAGUUAUAAAAGAAGUUGGUCCUCCCUCUAUUUAUAAAAGGUAACUUUAUUUCGAGAUUACCACUAAAGUCUUACAAAGAAUUAGUGUAAUGUUAACAGAGAGUAACAUAGUUUUCCAUUACCAUUUUGAAAAUAGAAAGAUAUGGAUGUGUGCAUUUAAUGGUGUGUUUACUUACCGGAUUGAGGAAUCAGAAUCUGGAAUUAGAAUGAUUGAUGGUGUUUACUUCGCAAAUAUGGAGCAGGAAUCGGAACUGGAAUGGUGGGGCCCACCACUAUUUGGGAAUGAGAGAUUGAUUCCCAUGGGGGAAGGUGGGAACGAGUCUCCCAUUCCCUGGACUGACCAUUUUGCCCUCCCUCAAAAUUAAAAAUGCCUACUUUGUCCUCUUUUAUAAUUAAUUAAUAUAUAAAUAUUUUAAUAACUAUAAUUAUUAAAAAUUAUAGUUCUUGAAUAAAUAAUCACAAUAAUUAAUUUAUUAUUUUUAUUUUUAUUUUAAUUAAUUAAUAUACUAUUAUAAUAAUUAUAAAUAUAAUUAAUUUAUAUAUUAUUAUUAUUAUUAAUGAAUUAAUAUAAUUAUUACUAUUAAUUAAUAUAUUAAUAUAUUAUUAAAAAUAAUAUAUUAAUAAUUAUUGUUCGUGAACAAAUAAUCACAAUAAUUAAUAUACUAUUAUUUUAAUUAAUUAAUAUAAUUAAUUUAUAUAUUAUUAUUAUUAUUAAUGAAUUAAUAUAAUUAUUACUAUUAAUUAAUAUAUUAAUAUAUUAUUAAAAAUAAUAUAUUAAUAAUUAUUGUUCGUGAACAAAUAAUCACAAUAAUUAAUAUACUAUUAUUUUAAUUAAUUAAUAUACUAUUAUAAUAAUUAUUAAUAUAAUUACUAUAAUUAAUUCAUAUAUUAUUAUAAUUAAUUAAUUAAAUUAAUAUUAUUAAAUAAAUAAAUAAUAUAAUUAUUACUACUAAUUAGUAUAUUAAUAUAUUAUUAAAAAUAAUUAUAAUUUUUGAAUAAAUAAUCACAAUAAUUAAUAUAUUAUUUUAAUUAAGUAAUUAAUAUUAAUAUUAUUAGUUAAUAUAUUUUUAUAAUAAUUUUUAAUAUAGUUAUUAUAAUUAAUUAAAUUUUGUUACAAUUAAUUAAUAUAUUAGUUAAUAAUAAUUAUGACAAUAAUCCACUAAGUAUUUUUGAGUAAUUUGUUACAAUCUAAUUCAUUUUGAUUCCGAUUUCAAGACAAAGUAAACACAUUAAUGACAAUCUAGCUCAUUCCGAUUUCGAUUCCUACAGUUCAAGUAAACAACUUAUUUUGAUUUUCAUUACCUAUUUACAUUCCAGCCCAUUCUCAUUUCUUCCCAUUCUCAUUUCUGCCAAUUCCAAUUCCAGCUCAUUCCGAUUCCAGUUUAGUAAACGCAGCAUAAGAGUUAUCAUGAAAAUCAUACAAUUCAAUUUCCUGAAAUAUAUAUUUUAUUCACAUGUGCCAAAAGAAUAAAUAGAUAGAAAGUAAAUUUACAAUCCUCACUCCCUCACAAUUGUUAAAGUGAAUAUGCAUUACAACUGUGAACUGUCACUACUUUAGCCCCUUUUUUUUUUUCAAUUAUAGUGUGAUGGAGACAGUGAACAUCAAGGAUAAAGUGCUCUGCUGAAAGCGGAACUUCCUCUGGCUAAUUAAUUUGGAAGUAAAACAGAGAAUAAAGUCCUACAUGCCUUCUGAAAUUAGAAAUACAUUUUAUAUGCUUUAAUUAUGAUUAUUUGGUAGACUAUUGACCAAAAGACAUGUUAAAGUAUAAAACAGAGCGAUUAAAGAAAAAAAAAGGAGUGUUUGUGACGUAGAAUAACAAUUUGUAAGUAAAGUCCUAAUUUGAGUUGUCAAAAAGCAAAUAUAACAGGGAAGGUAAGAGGGAUGCAGAAACAGAAAACUAUUAGCUUAUCUUGAUUUUCCCACUAUAUUCAUUUUCGAUGCUUUUCAAACGAGAUUCUUUUAAUCCUUCUGGCGUCUGCAGCCCCUGGUCUUCUUAUAAAUUUCCAUCCCACAUCUGCACUAGGAACAAGUUGAUUGAAAUUAAAUAACAUUGGAGAUGACGGACAGAUGAGCCGUCAACUUGGUAAAAAAACUAUGUUAAUAUUGUUAAUAAUAAAAAAAAAUAUAAUAAUCAUUACAAAGAAUCAUAAAUUAGAAAAAUUAAUUAUUUUACAAUCUAUUUCGUAAGUAAGAUAAAUCUUGUAAUAAGUUAAGUUAUAACGUAAAAAAUAUUUUCAAUUUAUAAUCAUUUAAGAACUCAUUUAACAAUAAAAUCUUUCUUUUGAUCAAUUGGUCAUGCCACAGAGUAUCAUCUAUAUUCGUGGUGAUAUUAUUAUUACUCCGUAUUCUCAAAAAACACGAUUUAACAUUUAGAGAAAAUUCCUACCUUUUAAAAAGAACAUGUAUGCAACAGCUACCCAUACUUUAUCUUACCACGACAAAACUAAUGGUGACUAAAUCAAUUUUCUCGAAUAAAGCAAAAUUUCUUAAAAUUAAUUUAAUAUACAAAUAUGAUGACAUUUUGCAAAAAUUAGUUUUGGAAAAUAUAGUGACAAAAAAUAGUAAUGAUUAUUGUUUAGAUGUGUAAAUAGCCUAAACAUGAUCCCUAAUACCAAUAUCCACGUACAUCUUAACACCUUUCGUGAUAUUCUUUCAUUCAUGGUCACUGGUUCAAGAUUUGAAUUUGAUCAUUAAAUCAUGUUCAAUAAUAUUAGAGAUCCCAACAAUUAAGUACCAACUUAAAUCCUAAUGCUAUGUGUCAUUGACAAAUGUUGUGUCAUUUUUUGUUAACUGAGUGAUGAAUUUCUAGUUGAUAAAAUUACUUAAAAAUAUCUUAAAAAUCAGACAAUAGUUUGCUUAAUUUUUUGAAGCUAACUGCUCAAGAUGCUCUAUUAGAAAUGAUAACCUAAUUAUAUACAUAAAAAAUGAUGUAUUUUUUGCGGUGUUGAUAGUGAGAUUAUCAUUCAACAUGUUAAAAUAUGAAAACAUAUGGAAGAAGGUUGUAAAUUGAUUGAAUGAAAAUAUUUCAGUGAAGUCUAAAAAAUUUGGUACUUGUUAUCUUAUCGAAAGUUUUCUAAAUUACAUUCGUGGCACUGCCACUGCUUCCAUGUGAAGGUCAUUAAAAUUUGUGUUAGUUACCUAUAUGUUGAAUAAUAAUUUUAUUCAUGAAUUGUUGCUCAAUAUAGCAGUUUCUAGAUGAAUUUUCCUACAUGUUUGUCCUCAUAUGACCUAGAAUGCUGCUAUAUCAAUUGUAUUGGAAAUUAUUCAAGUGGGUUUGUGCUCUAUACCCCCACCAAAAUUUAAGCAAUCUACAGAACAUUCCUUGUGGAAAGAAACUUAUUUCGCUACUAGGUGGGAGUAGAUUUCUAAGCUAAUGCUCGGCAGAUCUCUAGGCUAUACUAAAAAGUGUAUGCACUUUGACUCUCAAUAUAUACGAGUGAUUCUAUGAUGACUGAAAACAUCAGUACAUGCAUGAUUUUAUAAGAAAGAAUAUUCUAAAAUUAUUUAUGUAUCACCAUUUGUAGUUGUACCCUCUCGAAUGAAGGUGCAAUCAGCAACUAAAAUGAAGCCCGAAAUGUACACGCGUGAGGCAGUUUUUCUAGAAGAUUGAUACUUCUCAAACUAGCAAACCGUACAAGUCCAAAGCUAGAAAAGGAGUGCUUCUAAGCAGAAAACAUUGAUUAAAACAGAAUACACACACACAUACCAGUAAAUUCAAAAUAGAAAAAGGAGUUCAACUGUUCAAGUUUGUGGACAAUAUUGCAACCGUGGCAUAUUUAUAGCAAAUCCUUGAAAUCUGCUAAAUAAACAAUGCCCUGUCUCAUGAAUCAAAGCCGAAUUAAAAUUGAAAUUGAAAGUCCGGCUGGUGUUGUUUCCCUCUCCAGUUUUGCCCACAUAAGUGAAGGGAAAUGAGAAUCAUAAAUUAAAAUCUGCUUUUACAGUUUUUUAUUAGAUAGAUAUAAAGGGAUCUUUUUUGUUUCUCUGCUGCAAUUUGUGGCUAUCCCACUCUGUUUUGCCACUCAAGCUUAGUCUACGUUGAGACAUAAUUUUGACAUCAGAAGCAACCUCAAUUAGUUUGGCAUUUUUAUGACCUCCUUGUACGUUUUACGAUAAACAUAAAUCUACUGAGAAAGUGUGAAAAAAAGAAAAUGCAUAUAAAAGUAUGAGUUAUCAGACAUGAUUAAAACUCACCCAAUUCAAUCCAUUAGAUUCCGUAAGGAUAUAACUGGAUGUCAUACCGCCACUCCAUAUCCUCGAAAGUCCGUAGUCUUUGUCUCAACUCUGUCUGAGGCCAAUGUAAAUCCAAUUUGCGCAAGCUCUUUAUGCACCACAGCUCUUCUGGAAGCUUUCUCAAGUAAGCACAUGGGUUGACAAUUAAGCUUUCAAGUUUUGGCAUUGCUCCAGCCCCCAUCGUCCACUCAUCUAGCCAAUACAUUGAUUUCAGGUGCAAAACCCUAAGUUCCAGAAAGCAACCAGAGCCAACGCAGGCCAGCUUUCUUCCUAAAUACGAGUUCUGUUUCAGUUUCAGCACUUGAAGGCUUGGAAGCUUUUCCAGCAUUGGCAUGGGAUCCUCCAUUAGCUCAGUAUUCGAUAAGCUCAGAUGGCUCAGACUUGGAGGAAAUUGGUAUUCAGACAGGACAAUCCGUGAGCGCUUGCUCUCAUUCACCAGCUUCAAGCAUUCAAGUUUGUGGAGUUCGCAUAGGCUUUUGGAAACCCCAGAGUGAUAGCAACUCAAAUCUCCAGAUAUCCGAAGAGUUUGAACAUUAGGCAGUCUGCCCAAUAUAUCUGGAGUACAACUACUAGGGUGUAAGGCUGAUAUGAAAAUGAGAUUUUUCAGAGAGCUGCAAUAAUUUUUUGGAGGUGCAGGCAGAGUGAUGGAACCGAAGUUUAGAUGCAUGAGUUUUUGCAUCAUCCAAAUAUCCUCUGGUGAAUGAUCUAUGUAGCUUGAUGGCAUUUGUAGUGUUUGAAGGUUUAAAAGGGUGCAUAGCAUUGAAGGAAGGCAUUUGAGCGAAGGGAUAUUCAAUUUCAAAUACUUCAAAAGGAAUAAAUUUUCUAAUCCGGGUGGAAAUUGGUCGAGAACUGCAGAACCGAAGUUCAGUACCCGAAGGUGUUUGAACUUUUUACAAAAAUUCUCGCAAUCUAUAAGAGCGAGAUGAUCGCUUUCUGAACUGUGAUUCAGAAAAGAUUGGAGAUACAUGUCAGAAUAUUCUAAAGAAAGGAACUCAAUCAGAUCUUCCAAAAUGAAGCACCGUUUAACAUUUGCCAGUGAUUCCUCUUCCAUGUCAGGCGUCCAGACAAAUCUCGUCUUCUCUACUACCAAAGCCAAUAACGUAUAUACAAAACUUGGAACAUAACACGCUUUAAUUGUGCCGCCGGCGCUUCUCUUACUCACUUGAAUGAAGCCGCGAUGGAUUAGUUCUUUCAAGUAAUGUUCGGCAGUUUCUUCACCGUUGUAUGGUAUGAAACCUUCAGCUACCCACAACUGAUAUAAUUGCCUCGUUGAUAUCUCAUUGCAUGAAAGGAAGACACACAAAUAGAUGCAGCAGAUUUUCAAGUGAAAAGGUAACUCCAUCACAGAAAAAAGUUGUCUCCAAACUGUCGGAAUCGUUUCGCCUUGAAGAUAAUUUUCUAAGGGCAUACUUCCAUAGUGUAGGAUGAAAAAUUGCCAGGCCUCAUGCUUUAAUCUGAUCAAUGGUCCUCCUACGAUCACUGAAUCAAGCCGAAUCUUCUCUCCGUUUUCCAUUUCCAACAGCGUAAGGAGGUGUGGAUUAGUGACCAAUAUCAAUACUCUGCUUCCAUUCUGAUUAUCAGGAAGAACUUCUUCAAGAUCACUCCAUAUCUCACUGUCAUCGAAGACAUCAUCAAGCACAAUAAAGUACUUCCUGUUUGUUAGGUAAUCUCGAAGAAUAGAUUUCUUCAAUUGAUAAUCUUCCCCGAUAAUUACACUAACCCGAGAUGGAGGCAUCACAGACUUGAUUAUGUCAUCCAAUAUCUUGCGAAAAUCGUAGGCUACAGAAACCCUUACCCAAGCAUGACAGUCAAAAUAGAACUUGAUAUGGUUAUUAUUGUAAGUAUCUGCAGCAAAAGCAGUCUUAUCGAAGCCACUGCUGUCGAGAAUUGUAACCACUGCAAGCCGACGAUGUCCUAAAUCAAUAAAUCAAACAACUCCUCUCUGCCACUUUCAAAUUCAUUGAUAUCAAGCCGAGGUUGUCCCUCACUCAAUAGGCGAAUGAUUUUGUUUCUUUGUUCACUGACAUCAAAACCAUUGUCGCCGGGUGGAAGUUGUUGCAUCCGAUUACUAAUAUCAAUGAUUUUACUCUGGAGUCCAUCAAGAAGAGCCAUAUUAGUGCUGCUUUUACUUUCGUUUUCACUGUUUUGCUGCUGCAUGAUGUUGAUGAAGAAUCUGUCAAUGGCUUCCUCAGAUUCAUGGACAAAGCGAUUGAUGUCCUCCAGAAUUUCCAAAAUAUCUGGUCUUUUAACGUCUUCUUCAUCGCUUUCUUCUAAGUCCAACAGUUGCAAAAGAGGCAAAGAUAUUUUGGAGUCAUCGAAUUCUUCUCUAAUGAGUUGAAAGAAAUGCCGAGCCAUGUCAGAUUCAUAUUUUCCCAGCAGAGUAGUUGCAAUAAUUUCGGACUCCGUAAGAAGGUUUUGAAAAAGUGGGGUUAAAUUUGUUGAAUCAGGCAGUGUUAACGUGCCUUCUUCUCCUACUACCACCCUUUUCAACCUCUCACAAAAUAAUCGGAGGUGGGCGUCCAGCAUAUCUCCUCCUGUCUGUAGCAGCCAGAGGUAUUGUUAUUUGCUCCAAGAAAUGUUAAAAGGAUUGGUCCUACCUCAAAGUGGUUAGUGGUGUAAAAUUAAACACCAUGGGAGAAUUUGAAAGGAAGAUGCCAAGAAACUGGCAAAGUGGCUAAAUUCCACAAAUACGGCAUUAUUGCUCAUUUUUAACUCAACAAAUUGAUACGCGUUCAUUUAGAGAAAAGUCGAAGACGCGUGCCUUUUGAAAAGAACAAGUAUCCAAUAGGUAUCCAACCUUUAUCUUAUUUAAUUACUACCAUGACAUGAUUGAUGGUGCUUAAAUCAAUUGUUUCUUUUUUAAUUUAAAGAUUUUUUCAUUAAAAAAUAAUUUAAUAUCACAUUGCCUUCAAUGGCGUAACGGCCGCAAGCCCAGUAACUAGAUUAAUUAAAAUGAAAUUAUGAUUGCACUACUUUUUUAUUUAUUUAUUUAUCUAAUCACUAUAAAAUUUUAACAUAUUUUAUUUACUAUAUUUUUUUUAAAUUUGCAUCAAUUAGUCACUUUUACACUAAUACCGUUAAAUAAUUUAAACGGAAUGAUAAUUUUACCCCUAAAUAAAAUUAAAAGUUCAUUUUAUUUUAUAAAAACUUUGAAAAUAAAAAAUUAUAAUUAUAAAAUAUCCCUAAAUUUAAUAAAGAAAUAAAUCCCAAAAUUAGAAUGUUUAUUUUUAAUAAAAAUUAUUUUAAUAAAAAAUUAUAAUUAGAAAAAUAAUUACAAAAUUUUGGGAUUUAAUAAAAAUCCCCUAAAUGAUUAAAAUUUUAGGAUUUAUUUUUUAAUAAAUAAAUUCAGUUAUUUUAAUAAAAUUUUGCAAAAUUAUAAUUUUUAAUAAAUAAAUUCACUUAUUUUUAUUAUAAUUUUAAAAAAAUUUAAAUUUUUAAUAAAAAUAAUUAUUAAAAUUUUACAACAUCUAAAUUGAAUAAAAAUCAGCUGAGCACCUAUAUUUUGUAUUUAUUUUUAUUAAAUUUAGGGGUAUUUUUAUAAUUAUAAUUUUUUAUUUUUCAAAGCUUUAUAAGAUAAAAUGGUCUUUUAAUUUAUUUAGGGGUAAAAUUAUCAUUUCGUUUUAAUUAUUUAACGGUGUUAGUGCAAAAGUGGCUAAUUGAUACAAAUUUGAAAAGAAAUGUGGCGCAGAGAACAUAUUAAAAUUUUGUGGUGGUUGGAUGAACAUAAGGCAACAGAAAGGUGGUGCAAUAAUAAUUUCCCUAAUUAAAAUUUUAGAAUUUUUGGGCAUGGAUAGAGUAGUUUUAAUUAUGUUAAAGAAUUGAUAUUGACAUAAUUUUAUUUUGGUUUUCAACGAAAAAAAAUUUGUUGACAAGUAAGAAAAUAUUUUUUUUUUACUUUACAAUCGGUUAUACAUGUUUUAUCAUAUUAAAGUAAUUUUAAUAAUAAAUAGAAACAUAAUAUUACAAUAAAUAAAUUAAAGUUUAAGUUAUUUUGAAUAUUAAAAAAAUAAUUUUAAUAUUAUUAAUAGGGAGGCAUUUUGUUAAUUGUAAAAUCUUGUUAACCCAAAGGUUAUUUAAAAUCUUUCUAAUAAAUACAAAUAUAAAAUUAAAUAUCAUAAUUUAAAAUAUUUAAUACUAUAUUCAAUGUAAAAAUAUUUUAAUGUUGUUAAUAUACUACAUAGAUUAUAUUACUUAUAUUAUAUUUAUAUUGAUUAAAAAUUUUUAAAAUUAAUUUUCUAGUUACUAUAUUCAUAAGGUAUUCUGGUUAAAGAAAAUAUCUUGAUAUUACUUUUUGAAAAUUUGAGAGCCUGCAUGACAAUUUUUUCAAAUUUUAAGGAUGUAAUUAUCCUUUUUUCCAUAAUUUAUUUCAAUUUUGAGGGAAUCCAAUAAGAAAUAUGGCAGGAGAAUGUCAAUAGGCGAAUGAUUUUGUUACUUUGUUCACUGAUCUCAAAACCAUCGUCGCCGGGUGGAAGUUGUUGCAUCCGAUUACUAAUAUCAAUGAUUUUACUGUGGAGUCCAUCAAGAAGAGCCAUAUUAGUACUGCUUUCACUUUCGUUUUCACUGGUUUGCUGCUGCUUGUUGUUGAUGAAGAAUGUGUCAAUGGACAAAGUUAUUGAUGUCCUCCAGAAUUCCAAAAAUAUCUGCUGUUUCAACGUCUUCUUCAUCGCUUUCUUCUAAGUCCAACAGUUGCAAAAAAGGCAAAGAUAUUUUGGAGUCAUCGAAUUCUUCUCUAAUGAGUUGAAACAAAAGCCGAGCCAUGUCAGCUUCAUAGUUUCCCACCAGAGUAGUAGCAAUGAUUUCUGACUCCGUAAGAAGGUUUUGAAAAAGUGGUGUCAAAUUUGUUGAAUCUGGCAACGGCAACGCGCCUUCUUCACCUGCCAACACCCUUUUCAACCUCUCACAAAACAGUCGGAGGUGGAAUUCCAGCAUAUCUCCUUCUCUCCGUAGCACUCAGAGGUAUAGUUGAAAGAUUAAACACCAUGGAAGAAUUUGAAAGGAAUAUGCCAAGAAACUGUGUAAGUGGCUAAAUUCCACAAAUAUGACAUUAUUGCUCUUUUUUGAACUCAAAAAAAUGGUACGCGUUCAUUUAGAGAAAAGAACAGGUAUCCCAAUCGAUAUCCAACCUUUAUCUUAUUUAAUUACUACCAUGACAUGAUUGAUGAUGCUUAAAUCAAUUGUUUCUUUUUUAAUUUAAAGAAUUUUUCAUUAAAAAAAUAUUUUGAUAUCUAAUACCCUUCAAUGGCAUAUCUGCCGCAAGCCCAGAACAGGAUUAAUGAAUUUUUUUUUUAAUUUUUUGGGCAUGGAAAGAGCAGUAUUAAACAUCAGAAAGCUAAGGUUGUUCUGUUAAAAAAUUGAUAUUGACAUAAUUUUAUUUUGGUUUCGGGGAAAAAAAUAUUUUCUGAAAAGCAAGAAAAUAUUUUUAUAUUUUACAAUUUAUUAUACAUAUUUUAUCGUAUUAAAUUAAUUUUAAUAAUAAAUAGAAACAAAAUAUUACGAUAAAUAAAUUAAAGUUUAAAUUGUUUUGAAUAUUAUAAAAAAUAAUUAUAAUAUUAUUAAUAGGAAGACAUUUUGUUAAUUUUAAAUUUUUUUAACCCAAAGGUUUAUUUAAAAUCUUUAUUAUAAAUACAAAUAUAAAAUUAAAUAUCAUAAUUUAAAAAAUUUAAUAUUAUUUUAAGUAUUAAAAAUAAUUUAAUGUUAUUAGUCUACUAUAUAGAUCACAUUACUUAUAUUAUAUUUGUAAUGAUUAAAAAAUUUUUAAAUCAAUUUUCUAGUUAAUAUAUUCACGAGGUAUUAUGGUUAAAGAAAAGACCUUGGUGUUACUUUUUAAAAAUUUGAGCGCAUGCAUGAUAAUUUUUUCAAAAUUUAAGAAUGUAUGUGUCCUUUUCUCCAAUAAUUUAUUUCACUUUUGAGGGGAAUCCAAUGAGAAAUAUGAUAAGAGAAUGUCAAUUACUUGUCAUUUUCUAUUUUUUCUGUAAGGUAUUUAUUUUGAGCAUUGGUGAUCUUGUCUGGACUACUCCAAUUAUUGAUGGAACUCCAAUGGCUGCAUCCACAGUUGAAUAUAUGAUGGUGUUAGCUCUUACUUGAGAAUUCAGAGGGAUCUUUCUAUGUUUCUCAAUUGCAAUGUGCUAGUAUAAAUUUCUUUACCUUACAGUUUAUAUAGUCUUGCUGUUAAUGAACUCACUGAGGCAUUAUUGAUUCAAUUUCAGUGGAGCAAUCGCGGGUGAAGGAUAAAUAAAGGAUAACAGAACAGAGCUGAAGUGCUAAAUUGGCUAUUGAAGAAGGUUUUCACAUGAUCACAAUUAUGUAAAAUAAUCAUUUUUCUGAAAUUGUGUUUCCUAAAAUUAAUAAAUUUCCUUUUUUUUAAAAAAAAAAAAAAACUCUUCUACGACGUGGUUGCACAGCAAAUUAGAGAAUUAUAGGGUCUCUAAUCAAUACUCCAACCAAUAAUGAUAUGUGCACAAAAAAUAGUAUCAAUCACAACAAGAUUAAAAUUAAAAAAAGUAACUAUAAGAUGGAAAAAAAAAUUAUUACAAGAAAAUAAUUUUUUUGUCUUUUCUAUCUUUUAUACUAUUUUUGUUUAUAUGUACUCUAAAUUCAGCCAAACCAUACAUGCAUGAACAAAAAUUAAACCGUCGUUCUAAUCACAACAGUAAUUGAAGCUACAAAAGCCAGCAAAUCUGAACGAAGACUUAAAAGAAAGAUCUUAUUCAAGUUUGUCCCCAAAAGACAGCUGAAAUGAAAAAUAUUGACUAUUGAAUGGGUCAAUGCCGAAUUACAUUUCAAAUGGAAAGCUUGGCAGCAGUUACAAUGUUUCCCCCUCUGAUUUUCCUCCAAAACAAAUUCAGUUGUAAACAAUAACCGAAGUAGUAAUAAUUUAUUCAUCAAAGAAAAUACCCCCAAGUUUUCAACUAAAAAAUCCUCUUGUCCAAACUAAAAGAACUCAUAUCUCUAAAAUCUAUCUGCAAAAUGUUGGGAAUGAGGAGUGAUCUGUCAACUCCGUAAAUAAACUCAUGCAUAAUGUUAACAAUAAUGAUAAAUUACAUAAUAAUUAUUAUAAAGAAUCAUAAAUUGGAAACACUAAUCAUUCUACAAUCUAUUAUAUAAGCAAGAUAAAUCUCAUAAUAAGUUAAGUUAUAAUGUAAUAAAUAUUUUCAAUAUAUAAUUAUUUAAGAAGUCAUUUAACAAUAAAAUAAUUUUUUUAAAUCAGUUGAUCAUACAGCGUUAUCUAAACUCCUGACGAUAUUAUUAUUACUCACUUUUCUCAAAAAAAUAUGAUUAAUGUUUAGAGAAAAGUCAUGCAUUUUAGAAAAAAUAUGUAUACUAGCUAUCCGUACUUUAUCUUACCGUGACAAAAUUGAUGGUGAUUAAAUCUAUUUUUAAAAUAGAUUUAAUUCACAAAUAUGGUGACUUUUGGCAAAAAUUAUUUUCAGAAGAUAUAGUGGCAGAAAAUAGUGAUAAUUAUUGUUUAAAUGUGUAAAUAGCCUAAGUAUAGCCCAUAAUACCAAUAUCCAUUUGCACCUUCAUUUGGUUUAUCACAUUUCAUGAUAUUCUUUCAUUCAUGACCAUUGUUCAAGAUUUUAAUUUGAUUAUAAAUUAAGUUGCAAGGGAGCUUACUUCAGUCUCUAAGCUUUUCAAUCGUGAUUCCUGCAUGCCAACGUAACUGACCUUAUAAUUGGUCUGUAUAAGAAAUCAAGCCCUUUCAGGAUCGUUUUCUUUUUCUCCCUAUUGUAGUAGUCAACUAAAUAAAGAAUGAACAACUAAACUUGGUCUAUUUCGAGGAAGACUAAGGCUUCCAAUACUAGAUGAACUUUGAAGAAAAUUAAUCCGUUGUUUUUAUUCAUCUUUGGACUAUGAAUAUAUACAAAGACUUUAACAGAAAAUAACAAAGACACAGCUAAAUGCACUACUAAAAAAAUGAGUUUUACUGACACUAAUUUAGCGUCAGUAAUUACUUUUAUUGACACUUGUUAAUUGUGUCAGUGUUGCUCAAGCCAGAACACACUGACACUAAUUUUUGAUGUCAAUAAUUUUUGUGUCAGUAAUUUGUUUCACUAUAGUAUCACUAAAAUAAUGACACGAUGAUGUUGGUAUUUAAUAAUACUAUUUACACGUCAGUAAUUUAUGUGACUAUAGUAUCAAAAACUGACUCGAUAAUAUAAAAAAUUCUUAUUGUUAUUUUAAAUAUGUAGUGUCAGUAUUUAGUAAUGUUAUGCUGCUUUUGGUUAAUAGUAUAUUUUUUAUUUUAAUUAUAUUUUUCGUGUUUGUUGUACAACCAAAAGAAAACUCGAAAUAUAUUUAUUAUUAAAUAUCUUGCAACACAAUUCAUAUAAUAAACAUCUCAAAUACAUCACUUAAAUUCACACAAUUCAACUACAUCACUAUGUGUAAAAGACUUAACAUAAGUAUCAAAUUAAAUUUUCAACAAUCUCUAAACAACAAGUGCUAACUACUACUCAAUUAAGUUUCCAACCCAAAAGAAAAAAAAAAAAGCACAAGGUCACUCAAUAUCCAUCCACGGCUUCAUUUUGUUCCCACCUACAAAUGCAUAAAAUCAAUUAGUAUACUGUGAAAAAUAAAUCUUAGUUAUUUUGAAGCAAAAAUACUCAUAAAUUACUUCAACAUGGAAGAGUAGGAUUAAAAGAAGCAAGUUAAGGAAUCAGAAAAAGAAAUUGUAGAAUCUACACGUUCCCAAGUUAAUUACAGCCUGCAAUCAUGAUACCACAAAUUGCUUCACCAAAAGUAUUCUAUCAAGUAUUAAAGAGAACACUUAAUAAGUACAUCAAUAUUUAGUAAUGAUGACAUGAACAAUGGUGUCUACAACUUGACAAGCAUAAGUUAUUUUUUUUGUAAUCUAUUUCAUUGUCUAAAUUUAAAGUAAACAAUGCUAUAAUAUAUGAUCAAGUACAUUAAGUUAACAAGCACUAUAACAUUUAUUUAGCCCACAUUCAACGAUGAUCAGUUGGACCGAAAGCCAUAAAUUGAAAAACAAAAGAUAUUUAAUGAGCUUAAAGAGGAAAAAUAAAAGUUAACAAAAUUUAAACGACUAAUGAAGAAAUUAACCAAGCCGAGAUGAAAAACAGAAAUAGAAGGCCACUAUAAGCCAAACAUUACAAAUCAGGUUGCUUUUUAAGACACGAACCCAGUUUCCAAUUACAGUACUUUGCAAUUCUUUAAAAAAAAAAGGGUUUCCCAAUUACUAAAUCUUUUUAGGUUUGAAGUGGAUUGAUAAUUAAAUUGAUGAAAGAAAGGAAAGUGAAGCAAAAAUUAGAUUCAAGUAUGGGUCAAGUAAAAAAGUAAAAGAUAAAAAUCAGAUUCAGUGCAAACCUGGGUUUCAAAUGAUUAGCAAAGGAACAACUUCUUCUUUCUUCAAUCUAAUAUUCUUCUUCGAACAUGGAAUACUAACAAAAUACAAUUAGUAAUUCAUAAACAUAUAGUAAAAUGAGAUAGGUAUUUUUUGAGAGGAGAUUGAGAAAUACAUAUUUGAUUGAAGAAAGAAAACACAACAAAAAAAAAGGACCAGGUCUCCUCAAAGAAAAGCAAAAUGGGAAAAUAGGGGAAUAGUCUAUACAAAAGCCAACCCACCACCCUUGGAGGACCAUCCUUCUUCUGAGCAAAAAUCUAUACAAGAUUAGCCCAAACCUCCAAUAUAGUAAAAUGGGUUCGACAGACUAUUUCUAAUCUGUCAUUUGCAAAGUAAAGCUAAAAUUAGAAUUGUCUACUAACAACCUUCCUAUAGUUUGUCCACUAUAUUAUUACUAUAUUAUUAGAUGUAAAAUGCCCACUAUAAAAGGUAAUUAAUAGAGAAACUUCUCUGUAGUAUUUUCAUACCUGUGCCAAAACAGAGAAGAGAAAGAAAUGGUGUCUGACCUCGGUGGUAAAGGAACCGCUAUGGUAAAGGAUCGAACAUGGAUGAAAAAUAAACUUGUGCAAAUGGAGCCACCAGCAUUUUGCAAGAAUUAAAGAUUUUGGGUGAAAUCCUCUCUUAUAAACACUUAUUUGUAUUGGGAGCAUGCAUACUUCCGAGUAUGAUAUAAUUCUAUAAAAUUUAGACUCCUGAUAGAUAGAUAGAUAACACGUAUUAGCAUUAAUUAAAUGGAAGCAUCAACAAUAAUCAAUAAAUCAUUAUAGAAAAAAAAUUAAAAAUGAAAGGAGCUGAGGCACACCAUUGUGAUGCAAGAUUGACAAUCAAAAGAACCUUUCCUUUGUAGAUGCUAAGAUCAACAUCCUGUCCCUUCGCAUCCUGCAAAUAAGAUAAAUUUUUAUAAAAAUUAAAAAAUAUAUCUGUCAAAUCCCAAAUUGAAUUAAAAAUCAAAACAAGGGAAAGAAAAUGAAAGGAACAUGUCAUCAAAUUGUAGGUGGCUGGUGGUGCUUUUUAGUGAAGUGUUUGUAGAACUGUUAGAUGUAACCAUUCUUUACGCAUCAACUUCGCUAGUGAUUUGAUUUGAUGAAGAGGAUCUUUCCUUAUCUAGUUAUCUUCUUGUGUAGAUCCAUGUAGGAUUCCUUCACGAUUUCUUUUUUUUUUUUUUGGGGGGGGGGGGGGGGAGGUUUAAUUAACAAAACAAUAAGAGUAAAUGAGGAAUCAAUCCCUAAUUUAAGGCCUUCUAAGAUUGCUGAAGCUCUGCAUAAUCAAUGUCUCCAAGAAAAAGGUUUAUUUGCAGGCUGUAGCAGCAAUUUUCUUCCCCAUGAAAUCCAACUGAUCCAUUUGUAUUGAAUUUAAGCACACGCCUGAGGCUGGAAAAGACAAAGAAAUUAAUGAAAACAGGCUAUGUAUCUUUUUUACUUAUCAUUGCUCUAUGAAUUAAUUAUGCUACUAAUCACGACGCCGUUUAAAUCUUAGAACAAUAAUAAUCUUUUAGCAACAAAUAUGACGGUUCAAUAAUAUGUUCCGACUAGGGAUGUCAUAUUGUGAGGGCUGUUAAGUUUAAGAAACGAUCAAAUCUAAUUUUGUGUUCCAAAAACUCAUUGGCUUAACAGAUUAACUCCUCUGUAGUAUUUUCAUACCUGUGCCAAAAGAGAGAAGAGAAAGAAAUGGUUCUUGAUCUCGACGGUAAAGGAGCGGUGGCUGGCUGGGCUGAAGUUGAUGUGACGGCAUAAAAGCGGUAGCAGCGACAUACUGAAAGGUGGCUAGCUAGUCGUAGGUGGCUGAAGCUUGACAACAGUAGAGCAAAGGCGGCAGUGACGUCAAGGAACGGCGGCCGACAGCAGUGAAAGUCGAGGAGCAGCGGCCGGCAGCAGUGAAAGUCGAGGAGCAGCGGCCGGCAGCAGUGAAAGCCGAGGAGCAGCGGCCGGCAGUAGUGAAAGUCGAGGAGCAGGGGAGCGGUCGGCAGCAGUGAAAGUCGAGGAGCAGGGGAGCGGCGGCAGCAACUUAAGAAGUGGUGUGUUUGAUUCGGUUAGAUUUAGGGUUUCUUAUUUUCAUUUUAUACUUUGAAAAAUUAUACAGUGUAAUUGUUCGCAUUGUAAUUUAAUAAAACAACAAACUACAAGUCAACAUGUGGUCAAGUAAAAUUAUUAUUAUUAACAACGAAUUACAAGUUGACAUGUGGCAAAAUAAAAAAUAUUAUUCUCAAAACUAUUAUUAUUAUUAUUAUUAUUAUUAUUAUUAUUAUUAUUAUUAUUAUUAUUAUUAUUAUUAUUGUCCACAAAGUAAUUGUGUAAAAUUUAAUUAAAUAAAAAAAUUAAUCAAAUUGAAAAUUUAAAAACACAUGCAUCAAUGGUUUGCACUCUAAACUUACAAAUUUUAAGUUUAGAGAUCUUGAGUUCGAGUUCAAAUUAAAACAAAAUUAAUAUUAUUAUUUUUUUAUCACUGAUGCUUUAGUAUCAAUAAUCAUUGAAUUUUAAGCUACUGACACCUUAGUAUCAAUGAUUUAUGAUACAUACUUGUUAAAGGCGGAAAAUGGUCCAAACGUACACCAUUUCUGACACUUUUUACUAAGUGUCAGAAACAAAGUGUCAGUAAAUGUCAUUUUUGUAGUAGUGAUGAUAGCAAUAAGUGCUGACUUAGACACUUAGUGGACCGCUUCUACAAGUAAAUAAAAACUAAAUAUUUAUUUUGACUAUAACAACAACUACGCUGAUGAAUAGGAUUUCACAGCAGCCACGUGAGAACUAAUUUCUCCUUAAUAUUAUUAUUAGUAGAAGUAGAUUUUCAAACUAGUCUUGAUAUAUUUCAAAGUUGUAUUAUCAAUGUAUAUGUGUCUAGAUUGUAACUAUACUUUAAAAAAUAUAAAAUUUUUAAUUAUUGCACAAUAUAUGUAGAAAAAUAUCUAUAAAAUGAUAUUAUUAGGACUAAGAAUUUUUUAUUUUAUUUUAGAUAAGUUAUUUAUUUAUUAUCGAAUGAAUAAUUUAUUAAUUUAUUGAUAAAUGAAUAUUUAUUAAUUUAAAGAGAGAUUUUUUUGGUUUUAACAAGAGUUUGUUUGGUAAAUGUACACACUUAUAAAGAAACAUAAAAAGUGGUUCCUCAAGUCAAUAGUGUUUGCUUCAAUCGCAACGGUUCAUAAUAAUAUAGCUUAGUUAGGAAAUUUGUAAUUAUACUAUAACUUUGUUUGGUACAACUUUUCAAGUAAAACUUAUUUAAGUAGAGUUGUUAUUAGUAGAGCUUUUAUAAAUAAAGCUUUUACUAAAAAAAAUUUAAUUGUUUGGUUGUCAAUGUCCAAAUUGAUAAACUUUUGUUCUUUUGUUAAGAUAUGUUUGUUUUACUUAAUAAUAGCAUCGGCAAGAGUUUUCGAUUGUUGCAACUUGCAAUGCACGCGGUGAGAGAAAAUGAGAAUCUUGUUUAAUUGUCAAUAAUGACAAACCUAAUCCUUUCAUUAGGAGUAAUUUAAUAAUCGUUUGUUAUAACUGAAUAUGUAUAAAGAAAGGAAAAUUCUAUUCAUAGAUUUCGACUUAUUUUUUGUUUAAAGUAAUUAAUCAUUCAACCAUCUUCAUUUGCCUCUGGCCAAUGCCCUUGUAGAUUAGUUGAAGCGUUAAUUACUUAAUUAUGAUUAUAUACAUUUUCAUAUAGCAAGUGGCAUUGUAGAUCUAAACUAAGUUGCUAUUUCAAUACCAGCAAAUUCAAAAUAGAAAAGGAGUGCAACUAUUUAACUUUGUAGACAAUAUUGCAACCAUGGCAUAUUUAUAGCAAAUCCUUGAAAUCUGCUAAACAAAACAAUGCCCUGUCUCAUGAAUCGAUGCUCAAUUAAAAUUUAAAUUGAAAGUCCGGCUGGUGUUGUUUUCCUCUCCAGUUUUGCCUACAUAAGUAAAGGGAAAUAAGAAUCAUAAGUGAAAAUAUGCUUUGACAGGUCUUAUUUCUUUGUUUCUCUACUGCAGUUUUGCCUACUCAAGCUGAGUCUACGUUGAGACAUAAUUUCAGUAUUGAGGUAACAAUAAUUUCGGACUCCGUAAGAAGGUUUUGAAAAAGUGGAGUCACAUUUGUUGAAUCAGGCAACGUCAACGUGCCUUCUUCACCUGCUAACACCCUUUUCAACCUCUCACAAAAUAGUCGGAGGUGGACGUCCAGCAUAUCUCCUUCUCUCUGUAGCACCCAGAGGUAACAGGAUUAAUUAAAAAUUUUAGAAUUGUUGGGCGUGGAAAGAGUAGUAUUAAACAUCAGAAAGCAAGGUUGUUCUGCUAAAGAAUUGAUUUGUUGACAUAAUUUUUUUUUUUUUUUUUUGGUUUUCGAGGAAAAAGGCAUAUUUGUUGACAAGCAAGAAAAUGUUUUUGUAUUUUACAAUCUGUUAUACAUAUUUCAUCAUAUUAAAGUAAUUUUAAUAAUAAAUAGAAACAUAAUAUUAUGAUAAAUAAAUUAAAGUUUAAAUUAUUUUGAAUAUUAUAAAAAAAUAAUUCUAAUAUUGUUAAUAGGAACAUAUUUUGUUAAUUGUAAAAUCUUUUUAAUCCAAAGAUUUAUUUAAAAUCUUUAUAAUAAAUACAAAUAUAAAAUUAAAAUAAAUAUCAUAAUUUAAAAUUUUUAAUAUUAUUUUCAAUAUUAAAAUAUUUUAAUGUUAUUAGUCUACUAUGUAAGGUAUCAGAGCCAUACCCAUCCUUGAAUGGGUCAAUGCUGAAUUACACUUGAAAUGGAAAGCUUGCUGCAGUUACGAUAUUUCCCCCUCUGAUUUUUCUCCAAAACAAAUUCAGUUGUAAACAAUAACCGAAGUAGCAAUAAUUCAUUCAUCAAAGAAAAUACUCAAAUUUUCAACUAACAAAUCCUCUUAUCUAAACUAAUUAAAAAAAACUCAUAUCUCAAAAAUCUAUCUACAAAAUGUUGGAAAUAAAGGGUGAUCCGUCAACUCGAUAAAUAUACUCAUGCAUAAUGCUAACAAUAUGAUAAAUUACAUCAUAACUAUUAUAAAGAAUCAUAAAUUGGAAACACUAAUCAUUCUACAAUCUAUUAUAUAACUAAGAUAAAUCUUAUAAUAAGUUAAGUUAGAACAUAAUAAAUAUUUUCAAUAUAUAUAAUUAUUUAAGAAGUCUUUUAACAAUAAAUUUUUUUUCUUUUUCAGUUGAUCAUGUCAUAUAGCGUUAAUGGUGAUUAGUGACUGAUUACAAAGCAAAAUUGUUUAAAAUAGAUUUAAUGCACAAAUAUGAUGAAUUUUGGCAAAAAUUAGUUUCGGAAAUGUUGGGAUGAAAACCAUAUUAGUUGAGACUUAAAGUUACUUAAUAAAAUUAUAUCACUACCAUUCAAUGGAUGAAAACUAUUUUAGUUGAGACUUAAAUUUAGAUUUAAAUGUUGAGAUAUCUAGUAUUACUCAAUCAGAAUAAACAAGAACCAAUUCUGACUAUCAUGUAGAAGCAAAUAUUUAUGCUUGGAUUUUUUACUUCUUGAAUUUGAUUGGAAAAGUUUCUGAGACAGAGAAGUGUUUUGGAUAAUCUUUUUCGGGAUUGAAACCACAAAUUGGUCGAGGAAAUUAAUUUUGGACAAAUUUUUAUUGAGUUGUGCUAAACAUCAAGAAGGGCGAGAGAAUGCUGAGAGAAACGGCAGCUUUGUGCUGCUGUUUCGACUUCUCACUCUCUCGCCAUUCUAAUAAUUUUUUAUUAUUAAAAAUAAAAAAGCGGAGAAAAUGAUAGCAGACAACCCACAUCUACCAAAUCUCCAUCACUCCAUCACUCUCUUUCUCUCUCUCCCUCUCUUGAUUUUCAUCCUCUCUCUGGCUUCCUCACUCUCUACGGCUCCCCAUCAAGCUUCCUCAGUCUCUUCGGCCUCACUAUCUCUAGCCUCACUCUCUCCAGAUUCUUUCAUUUUCUCCUUUUUUUUAUAUUUUUAACAAUAAAAAAUUAGCAUUCUGCUGAGAAAGAGAGUGGUACACGACUCUUGAACAAUUUUUUUUCUGUCGUGAUCGUCUAUCAAACCACCUAAAAAUGAGCCAAGGGGGUUCUCAGCCCUAGCAGCUCACGUACUUUCAAGAUUUAGAGUAUGGUUCCAGUCCAAGCUAUUUAAUUAGUAUUGGGAUUCGAUUUAGUUGUUCUUCUAAUUUAAUAGGAUAAAGAAUUUAAUUGGAGAAAUGUCAUUAAUAUCAUAGGAGCAUAUAUAUUGUUUUGAUUUAAAUAUUGCUAUUUUUUUAUUGUUGAAAAAAAAAACACUAGAAAAUGGGAAGCCAAAAUCUUAGCCCUGUGUUUUUACUUUUACUUUUCUCUUAAACAUUUUAAAGAUGUAAAGGAAAAUGCUCAGAAUGGUGAGAGAGUGAUGGACGUGAUGGGCUAUCUUCUAUCCUUUUUUUAAUAAAUUUUUAAGAAUAAAAAAUUUAUUAAAACAGUAAGAGAGCGAAACCAAAACGGCAGCUUGUGCUGUCGUUUCUCUUAACAUUCUCUCGUCAUUCUUGAUGUUAAGCAUUUUCCAUUUUUAUUAUGUUGUAGCACCUUUUUGGUUCCUUUUGUGUCGGCAGCCCCUUACUAUUCUCUUAACCCUGAGUUUGAGAUAGAAAUUUCCCGAACUCCAACCCCACAUCCACAGACAAGUUGAUUCAAACAAUUGCUCUUUUAAUUAAGAGAAUGAGUUAGGUUUCAGUUCUUAUUGUUGUCUGUUAUUUCUCUGAAUCAUUAAUUUUGAGCAUUACUGAUCUUAGUUAUCUGUAUUUCUCCAAUUAUUGAAGAAUUUAUUAUUGAAUGAAUAAUUUAUUAAUUUAUUGAUAAAUGAAUAUUUAUUAAUUUAAAGAGAGAUUAUUUUGGUUUUAAGAAGAGUUUAUUUGGCACAUGUACACACUUAUAAAGAAACACAAAAAGUGCCUGCUCAAGUCAAUAGUUUUGGUACAUUUACACACUUAUAAAGAAACACAAAAAGUGCUUGCUCAAGUCAAUAGUAUUUGCUUUAAUCGCUAUAGUUCAUAAUAAUAUAGCUUAGUUAGGAAAUUUGUAAUUAUACUAUGGCUCCGAUUGGUACAACUUUUUAAGUAGAACUUAUUUAAUUAGAGUUUUUAUUAGUAGAGUUUUUAUAAAUAGAGAUUUUACUAAAAUAAAAUUUAGUUAUUUAGUUGUCAAUGUCCAAAUUGAUGAAAUAUUGUUCUUGUUAACAUAUGUUUGUUUUACUUAAAAAUAAAAGUUUAGUUUACAAUUACACCAGUAUAAAAUCAGCAGAGCAUUUUUGCUUAAAUAUUUAUUAAUUUAAAGAGAGCUUAUUUAAAUAGAGUUUUUGUUAGCAAAACUUUUAUAAAUAAAACUUUGCUUAAAAAAAUUUAAUUAUUUAAUUGUUAAUGUCCAAAUUGAUGAACUUUUGUUCUUUUGUUAACAUGUGUUUCUUUUACCUAAUAAUAAAAAUUAGUUUACAAUAACACUGGUGUCAAAUCAGCAGAGAUAUUUUCCAGCCAGUCACAUUAUACAUACGGGAGCCUCUAUGUUACAUUGAAUGUACCAUACACAACUAAUAAGAACCACAUAAAUUGUGGGACCCACAUAAUUGUGUGGUUCUUAUUGGUUGUGUAUGGUACAUUCAAUGUAACAUAGCAAAAUCCUAUACAUUAUACUAAUAGCAUCGGCAAGAGUUUUCGAUUGUUACAACUUGCAAUGCACGCGGUGAGAGAAAAUGAGAAUCUUGUUUAAUUGUCAAUAAUGACAAACCUAAUCCUUUCAUUAGUAGUAAUUUAAUAAUCGUUUAUUAUAAUUGAAUAUGUAUAAAGAAAGGAAAAUUCUAUUCAUAAAUUUCGACUUAUUUUUUGUUUAAAGUAAUUAAUCAUUCAACCAUCUUCAUUUGCCUCUGGCCAAUGCCCUUGUAGAUUAGUUGCAGCGUUAAUUACUUAAUUAUGAUUAUAUACAUUUUCAUAUAGCAAGUGGCAUUGUAGAUCUAAACUAAGUUGCUAUUUCAAUACCAGCAAAUUCAAAAUAGAAAAGGAGUGCAACUGUUCAACUUUGUAGACAAUAUUGCAAGUUGCAACCAUCCAAAGGUGAAGAUCUAUGCUUAUUAUCUAUUUAACAGCUAAUAUAUAUAUAUAUAUAUUUAUUUAAAUAUCAAGAGCUAUGCUUUUAAAUAAGUUCAAAUGGGAUGAGAACAGACUUAUAUUUAUUUAUUUAAAUAUGACCCAGGCUAAUUUCUCUGAAUUUGGACAGAGUAGAUUUCUAAGCUAAUGCUUGGCAUAUCUCUGGCGAUACUACAAAGUGCAUGUACAUUGACUCUUAAUAAAUAUAAACGAUUCUCUGAUAUGAUUCAAAACAUCACUACAUGCAUAAGUUAAUAAGAGACAAUAUUCUAAGAUUAUUUAUGCAUCACCAUUUAUAGUUGUACCCUCUCUAAUGAAAUUGAAGGUGCAGCCAGCAACUAAAAUGAAGCAGAAAUGUACACGCAUGAGGCAGUUUUUCUAGAAGAUUGAUAUUUCUUUAACUAGAAAACCAUACAAGUCCACAACUAGCCAAACUGUACCUGCAUGUGUCUAGGGCUUAAAUGGAGCACUUCUAAGCAUAAAACAGUAACUAAAACACAUACACAAACAUACAUACCAAAAAAUUCAGAAAAUAGAGAAAGGAAUACAACUAUUCUUGUUUGUAGACAAUAUUGCAACCAUGGCAUCAGUUAUAGCAAAUCCUUGAAAUCUACUAAACAAAAUAAUGUCCUGUCUCAUGAAUCAAUGUUGAAUUACAGCUGAAAUUGAAAGUCUGGCAUCAGUUAUAGGAAAUAUUGAAUUACAAUAUUUCCCUUGCCGAUUUUGUCUACACAAGUAAAAUGGAAAUAAGAAUCAUAGAUGAAAAUCAACUUUUACAGUUCUAAUUAUUAGAUAGAUACAGAAUGAUCUAUCUUUGUGAGUUUGUUUUUCUGCUGCAAUGUGCGAUCCCACUCUGUUUUGAUACUCAAAUUGAGUCUAUGUUGAGACAUAAUUUUGACAUUGCAAGCAAUCCCAAUUAGUUUGGCAUUUGUAUGACCCUUUGAAGGUUUUACAAUAGAUGCAAAUCUACUGAGAAAAUGGUAAAAAAGGUGCAUAUAAAAUGAGGCAAGUAACAGAAGUAUGAGUUAUCAGAUUAGAUUAAAAGUCACCCAAUUCAAUCUAUCAGAUUCCGUAAGGAUAUAACUGGAUGUCAUAUCGCCACUCCAUAUCCUCGAAAGUCCGUAGUCUUUGUCUCAACUCUGUCUGAGGCCAAUGUAAAUCCAAUUUGCACAAGCUCUUUAUGCACCAUAGCUCUUCUGGAAGCUUUCUCAAGUAAGCACAUGGGUUGACAAUUAAGCUUUCAAGUUUUGGCAUUGCUCUUGCCCCCAUCGUCCACUCGUCUAGCCAAUACAUCGACUUCAAGUGCAAAAUCUUAAGUUCCGGAAAGCCACCAGAGCCAACGCAGGCCAGCUUUCUUCCUAAAUAUGAGUUCUGCUUCAGUUUCAGCACUUGAAGGCGUGGAAGCUUUUCCAGCAUUGGCAUGGGAUCCUCCAUUAGCUCAGUAUUUGAUAAGCUCAGUUGGAUCAGGCUUGGAGGAAAUUGGUAUUCAGACAGGACCAUCCGUGAGAGCUUGCUCUCAUUCACCAACUUCAAGCAUUCAACUUUGUGGAGUUCGCAUACGCUUUUGGAAACCCCAGAGUGAUAGCAACUCAAAUCUCCAGACACUCUAAGAGUUUGAAGAUUAGGUAGUCUGCACAAUAUAUCUGGCGUGCAACUACUAGGGUGUAAGGCUGAUAUGAAAAUAAGAUUUUUCAGAGAGCUGGAAUAAUUUUUUGGAGGUGCAGGCAGAGUGAUGGAACCAAAGUUCAGAUGCAUGAGUUUUUGCAUCUUCCAAAUAUCCUCUGGUGUUUGAUCUACGUAGCUAGAUGGCAUGUCUAGUGUUUGAAGGUUUGAAAGGGUGCAUAGCAGUGAAGGAAGACAUUUGAGCGAAGGGAUAUUCAAUUUCAAAUACUUCAAAUGGAAUAAAUUUUCUAAUCCGGGUGGAUAUUGGUCCAGGACUGCAGAACCCAUGUUCAAUACCCGAAGGUGUUUGAACAUUUUACAAAAAUUCUCGCAAUCUAUCGGAUUAAGAUGAUCGCUUUCUGAACUGUGAUUCAGAAAAGAUUGGAGGUACAUGUCAGAAUGUUUCAAAGAAAAGAACUCAAUCAGAUCAUCGACAAUGAUGUACCGUUUGGCAUUUGCCAUUGAUUCCUCUUCCAAUCCAGGCGACCAAAAAAAUCCCGUCAAUGCUGCCGGCAAAAGUAACGCAACAUAUGCAAAAGUUGGAACAUAGCACGCCUUAAUUGUGCCUCCGGCUCUUCUCUUAUUCACUUGAAUGAAGCCACGAUCGAUUAGUUCAUUCAAGUAAUGCUCGGCAGUUUCCUCACUGUUGUGUGGUAUGAAACCUUCAGCUACCCACAACCAAUAUAAUUGCCUGGUAGAUAUCUCAAUGCCUGGAUGGAACAAACACAAAUAGAGGCAGCAGAUUUUCAAGUGAACAGGUAACUGCAACACAGAAUAAAUUGUACUCCAAGCUGUCAGAAACGCUUUUUCUCCCAUGUAAAUUCUUAAUGUCGUUUUUCCAUAGUGUAGGAUGAAAAAUUGCCAGGCUUCAUGCUUUAAUCUGAUCAAUGGUCCUCCAACGAGAACUGAAUCAGGAUGAAUCGUCUGUCCAUUUUCCAAUUCGAACGAGGAAAGGAAGUCUGGAUCAGUGACCGUCAUUAAUACUCUGCUUCCAUUCUGAUUCUCAGGAAGGACUUCUUCAAGAUCAUCCAAUACAUCGUCACUCUCUUCACAGUAAUCAUCAAGCACAAUAAAGUACUUCUUGUUUGUUAGGUAAUCUCGAAGAAUAGAUUUCUUCAAUUGAUAAUCUUCACCGAUAACUACACUAACCCGAGAUGGAGGCAUCACAGACUUGAUUAUGUCAUCCAAUAUCAUGCGAAAAUCGUAGGCUAUAGAAACCCUGACCCAAGCAUGACAGUCAAAAUAGAACUUGACAUGAUUAUUGUUGUAAGUAUCAGCAGCAAAAGCAGUCUUAUCAAAGCCACUGCUGUCGAGAAUUGCAACCACUGAAAGCUGAGGUUGUCCCUCGAUCAGUAAAUCAAACAACGCCUCUCUGCCGCUUUCAAAUUCACUCUUAUCAAGCUGAAAUUGUCCCUCAAUCAAUAAGUGAGUGAAUUCGUUCCUUCGCUCUUUGAAAUCAAAACCAUUGCCUCCAGGUGGAAGUUGUUGCAACCGAUUUCUAAUAUCAAUGAUUUUACUGUGGAUUCCGACAAGAAGAGCAAUGCAAGUAGUGCUCUCACUUUCACUGUUUUGCUGCUGCGUGAUGUUGAUGAAGAAUGUGUCAAUAGCUUUCUCAGAUUCACGGACAAAGUAAUUGAUGUCUUUCAGAAGUUCCCAAAUGUCUGUUCUUUUAACAUUUUCUAAGUGCAAGAGCUGCCGAUAACGCGAAGGCAUUUCGUCUUCAUCGAAUUGUUCUCUAAUGAGUUGAAUUAAAACUCGAGCCAUGUCAACUUCAUAUUUUCCCAGCAGAGUAGUAGCAAUAAUUUCGGACUCCGUAAGAAGGUUUUGAUAAAGUGGAGUUAAAUUUGUUGAAUCAGGCAACGUUAACGCGCCUUCUUCACCUGCUAACACCCUUUUCAACCUCUCACAAAAUAGUCGUAGGUGGACGUCCAGCAUAUCUCCUUCUGUCAGUAGCACCCAGAUGUAUUGUCAUUUGCUUCAAGAAAUGUUGAAAGGAUUGGUUCUAUCUCAAAGUGUUUAGUGGUGUAAAAUUAAUUAAUUAAACACCAUGGAAGAAUUUGCAAGGAAGAUGCCAAGAAACUGGCGAAGUGGCUAAAUUCCACAAUUAUGACAUUAUUGCUCAUUUUCAACUCAAAAAAAUGAUACGCGUUCAUUUAGAGAAAAGUCCAAGACGCGUUCCUUUCGGAAAGAACAAUUAUCCAAUAGAGAUCCAACCUUUAUCUUAUUCAAUUACUACCCUGACAUGAUUGAUGGUGCUUAAAUCAAUUGUUUCUUUUUUAAUUUAAAGAAUUUUUCAUUCAAAUUUUUUUUAAUAUUAAAUUGCCUUCAAUGGCAUUACUGCAGCAAGCCCAGUAACACGAUUAAUUAAAAAGUUUAGAAUUUUUGGGCCUGGAAAGAGUAGUAUUAAACAUCAGCAAGCUAAGGUUGAUAUGUUAAAGAGUUGAUAUUGACAUAAUUUUUAUUUUGGUUUUCGGGGAAAAAAAAUUGUUGACAAGCAAGAAAAUAUUUAUAUAUUUUACAAUUUAUUAUACAUAUUUUAUCAUAUUAAAAUAAUUUUAAUAAUUAAUGAAAAACAAAAUAUUGCAAUAAAUAAAUUAAUGUUUAAAUUAUUUUGAAUAUAAUAAAAAUAAUUUUAAUAUUAUUAAUAGGAAGACAUUUUGUUAAUUUUAAAAUCUUUUUAACCCAAAGGUUUAUUUAAAGUCUUUAUUAUAAAUUAAAUAUCAUAAUCUAAAAUUUUUAAUAUUAUUUUAAGUAUUAAAAAUAUUUUAAUGUUAUUAGUCUACUACAUAGAUCAUAUUACUUAUGUUAUAUUUGUAUUGAUUAAAAAUUUUUAAAAUCAAUUUUCUAGUUACUACAUUCACGAGGCAUUAUGGUUAAAGAAAAGAUCUUGAUGUUACUUUUAAAAAAUUUGAGGGCCUGCAUGAUAAUUUUUUCAAAAUUUAAGGAUGUAGGUGUCCUUCUCAAAUAAUUUAGGGUGAGGCUAUUUGAAUCCACCAAUCUACUCACUACACCCAUUUACUAAAUAAACCCGCACUUAAGUUUUGAAAUUUUAAAUUUUACUCAACAAACCGACCUAAAUGUCCAAUAUACCCUUAUUGAACCCAAUUAUUAUAAUAAUAUGUUUUUGCUAAUUAAACCCAUUUAAUUCAUUUAAAGUUAAUAAAUGAUUAUAUUUAUUAAAUUGAAAACUAAAAGAUUAUACAAAACAUAAACAAUACUCUCAAUUAUAUAUUUUGGAGCAAAAAUUCCAAAGUGUAGUAAGCAAAGCCAAUGCAAAAUGGCUGGAGCAGCUAAUAAUGGUAAAAGUCAGAGCCUAGUAAUGUGGUACCGCUACUUGACUUUGGGAAAGAAGUGAUAAUUAUAUCAAUUUCUUCAACUUGGAAGUUGGAAGUGCUGUUGAAAGCGGUUGAUGCCAGAAAAAUAAUUAGAUAUCUGUCAAAAAAAAACUUUGGUAUUUUUAGAAAUAAAAUCCUAUAUCCAGUAUUUCAAUAUGAAAAGUCUCUAGUAUUUCUUUCAAUUGAUUCUUCCUUUGUCUUCUUCGACUCCAUGAAGGUUUAAUUAUGAUGAGAAAGCCAAGGGGAAUCAAUAAAGAAUAUCAAUUUAGGGUUUAAGAAAAAUAUCAUAAAGUUGAAUGUAAAAUGGAUUCAAAGAGUAAAUUUUAUUUUUAAAACUAUAUUUUAAUGUCUAAAAUUGUAAUUUAAUUUAGGGAUAUUUUAAUAAUUACAAUUUAUUUUUAAAAGUGAGUUUAUUAAGUAGUUUGAUGGGUUCAAAUAGUCCCAUCCAAUAAUUUAUUUCACUGUUAAGGGAAUCCAAUGAGAAAAAUAAUAAGAUAUCGUCAAUGACUUGUCAUUUUCUAUUUUUUCUAUGAGCUAAUUAUUUUGAGCAUUAGUGAUCUUGUCAGGACUACUCCAAUUAUUGAUGCAACUCCAGCGGCUGCAUCCACAGUGGCUACUCCAAUUAUUCAUGCCUUUUAAAAAGAAUAUGUAUACAAUAGCAAUCCAUACUUUAUCUUACAUUGAUUUUUUUCAAUUAAUGGUGAUUGCAUUGAUUUUUUUCAAUUAAAGAAAAAUUGUUUAAAAUAGAUUUAAUGCACAAAUACGAUGACUUUUGGCAAAAAUUAGUUUCGGAAAUGUUGGGAUGAAAACCAUAUUAGUUGAGACUUAAAUUAAGAUUUAAAUGUUGAGAUAGUAUUGCUCAGUCAGAAUAAACAAUAACCAAUUCAAAUUAUGACUAUCACGUAAAAACAAAUGUUUAUGCUUGGGUUUUUUACUUCUUGAAUUUGAUUGGAAAAAUUUCUGAGACAGAGAAGUGUUUUGGAUAAUUGUUUUGGGGAUUGAAACCACAAAUUGGUCGAGGAAAUUAAUUUUGGACAAAUUUUUAUUAUAUUGUAGCACCUUUUUGGUUCCUUUUCGGCGGCCCCAUACUAUUCUCUUAACCCUGAGUUUUUUUUUUUUUUUUUUUUUGAAAAGUCUUAACCCUGAGUUUGAGAUAGAAAUUUCCCGAACUCCAACCUCACAUCCAGGGACAAGUUGAUUGAAACAAUUGCUCUUUCAAUUAAGAGGAUGAGUUAGGUUUCAGUUCUUAUCAUUGUCUGUUAUUUCUUUGAAUCAUUAAUUUUGAGCAUUACUGAUCUUAGUUAUCUGUAUUUCUCCAAUUAUUGAAGAAUUUCAUGUGGCCACUUUUUCUCCUUUUCAUAUAUGUUUCGUUUUUGGACUGAUCAAACGGUGCAAAACCAAGUAUUUGCUGGUCCUUAGUUUAGCCAAUGAUGGCUGAUCCACAGUUGAAUAUAUGAUACUAUUAGCUCUUAUUUGAGAAUGUAAAGGGAUCUUUCUUAUUUGAGAAUACAAGUUGCCCAAUAGAGUUGAACUAUGUUACCCAACUCCAUGCUCAUACAUUAAAUGUUUAGGUAGUUUUACAAAAUGAUAGCAGCAUGCCAAAACUUGUUGUUGUCAUUUUCGACAUUUCAAAUUGAAAAAUAUGCAAGCAAUCUUCAGUGAACAUUACGUUUUUAUUGAAUAAUUUAAAUGGCCAGCAAAUCAACAGUCCGUGAGUUUUAAAUCUAUUAUGACUUAAUGUAUCUUUCUGUAUUCGUACACAGGUUAUAUUAUCAUAGUUUAAAAUUUUAAUAUUAUUUUAAAUGUUAAAAAUACUUUAAUGCUAUUAGUCUACUACACAGGUUAUAUUAUUUAUAUUAUAUUUGUAUUAAUUAAAACUUUUAAUGUCAAUUUUCUAAUUACUAUAUUGAAAAGGUAUUAUGGUUAAGAAAAAGUUUUGGCAUUUCUUCUUGAAAAUUUGAGGGUCUGCAUGACAAUUUUUCCAAAUUCUAAGGGUAUAGGUUUGAAAAUUUAAUGUUCUUUAACUUAAUGAAACAAAAGGGGGAAACCAAGAACUAUUCAAUUUUGUAUUUUUUGUUUGUAAUUCAAAAAAUGCAUCCACCAAACAAGUUUUACGCAUUAAUGCUGUCAUAAAACAAAAAACAGUUUGCCAAAAAAUGGUACCAAACAUAUCCUUAAUGUCUCACAUGAUUUCUUAGUAAGCCCAUAUUAGAUAUAUUUAUACAUUUUAGGUAUUUUAAUUAUAAAAGAAGUUGGUCCUCCCUCUGUUUAUAAAAGAUAACGUUAUUUCGAGAUUACCACUAAACUCUUACAUAGAAUUAGUGUAAUGUUAAGAGAGAGUAACACAAUUUUCCGUUACCAUCUUUGAAAAUAGAAAGAUAUGGAUGCGUGCAUUUAAGGGUUAUCGUGAAAAUCAUACAAUUCAAUUUCCUGACAUAUAUAUUCGUGCACAUAUGCCAAAAGAAUAAAUAGACAGAAAGUAAAUUUACAGUCCUCACUUCCUCACAAUUGUUAACGUGGAGACAUUAAGGAUGAGCAUAAAAGUUAAAGAUGACUCAUUUCUCAUUUUCUUUUUAAAGUGCUCUGCUGAAAGCCAAACUUCCUUUGGCUAAUUAAUUUAGAAGUAAAGCAGAGAAUAAAGUCCUAGAUGCCUUCUGAAAUUAGAAAUACAUUUUAUAUGCUUUAAUUAUGAUUAUUUGGUAGACUAAAGACCUAAAAGAUAUGUCCAAAGUAUAAAACAGAACGAUUAAAGGAAAAAGAAAAAAAACAGAGUAUUUGUGACGUAGAAUAACAAUUGGUAACUAAAAUCCUAAAUAUUUGAGUUGUUAAAAGCAAAUAUAACAGAGAAGGUAAGAGAGAUGCAGAAACAGAAAACUAUUAGCUUAUCUUGAUUUCCCACUAUAUUCAUUUUCGAUGCUUUUCAAACGAGAUUCUUUUAAUCCUUCUGGCGUCCGCAGCCCUUGCUCUUCUUACAAAUCUCCAGUCCACAUCUGCACUACGAACAAGUUGAUUGAAAUUAAAUAAUGUUGGAGAUGAGGGGUGAGCCGUCAACUUGGUAAAAAAAUUCAUGUAUAAUAUUAUCAAUAAUAUAAAAUAUAUAAUAAUUAUUACAAAGAAUCAUAAAUUAAAAAAUUAAUUAUUUUACAAUCUAUUUCUUAAGUAAGAUAAAUCUCGUAAUAAGUUAAGUUAUAACGUAAAAAAUAUUUUCAAUUUAUAAUCAUUUAAGAAGUCAUUUAACAAUAUAUUUUUUUUAUCAGCAGGCCAUGCCACAAAGUAUCAUCUAUAUUCGUGGUGAUAUUAUUAUUACUCCGUAUUCUCAAAAAACAUGAUUUAACAUUUAGAGAAAAUUCCUGCCUUUUAAAAAGAACAUGUAUGCAACAACUACCAAUACUUUAUCUUACCACAACAAAACCAAUGGUGACUAAAUCAAUUUUCUUGAUUAAAGCUAAAUUUCUUAAAAUUGAUUUAAUGCACAAAUAUGAUGACUUUUUGCAAAAAUUAGUUUUGGAAAAUAUAGUGAGAGAAAAUAGUGACGAUUAUUGUUUAGAUGUGUAAAUAGUCUAAACAUAAUCGCUAAUACCAAUAUCCAAGUGCAUCUUAACACCUUUCGUGAUAUUCUUUCAUUCAUGGUCACUGGUUCAAUAUUUGAAUUUAAUCAGUAAAUCAUGUUCAAUAAUAUUAGAGAUCCCAACAAUUGAGUACCAAUUUAAAUCCUAAUGCUAUAUGUCAUUGACCAAUAUUGUGUCAUUUUUUGUUAACUGGGUGAUGAAUUUCUAGUUGAUAAAAUUACUUUAAAAUAUCUUAAAAAUUAGACAAUAGUUUGCUUAAUUUUUUUAAGCUAACCGCUCAAGAUGCUCUAUUAGAAAUGAUAACCUAAUUAUAUACAUAAAAAAUGAUGUAUUUUUUGCAAUGUUGAUAGUGAGAUUAUCAUUCAACAUGUUAAAAUAUGAAAACAUAUGGAAGAUGGUUGUAAAUUGAUUGAAUGAAAAUAUUUCAGUGAAGUCUCAAAAAUUUGGUACUUGUUAUCUUAUCGAAAGUUUUCUAAAUUAUAUUCGUGGCACUGCCACUGCUUCUAUGUGAAGGUCAUUAAAAUUUGUGUUAGUUACCUAUAGGUUGAAUAACAAUUUUAUUCAUCAAUUGUUGCUCAAUAUAGCAAUUUGAUUGAAAGUGCCGCUGCACUAAUUUUCUAGAUGAACUUUCCUAAAUGUUUGUCCUCAUAUGACCUAGAAUGCUGCGAUAUCAAUUGUAUUGGAAAUUAUUCAAGUGGGUUAGUGCUCUACAUCCCCACCAAAAUUUAAGCAAUCAACAAAACAUUCCUUGUGGAAAUAAACUUAUUUCGCUACUAGACUUCUAAUGAGGCCCAUUUUCCAGAAUCUGGAUACGAGUUAGAUGUCUCCCAAAAUAUUGGUGGGAGUAGACUAUACUAGCACUCGACAACAUACUAACGACGCUAUGGUCCACCAGAAAGACCGGUCUCCGGUCAGCCGAAAAAUCUCACGUUCAGUCUCUUCUCAAUCUCCCUUCUCCCAGCCAAGUCGAUCCCGUAACAUGAUACUAAUCCACAGUUGAAUACAUGAUACUAUUAGCUCUUAUUUGAGAAUAUAAAGGGAUCUUUCUUAUUUGAGAACAUAAAUUGCCCAAUAAAGUUGAACUACGUUACCCCGCUCCAUGCACAUACAUUAAAUGUUAACAGCAUGCCAAAACUUGAUGUUGUCAUAUUCGACAUUUCAAAUUAAUAUGCAAGCAAUCUUCGGUGAACAUUACGUUUUUAUUGAAUAAUUUAAAUGGCUAGUAAAUCUAGAGUUCUUGAGCUUUAAUCUAAAUCAAAUCUAUUAUGACUCAAUGUAUUUUUUUGUGUUCGUACCAGUAAUGCAGGGGAUUAUUUACGCAACUCUUAUUAUUGACUGAGAUGUUCACCUUCAUCCAAUUAGAGAAAGAGUGACUGUAGAGGUGGCAAAAAUACCCGCCCGGUCCGGACCCGGACCGUACCCAUUACCUGGUCCGGGUAUGAAGCCGGGUCGGUCUUGGGCAUCACUUGAUAAACCUGGAACCCGGAUUUUAUUAAAAAAAUUAUAAAAUAUAUAUUAUUUUAAAUAUUUUAUAUUUAUUUGACUCAUUUAUUAUACAUAUAUAAAGUUUUAAACACUUAAAGUUUAUAUUUUCAUGUCAAAUUUUAUUGAAAUAAAUUUAAAACUUAUAAAAUUACUAAAAAAUAAAAAAUAUAUACACAUAAAAUAUUAAAAAAUAUAAAAUUCGGAUACCCGGAUUAAAACCCGGCCCGAACCCGGACCCAGACCGGUUGCAUCCGGGUAGGGUCCAGUCAUGGCAAUACUCGGACCUGGUCCGGGGUUUUGCCAUCUCUAAGUGACUGGGUUCCUAUAAAGGGACUCUUAACCAUUACGAGAGUAUUCAGACUACAAAUCUUUGUAAUUAAAUUCAAAGGUGAAGAUCUAUGCCUAUUAUCUAUUUAACAACUAAUAUAUAGUUAUCUAUUCAUUUAAAUAUCAAGGGCUAUGCUAAUAAUUAAGUUGAAAUGUUGAUGAAAGUAGCCUUACAUCUGUGUAUUACUCAUCUACUCUAAUCUUUUUUUUUUUUAACUUAAUGUACUUUUUCUAAUGUUGUUUACUCUUCCCCCCCCCCCCCCCCCCCCCCCCCCCCCCCCCCCCCCCCCCCCCCCACCUCUCUGACAAAAUAAUAAGAGUUUAGACUUGAAAAUAUCUUAAAGAUCAAACAGUAAUUUACCUAAUUUUUUGAAGCUAACUGCCAAAGAUAUUCUAUUAGACAUUGAUAACGUAGUUAUAUACAUUUAAAAUGAUAUUUUUUUGUGGAAAGGGAUUAUCAUUCAACAUCUUAAAAUAUGAAAACAUAUGGAAGAUGAUUGUAAAUUGAUUGAAUGAAAAUAUUUCAAUGAAGAUGGUUGUAAAUUGUUAUCUUAUUGAAAGUUUUCUAAAUUUACUACUAUUUGAACUUAGCCCUCCUGGUACCGCCACCAUUUCUGCUUGAAAGUCAUUUAAGUUUGUGUUAGCUGCCUAAAGCUUUUUUUUUUUUUUUUUUCUUUUUCUUUUUGAAAAGAGCUGCCUAUAGCUUGAAUAACUAUUUUGCUCACGAAUUGUUGUCCAUUAUAGCAAUUUAUUUAAUUGAAAGUGCGGCUGCAAUAAUUUUCUUGAUGAACUAUUCCACAUGUUUGUUCUCAUGUGAGGCAGUUUUUCUAGAAGAUUGAUAUUUCUUUAAGUCUUUAACUAGCAAAGCAUACCAGUCCAAAGCUAGCCAAACCAUACCUGCUGGUCCAGGGCUUAAAUGGAGUACUUCUAAGCAUAAAACAGUAACAAAAACACAAUAUAUGCAUACAUACAUACACACAUACAUACAUACCAGCAAAUUCAAAAUAGAAAAAAGAGUGCAACUAUUCAAGAAAUUGGUUAUUGUAGACAAACACACAUACAAACACAUACCAGAAAAUUCAAAAAAUAGAGAAAGGAGGCCAACUAUUCAAGUUUGUAGACAAUAUUGCAAUCAUGGCAUUACUUAUAGCAAGUCCUUGAAAUCUACUAAACAAAACAAUGCUCUGUCUCAUGAAUCAAUGUUGAAUUACAGACGAAAAUGAAAGUCUAGCAGGUGUUGUUUCCCUCUUCGAUUUUGCCUACACAAGUAAAGGGAAAUAAGAAUCAUAAAUGAAAAUCAGCUUUUACAGUUGUAAUUAUUAGAUAGAUCUAGAACGAUCUUUCUUUGUUUCUCUGCUGCAAUGUGCUAUCCCACUCUGUUUUGCUACUAAAAUUGAGUCUAUGUUGAGACAUAAUUUCGACACUAGGAGCAACCGCAAUUAGUUUGGCAUUGCAUUACCCCUUGAAGGUUUUACAAUAGUUGUAAACUUACCGAGAAAGUGGAAAAAAAAGGGCAUAGGGAAUUAGGCAAGUAACUAAAGUAUGAGUCAUCAGAUAUGAUUAAAACUCACCCAAUUCAAUCCAUCAGAUUCCGUAAGGAUAUAACUGGAUGUCAUAACGCCACUCCAUAUCCUCGAAAGUCCGUAGCCUUUGCCUCAACUCUGUCUGGGGCCAGUGUAAGUCCAAUUUGCGCAAGCUCUUUAUGCACCAUAGCUCUUCUGGAAGCUUCCUCAAGUAAGCACAUGGGUUGACAAUUAAGCUUUCAAGUUUUGGCAUUGCUCCUGCCCCCAUCGUCCACUCAUCUAGCCAAUACAUUGACUUCAGGUGCAAAAUCUUAAGUUCCGGAAAGCCACCAGAGUCAUCACAGGCCAACUUUCUUCCUAAAUACGAGUUCUUCUUCAGUUUCAGCACUUGAAGGCGUGGAAGCUUUUCCAGCAUUGGCAUGGGAUCCUCCAUUAGCUCAGUAUUUGAUAAGCUCAGAUGGCUCAGACUUAAAGGAAAUUCGUAUUCAGACAGGGCAAUCCGUGAGAGCUUGCUCUCAUUCACUAGUUCCAAGCAUUCAAUUUUGUGGAGUUCGCAUACGCUUUUGGAAACCCCAGAGUGAUAGCAACUCAAAUCUCCAGAUAUCUGAAGAGUUUGAACAUUAGGUAGUCUGCACAAUAUAUCUGGCGUGCAACUACUAGGGUGUAAGGAUGAUAUGAAAAUAAGAUUUUUCAGAGAGCUGGAAUAAUUUUUUGGAGGUGCAGGCAGAGUGAUGGAACCAAAGUUCAGAUGCAUGAGUUUUUGCAUCUUCCAAAUAUCCUCUGGUGUUUGAUCUACGUAGCUAGAUGGCAUGUCUAGUGUUUGAAGGUUUGAAAGGGUGCAUAGCUGUGAAGGAAGACAUUUGAGCGAAGGGAUAUUCAAUUUCAAAUACUUCAAAUGGAAUAAAUUAUCUAAUCCGGGUGGAUAUUGGUCCAGGACUGCAGAACCCAUGUUCAAUACCCGAAGGUGUUUGAACAUUUUACAAAAAUUCUCGCAAUCUAUCGGAUUAAGAUGAUCGCUUUCUGAACUGUAAUUCAGAAAAGAUUGAUUAGUUCUUUCAAGUAAUGUUCGGCCGUCCCCUCACUGUUGUAUGGUAUGAAACCUUCAGCUACCCACAACUGAUAUAAUUGCCUCGUGGAUAUCUCAAUACUUGGAGGGAAGACAAACAAAUAGAUGCAGCAGACUUUCAAGUGAAAAG